GCUAGCAGAGCCACAACCAUAAUCUCCUGUUCUGGACCAUCCUUUACUACCAUUGGAUUGAGAAUUUUAAAUAAGGAAUUCUCCUGCAUUGAAUGCAAAAAAUAAGAUACCAAGCUUCUCACUGGCUCUGAUUGGUUUGCAGAGAUGGGUUUUUGUCCUGUUAAAAGCUCAAUGAGAACAACUCCAAAGCUAUAAACAUCACUCUUCUCUGUAAAUUGAUUUGUUCGAAAAUAUUCAGGAUCCAUGUAUCCAAAAGUUCCUUCCACCCGGGUGGUUAGAUGUGUUUGCUCAAGUGCAACUGAUCUUGAAGUUCCAAAAUCAGAUACUUUUGCCCUAUAUUUAUCAUCCAAAAGUAUGUUACUAGAUUUGAUGUCUCGAUGAUAAAUAGGAGCAGAAGCAGCUGAAUGCAAAUAGAACAACGCAUUGGCAAUUUCGAUUGCAAUUCGUAAACGCAUUUCCCAUGUCAAUGGUAAUUCUUCAUUUUGUUUACGAAUGAGAUCGUAUAAUGUACCAUUUGGGAUGAACUCAUACACCAAUAGAGGAACUUCAGCUUCUAAGCAACACCCUAAAAGCUUAACCACAUUCCUGUGAUUAAUUUGAGAUAAAAUUAUCACCUCGUUAAUGAAUUGUUCAACCUUCUUUUCGUCAAAUUUCUUUCCUUCCACCAUUUUGGACUUCUUAAUAGCCACAAUGCUUCCAUCUAUUAGCAUCCCUUUAUAAACAGUCCCUUGACCUCCUUGACCAAGGAUUCGGUUCUCAUUAUAAUGAUCGGUCGCCUUUUCCAUCUCUUUCGAAGUAAACAACUUAAUUUUUUUAACAUUACCUUCAGACGAAUGUUGUUGCAGUAACAAACCUCCAUUCCUUUUGAAGUAUUUCUGCUUCAGCAUGAUUUUUUUUUUCUUUUGAGGACUUUGUACAUACUCCAUGUUGCGAGUAGUAGAAAUAGUGUCCCAAUACUAGUGCUGCAACCUAUAUAGAUAUAAGUAACAUUGUUAAAAGUUAAAUUUGAAAAUUCAAAUACAUUCUAAAAAACCAUGAGAAUGUUUCAAUAAAGUUUUAUUCAUAUUUGAAAAAAUGAGAGAACCUUAUUGCACCAUCCAUUGUUCUGAUAUUGAACUUUUACAAAUUUAAUGAUAAAUAAUUGUUAUUGCAUCACUCAUUCAAAAAGUAAAUAAAUCAUUGCUUGAAUUUACAUAAUCCAAUAAUCAUAAUGAUUUCACUUUAAAAACAAAAAAGUAUAAAUUAGCACGUACCUAUAAUAAUGCUUGUCAAGCUACGAGUUGUUUGAUUUUGUAUAUUGCGCUCACAACGAAAUCCUGUACUAUUAUAUUUAUAAUGAGGAGGGCAAGACUCUGGCGAGCAAUAGUUGCUAGGCAUAUUCAAACAAAGUAUGCGGCAAUACUGAUAAUCCCCACAAUUCCAAUCUGUCAUUUAUGAGUUGAAUAAAAAAAAGUUAUAAUCGUAUUAUUCAAACUUGAAUAGAAACAGGUUAUCUUUAAAAUUAAAAUUUAAAGAUUAGAAAGAGACUGAGAAGUAGGUUAUCUUUAAAUUUUGUUAUCUUUUUUUAUUUUUAAAGAAAUUCAAUCAUUGAAUUUGUACGAUUUAUUUGCCACUUCAAACCUAGUAGCUAUAUACGUUUAGAGCUCUAUGGAUGUUUAAGAGUUUUGUACCAAGAAAAAUAUGCAAAAUUAUCUUCAAAAGUAUAAAUUUUCUUCUUCUUUUUUUUUUUUUGAGAAAUUCACUGUAAAACUAAAUACAUUAGUGUAAAAAGCUAAAAUUGUUUUACUCUCUUUUGCAUCUCUUUAUAUUAUUAAUAUUUUGACAAUUCAAUUGUUGAAUUUAAUAUUUUAUUCAUAUAAAUCAUUCAUGUCAAAUUUGAUAUAAAUUAAAAAUUAAACAAUUAGAUUGUUAAAAUAUUAAUCGUAUAGAGAGAUACAAAAGAGUGUAAAAAAACUUUCAUUUUAUAUUGAUGUAAGUGGAUUACUCUCCAUAUUUUUUUACACACUUAUAUAUAUAUACAAAUUUUACAUACUUUAUAAAAGAUGAUUUUGUAUGUUGAAUCUUCAACUGAUUAGUAUAAUUUAGUCAUGAUAUACCUCAACUAAUAAUAACUAGAUUAUGAUACACUAACGACGUAAGUGAAAAAAAUUAUAUAAUAAUUUAUUUAUAAAAAAUAUUGAUAUAAAAAAAAGAGUUGAUUGAAAUAGUAAAGUUAAGUAUUAGCUAUCAUGGUGCCUUUGUUCAAAUUUUAUUAUACUUAUUUUUUAAAAUUUUACAUGAAAUAUAAAAUGACAAAAAUACUCUCAUAAUAAUAUUUGUUCUUUUAUAAAAGUAAUGGAUUUUCAUAAUUUCUCAACUAUGUAAAGAUUGAGUUGAGGGGUGGCACCAACUCAAAUAGCCCUUUAAAAAAUAAUACUAAUUUACGAUACACCCAUUAUGUGAAUGGAAAAAAAAUAUGUAAUAAGCAUAUUUAUUUAAUGCUUAUAUAAGAAUCAAAUGAAUCAUUGGUUGAAAUGGUAAAGUUAAAGUCUAAAAUUUAUUGUGUGAAAAGUUCAAAUUUUACCAUGUUAAAUUUAUUAUGAAUUUUAUAUAAAAAUAUAAAAAAAUGAAAAUACCCUUAAAAUAAUAUAACUUAAUAUAUAUAUAAAAAUAUGUUAAUAAUUUUUUCAAUUAUGGUAUACCUAUAAGUAAAGAUAUAAUAAAAAAGUUUCCUAAAAUAAGGUUAAUUCAUACCUUUGCAUGACGUUAAAAAAACUCCAAUAUCCUUGUCGCACACACAUAAAUAAUUAGAGCUCAUCCUUGACCAACAAUAUUUACCCUCGAGUGUACAAGAAGCGCCCAAACUAUCAUUCAACUUGCACUCUCCAGAUAUUGGUGUGCCCCAUUGCAGUUGUGUUGGAACAUGCGUUAUAUUACUUAUAUUAAAGGUCAGAUCAUAGUCAUAAGAAACCAUGGAAGCAAAUCCGCAUGAUUUUUUCCUCCAAUAAUCACUAGAAUCAAACCUACUACUCAUGUUUACGUAGAAUGGACUGAGACCCCAAGGAAUAUUAACAAGACAACCAUCAAUAGAGGAAGCCUCGUUAUUAAUCCUACAACUUGGUUGCAAACAUCCUCCAAUAAGAUUAUCUAGUUUGCUGCUGAAAACAGUAACCAAAUUACCGCAACCUAAAGACCAGAAGGUGUUGUCUGAAUUUGAGUAGUAAAAGCGAGUGCCUGUUAAGUUGAGACUCGUCCCGUUGUGAUGGUUUUUCUGACAGUUGAAGUAAGUUAUUGGAUGGUUGACUUUGACUGUACCAUACAAAAAAUCAAUUUCUAGUAUUUGCAAAUUCAUGCCAUUUAUAUUUAAAAAAGGCACUUUUUGCCCAUGGUCGCUUUUGUUGCAAACUACUUUAAACCACUCUUUAAGAUCAACUUGGUCCUUCAUUGUAAAGGGAUAGUGAACAGUAACAUUCCCACAGGGCUCUACCUUGUAGGUGCGGAAGUUAAUAGAUCCCAGUCCUGGUCUUCCGCAUCCUGCGAGUUUAGCAAAAAAGGAGUAAAUUGCAAAAUUUACGAACAUCUAACGUAUAUAGGAAAUAAAAGCAAUGCGUUAUUCAAUAUAUAUAUAUAUAUAUAUAUAUAUAUAAAGAAGGUACUCUUUAACUAAUAUAUUUAACUAAAUUUUCUGUUAUUUGUGACAUUAAAUUCAAUAAAGACUUUCCUAUUGAAUUUGAUGUGAUACAAUAUUUCUAAUUAAAAUACUUGCAUUUCAAAAAAAAAAAUCAAUUCCACUUUCAUACCUAUCCUCUCUUUACGUAAUACUUUGUUAAUUUUAUUCUAAAAUAUUAAAUUCUUAAUUGAAUAUGAUACUUGUGCUAAUUUCUAAUUUAACUACUGAGUUCAAAUCUUUUUAUGGAACUAAUGAUUUCAUUUCAAGAACAAAUCAACUUAGGCUACAUUUAUUCACUCAAAAUAAUUUUCGAAAAAUAAUUUAUAUUUUUGGAAAAGUUAAUAUUUUCUAGUAUUUAGAUGAAUCUGUGUAAAAUAAUUUCUGAUAUUUAGAUUAAUCUUGUAAAAUAUUUUCUAUUAUUUAGUAGAUUUCUUAAAAAAAUUUCAUAAAAGUUGUUUUCAAUUAAACAAACAUAUAUUUGAGAUGUUUUUCAUUGUUUAAUUGAAUUUAUUUUUAUCUAGAAUUUUAUAUUUUACAUUUUUUUUGCAUAUAUUAAAAAUAUUAUAUUAAAUUUAGGUUCAUUACAACGUCAUUUUUUUAACUACAUGACUACCGAGUGAGUAUUUUUUAUUUAAAAAUGUGACAUCAAAUUUGACUUGAUUUUUAAAUUUGAAAAGUAAAAGGACUAAAUUCUUGAAAAUAAAAAUACAAAGACUAAAUUGAAAAUUUGUGAAGUGUGCAUAGACUUAUGACAUAUUUAACAUUAUACUACAAACAUUUAUUAUUAAUAUAUUUUAAUAUAAUAUUAUUUAUAUUAAAAUAUUAAUAUUGAAUAUUUUAAUAUAUGUGAAUAAUACUAUUUAAAUUUAUUUUUUUAAAAUUUAUUAUUAAAAUAAAUUAAACUAUUACAUCAUUUUUAUUUUAAUACCUUUAUUUAUUCUAUUAUUAUACUCUCUAUUUAUGACUAACAUCUCAUACUUAAAUCUGUCUGUUUACUCUAUGAAAACUAUCCUAUUUUAUAUUUUCCCUAUUUUUAAAAAAUAAAUUUAUUCUAAAUCUAAUACUAGCUUGAUUAGUUUAAUUUUUAUCUAAACAUAAAAUCUUCUCUAGAGCUCUUUUUUCGAAAGUGACUUACACUUUUCAACUGGUAUGUCUUUUACAGAAAAGAGCUUAUUUUAGUUGAUCUAUACGUUUUUUUCAUUGAUCAUGCUGUUUUAUGUGAAACAAACACAGGAAAAUGUAUAAAACAUUUUCCGUGAAACUUUUUACAUGUAAACAAACUGACCCUAGAUUUAAAACAGAAUCAUUAUAAACAAAAUUAUGUAAAUUAUGAAAUGAAUGGAAACAUAAUACAGAAAUAUUAAAAAUAUAUAUAUUAUGUUAUAACAGAAUAUAUAUAUAUACACAUAACCAACAUGAAGCCAACGAAAAAAAAUAUAAAAAUUACAAUUUUAACUCCUCUAAAAAAUAAUAAUUUAAUUUAAUUUAAUUUCAUCUCAUUUAAGUAUUAGUUCAGGUUUUUGAAUACAAAACUUUUAGGUAUAGCCAUUUUUUGUCCUAAAAAUCUUUUAGGUAUAAAUUUUUGAAAGCCAAAAUUAUUAAUAUACAAAAUGAAUGAUCCUAAAAACCUUUUUUAGAACUUAUAUGAUUCUAAAGGCUGGUUUUAAACAAUUAGCAAAAUCUAUAUAUUAACCGAAUUAAAAGAAGAAGAAUAAAAGCCAAGCAAUUGAAGUGACAGCGCGUGACUGACCUCCGUCACCGCAAUAGGUAGAAUUCCAGUUGAGCACGGCGGGAACAUGCGUAGUUCCAUUAUUGAUGCCAGUGGGUAAUGGGUAAGCACUACGGAAAGAGUACUUGCUAAAGAUGAAAGCAGAUGCGCAUCUUUUGCUGUCAGGAUACAUGGCUCUCAUGUUUACGGUAUAGGAAGUAAGAUUUGCAGUAAUUUGAGUAAAGCAGCCAGAUUCAGAAGCACCAUCGUCACACCUUGGUUGAAUGCAGCCGCCAAGUGAAACAGCUUCGUUACUUAAAAUAGUAGCCAAAUUUCCGCAACCUACUGACCCGAAAUAAUUCCUCGUACUUGAGAAGAAAAAGGGAGUGCCUAAGAGAUUGACCCUCCCACUAACCUCGUUUAUACGAUCACAAUUAAUGUAAGUAACUGGAUUGUUGAUGAGAAUGGCGUUUGAAUAUAAGGCUUUUCCAAGUACCUCCAGAUCGAUGCCAUUUACGUUUAUGAAAGGCUUGUCCCCACUGGGGGUUUGCUUGCAAGUUACGCGAAACGAAGGAUGAGUAUAGCAGGUGAUAUUGAUUAACCCAAAAGGGGAUGGAAUUGUAAUAUUUCCACAUACUUCUUUACGACAGGCAGGUUCUUGAGAUUCUGCUGCUUGUAAAAUUGAGCACAACAGGAAGAGGAAGAGGAGUAAGGGGAUGAAGUAAAGCGCUAAGUGAAAACCCAUUUGCGUUGUUAUUUUGUUUGAGGGAAAUGAAUGAAGAUUUAAAGAAACAAACGAUGUUUGAGGGAGAAGCAAAUGAAAAGUAUUUGCUCGCACUUUCCUUGAAGUUCCAGUAUAAGUGCAUUUGAUUUGAGAAUAAUUCAUUAAUUUGUAAAGACUGUUGGAUACAAUUUUCCAGCUACACGUAAGAGGUCUCCAUUCAAAGAGUAGGUUACAAAUAAAGAGUUAAGAGACAACUAAAAGGGAGAGUCGAGCCUUGACCCCUAAUUUGUUUUAUAUUCCUUCAAAUAUUUUUACAAUGGCAUUAAGAAAUAAGGAUAAUUUAUGUUCCUUCCUUCAAAACUUUUAAACAUUUCAAAUCAUAUUGUAAAAUAGAAAGCUUGAAAUUAUAGAUUAAAUAAAAUUAUUUUUAAAAUUUUAUUAGUUAAUAUUAAUUUAAUUAUAUUGAUAAGUGGAUGAAAGAAGUGAUAAAAAAACUUAAUUUAAACUAUACAUCAAAUGAAGAUAUAUGUGAUUAUAAUAAAUUUUAAUUAAUUUUGUACUUUAUUUUUGUAUAGAUAUAUUUAUAUUAAUUAUUAAGUUUAUUCAAUCCUAGUUGUCGAUAAAGCUAGAAGGGAGGAGAUAACAAAGAGUGAGCAGUAUCCUUAAUGAGUGAUAGUAAAGGUGAUUGUUCUUUACAACAACUUGAGAAGAAAUUCCGAGGAAUGUCACUUUUGAUGCUGGUCCUAUGAUUAGAGGUUUCACAUUUUUAUUUACAGCCAUUCAACAUAGUUAAUAUCGUAAGUCUAACAAUUAUUUAUGUUUUCGAUAUACAUGAGUAUUUUUAGACAUUUAAGUGAAAUACUAAAUAAAACUCUCAAGUCAAGUUAUAUUUUAUAAUGUUUUUCAAAAUUUUUAAUAAUUAUUAAUAUUUUAUUUUUUAUAUUUUUUUAUAAACUUGGGUAACUUUUACAUUUUUUAAAAAUAUUUUUAAUAAUUUAGUAUGUCACAUCAACAUGCUUUCACAUAGCAUACCAUAUGCUAACUUCUCAUGACUUCCGUAAAUCAUAUAAACAACGUAUAAUAUUCAAAGUAAUCAAGAAUUUUGAUUUUUUAUUGAGUGUUUUUUAACAUUUAAUUGUAUAUUAAUAUUUAUUACUUUAUUAAGAAUUGGUUUUUAUGUAACUGUCCUGACAAAAUUGGUAUUGAGCUCAAUAAAAUAUAUUAUAUAAGCUUAGAUAUAACUUCAUUAAAAUCUGCAAAGAGAGAAAACAUUAUCAAUUUGUUUCAAGUCCGUUUUUGAGCAUAUGAGAAAUUUUGUAGAUAGAAGUUGAAUACGAUUUUCUUUCUAGUGAAUUACAAGAAAAGGGUAGAGUUUUAAUAGCAACGCGACUUAAACUUAAACUACAUUUGGGGGAUGAAUACCUUAACCAUUAAAUUAAUAUAUGAAAUUUUAAUACGAUAUUUUGAAAUAAAGAGCCAACUCUUUGGAAAAUAAAUUUCCAAAAAUUUCCGAGUCAUAAUCUUUUGUGGAAUGGAAAAGUAUAUCCACAAAAUGAUCGAAAAGGCUUUGGGCCACAAUUAAAUCAACAUCUUUAAAUUGUUAUACCAAAUUAAAGAGGGAAUGGUCUUUGUCUUAAAUUCAACCUCUGAAAUUAUCAUAAUUUCAUAAAUUUUGUUUGCAAUUGUUUGGAAAUAAAAACAAGAAGGUGAUUGGCUCAUCUUGUUUUUGGUGAGAAAGUAAAAUAGCAGCCAACAUGCAUGCAUUUGUUUUGUGGAAACUAAAUUAAAACCAAGGAGGUAUCAUUAUCAAGAAAUAUGGACCAUAAGAAGAUUCAUUCCUUUUAUUAUAUAUUAUUCAUACUAACAACAUAGAAAUUUUCAUGAAAAAGUAAGUUCCAUGACAUCCACUGAAGCAAUGACAACAAUUGGCCCCUAUAACUGUCGAAACCCUUUUUUUUUAUUUUGAAAGCAAUGGGGAUCGACUUGUGAAAACAAAAAUGUGGAGUCGCCACCAAUCUCUCGAUUUAGGUGUGAUUGGACCACCUACUAAAACGCUUUAUUCGUGUAAAAUAAAAAAAGUGGGUUCGGGAGUCAGUUACGUAUGAGGAAGGGUUAGCACCCUCAUUACGCCCAAAAAUUGGUACCAAAUUGAUUUGAUGCUAUCCUUAUAUCAAAAGUUUUAAAAGAAAAGAUUUUCUCAAAAUACGAUUCUUUUUUUUUUAAAUGUUCGAAUAGUUUAAAUUAGUGGUCAAAAAUCCUUCGUUUCAAAGAUAUGCAGUUUCAUACCCAGUACGAUUAGAUGCGAUCCUUAUACCUUUAAAACGCAAUUGGUUUUCGACUUCUUUAAAAAACAUACAUUAAAAUUAUAAAAAGGUUAUCCAAAUAUUUGGUUCUCCGUAAAAGUCAUACCCAGUACGAUUGAGCAUGAUUUUCCGAAUUCCCCAAAUAUUAGAUAUCGCCUUAUUUCAGAAUAACGGAAAUUUAGAAAUUUGCUUAAACAUGUUUAUUGAAAAUAAUUAUGAUAAAAAAUACAAAGUUCAAAUCAAAUUAUGCAUGAAGUAUUUAAAACACAAAUUCAUUCAAAAAUUGAUAAUUCACAUGAUAACUUUAAAUAAUGUAUUAAAUAUGUAGGAAUGACAAUGCAUGAUAUAAAAUAAUAUAAUAAAUUUAUGAAACAUGUAUAUACAAGUAAAAUUAAGUAUAAUUGUUUGUAAAAAAAUGUAAGAAAGAAACAAAGUAAAUAUAUAAGGUAUAUGGGUAACAAAAGUUUCUAAAAAACAAGGUUAUAUACAAAACGUAAAAUUAUAUUUACACGUAAAUUUAGUAAUAUAUAUAUUAUUAAGAUUAUAUUUAUAAAGGGCAUUUGGAAACUAAUAAUAUAUAAUUUUACAUGUAACAAACUGAGUUAAAGUGAUGGAACAUAUAGAUAGUACAUACAUAAGGAUAAUAAAAUAAUUUAUACAAUAUAUAAAUCGUAUGAUAAAACAAAUGGUCUUUAGAAAGAAUAUAUUAUACAUAUAAAUGACUUUAAAGGAUAAUAUAUACAUUGAAAGAAAAAAUAUUUACAUAGAUUUACAUGAAAGUAAUAACAUGUACUAUGGUAAAAAUAAUUUAGCAUGGGUAAUGUACAAAUGAAGAAAUUUUAAUGACAAUUGUAUGUCCAAAAUAAUAUUGAAUAAAAUAUGAAUUAUAAGAUUAACUUAAUUUUAUCAUAACUUAUAUACAUAAUAAUUUUAAAAACAAUUUUAAAAACAUAAUUAUACAAAAAUAUAUAUAUGUAUAAGACUAUCUUGGUUUUAAUAAUGGAUGCAAAUUAAAUAUAAGUUCUAAAUAUAUGUUUAAUAAUAACUUAAAUAACACACAAAAUAUGAAGAAAUAAUAAUACAUGGCAAGGUAUUACACGCAUGAUAGAUUUUUUACAUUUAAAAACUUAUGUAUAAAAUAAACACAUGUGAAAUUAGAAAAUUAUAUGCAUAUCAUUUUGCUCAAAAAUACUUAAAAGAAAUAUUAAAUAACAUACUAGGAUAACAUAAUAAGGAGACAUAUUUCAAAAAUAACAAUUUUAUAAAUACCAAGAUGAAUUUUCAAAACACAUAAAGACAUGUAAAUUAAACAUAAGUUAAGAAAUACUUCAAGUAAUUUAGGUAUAUAAAUAUAUUAACAACACUUAUUAAUAAGAUAUUAAAACAAUGUAAUAUAAAAUGAAUUUUACAACAUGCAAAACAAUAGUUAUUAUAAAAAACUAAAAAAAGAAUGAUUAAUAUACAAAUAUAUGCGAAAUAUUUAAAGAAAUAAGAUACAUGAUGUAAACAAUCUAAAAUAAUUGUACAAAUGUACAAACAAAAUUAUUAACAUGGAUUAAAGCAUACAAAUAUUGAAUGUAUUCUAAAUUAACCGAUUAUACAAAUAUAAGACUCAAUUAAAACUGCAUCAAGAUAAGAAGGACAAUUUGUAAAUAAAAUGACCAUAAAAUAGAUCAAUGCAUAACAUGCAUAAAUAUAUAGGGACUAAUAUUGUAAAUCCUCCCAGGCCUGAAUCACAUCACUGUAUCAUGGAUUAAAAUGAAAAUGCGCUCAAAUCAGCGAGCCAAAUUGAAAAAGAAAAAAAAAACAAAGCAAAGCAAAAAGGAAGCAGUUGAAGCCCCAUGCGAAUGCAAAGGACUUAGCGCGCAAAUUAACCAUUUGAAGCACCAAAGUGUGGAUCCAGCCUAAUGGCACCGUUUUCAAUUCUGCACAAUCAAUUCUAAAAAACUAAAAUCCAAUAAAAAAAAACAAAGACCUAUUCCCUCUUUUAUUUGCCGUUUCAACUUCACAUAAUGCUCUCAAUUUGGGAGGUUCCUUUCAACCUUGAAAUCUCCUUUGAUUUGAUUUCAACAAAACAAAGAGAAGAAAGCAAUGGCCUCUUCACACGGUAAGUUUUUCUUCUUUUAUUUCUUUCUUUCGGUUUUUGAAUGUGAAAAAUAAACUAAAAAAUAAAUAAAUCGAAAAGAAAAUCAAGAAUCUCAAGAACUUUCAAUCACUUUUUAAUUUCAGUAACUUUUUUUAUUUUGGUAUGCAUGUGUAUUUCUGAAAAAAAAGAAGAAGAUCCCCCAUUUACAUCGUUUACAUUCGGUUUUAUAGCCAAAAAAUGAGUAAAUAAAAAUACAAAAAAUCCUUGCUGUAAUCUGUUAUUAUUUGCUGUCAUUUGCUGUUGUGGUUUUCGUUUGUUGCAGGUGUGCAUGGCGUGGAGGAGUUAUUUGCGGAACAUGGCACGAGUGGAAGAAUCAACUAAAGGCUGCGGUGGCUGAAGCUUCUAAGGUUUCUGUUGAAAAUUCCCUAGGUGUUUUGGACUUGGGGUAUUUUGGGUUAAAUAGGCUAGUUGGAUUAAGUUUAAUAAUUUGAACCCAUUAUUUUGGUUGCUGACUAUUAUUUAUAUAUUUUUUAGUUUUUUUUUUGUUUGUUUUGGUUUUGGUGUAAGCCCGGGCACAAAUUGAGUCUUACAAUAACAAUUGCAAAAACACCUUGACUCUUCUAGAAAUCCAUCAGUUUGGAAACUAGACCGUUUAUGCUACAACGAGAUAAACACUUUAGAAAUAUCUGCUCUCCAAAGUCAUCUUUGUUCAUCUUCAAUUUCGUCCUUAUAUAAACAAAACUCCAACAUAUAGAAAAAGAAAUGAUAACCCUUGAAAUCCUUAAUGUCCAAACCAUAUUUAUGCAUAAGAAAUUUGCAUAGGAGACGAGAAAAUGGAAUCUGAACUUAAUGGGCAAUUUCGUCACAGUCAAUCUAAAGUUUAACAAUUUAGGAUCUUUUUAUCCAUAUGGUGUUCCAGUUUUUCAAUAUGAAUUCGGUUCAAAGAAAAGGAAAUUACUUUAAAUUUGUAUAAUUAAUUUGGAUUUAAAAAUAUUUUUUAAUAAUUUGGUAUAUGCCACAUUAGUAUACUUUCACGUAAUUUCUUAUGAAUCUCACACAACACAUUAUAUGUUAAUUUCUCAUUAAUUUUGUAAACCAUGUUAACAAAUAAUAUUGUUCAAAUCACUCCAGAACAAUUCUAAAAAUGAAUUUAUUGAGAAUAUUGAAUUACAAGUCGGAACUUAAACACGUAUGAUUCAGUUUUAUCUAUGAUGCAACUCGAUUGAUUAGCCUUACAACUCGGGAAAUGUUUUAAAAAUGAUUGGAAUAUGUCCACCACUUGCUUAAAUUGAAUUAUUAUAUAACUUACCCAUUGCUUAGCAAAGGUUGCAUUGCCUACACUUUGGUUCAUCAUGUGCCCACCCCACCCAUUUUAGAUGUUCAUUUUACUAUUUACUUUGAAAAAGAAUCGUCAUCCCAUGUAUUUCUUGAUGAUGCAUAAAAAUAAUUCCUUAAAAUUUUACUAAUAUAUUUUAAAAAUAAUUCUUUUUGUAAAUAUUAUAAAUGUGAAAGGGUUUGAUACUCAUGUUUGAAGUCAUGUUAACUCAAUCACUUACUAAAACCAAAUUAAAACAAUUAAUUUUACAAGAGUGGCCAUAUGGCACUUUUUAAUUUCACUUCUAAAGUAUUUUCUUUCUAUAAUAAAAAAUGAAAAUGUGAGAUAAUAAAAUAAUAUCAUCUAGAUUUAAAUUAAACGUAACAAAUAUUUCACCCAUAAUAUAUAAAAGGUAUUUAUAUUGACCAGCAAAAUUAAAUUUCUUUAUUAAAAUAUUUUUAUCUAAAUUUUAGGUCUAAUUCGAACAAAAUUAAAUUUAAAUUGUACAAUAGAUGAAGAUACUUGUUAAUUUAAAUUAAUUAAUUUUUAAUUAAUCAAAUAGGUAUAUAGGUAUAUUUAUAUUAAUUGCCAAGUAUAUACAAUCUUGAUUGUGGAUAAAGCUAGAAGGUAGGAGAUAGCAAAGAGUGUUAGCCUCUUGCCCAAAAUAAAAGGCAUUAUCCCUAAUGAGUGAUAGCAAAGGUGAUUGUUCUUUGAGAAGAAAUUUUCAAGAAUGUCACUCUUGACCCUGUCCGAUGACAAGAGGUUCCACAUUUUUAUUUAUAGCCAUUCAACGUGUAAGGAGAACUAGUAUCACAAGUACAAGAAGAAAUUCCAUCACAACUGAACAAAAAAUUUCCAAGUAAUAUUCUUUUAUGGAAAGGUAUUCUCAAUAGAAAAAUAUAUCCACGAAAUGAUAGAAAAGGCUUUGGGCCACAACUAAAUCAACAUAUUUAAAAUGUUAUACCAAAUUAAAGAUGGAAUCGUCAUUGUCAAGACAUCAACAUCUUAUUACUUUAUACUCUAAAGGAAUUUUGUUAAUUAAUUACUACUUUAAUUAUGGAUAAUUUUGCUAAUUAUUUUUAAAUUAGUACUUAGUACCCCCUGCACCAUGUUCGGGGUGUUCUGUUUCUACGACUAAUGAUUUUCCAAUGAUUCUUGAAUGAAAAUUUUGAUUCAACGACAAAUUGCAAUUUCAGAUUAAAAUUAUAUAUAAAAAAAAAAAAAAUCCCCCAUCUGUUGCAACAUUGAACAGUGAAAUGGUUGCCUGAGAUUUUCUAUGUAAGCAAAGAAGCAAGAAAGAAAUUAGUAAGGCAGGUACUCAAGUAUAUAUCUUUAGCAAGAAAAACUAACAAAGGAAUUCUCCAAUUUGAUCCACUAUUGUGUUUUCUUUCUAUGGGAAGAACAUUAAUCAAUGUCCCCUGGUUCCAUGAAUUUUCUGCUUCUUUAAAAAUAAGAAGAAGAAAGAAAGAAAAACAUCAACUUUAGCCCUACAAUCAACUUGUAUAAAUUCGUUAGUCCUGAAACUAUGGCCUUAUUCUUAACCAUUUCCCUUAUUCUAGGGAUACUGCAGGCUACCAUCCUUCUAAUUUCCUUUGAUACAACUGUGUCAAUAGCAGAUCCAUCGCCAUUGGAGUCCAAAGCCAUAUCGCUGCUAGAAAGCGGGUGGUGGAGUAACCAUAGCAGCAAUACUUCACAACGUUGCCAGUGUCCUGCUAUAACCUGCAACACUGCUGAAAGCAUUACCAAAAUUGACUUAUCUGAUGCGCCCAACAUUGAGGUUGCAUAUAGAUUUGGGAACCAGAACCAGCAAAACAAAACAACAUUGAGGUUGCGCCCAACAUUGCUGAAUGAGCUACAAUUUUGUACUCCAUUUUGUUUUCCAUAUUGCAUCAGAAAUGUAAGAAUAACCAUAUAUGAACCGGAACCAUAAAUUUAAGGGGAAAUUUUAGAAAAAAAUCUGCUCUUCAAAUUCCUUUGGUCUAGCAAACAUUAGGUCCUUCUGCAACGUAAUGUUGGUAAAACAACCAAGAAAGAAGGCUCAGAGAAGAGUAAAUGACAGAAUAAAAAAUUCACUGUUUAUUUCUCAAUGAAAAAUAACAGAGUACAUGGUUUAAAUAGUGCUAGUGGUAACUAAAAAAAGCUAAAAAUUACGAACACUAACCCAUGAUCACAACCAAAUCAGAAUAAGAUUUUCUUAAUACCCACUAACUGAUAAAGAUAAAAACAUGUAUUAAUUAUAGCAGUAAAUAACAUUUUGAAUCAUUAUUUUUUCAACAGUGAAUGACAAAGUCAGUCGGCCAUGGUGUUGGUCCUCCUUUCCCUUUCUUGAUGUAAUUUUGUUGCAAUAUGUGGACACUUCGUUGGGACGAAAAACCAUAAUUUACUAAGGUGAGAGGAUAUGCAAUUUAACGUGAUUAAACUAUUAGUAAAUUUAUAUUUUGGUCAUUCAACUUAAAAAAAUUUAUAAAAUGAUUAUUGAGCUAUUCUAAAGUUUUAAUUUAAAUGGUUAAUAUUAGUAAAUUUAUAUCUUCAUUUAACUAAAUUGGGUUCAUUGACUCUCAUUAUAUCUCUUCAAAUCCACUAUAUGCUUAGAAAUUUCGAAGAAAGAUGAAAACAAUGUUAUGGACAAUUUCAUCGAAAUUGAGCCAAAGUUUUCCAAUUAAGAACCUUUGGUGGGAAAAUUGACAUUUGAAUAAUCAUCACAUACAAUCUUUAUUUACAAGGUGUUCCACAAUUGCAUAUAAUACAUUUCCAAUUUGGUCCAAAGAAAAAGGAGGAUACUUUAAAAGUGCGUAAUUUUGAAUUCAAAGCUUAAUAUAUGUAAUUUAUGCUUAAUACAUUCAAUAUUUAUGUGUGAAGUAAACUUAUCAAAUAUUAAAACAAUGUCUCAUUCAUCAAUUUGCAUAAAGAAAGCACUAAGCCAAACCAUUUAGAAAGGAGGGACUGAUGCUCAUGGCCUGAGUUUUAUUCUGGGUGUUUAAAACUCUUCAAUUGUCUUUAAUAAUUUCAUUCGUUUUGGUUUUUUAUUUUUAUACUAAGGUUAAGUUUGGCACUUAUUUUAAGUUUAUGAAUUUUAAAUAUUCUUUGAAAAAAUUUCAAAUUAUUUUUUAUAAAUAUUUUUAAAAUUAAAAAUAUUCAAUAACUUUUUUAAAUAUAUAUAAUUUUUAAGUUAUUUACAUUAUUUUAAAAAUAAAAUAUUAUUUUUUAUAUCAUAAAAAUUAAAUUAAUUAAUAUAAAUUAAAAGUAUAAAUCACUUUUUAACCCUUAAACUUAAUUGUUUUUCUUAAGUUGAUACCUAAUAUUUUUGGAUCUAAGUUGGGACUUGAACUUAUAUUUUAGGUUACAUUUUACUCAUUUUUAGUAUCAAUGUUAAAUUAUGUUGACAUACAUUGUGCCAUGUUAUCACUUUAAAAUUUAUUUAAAUUUUAAAAUAUUGAAAAAAAUUUAUUUAAAACUAUAAAAAAAUAUCAAUUUUUAUUAAAAAUUAUAAUAAAUCUAUUUGAAAAUCUUUUUAAUUAUUUUUCUUUUUUACUUAGAAUUUUUUAUUCCUUUAUAAUUAGUUAUACAACAAUUAUAACAAAUCUUCUAUAUUUUUUUGUUUUUUUUCCUUUUUACUCGAGAUUUUUUUUUUCCUUCAAAACUCUAAAAUGUUUCUUCCCUAUCUCUUUUCUUCGUCACCAUCCCGCUUGCCACCCCCAUCUGGCACCACCCCCAACCUAGAAAUGGCACAAAUUUGUUCUUCUCUUUCUCCUAACUUGUAUCAAAUCUUAGUUAAUUCAGAAGCUUCCUCAAAAAUCGCAAUUAUGAGCCAAUCGAUCAAAUUGCUUGAGUUUUGAGCAAUGAAGCACCGACACGGGAAAACCCCCUCGUACUAGUGUCGUAUUAGUAUCCGACUUGGACACACUGCCGACGCUGCCGGAUACGUAUCAGAUACACCUCGAUGCGUGUCAAAAAAGGGACAUUGCUGGAUUUUCUUUUGGCCUGAAUCAGAAACGAAAAAAAAAACAUAUACAAGGACAACUUUAGUAAACCAAUAAAAACGAAAACUUUAGCAUUUAAUUGUGAUAAUUUAUGGAACUUUUAACAUACUUGUCUUUUUUGGAGUCGUGGUAUAAUUUCUUAGACCUUCGUGUAUUCGCUUAUAUGAAGAUGAUGAUGAUGGAGACUUUGUAGAUAUGGUUUUGUAGAGAAGAAAGGCAAAGACAAAGGUAAAGGCAGUAAAUGAAGAAAAAAAAAGGGGUCAAUGAAGAAGAAAAGAAGGGGUAAAUGAGUGUAUGAAAAAAAAAUAGUUAAUGUACUUGUCUAGUUAUAAUGGGAUAAGAAAGUCCAAAAAAAAUUAAAGUAAUAUAAAAAUAGUGAAAGUAAAGUAUAAUAAAAAUAUGUGAGACCCAUUAUAAUAAGAAUAUAUAUAUAUAUAAUAUUUGUCUAGUUAAUGUAUUUAUUAGAUUAAAAAUAUUUUUUAAAAAAUUAAUUUUAAUUAUAAAUUAAUAAAUAUAUGUGUGGCUUAAAUUUAGAUUUGAUAUGACAUGUUUUGUGUAAUAAACUUGAAAAAUGUAUUACUAUGUUUUGUUAUAUUUUAUGUAAUGAUAAAAGAGUUUAAUGGAAAAGAAUUGAUUAUAUAUAGAGGCGAAGCGAGGGGGAUAGCAUAGGCCCCAGCCCCCUAAAAUAUAAAUUUACUCUUUUGGCCUUAAAAUUUUUUAAAAAUUUUAAAUUAGUAAAGUUAAAAUUACACUUUGUCUCCCCUAAAAUUAUAAAAAUUCGAUUUAAUCCUUUACAAAUUAUAAACAUAUAAACUAUAAAAUUAAAAUUUUAUCCGGCCCCCCUAAAUAUUUAUUCUGGCUUCGCCCUUGGUACUCACACCAACCAAAUCCAAUACCCAAUAGCAAACUAACAAAAUACCAAGCUCUUCGCUUGCUUCUUUGCAACUGAUUCUUGUGUGCUUAUAGGAUCUCCACUAGUUUGACGUUUCCUAUUUGGUGAUUUCAACUUCACUGAAGAGCUUGCAGUUAAUGUCCAACCUGACUGUGUUGUAAUUGACCUCAAUCCAGACUGAAAAUUGUAAAAUUAUAGCGAGGUAAGUAGUUAUAAAUUAGCAAAAAUUGAAAUAUUGCUAAACUAAAAACUUACAUAGAAUGUUUGCUCUCCAAUUUUCAUAUUUGUGUAGAGGCCUAACCCAGUGACAGACCACCUUCGAGUUUUCAUACUCAUGAAAUGCUUAGUUGUGGAAACUAACCUAACUUUUUUUGGUUGAUUCUUCCUCUCCAAUAAGCAAAAACAAAUUGACAUAUUGUUAGAUAAGCUUAUAUCUACUUAAUAUUAAAAAUAUAUAUAGAUUUGUAAAUUACCAAAAUAUUUGCCGCUUCAACUUGGGAAUUUUCUAGGUCAUUAAUACUCUACAGCAAAUAAAAAAUGGCAACAAGCGUCCACAAGUCAAUUUUAAAUGGCAGCAUAUGAAAUAAAAUAAAAUAAAAAAAAUCAUACUCAAAUCAACUUUAAAUUUUAGAUACAUGUUGCGGACAUCCUCGUUGGUUAUGAAAUUUGUUGAGACAAGAUGAAUACUGAGUGGCACUCGAUUAUGUUAACUGUAGAUUGUAAUUGAGGUGGUUAAAUAUUUGUUUUAUUUUAUUUUACAAUUUAAUGAAGAAAAUUUUUAGAAUUAAUGUAAUUUUUAUUGAAGAUAAUAUGAUUCAUUUGUAAUAGCUUAAAUUUUAGUGGUGUCAGAACAGUGAUUCGAGAUCACUAAAUCUGAAAAAUGAGUAGAAAAUAUUAAUAAUUUGGUGAAUAUAAGUUAAAUAUGAAGUUAGGAAAAAUUUUUGAAAUAGCGAAUAGUGUACUAGAAAUAAAUAUUACCAAGUGAAUGAAAGAAGUGAUAAAAAAAUUUAAUUUAAACUGUACAUCGAAUGAAGAUAUAUGUGAUUAUAAUCAAUUUUAAUUAAUUUUGUACUUUAUUUUUAUAUAGAUAUAUUUAUAUUAAUUAUUAAGUUUAUACAAUCCUAGUUGUCUAUAAAACUAGAAGGGAGGAGAUAACAAAGAGUGAGCACUAUCAUUAAUGAGUGAUAGCAAAGGUGAUUGUUCUUUACAACAACUUGAGAAGAAAUUCCGAGGAAUGUCACUUUUGAUGCUGGUCCUAUGAUUAGAGGUUUCACAUUUUUAUUUAUAGCCAUUCAACAUACAUGUCUAAGAAUUAUUUAUGUUACCGAUAUAUGUGGGGUUUUUUAGACAUUUAAAUUAAAUACUCAAUAAAACUCUCAAGUCAAGUUAUAUUUUAUAAUUUUUUUUAAUUUUUUAAUAAUCAUUAAUAUUUUAUUUUUAUAUUUUUUUAUAAACUUGAGUAAAUUUUACAUUUUUUUAAAAUAUUUUAAAUAAUUUGGCAUGUCACGUCAACAUGCUUUCACAUGGCAUACCAUAUGCCAACUUGUCAUGACUUCCAUAAAUCAUGUAAACAACGUAUAAUAUUCAAACUAAUUAAUCAAGAAUUUUGAUUUUUUUACUGAGUUUUUUUUACCAUUUAAUUGUAUAUUAAUAUUUAUUACUUUAUUAAGAAUUGGUUUUUAUGUAAUUUCCCUGACAAAAUUGGUAUUGAGCUCAAUAAAAUAUAUUAUACAAGUAUAGAUAUAACUUUAUUAAAAUCUGCAAAGAGAGAAAACAUUAUUAAUUUGUCUCAAGUCCCUUUUUGAGCAGAUGAGAAAUUUUGUAGAUAGAAGUUGAAUACGGUUUUCUUUUUAGUGAAUUACAAAAAGAGAGUAGAGUCUUAACAGUAAUGUGACUUAAACCUAGAAUCCAUUUGGGGUGAUGAAUACUUUAACCAUUAAACCAAUAUAUAGAAUUUGAAUACAAUAUUUUGAAGUAAAGGCAAACUCUUUGGAAAAUAAAAUUCCAAAAAUUUCCGAGUCAUAAUCUCUUGUGGAAUGGAAAAGUAUAUCCACAAAAUGAUCGAAAAGGCUCUGGGCCACAAUUAAAUCAACAUCUUUAAAUUGUUAUACCAAAAUAAAGAGGGAAUCGUAUUUGCCUUAAAUUAAACCUCUGAAAUUAUCAUAAUUUCAUAUAUUUUGUUUGCAAUUGUUUGGAAAUAAAAAAAAGAAGGUGAUUGGCUCAUCUUGUUUUUGGUGAGAAAGUAAAAUAGCAGCCAAUGCAUUUGUUUUGUGGAAAUUAAAUUAAAACCAAGGAAGUAUCAUUAUCAAGAAAUAUGGACCAUAAGAUUCAUUCCUUUUAUUAUAUAUUAUUCAUACUAACACCAUAGAAAUUUCCAUGAAAAAGUAAGUUCCAUGACAUCCAUUGAAGCAAUGACAACAAUUGGCACCUAUGAUAAUGCUCUAGAAUAACGUAUUUUUAUGUAUUAAUCAUGUGUUUAUUCUGAGCUUGAUCCUACUAAUUUGAGCUAUUUAUAUCUUUUUAUCUUUUAGGGACUGAUUUAGAGGCAAAAGAAAAAUUAAGGGACAAAAGUGCGAAUUUGGAGACAAAAUGGGCUGACAUGCAACACAGGAAAAAAAUUGUGUCAAAAGUGCGAGCAUGGAAGACACAAGGACUAAAAAUGCAAAAAGAAGAGAUUUUAUUUUAUAAGACUACAUUUUAUUUAUAUUAGGAUAAUUAAUAUUAAGAUAAUUAUUAGGAUUAUUUAAUUUUAGGAUUUUAUUUUAAUUAUCUUUAAUUAUCUUUAAUUAAAUGUAUUUAUCUUUUUAGAAUUUAAGUUAAAUUAGAUUAUCUCUCAAGCACUAUAAAUAGGGAGUGAAGUGACUCUAUUUGGUGUUCGUCUUUUUCUGUAAAUAUUCUCUCCCUGAAAGUCUAGGCUUUUGUUUCUUCAUAUUUUCUUUCAAUAAAAUUCCUUUUUCCAUUUUUAUAUUUAUUUUCUUUUCCACCAUUAUCAUGAACCACUAAAAUCUAUCUUGCCGAAAGUUGUCAAUAUUCGCCAAAAAGGGUUCUUGAGGCCUAGAAUCCGUACUUAGCCUUCUCGCCAAGUAUUCAUCGUUUCUCCGCACUACGGGCUGACGCUUCCGUCCAUGGCCCUUAAGAAGUAAGCUUUUCAGCAUAUGCAAAGGCGGCCGCUUUGUAUGUUUUGGAAGGAUUGCACAGUCGGUUCGUUAACUUAUUGCGUCAGAGGUUGGCGAGCCAAAGAGACAAAAUAGCGUGGGAUUCGCCAUUAAGAAGCGUUGAUCUAGCAUAAAUUACUGGCUAGAGUCAGGUUCCCUAAAAAUCGUAAGUCUAAUCUUUGGAGCUGGUGGUCGUAGGCGUCCUCUUCCACUAUAACUGGCUUACUUGAGUUGAGAAGGGUUACUUAAAAGCCAAGGAUUGAAUCCAAUGCAAAAUGAGACAAUCGGAGGCUGGAAUUUCGCCACAUAAGAAACUUUCUCUUUUCCCAACUCUAUUUAUUUUUCCUCAUUUCAAUUGCUGCAAUUCAUUUAAUUUCGCAAAUUCAAUUCACUUUAAAUUCUAUUUUUAUUUUUCCAGAUUCUUAAUUUUAUUUUUUUAUUUUUUAGGAACGCAGGUUUUCUUGGCCAAGAAAUUGUCCAGGAUUUCAAGAACGAGCAUUCGUACAAUCCGAUCCUUGAGGAUUCGACCCUACCUCCCCUUUACUAUUAUUUUUACUAUUUUACAUGGAAUAGGAUAUUUUUGGUGCUCUCAAUGAUACAUCAAAUUUUGGCACCGUUUUUGAAGCAAUGAUAACAAUUGGCACCUAUAACAAUUGCAAAAACACCUUGACUCCUCUAGAAAUCCAUCAGUUUGGAAACUAGAACGUUUAUGCUACAACCAGAUAAACAUUUUAGAAAUAUCUGCUCUCCAAAGUCAUCUUUGUUCAUCUUCAAUUUCGUCCUUGUAUAAACAAAACUCCAACAUAUAGAAAAAGAAAUGAUAACCCUUGAAAUCCUUAAUAUCCAAAUCAUAUUUAUGCAUAAGAAAUUUGCAUAGGAGACGAGAAAAUGGAAUCUGAACUUAAUGGGCAAUUUUGUCACAGUCAAGCUAAAGUUUAACAAUUUAGGAUCUUUUAUCUAUAUGGUGUUCCACUUUUAUGUAUAUUUCCUGGUUUUUCAAUAUGAAUUCGGUUCAAAGAAAAGGAAAUUACUUUAAAUUUGUAUAAUUAAUUUGGAUUCAAAAAUAUUUUUUAAUAAUUUGGUAUGCCACAUUAGUAUACGUUCACAUAACUUCUUAUGAAUCUCACAUACAUAUUAUAUGUCAAUUUCUCAAGAAUUUCGUAAACCAUGUUAACAAUUAAUAUUGUUCUGUAAAAAUAGAACGUCGAUUAUGACAAUAUAUAGUAAAGAAAAGAGAAAUAAAAAAAAUAAAGCACACAAAUUUUUACGUGGAAACUCUUUCAAGAAAAAACUACGGGCAGAGGAGAAGAAAAUUCACUAUGUCGAAUUCGAACAAUUACAAGAGGAAUAGACUAUGUCUAUUUAUAGGCUUGUAAAACCAUAUUCUAAUAGGAGUGUAGUAAGGUUGAAAUACCUUAUUCUAAUCAAUAUCAAAUAGAUGGAGUUUAAUAAGGUUUAAAAAACCUUAUUCUAGAAUAAAAUAAAAGAAGUGUAGUUCUAUAUGGAUUUUACUUUUAUUUUAUUUUACCAUUGUACUUUAUUUAAAUAACGAUUCGGGUCACUCAAUUCUAACAAUCUCCACCUUGACAUGAAUUUUCAAUAAACAAGUUCUUCAUUGCGAACUCUCAAUGAACAAGUUCUCCACCUCUUCCAUAAAACCCCUUAAGGGUUUAACUUCAACAAUGAACACCAACCAAGUCUAAACAAUGCUCAAACUUGGUUAUAGGAAGUGACUUAGUCAUCAUAUCUGCAGGAUUUUCAUGAGUACUAAUUUUGCUCACAACAAUAUCACCACGAGCAAUAAUUUCAUGAACAAAAUGAUACCAAACAUCAUUGUGUUUUGUUCUCUCAUGAAACAUUUGAUCUUUUGUAAGGAAGAUGGCACUCUGACUGUCACUAAAUAUUGUAUUGAUUUGAAGGUCUUUAUUGAGUUCACUAAAGAGUCCCUUCAACAAAUAGCUUCUUUACGAGACACAGUAAUCGCCAUGUACUCAACUUCAAUGGUAGACAAAGCAACUGUAGUUUGCAAAGUGGCUUUCCAACUAAUUGCACAACCUCCGAUUGUAAAGACAUAACCUGUGAGAGAUCUUCUAUCAAGGUCUCUAGUAAAAUCAGCAUCAACAUACCCAAUGACUCCAUCUCUAGUUCUUCCAAAUUGUAAGCAAACAUCAGUAGUACCUCGUAAGUAUCUUAAAAUCCAUUGAAUUGCUUUCCAAUGUUCUUUACCUAGAUUUGCCAUGUAUCUACUAACUGCAUUGACUGCAUAUGAUAAAUCUGGACAUGAACAAACCAUAGUAUACAUGAGAGAUCUCACUACACUAGAGUAUGAAACAUUUAACAUGUACUCAAUCUCAUCAUCUGAUUGUGGAGACAAAGCUGAUGAAAGUCUGAAAUGGGCUGCUAAAGGAGUACUAACAGGCUUAGCACUCUGUAUAUAGAACCUGCAAAGAACUUUUUCAAUGUACCCUUUUUGACUUAGGUACAAUUUACUUACUUUUCUAUCUCUGAGAAUCUCCAUACCAAGUAUCUUCUUUGCUGGUCCCAAAUCUUUCAUCUCAAAUUCUUCACUUAGUUGGGCUUUGACCUUCUUAUCUCAUCAACAUAAAGGAGUAGAUACACAAAAGAACCAUCACUAUUUUUCUUAAAGUAAACACAACAAUCAAAACUACUUCUUUUGAAAUCAUGAGAAGUCAUAAAGGAAUCAAACCUCUUGUACCACUGUCUUGGUGACUAUUUCAAACCGUAAAAGGGACUUUCUCAACAAGCAAACAUAGUCCUUUUUUUCUGAUACUGUAAAACCCUUUGGUUGUUGCAUGUAAACAUCCUUCUCAAGUUCUCCAUGCAAAAAUGCAAUUUUUACAUCUAACUACUCAAACUCCAAAUCAUGCACGGCCACAAUACCAAGCAAAGCUCAAAUCGAACUAUGCUUCACAAUUGGGGAGAACACAUCUGUGAAGUCCACUCUCAGAAUUUGACUAUAACCUUUUGCAACAAGUCUUGCUUUAUAUUUGGGUUCUUCAACUCAUGGAGUCUAUUCUUUCUUUUUAAACACCCAUUUACAACGAACAACCUUUUAACCUUUAGGAAGUUUCAAAAUAUCCCAUGUUUUAUUUUUAUGGAGUGAUUUCAUCUCCCAUUUCAUCUCCCAUUUCAUCCACUUUUCUGAGUCUUCACAGCUAACCGCCUCAGAAUAAUUAGAUGGCUAUUGGUUUACAUCUAUAUCUUCAGUCAAAUUUAAGUAUAAGUAACUAAAUCAGUCUCGGCAUACUUCUUUGGAGGUUUAAUUUCUCUUCUAGUUCUAUUUUUGGUGAUAGAGCAUUAUGGUAAAGAAGCAACUCUAUUCUGAAUUUUUGUAUUAGCUUGAGGAGUCAACUCUGUUGUAGAUUUUGGAUUAAUCUGAUGCUCCACCUACUUUUGAUUUUCUUUAUUAGAAGAGUUUUUGAGAGAUAAGUUAGGUAGCAUAGCAGUUUCAUAAAAAACAACAUCUAUGCUAAUCACAACUUUUCAAUUUUUAGGACACCAUAACUUAUACCUUUUACACCAGUUUUAUAACUAAGAAAAACACAUUUAAUGGAUCUCAGUUCCAAUUUUCCAUUAUCAACAUGAGCAUAUGCAAGACACCCAAAGAUCUUUGAAUCAGAAUAGUCAGCAGGAUUGCCAGACCAUAGCUCUUGUGGAGUCUUUUUCUCAAUGGAAACGGAUGAAGAUCGAUUGAUAAAAAAAUAUGUAGUAGAAGCUGCUUCGGGCCAAAACAACUUUGGUAAGUUGGCAUUUGACAACAUACAUUGAACUUUCUCCAUGAUCGUUCUGUUCAUUCAUUCUACAAUGCCGUUUUACUGUUGAGUAUGACGAACUGUCAAGUGCUCGCGAUCCCUUCUGACUUGCAUAGUUUAUAAAACUCAUCAGAAUAGAAAUCUAAGCCAUUUUCUGUACGGAAGUAUUUUAUUUGUUUUCCUAUAUGUUUUUUAGUCAUAGUUUUCCAAGACUUAAAUGCGAAAAAUGCAUCUCUUUUCUGCUUCAGGAAGAACGCCUAAACUUUUCUGGAAAAAUCAUCAAUAAAAGUUAGCAUAUAAUUAGCUCCACCUCUCAAAGGCACUCUGGAUGGUCCCUAUAGAUCAGAAUGAAUAUACUCCAACGUUCUUUUCGAGUUAUGGAUCACUCUAGUGAAUUGUACUCUCUUUUGCUUCCCAAAAAUGCAGUGCUCACAGAACUUUAGUUUGCAAAUUCCUUGCCCAUCAAGAAGUCCUCUUUUGCUCAAUUCUGUCAUGCCAUUCUCACUCAUAUGCCUUAGGCGCAUAUGAAAAAUUUUAGUAAUAUCAUCAUCUAAAAAGGAAGAGGAAGCGACAACUGCAUCACUAAUAACAGUAAAACCUUGCAAAACAUAUAACUUGACAGUCUUUCUUUGCCCUUUCAUCACAACGAGGGAACCCUUGGAAAUUUUCAAAACCCUACUUUUAGGUGUGCAUGUGUACCCUUUUAAAUCAAGAGUACUCAAUGAAAUUAAAUUUCUCUUUAAUUCUAGAACAUGUCGCACAUCACUAAGUGUUUUAACAACUCUGUCAAACAUCUUAACUUUAAUCGUUCCAACACUUGCAGUUUUACACGAAGCAUUAUUUCCCAUCAAAACAACACCUUCAGACAUUGUUUUGUAAGUUGUAAACCAAUCUCGAUUGGGACUCCUAUGGAAGGUGCAGCCCGAAUUAAGGAUCCACUCUUCGCUCACUUUAGAAUUGUUGACAGAAGCUACUAGAAGUUCACCAUCAUUGUAUUCUUCUACAACAUCAGCUUCAACGGAAUUUUUUGGUUGUUUUCCCUUUUCAUUUGCAGCCUUUCUUUUGAUCUUGUUCUGUAUCUUAUAGCACUCAGAUUUAGCAUGUCCUUUCUUCUUGCAGAAGUUACAAGUUUUACCUUUUUUUGAAGACUUCGAUCUACCCUUAGAUUUACCACGAGGAUUCCGUUCCUGUGUCCUUCCACAAUCAUUAUCAGCAUUCCGUUCUUGUCUCCCAUGAACAAUGAGAACCUUUCUGAGAGUUAAUUUUAACCAUAAGAUGCUUCAUCUUAUCAUACGAGGUUAAAGAACCAUAAACCUCAUCAACUGUGAAAGACUCGUGGCUAUAUAAAAUCGUGUCUCUAGAGGUUGAAUAAGAUGGAGGCAAUGAACAAAAUAGAAUCAACCCUAGAUCUUCCUUGUCAUACUGAACCUCCAUGGCCUCCAACAUUGAGAGAAUUUCUUUAAACACAGUUAAGUGUUCGUGCACAGAAACACCUUCCUCCAAACGAUGAGCAUAAAGACGCUGCUUUAUAUGCAACUUGCUGGUUAGAGUUUUCGACAUACAUAUUUGUUCCAACCUCUUCUAUAAUGCAGCGGUGGUCUUCUCCUUCAUCACAUCCUGCAAAUUUUUGCUAGACAAAUGCAGAUGUAAUUGUGUUAACGCCUUUCGAUCCUUACGCUUCUUCUCUUCAUUUGUUAAUGUCGAAGGCAUCUUAUCUAUCCCUAGCAGGGCAUCCUCCAAAUCCAUCUGCGCAAGAACUGCUUGCAUCUUAAUCUACCACAACGCAAAUCUGGUGUUGCGAUCCAACAGCGGAAUUUCAUACUUCAAAAACGUCAUUACCGUGAUCAAGAUGAAAAACCCAGAAGCUUUGAUACUAAUUUGUAAAAACAGAACAUCGGUAAUGACAAUAUAUCACGAAUAAAAGAGAAAUAAAAAAAUAAAGAACAUACAUAUUUUUAUGUGGAAACCCUUUCAGAAAAAACCAUGAGCAGAGGAGAAGAAAAUUCACUAUGUCGAAUUCGAAUAAUUACAAGAGGAGUAGACUAUGUCUAUUUAUAGGCUUGUAAAACCAUAUUCUAAUAAGAGUGUACUAAGAUUGAAAUACCUUAUUCUAAUUAAUAUCAAAUAGAUGGAGUUUAAUAAGGUUUAGAAAACCUUAUUCUACAAUAAAAUAAAAGAAGUGUAGUUCUAUAGGUAUUUUACUUUUAUUUUAUUUUACUAUUGUACUUUAUUUAAAUAAUGAUUCGGGUCACUCAAUUCUAACAUGUUCAAAUCACUCCAGAAUAAUUGCAAAAAUGAAUUUAUUGAGAAUAUUGAAUUACAAGUCGGAACCGUAAACUAUGAAAAAGUGAAUCGAAUACGUAUGACUUUGUUUUAUCUAUUGUGUAGCCUUACAACUCGGGCGAUGUUUUAAAAAUGAUUGGAAUAUGUCCGCCACCUGCUUAAAUUGAAUUAUUAUAUAACUUAUCCAUUGCUUAGCAAAGAUUGUAUUGGCUACCCUUUGGUUCAUCAUGUGCCCACCCGACCCAUUUUAGAUGUUCAUUUUACUAUUUACUUUGAAAAAGAAUAAUCAUCCCAUAUAUUUAUUAAUGUUUUGAAAGAAAAUUCUGUCUAUCCAAUUUAUUGAUGAUGCAUAAAAAUAAUUCCUUAAAAUUUUACUAAUAUAUUUUAAAAAUAAUUCUUUUUGAACAUUUAUAAAUGUGAAAGGGUAUGAUACUCAUGUUUGAAGUCAUGCUAACUCAAUCACUUACUAAAACGAAAUUAAAACAAUUAAUUUUACAAGAGUGGCCAUAUGGCACUUUUUAAUUUCACUUCUAAUAUAUAAAAGUGAUGUCUUUUCUUUCUAUAAUAAAAAAAUGAAAAUGUGAUAAUAAAAUAAUAUCAUCUAGACUUAAAUUAAACGUAACAAAUAUUUCACCCUUAAUAUAUAAAAGGUAUUUAUAUUGACCUGCAAAAUUAAAUUUCUUUAUUAAAAAUUUUUUAUCUAAAUUUUAGGUCUAAUUCGAACCAAAUUAAAUUUAAAUUGUACAAUAGAUGAAGAUACUUGUUAAUUUAAAUUAAUUUUUUUAAUCAAUCAAAUAGGUAUAUAGGUAUAUUUAUAUUAAUUGCUAAGUAUAUACAAUCUUGAUUGUGGAUAAAGCUAGAAGGUAGGAGAUAGCAAAGGGUGUUAGCCUCUUGCCCAAAAUAAAAGGCAUUAUCCCUAAUGAGUGAUAGCAAAGGUGAUUGUUCUUUGAGAAGAAAUUUUCAAGAAUGUCACUCUUGACCCUGUCCGAUGACAAGAGGUUCCACAUUUUUAUUUAUAGCCAUUCAACGUGUAAGGAGGAUUAGUAUCACAAGUACAAGAAGAAAUUCCAACACAACUGAACAAAAAAUUUCCAAGUAUUAUUCUUUUGUGGAAAGAUAUUCUCAAUAGAAAAAUAUAUCCACGAAAUGAUAGAAAAGGCUUUGGGCCACAACUAAAACAACAUAUUUAAAAUGUUAUACCAAAUUAAAGAUGGAAUCGUCAUUGUCAAGACAUCAACAUCUUAUUAUUUUAUACUCUAAAGGAAUUUUGUUAAUUAAUUACUACUCUAAUUAUGGAUAAUUUUGCUAAUUAUUUUUAAAUUAGUACUUAGUACCCCCUACACCAUGUUCGGGGUGUUCCGUUUCUACGACUAAUGAUUUUCCAAUGAUUCUUGAAUGAAAGUUUUGAUUUAACGACAAAUUGCAAUUUCAGAUUAAAAUUAUAUAUAAAAAAAAUCCCCCAUCUGUUGCAACAUUGAACAGUGAGAUGGUUGCCUGACAUUUUCUAUGUAUUAAAAGAAACAAGCAAGAAAUUAGCAAGGCAGGUACUCAAGUAUAUAUCUUUAGCAAGAAAAACUAACACAGGAAUUUCCAAUUUGAUCCACUAUUGUGUUUUCUUUCUAUGGAAGAACAUUAAUCAAUGUGCCCUGGUUACUUCCAUGAAUUUUCUGCUUCUUUAAAAAUAAGAACAAGAAAGAAAGAAAAACAUCAACUUUAGUCCUACAAUCAACUUGUAUAAAUUCGUUAGUCCUGAAACUAUGGCCUCAUCCUUAACCAUUUCCCUUAUUCUAGGGAUACUGCAGGCUACCAUCCUUCUAAUUUCCUUUGAUACAACUGUGUCAAUAGCAGAUCCAUCGCCAUUGGAGUCCAAAGCCAUAUCGCUGCUAGAAAGCGGGUGGUGGAGUAACCAUAGCAGCAAUACUUCACAACGUUGCCAGUGUCCUGCUAUAACCUGCAACACUGCUGAAAGCAUUACCAAAAUUAACUUAUCUGAUGGGCCCGAUAUUGAGGUUGCAUAUAGAUUUGGGAACCAGAACCAGCAAAACAAAACAACAUUGAGGUUGCGCCCAACAUUGUUGAAUGAGCUACAAUUUUGAACUCCAUUUUGUUUUCCAUAUUGCAUCAGAAAUGUAAGAAUAAUCAUAUAUGAACCAGAACCAUAAAUUUAAGGGGAAAUUUUAGAAAAAAAUCUGCUCUUCAAAUUCCUUUGGUCUAGCAAACAUUAGGUCCUUCUGCAACGUGAAUGACAAAGUCAGUCAGCCAUGGUGUCGGUCCUCCUUUCCCUUUCUUGAUGUAAUUUUGUUGCAAUAUGCGGACACUAGGUUGGGACGAAAAACCAUAAUUUAUUAAGGUGGGAGGAUUUGCAAUUCGUGAUUAAACUAUUGGUAAAUUUAUAUUUUGGUCAAUUAACUUUAAAAAAUUACAAAAUAAUUUUUAAACUAUUCUAAAGUUUUAAUUUAAAUAGUUAAUAUUAGUAAAUUUAUAUCUUCAUUUAAUUAAAUUGGGUUCACUGACUCUCAUUAUAUCUCUUCAAAUCCACUAUAUGCUUAGAAAUUUCGAAGAAAGAAGAAAAAAAUGUUAUGGACAAUUUCAGAGCCUAAGUUUUCCAAUUAAGAACCUUUCGUGGAAAAAUUGACAUUUGAAUAAUCAUCACAUACAAUCAUUAUUUACAAGGUGUUCCACAUUUGCAUAUAAUAUAUUUCCAAUUUGGUCCAAAGAAAAAGGAAGAUAUUUUAGAAGUGCGUAAUUUUGAAUUCAAAGCUUAAUAUAUGUAAUUUAUGCUUAAUACAUUCAAUAUUUAUGUGUGAAGUAAACUUAUCAAAUAUUAAAACAAUGUCUCAUUCAUCAAUUUGCAUAAAGAAAGCACUAAGCCAAACCAUUUAGAAAGGAGGGACUGAUGCUCAUGGCCUGAGUUUUAUUCUGGGUGUUUAAAACUCUUCAAUUGUCUUUAAUAAUUUCAUUCGUUUUGGUUUUUUAUUUUUAUACUAAGGUUAAGUUUGGCACUUAUUUUAAUUUUAUGAAUUUUAAAUAUUAUUUAACAAAAUUUCAAAUUAUUUUUUAUAAAUAUUUUUAAAAUAAAAAAUAUUCAAUAAUUUUUUUAAAUAUAUAUAAUUUUUAAGUUAUUUACAUUAUUUUAAAAAUAAAAUAUUAUUUUUUAUAUUAUAACAAUUAAAUUAAUUAAUAUAAAUUAAAAGUAUAAAUCACUUUUUAACCCUUAAACUUAGUUGUUUUUCUUAAGUUGAUACCUAAUGUUUUUGGAUCUAAGUUGGUACUUGAACUUAUAUUUUAGGUAACAUUUUACUCAUUUUUAGUAUCAAUAUUAAAUUAUGUUGACAUACAUUUUAAGAUUUGUGCCAUGUUAUCACUUUAAAAUUUAUUUAAAUUUAAAAAUAUUUAAAAAUAAAAAACAAUUAUUUAAAACUAUAAAAAAUUAUAAACUUUUAUUAAAAAUUAUAAUAAAUCUAUUUGAAAAUCUUUUUAAUUAAUUUUCUUUUUACUUAGGAUUUUUUAUUCCUUUAUAAUUAGUUAUACAACAAUUAUAACCAAUCUUCUAUAUUUUUGUUUUCUUUUUCUUUUUACUCGAGAUUUUAUUUAUUUAUUUUUCCUUCAAAACUCUAAAAUGCUUCUUCCCUAUUUCUUUUCUUCGUCACUAUCCCACUUGUCACUGCCAUCUGGCACCACCCCUAACCUAGAAAUGGCACAAAUUUGUUCUUCUCUUUCUCUUAAACUUUCCACUAGAGGAAAAUAGAUUUUUAAUGGCACUUUUUUUUUUGGCUCUAUAAGCAUCGCAAAAAACACCGUUAUAAAUAACUCAACUAAAUUUCGCAUCGUUUAUUUGGGAAAACGCCGCUAUAAAACAUUAUAUUUAACUUUUGGAAAAUAUUGACAUCACAUAUAUAAUAAGGGUAAUUACAUGUUAUUAUUUACUAUCAUAAUAGGUUAGCCUAAAUUAAAAGUGAUCUAAUUUGGUUAAAAUUUUAUUGGAUUUAAUUAUUAAAUAAAGUAUGGGUCAAAUAUGUGCAGAUACUCUAGUAAUUAAAUUCUAAUCAAAUUCUGAUUAAUGAUGAGCUAAUUAGAAUUUGAUUAGAACUAAUAUGCCAAUGUUAUAAAUAUUAGGGUUAUGGUCCCCAAAUUAUACGUAAGAUAUCUUUUCUAAUAUCCCAUCAUUAGGAAAGAGAGAGCAGAUAUUCUCUGAAUUUCUUGUGUGCUAAUUUGGAAGAUCAAAUCUCCAAGAUCUGGUAAAACUUCAAGAAAUUCAUGGAUUCAGGUAUGCUUCCUCAUCUAGUUUUGUUCUUAAUGAUAUGACAUGAUAGAUCCUAGUUUAUUAAAUUUUAUUUCAGAUUUAUUUUACAAAUCUAACAAGUGGUAACAGAGCCAGGUUAUGUUAAGUCAUUAGGAAUUGAUUAAAGUUUCUUAUUUAAACGAUUGAUUCAUAAAUUUUUAUGGGUUUUAUAUUUCAGAUAUAUAUUGAUCUUUGAAGGCUUAUAUUAAAGUAUUUCUUUUUUGAAUUUAAAAAAAAGUUAACAGUAAAUAGACAUAACUUAAUUCAUAUAUAUAUUGAUUAUAUACAUAUAUAAUAAAUGCAUGUUGUUUUGGAAAUUUAUAUAAAUAUAUAUAAUUAUCUUUUAAUUUGAUUGAAAGAUGAAAUUAAGGUAAAUAUUUUGAAACAAAUAAAUUCAGAUUUUGGCUCUUAAUUAAGGAUAUCUAAUAUUUUAAAUAAAUUAGUUGAAACAAAAUGCCGUCAAAAUGACUUUUUUUGUGUAGAUUAGUUUAUUUGAAAUAUUAAGAUAAUUAUAUGUUUUUGUGAUUCAUGCAUUUAUUAAUUGACCCAAAGGUAAGUUAAUAUUUGGCAGAAUUUCAAUGACAUCUGUGGUGAUAAAUGUGUGACAAUUAUAAGGUAUUUUAUGUGAGCAAUAAGUUAGUCCAAAGAUUAAUUCAUUGUUUAACAUAAUUUAUUGUCAAUAUUUGAUUGCUACAACAAGAGUACCGCUUACGGUUAAUAUUAUUGUCCAAAGACUUGAUAUUAAUGUUGUGUUUGGUAUCUUGAGAUGGGAUUAGCUGUUAUCUUGAAUUUAUUAUUUACUUAUGAAUAUUAAUUUAAACUUGUUUUUGUUCUAUAUUCAGCUAAUUCAUCUUUGGCUGUCACAAUAUCUGCUACUAUAAUUCUAUACCCAUGCUUGAUGGGACUAAUUUUAAGGAAUGGAAAAGGCACUUACUUAUAGUGCUUGGCUAUUUGGACAUAGACCUUACACUAAGGGAAGAACAACUUGCACCUCUCAUUGUGGAAAACACCCCUGAUGUUAAAAGGGAUUUUGAGAGGUGGGAUCGUUCAAAUCGCAUGAGUCUAAUGAUCAUGAAACACAGCAUUCCAGAAGCCUUUAGGGGCACAGAAUCUGAAGAGAUUACUUAGGCUAAGGGUUUCCUUGAUGAAAUUGAAAAAUGUUUUGCUAAAAACGAUAAGGUUGAGAUGACAUCACUUCUGGCUUCUUUGAUGUCUAUGAUGUAUAAAGGUCAAGGAAACGUAAGGGAGUACAUUAUGGAGAUGUUUCAUAUUGCUUCAAGACUUAAGGUACUUAAGAUCGAGCUUUUUUCCAAUUCUUAUGGUUUUGGCAUCGCUUCCUGCACAGUUUAAUCAAUUUAAAAUUAGUUAUAACUAUCAAAAGAAGAAAUAGACCCUAAAUGAGCUCAUUUCUCAUUGUGUGCAAGAGGAAGAAAGGUUGAAGCGUGGUAAGCCUGGACGUGCUCAUUUGGCCAAUGCCCCUGAAGAUAAGAGCGAGAAAAGAAAAUAUCAGAAUGAAUCUGCUAAGGGUCCAACUCAAAAGAAACAUCAACAAGCUACAGAGUUGUUUCUUUUGUAACAAGUCUGGACACGUAAAGAAAGAUUGUACCAAAUGUCAUGCUUGGCGUCAAAGAAAGGUAUAAUUCUUAAUUUGGUCUGUUCUGAUAUUAAUUUAGCUUCAGUACCUAGAAAGACUUAGUGAAUAGAUUCUAGUGCUACUACUCCAUAAGUGUUUCUAUGCAGGAUUGCCUGAGUUACCGAAAGCUAAGUGAUGGUGAAAGACACAUCUUUGUGGGCAAUGGAAAAUCGGUAAAAGUGGAAGUGAUUGGGCAUUUUAGAUUGUUAUUAGGAACUGGUUUUUAUUUGGAUUUAAAAAAACUUUUAUUGUACCGUCAUUUAGAUGGACUUUAGUUUCUGUUUCUUCAUUAGACAAAUUUGGAUAUUAUUGUUCAUUCGGAAACAAUCAAUUUAAUUUUUCUUUAAAUUCAAAUGUUAUUGGAACUGGUUAUUUAAAUACUUAUGACAACCUUUAUUUGCUAGAAGCAGUUACAUCCUAUAAUGAAACCUUGCAUGUGGAAUCACAUGGUAUUAAAUGCAAAUUAAAUAAAGAAAAUUCAGCAUCAUUAUGGCAUAGGCGCUUAGGUCAUAUUUCAAAAGUUAGAGUUGAACGUCUUAUGACUGAUGGUAUUUUAAAGUCCCUUAACUUCACAGAAUUUGAUGUCUGUGUCAAUUGCAUUAAGGGGAAACAGACCAAAACCAAGAGAUUGGGUGCCAACAGAUCUUCAGACAUCUGAUAAUGCUCUAAAAUAACGUAUUUUUAUGUAUUAAUCAUGUGUUUAUUCUGAGCUUGAUCCUACUAAUUUGAGCUAUUUAUGUCUUUUUAUCUUUUAGGGAUUGAUUUGGAGGCAAAAGCAAAAUUAAGGGACAAAAGUACGAAUUUAGAGACACAAUGGGCUGAUAUGCGACACAAGAAAAAGAUUGUGCCAAAAGUGCGAGCAUGGAAGACACAAGGACUAAAACGCAAAAAGAAGAGAUUUUAUUUUAUAAGACUCUAUUUUAUUUAUAUUAGGAUAAUUAAUAUUAGGAUAAUUAUUAGGAUUAUAUAAAUUUUAGGAUUUUAUUUUAAUUAUCUUUAUUUAUCUUUAAUUAAUUGUAUUUAUCUUUUUAGAAUUUAAGUUCAAUUAGACUAUCUCCCUAGCACUAUAAAUAAGGGGUGAAGUCACUCUAUUUGGGGUGCUCAUCUUUUUCUGUAAACACUCUCCCCUUGAUAGUCUAGGUUUUUGUUUCUUCAUAUUUUCUUUCAAUAAAAUUCCCUUAUCCAUUUUUAUAUUUAUUUUCUUUUCCACCAUUAUCAUGAGCCACUAAAACCUAUCUAGCUGAAAGUUGUCAAUAUUCCCCAAAAAGGGUUCUUGAGGCCUAGAACCCGCACUUAGCCUCCUCGCUAAGUAUUCAUCGUUUCUCUGCACUAUGGGCUGACGCUUCCGUCCAUGCCCCUUAAGAAGUAAGCUUUUCAGCAUAUGCAAAGGCGGCCGCUUUGUAUGUUUUGGAAGGAUUGCAUAGUCGGUUCAUUAACUUACUGCGUCAGAGGUUGGCGAGCCAAAGAGUCAAAAUGGCGUGGGAUUCGCCAUUGAAAAGCAUUGAUCUAGCAUAGAUUACUAGCUAAAGUUAGGUUCUCUAAAAAUCGUAAGUCUAAUCUUUGGAGCUGGUGGUCAUAGGCGUCCUUUUCCACUAUAACUGGCUUACUUGAGUUGAGAAGGGUUACUUAAAAGCCAAGGAUUGAACCCAAGGCGGAACGAGACAACCGGAGGCUGGAAUCUCGCCACAUAAGAAACUUUCUCUUUUCCCAACUCUAUUUAUUUUUCCUCAUUUCAAUUUCUGCAAUUUAUUUUCUCAAAUCCAAUUCACUUUAAAUUCUGUUUUUAUUUUCCCAAAUUCUUAAUUUUAUUUUUUUAUUUUUCAGGAACGCAGGUUUUCUUAGCCAAGAAAUUAUCGAAGAUUACAAGAAACGAGCAUUCGUACAAUCCGAUCCCUGAGGAUUCGACCCUACUUCCUAUUUACUGUUAUUUUUACUAUUUUACAGGAAAUAGGAUAUUUUUGGUGCUCUAAACGACGCAUCAAAUUUUGGCACCGUUGCCGGGGAUCGGUAACGUACUAAUCUUGUUUUUUUUUUGUUUCUUAUGACCAGAUCUGCUCCAGGAACUCUUGCGUUUGAUUCAGAGAUUGAAAAGACUGCGAGAGCUAAUUUCAAGGAAACAAAGCUAAGGAAAAAGCAGUCAGCGGUGGUUGGAACUCAAAGCAAUCCACCGCCAGAAAUCAUAAUCGACGACGAAGCAGAGUCUAGGGUUAACGAAAACCCUAAUCAAACUUUUGAAGGUGAAAAAGUAGAAGUCGAUUCCCCAGAAGAAGUGCUUAACGCUAGGGUUGACGUAAACCCUAAUUUAGCACCUCAACCUAUGGCUUAGACAAUUCGGCAACUGGCCGAAGCGUCGAUAGCAAUUGCCACUAUGCAUCGCAUAUCCUAUUAUGGAUACUGAUUUUGAAUUAAAGUCAGGCUUGAUCCAGCUACUGCCAACCUUUCGGGGUUAUAGAACGAAAAUCCCCACAAGCAUUUAAAAGAAUUCCAUAUGGUUUGUUUGCGUAUGAAACCUCAGAGGGUAACUGAGGAUCAAGUUAAACUACGUUGUCCCUUUUUCCUUAGCAAAUUCUGCUAGGGAAUGGUUAUUUUAUUUACCUCCUGGAUCUGUAAUGACUUGGGCUGAUCUGUCUCGUUUAUUUCUCAACAAGUUUUUUCCAGCGUCGCAUGCAGCCGAGUUAAGAAGAGAAAUCAUAGGCAUAAGGCAAAAAGACACGGAGUCUCUGUAUGACUACUGGGAGUGAUUUAAAAAGUUAUGUGCAAGUUGCCCACAAUACAGUGUAACGGAACAGUCUUUACUCCAAUACUUUUAUGAAGGCCUAAAACCCAUGAAGAUGAAUAUGGUAGAUGCCGCUACUAGAGGAUUGUUGGUCAACAUGACUCCACAACAAGCAAGAGACUUGAUCUCCACAAUGGCUGCAAAUACUCAGCAAUUUCGAGCCAAUCAUGAACCCCCUAGAAGGGUUCACCAGCUAAGUAAUUCGACCUUAGAAGAUAAGGUUGAUAGAAUUACUAAUAUUCUGAAUUCUCUUGUUGCAGAAAAAGUAAAGACAGCCCGAGUAUGUGGAAUAUGUGCUACCCCUGAACAUACAACUGAUGCAUAUCCCAGUUUGAAUGAUGAUACUAUGGCCCAUUUAGAUGCUAUAGGAUAUUUUCCUAGGCCACCACAAAGGCGAUACGACCCUUACGCCAAUACCUACAACCCAGGAUGGAGGGACCACCCUAACUUUAGUUAUGGGGCUAAUCCACAAUAUAACCAGCCAUACCAAAAUGGGGUCCCACAACAGCCAUAAGAUUCAGGUAAUUCUCUGGAAACUUUGGUCAAAAAUUACCAGCUAAUGUCAUUGAUUUUCAAUAGAAAACUCUUAAUUUCCAAAAAGAAACGAAGGCAUCUAUAAGAGAAUUGACCACGUUAAUUGAGAAAUUAAGUUCUCAAGGGAAGCUACCGUCGUAAACAGAACUAAACUCGAGACAGAAUACAAAUGCAAUUACGUUGCGAAGUGGAAAGGUGCUGGAACCAAUUCCUAGCAAGAAUCUUGGUCAAGAAAUCACCUAGGAAACUCUAGAAAAUGACGAACAGAUCUGAGCGAAACUCCCACUGCCGAAAAUCCAACCUCCAUUCCCAGGAUGAUUAAAUCAGUGUCGAAAAAAUAAGGAAGACAAGGAGAUACUCGAAACAUUCAGAAAUGUCGAGAUCAACAUGCCACUGUUGGAUGCCAUCAGACAAAUUUCAAGGUAUGCCAAAUUCCUUAAAGAGAUCUGCACCAAAAACGAAAGUUAACAAGCAAUAAAAAGGUAAGUGUUGAUGAAAAUGUUUCCGCAGUGCUACAGCGAAAAAUGCCGGUUAAAUGCAAAGAUAGGGGUAUGUUCACUAUUCUAUGCAAAAUUGGUCAUUUAGGAAUUAAAAAGGCUAUGUGCGAUUUAGGGGCGUCCAUAAAUGUAAUGCCUUAUUUUAUUUAUGAAUCACUUAACGCGGGUUUUUUAACAAAGACAGGUGUUACCAUUCAGUUGGCAGACAGGUCCAUUGUGCAUCCCGAAGGGGUCCUCGAGGACGUAUUAGUCAAACUACAAAUUUUUAUGUGAUAAAAAUGGAGGAGGAUAACACUCCUGGGUCUUUAGACAUCUUGUUGGGAUGACCUUUCCUUAGUACUGCGAAUACUAAGAUUGAUGUACGAAGCAGAACCCUCACGAUAGAGUUUGAUGGGGAGAUCGUGAAGUUUAAUGUUUAUGGCACUAUUAGUCACCCAAGUGAAGUCUUGGAUGUAAACCGUGUCGACAUAAUUGACUCAUCAGUAGAACAAACUUUUGAGUCAUCUUAUGGAGAUAAACCUAAAAUGAUGUUUGAUGAUUUUGAAUCUGUUAAUAAAUUAUUAGCUCCCAUGAAUACUAAACUUCUACCUCCUGUUGUGCAGGCACCAGAUCUAAAAUUAAAACCACUUCCCGAGCAUCUCAAAUGCACAUUUUUGGAGAAUGAUGAGACCAUUGCUGACUUAAAAGGGAUCAACCCCUUGGUGGAAAAUACGAAACCAAAGAAAGAGGCGGAAGGACGAUUAAACCCAAAUAUGGUGGACGUGUUAAAAAAUGAGAAUUUCCAAGCUCAUAAGAAUGAAAGAAUUCAGCUGGAACAGCCACAAUACUAGUUGGGGCGUCAAGCUAGCGACGUUAAACAAGCGCUUGUUGGGAGGCAACCCAAUUUUUUAUUUUUAUUUUAUUUAUUUUAUCUUAUUAUUUAUUAUUUUCAGAUAUUAAUAAAAUUCUCUUCUUUUGUCUAGGUAAACCGAAGCAACAAUAGGGAGAACUUAUUACCAUAAUGCGCGAAUGAUAGUAACUACACGGGGAGUUCUUCUAAACUUUUCUUCUACCUAUUUAUUUAUUUAUUCCACAUCGAGGACUAUGUGGUUUAAAUAGGGGGAGGCAUUCCUUAUUAUUUCUAUCAUUUUAGAUGCUAAAUCUUUGUUGUUGUUGCUGCUGAUUCGGUUGUUGCUGCCCAUAUAAUUUUUUUUAAGAAUAUUUUGCCUCUUUUCAUGCCCAAGAAUUUGACCACCACUUGCCCACUGUUUGACCCACAUGCAUGAUUCUUAUCUACUGAGUUAAUUAUGAUUUUGCUUGAUAGAUUUCAUCUCCACUGUUUUAUUUCUUUUAGUUUAAAUAACUAUGAUUAAUAGAGUUAACCCUAUCUUGAUUUUGGUAAAUUUGAUUAAGUCUAAAUACGAAGAGGACACUUAAUUGCAUGCUUAAAAUAUGUUCAUGACUAUUAAGGUAGUUACCGAAACUUGUUUUUGACACUUGAUUGUUUUUCCUAAGUCCUCCAAAAUUAAAAUUUGAUUUAAUAAUAAUAAUGUUUCCGUGGUUAUGAGUGCAGCUUAAGACGUGACUAGCUGAGUAACCGGGGUAGGGUGCUUGGGUUGUCAUCCUAUUUCGCGUCAAAAGGUUGUGUGACGUGUUAGGUAAAAUUCCGCUAACCGGAAUUAAUUUCUAAGAGUAACCAGGGUGGGUGCUUGGGUUGUCAUGUCUCUUCGCGUCAAAAGGUAUAGUAUAUUCCUAAGUAAAAAUAAAUAAAUUAAAUUAAAAUUCUAUAACAAAAAGAAAAAAAGAAAAAAAAAGUCAUAUUAAUAAAAUGUGAGGACUAAAGGUAAAAUUGAAUAGGGUGUCUUGAUAGGUUUGGUAAAUUAUCUAAUUUUCAUGAAAUAAUCCAAGUCGAUCUUAAUUUUGUUUGUGUUAAUUAGAACACUUUUUCAAAUUUUACUUAAAUCAAGCUAAGGGUUCUCUUUAUUUUUCGUAUGCAUUUUGACUAAUUUUUAUAAAACUUUGGAGUAGAAUUUCUUUCAUGGCAGGAUUUAAUUUUCACAGUGGAUAGGAACCAUACUUGAGGGUAAGCAUGGACUAAAUAGGGGGAAUUUGAUAAUGCUCUAGAAUAACGUAUUUUUAUGUAUUAAUCAUGCGUUUAUUCUGAGCUUGAUCCUACUAAUUUGAGCUAUUUAUGUCUUUAUAUCUUUUAGGGACUGAUUUGGAGGCAAAAGCAAAAUUAAGGGACAAAAGUACAAAUUUAGAGACACAAUGGGCUGAUAUGCAACACAGGAAAAAGUUUGUGCUAAAAGUGCGAGCAUGGAAGACACAAGGACUAAAAAUGCAAAAAGAAGAGAUUUUAUUUUAUAAGACUCCAUUUUAUUUAUAUUAGGAUAAUUAAUAUUAAGAUAAUUAUUAGGAUUAUUUAAAUUUUAGGAUUUUAUUUUAAUUAUCUUUAUUUAUAUUUAAUUAAUUGUAUUUAUCUUUUUAGAAUUUAAGUUCAAUUAGACUAUCUCCCUAGCACUAUAAAUAGGGGGUGAAGUGACUCUAUUUGGGGUGUUCAUCUUUUUUUGUAAACACUCUCCCCCUGAAAGUCUAGGCUUUUGUUUCUUCAUAUUUUCUUUCAAUAAAAUUCCCUUUUCCAUUUUUAUAUUUUUUUUCUUUUCCACCAUUAUCAUGAGCCACUAAAACCUAUCUAGCCGAAAGUUGUCAAUAUUCCCCAAAAAGGGUUCUUAAGGCCUAGAACCCGCACUUAGCCUCCUCGCCAAGUAUUCAUCGUUUCUCUGCACUAUGGGCUGACGCUUCCGUCCAUGCCCCUUAAGAAGUAAGCUUUUCAGCAUAUGCAAAGGCGGCCGCUUUGUAUGUUUUGGAAGGAUUGCAUAGUCGGUUUGUUAACUUACUGCGUCAGAGGUUGGCGAGCCAAAGAGACAAAACGGCGUGGGAUUCGCCAUUGAGAAGCGUUGAUCUAGCAUAAAUUACUAGGUAGAGUAAGGUUCCCUAAAAAUCGUAAGUCUAAUCUUUGGAGCUGGUGGUCGUAGGCGUCCUCUUCCACUAUAACUAGCUUACUUGAGUUGAGAAGGGUUACUUAAAAGCCAAGGAUUGAAUCCAAUGCAAAAUGAGACAAUCAGAGGCUGUAAUUUCGCCUCAUAAGAAACUUUCUCUUUUCCCAACUCUAUUUAUUUUUCCUCAUUUCAAUUGCUGCAGUUCAUUUAAUUUCGCAAAUUCAAUUCACUUUAAAUUUUGUUUUUAUUUUUCCAAAUUCUUAAUUUUAUUUUUUUAUUUUUUAGGAACGCAGGUUUUCUUCACCAAGAAAUUGUCCAGGAUUACAAGAAACGAGCAUUCGUACAAUCCGAUCCCUAAGUAUUCGACCCUACUUCCCCUUUACUGUUAUUUUUACUAUUUUACAGGGAAUAGGAUAUUUUUGGUGCUCUUAACGACGUAUCAAUAUCUUAGAAUUAAUUCAUACAGAUAUUUGUGGGCCAUUUCCUACGGCAUCCUGGAAUGGUCUACAAUAUUUCAUAACAUUCAUAGAUGAUUACUCAUGUUAUGGGUACCUAUAUCUCAUUAAUGAGAAAUCUCAGUCUUUGGGCAUGUUCAAAACUUAUAAAGCUGAAGUUGAGAAUCAACUCAACAAAAGGAUUAAAAAGUCAAAUCUGAUCCUGGUGGUGAGUACUACGGUAGAUUUGAUGGCUCAGGUGAACAAUGUUCAGGACCAUUUGCGAAAUUCCUAGAGGAAUAUGGUAUUGUCCCAUAACACAUCAUGCCAGGAUCACCUAGUAUGAAUGGUGUAGCUGAAAGAUGAAAUAGAACUCUUAAGGAUAUGGUAAGGAGCAUGAUUACUCAUUCUACCUUACUUGAGUCCCUCUGGGGAGAAGCAUUAAAGACAACAACUUACAUUCUGAAUAGAGUACCCAAUAAAGCAGUUGCAAAAACACCUUAUGAGCUUUGGACAGGUCAAAAGCCUAGUUUAAAGCACUUUCACAUUUGGGGAUGUCCAGUUGAGGCAAGGCCUUAUAGGUCACAUGAAAAGAAAUUGGACUCCAAAACAGUAAGUAACUACUUUAUUGGUUAUUCUGAACGAUCUAGGGGCUAUAAAUUUUAUGAUCCCAUAAUAAGGAAUAUUUUUGAGAUGGGAACUGCACAUUUUUAAUGAUGUUGAGUUUGGAGGGAGAAAUAAGGUUAGAGACAUUACUUUUGAGGAUGAAUUGGAUUCUAACUAAAUUCCUACUAUCACUUUUGAUGAUGUUUAGGUUCUUAUACCUAUCAUUGAUUAGGAAGUGAAUCCAGAACCUCUACAAGACAAUGUUGAACAACUCUCAAUUCAAAAUGAGAUAAUUUUUCUAGAAGAACAAACUCAACAACCUCAAGAACAAGUGUCAUUAAGGAGGUCCACAAGAGAAAGGAGAAAUGCUAUUCCAGAUGAUUAUAUUGUAUUUCUCCAAGAACAUGAGGAUGAUAAUGGAAUGAUGGAAGAUGAUCCAAUCAACUUUCAUCAAGACAUAAAAAGUUCUAAUUCUUAAAAGUGGAUUGAUGCCAUGAAAGAUGAGUAUAAAUCUAUGCAACAGAAUAAAGUUUGGGAACUUGCCCCAUUACCUGAAAGUGCAAAACCAAUUGGUUUUAAAUGGAUAUUUAAAACCAAGAGGGAUGCAAAUGGUAAUAUGGAGAGGUAUAAGGCGCGUCCUAUAGCUAAAGGAUAUACUCAAAAAGAAGGUAGUUAUUUUACAGAGACUUUCUCUCCAGUUUCAUCGAAAGACUCCUUCAGGAUAAUCAUGACGCUUGUUGCUCAUUUUGAUCUUCAGUUACAUUAGAUGGAUGUCAAGACUGCGUUUCUUAAUGAUGAUAUUGAAAAAACAAUUUAUAUGGUGCAACCAAAAAAUUUUGAGUCGGAAGACUCAAAGAAUAUGGUUUACAAAUUGACAAAAUCUAUCUAUGGACUCAAACAAGCUUCUCGUCAAUGGUAACACAAGUUUCAUCAAAUAAUUAUUUCGUUUGGUUUUGAGAUGAAUAUUGUUGAUGAUUGUGUGUAUAACAAAUUCAAUGGGAGUAAGUACAUAUUUCUGGUUCUAUAUGUUGAUGACAUUUUGCUUACCGCUAAUGAUAUAGGCUUAUUAGACGAAAAUAAUAGAUUUUUAUCUAAGCAUUUUGAGAUGAAAUAUCUUGGGGAUGCCUCUUUUGUUUUAGGAAUUUAGAUACAUCAAGAUUGACCUCGAGGUAUUCUUGGAUUAUCACAAAAUAGCUAUAUCGAUAAAGUACUCAAAAGGUUUGGCAUGCAGAGUUAUAGACCAGGUGACACCCCUAUCGUUAAAGGAGACAAAUUUAGUCUUACUCAAUGCCCUAAAAGUAACCUUGAAAUUCAAGAAAUGCAAAAGAUUCCCUAUGCGUCAGCUUUUGGGAGUUUAAUAUAUGUUCAAGUUUGUACACGUCCGGACAUUGCGUACAUUGUUGGGAUGUUAGGCAAAUAUUUAAGCAACCCUAGUAUAGACCAUUGGAAAGCAGCCUAAAGGGUUAUGAGAUAUCUUCAGAGAAUAAAAGAUUACAUGCUUACUUAUAAGAGAUCAGAUCUUUUAGAGGUCAUAGGGUAUUCUGAUUCUAAUUUUUCUGGAUGCAAAGAUAGUAGAAACUCUACAUCAGGCUAUAUUUACAUGUUAGCUAAAGGAGCUAUAUAUUAGAAAAGUGUCAAACAGACACUUGUAGCUUCGUCCACUAUGGCAGUAGAGUUUGUAACAUGCUAUGAGGCAUCAAACCAUGGAAUAUGGUUGCAGAACUUUGUUAUAGGGCUGCGCAUUUUGAAAAAUGUAGAAAGACCACUCAAAUUAUUUUGUGACAAUUAGUUAGCAGUGCUAUAUUCCAAUAACAAUAGGAGUUCAUCUAAGUCAAGGCAUAUUGACAUAAAAUUCUUAGUUGUAAAAGAAAGAGUGCAAAAUAGUCAAAUAUCCAUAGAGCACAUUGGGACAAACUCCAUGAUAACGGAUCUGCUCACAAAAGGUUUACCACCCAAUGUCUUUCAUGAGCACACUGCUCAUAUAGGUGUUACAUUGUUUGGGGAUAUCAUGAUUUUGUGGGAGUUUAUAUUUUAUUUGUUUUAUAUUUGUUUUUAGACAUUUAUGUAUUUGGUUAUUUUCUGGUCAGAAAUAAAGUAUUUAGUUUAUUCAUUAUGUUUAUUAUUUUGGUACUGACCUCACUUAAGUUUAAAAAGGACCAGUUGGAAAUAGACAUGUUUAUAUCAUAUUGCAUGUAAUUUCCAUGCUACACAUCCAUACUUGGUCUAUGUCAUUUGGUUGUGUUAAUAUACGUGAUCAUGGAUGGAUUUAGUUACGAUAUAUGUAAAAUCGCCUUGGUUCUAUGUUAACAUAAUUAAUGGACAAGAUUGUUUGGAAUACCUUUUGGAUAUGAUAGUUAAAUUUUGAGCUCAUAAGGUUAUAUAAUGACAUAUAAUUAUAGAGUAAUUAGUAUUUAUAUAUGGUCCAAGUGGGAGAUUGUUGGAAAAUAUGGACAUCACAUAUAUAAUAAGGGUAAUUACAUGUUAUUAUUUACUAUCAUAAUAGGUUAGCCCAAAUUAAAAGUGAUCUAAUUUGGUUAAAAUUUUAUCGGGCUUUAAUUAUUAAAUAAAGUAUGGGUCAAAUAUGUGUAGAUACUCUAGUAAUUGAAUUCUAAUCAAAUUUUGAUUAAUGAUGGGCUAAUUAGAAUUUGAUUAGAACUAAUAUGCCAAGGUUAUAAAUAUUAGGGUUAUGGUCCCCAAAUUAUACACAAGAUAUCUUUUCUAAUAUUCCAUCAUUAGUAAAGAGAGAGCAAAUAUUCUCUAAAUUUCUUGUGUGCUAAUUUGGAAGAUCAAAUCCCCAAGAUCUGGUAAAACUUUAAGAAAUUCAUGGAUUCAGGUACAUUUCCACAUCAAGUUUUAUUCUUGAUUUGUUCUUAAUUUAUUCCUGAUGGUUUGACAUGAUAGAUCCUGGUUUAUUAAGUUUUAUUUAAGAUUUAUUUUACAAAUCUAACAUUAGCAGCGCUUAUCAUAAAAAUGCCACUAAAGGUCAUGUUCUUUAGCUGCGUUUAUGUGUAAAGCACCACUAAAGGUCAUGUUCUAUAGCGGCAUUUGUGUGUAAAACGCCACUAAAGGUCAUGUUCUAUAGCGGCGUUUGUGGGAAAUCACCAUUAACUUUAACAGAUUUUACUAAAUUGUUUUAAUUCAUAUAGAACCCGAAUUUUCAACAUAAUUUCUUGUAACAUCAAAUCCAACCAAAAAAAUUCAAAUCUAAAUGAUUCUAUCAUGAAAGAAAUAUGUAUAUGAACUAAAUUAAUAAAUGAAAUAACAAAAUAUAUUUUAUUCGAAAGUUAUAUUGUUAAGAUAUUCUCACAAUAAGAAAACAAAAUUCUAAGAUGCGAAUUUUGCGACUGCUGAAACAUCUUCAUCAUAUUCUGAAGCUGUAGCUGAUGUUCAUCAUAUUUUCUUUGAGCCUCUAUUUGUUUCAAUGAUACCUCCUCUUUAAGUUGAGCAAUUUGCUCAACUGUGCUCGCUUGCAUCUGAGCCAUCUGGUCUCUUAACCUCUGAACUUCAGCUUGAGCCUGAUUGCUGAAGGCGUGUAUUGUUGCGAGCUGGAUUCAAAAUAUUGGGUUGGGCUAACAAAAGAUCCUUAAAAUCAAACCUGACCAUACCUUUUAGGACCCAAAAAUUCAGUAAUAAUUCAGUUAUCAAUGUUGUCCAGAUUAACAGAACUAUCACUUGAAGCGAUCGCUUCAUACUCCACCCUUUUAUCCUUUAGUUUCUCCUAAUAUCAAUGAAGGAGCUAGAAACAAAAUAUAUAAUCAAACAAAUGCAACAUAACUUGGCAUUAUUUGCAUUACAAACGACGAAUUUAACGAUAACUUUUUUUUCAUAUUAGGUAGCCCUUCAUUUUAUAUGAACAAUGAGAGAACUUUAUUGCACCAUCAUUUGUUUUGAUAUUGAACUUUUACAAAUUUAACGAUAAAUAAUUAUUAUUGCUUCAUGCAUUUAAAAGUAAAUAUAUCACUAAUUAAAUUUUCAUAAUCCUAUAACCAUAAUGAAUCUACUUUUUUUAAAAAAAGGUAUAAAUUUAACAUGUACCUAUAAUAAUGCUUGCCAGGAUACUACUACUAAUCUUUUGAGUCUGCAUUUUAUGCUCGCAAUGGAAUCCUGUACUACUGUAUUCAUAAUGAAGAGGACAAGACUCUGAUGAGCAAUAGUUGCUAGGUAUAUUCAAACAAAGCAUGCAGCAAUUUUGAUAAUUCUCACAGUUCCCAUCUGUCAUUUAUGAAAUGAAUAAAAAAAAGCUUAUAAUCAUAUUAUUCGGUUAAAGUAUCUAAGAGGUCCUUAUACUAUAUGGAUCGGAUCAAAUUAGCCCUUCUAUUAUUAAACGGAUCAAUUUAGUACUUAUACUAUUAAAAAUAAUCAAAUAAGUUUAAAUUAUAAAAGCAUUAACAUUUACAGUAUAAAAAAUGUCUUGAAUUAUUUUCAAAAUAAAUUCUAUUUCAAAAAUAAAAUAUUUCAUUUAUAGAACUAUAAAAACUUUAAAUAUAAUUAACUCUAUUAAAUAGUAAGUGUUAAUUAGAUAUUUUAAUAAUGUAAUUUAAAUUAUGUAAUUUAAUUUGUUAAAUAAAAAAUAUUUUAAUAUUUUUUCUAAGAUAAUAUAUAUAUCAGAAAAAAAGUUCCCUAAGAAAAUGCUAAUUCGUACCUUUGCAUAACGUCGAAUAAACGUGAAUAUCCCUAUCGCGCACACAAAGAUGAUUAGGGCUCAACCUCGACCAACAAUAUUCACCAUCAGAUCUACAAGAAGUGUCCAAACUAUCGUUUAAAUGGCAUUCUCCAAAUAUUAGUGUGCCCCAUUGCAAUUGUGUUGGGACAUACGUCCUACUACUUAUAUCAGAAUCUUCUAAAUUAUAGUCAUCAGAAAUCAAGGAAGCAAAUCCGCAUGAUCUUUUCUUCUUACUCAUGAUUACGUAGAGUGAACUAAUACCCUGAGGAAAAUAAGCAAGACAACUAGCAACAUAGGAAUUCUCGUUAUUAAUCCUAAAACUUGGUUGCAAACAUCCGCCUAUAAAAUUAACUGUUUCAUUGCUGAAAAUGUGAAAAUAAAAUAAAAUAAAAUAAAAAUAAAAAUAAAAUAAAGAACACAGAUUUUUACGUGGAAACCCUUUCGGGAAAAAAACCAUGGGCAGAGGAGAAGAAAAUUCACUAUGUCAAAUUCGAAUUAAUUACAAGAGGAAUAGACUAUGUCUAUUUAUAGGCUUAUAAAGCCAUAUUCUAGUAAGACUGAAACACCUUAUUCUAAUCAAUAUCAAAUAGAUUGAAUUUAAUAAGGUUUAAAAAACCCUAUUCUAAAAUAAAAUAAAAGAAGUGUAAUUCUAUAUGGAUUCUUCUUUUAUUUUAUUUUACCACUGUAUUUUAUUUAAAUAAGGAUUCGGGUCACUUAAUUCUAACAAUCUCCACCUUGACACGAAUUCUCAAUGAACAAGUUCUUCAUUGCGAACUCUCAACGAACAAGUUCUUCAUCUCUUCCAUAAAACCCCUUAAGGGUUUAACUUUAACAAUGAACACUAACCAAGUCUAAGCAAUGCUCAAACUUGGUUAUAGGAAGUGACUUAGUCAUCAUAUCUGCAGGAUUUUCAUGAGUACUAAUUUUGCUCACAACUAUAUCACCACGAGCAAUAAUAUCACGAACAAAAUGAUACCGAACAUCAAUGUGUUUUGUUCUCUCAUGAAACAUUUGAUCUUUUGUAAGAAUGAUGGCACUCAGACUGUCACAAAAUACUGCGCUGAUUUGAAGGUCUUCAUUGAGUUCGCUAAAGAGUCUCUUCAACCAAAUAGCUUCUUUACAAGCCUCAGUAAUCGCCAUAUACUCAGCUUCAGUGGUAGAAAAAACGACUGUAGUUUGCAAAGUGGCUUUCCAACUAAUUGCACAACCUCCGAUUGUAAAGACAUAACCUGUGAGAGAUCUUCUUCUAUCAAGGUCUCCAGCAAAAUCAGCAUCAACAUACCCAAUGACUCCAUCUCUAGUUCUUCCAAACUGUAAUCAAACAUCAGUAGUACCUAGUAAGUAUCUUAAAAUCCACUGAACUAUUUUCCAAUGUUCUUUACCGGGAUUCGCCAUGUAUCUGCUAACUGCACUGACUGCAUAUGAUAAAUCUGGACAUGAACAAACCAUAGCAUACAUGAGAGAUCUCACUGCACUAGAGUAUGAAACAUUUGACAUGUACAUAAUCUCAUCAUCUGAUUGUGGAGACAAAGCUGAUGAAAGUCUGAAAUGGGCUGCUAAAGGAGUACUAACAGGCUUAGCACUCUGCAUAUAGAACCUGCAAAGAACUUUCUCAAUGUACCCUUUCUCACUUAGGUACAAUUUACUUGCUUUUCUAUCUCUGAGAAUCUCCAUACCAAGUAUCUUCUUUACUGGUCCCAAAUCUUUCAUCUCAAAUUCUUCACUUAGUUGGGCUUUAACCUUUCUUAUCUCUCAUUUAUCUUUUGCUGCUAUCAACAUGUCAUCAACAUAAAGAAUUAGAUACACGAAAGAACCAUCACUAUUUUUCUUAAAGUAAACACAACUGUCAAAACUACUUCUUUUGAAAUUAUGAGAAGUCAUAAAGGAAUCAAACCUCUUGUACCACUGCCUUGGCGACUAUUUCAAACCGUAAAGGGAAUUUUUCAGCAAACAAACAUAGUUCUCUUUUUCAGAGACUGUAAAACCCUCUGGUUUUUGCAUGUAAAUAUCUUCCUCAAGUUCUCCAUGCAAAAAUACAGAUUUUACAUCUAACAGGUCAAGCUCCAAAUCAUACAUGGCCACAACACCAAGCAAAACUUGAAUCGAACUAUGCUUCACAACUGGGGAGAACACAUCUGUUAAGUCCACUCCUGGAAUUUGACUAUAACCCUUUGCAACAAGCCUUGCUUUAUAUCUGGGUUCUUCAACUCCUGGAGUCCCUUAUUUCUUUUUAAACACCCAUUUACAACAAACAACCUUUUUACCCUUAGGAAGUUUUACAAGAUCCCAUGUUCUAUUUUUGUGGAGUGAUUCCAUCUCCUCUUGCAUAGCAAACAUCCACUUUUCUGAGUCUUCACAACUAAUCGCCUCAGAAUAAUUAGAUGGUUCUUGAUUCCCAUAUAUAUCUUCAGCCACAUUUAAAGCAUAAGUAACUAGAUCAGCCUCGGCAUAUUUCUUUGGAGGUUUAAUUUCUCUUCUAGUUCUGUUUUUAGUGAUAGAGUAUUGCGGUGAUGAAGCAACUCUAUUCUCAAUUUUUGUACUGGCUUGAGGAGUCAACUCUGUAUUAAUCUGAUACUCCACCUACUUUUGAUUUUCUUUAUUUGAAAAGUUGGUAGCAUAGCAAUUUCGUCAAAAACAACAUCUCUGCUAAUCACAACUUUUCUAUUUUCCGGACACUAUAACUUAUACCCUUUUACACCAGCUUUAUAACCAAGAAAAACGCAUUUAAUGGAUAUCGGUUCCAAUUUUCCAUUAUCAACACGAGCAUAUGCAGGACACCUAAAGAUCUUUAAAUCAGAAUAAUUAGCAGGAUUACCAGACCAUACCUCUUGUGGAGUCUUUUUCUCAAUGGCAAAGGAUGGAGAUCGAUUGAUCAAAAAACAUGCAGUAGAGGCUGCUUCUGCCCAAAACGACUUUGGUUAGUUGGCAUCUGACAACAUACAUCGAACCUUCUCCAUGAUCAUUCUGUUCAUUCGUUCUGCAACACCGUUUUUGCUGUGGAGUAUGACGAACUGUCAAGUGUCUCACGAUCCCUUCUGACUUACACAAUCUAUUAAACUCAUCAGAAUAGAAUUCUAAACUAUUGUCUGUGCGGAGGUAUUUUAUUUGUUUUCCCGUCUAUUUUUCAAUCAUAAUUUUUCAAGACUUAAAUGCGAAAAACACAUCGCUUUUCUGCUUCAGGAAGAACGCCCAAAAUUUUCUAGAAAAAUCAUCAAUAAAGGUUAGCAUUUAAUUAGCUCCACCUCUCGAAGGCACUCUAGAUGGCCCCUACAGAUCAGAAUGAAUAUAGUCUAACGUUCCUUUCGUGUUAUGGAUUCUUCUGGUGAAUCGAACUCUUUUUUGCUUCCCAAAAACACAAUACUCACAGAAAUUUAGUUUGCAAAUUCCUUGCCCAUCAAAAAGACUUCUUUUGCUCAAUUCUACCAUGCCAUUCUUACUCAUAUGCCCUAGGCGCAUAUGCCAAAGUUUAGUAAUAUCAUCAUCUAUCAAGGAAGAGGAAGCGACAACUGCAUCACCAAUAAUAGUAGAACCCUGCAAAAUAUAUAACUUGGAAGUCUUUCUUUGCCCUUUCAUCACAACAAGGGAACCUUUGGAAAUCUUUAAAACCCCACUUUCAGUUGUGUAUCUGUACCCUUUUGAAUUAAAGAGUACUCAACAAAAUAAAAUUUCUCUUCAAUUCUGGAACAUGUCGCAUGUCACUAAGUGUUCUGACGACUCAAUCAAACAUCUUAACUUUAAUUGUUCCAACAUCUGUGAUUUUACACGAAGUAUUAUUUCCCAUCAAAACAACUUCUUCAAACAUUGUUUCGUAAGUUGUAAACCAAUCCCGAUUGGGACUCAUGUGGAAGGUGCAACCUGAAUCAAGUAUCUACUCUUCGCUUACUUUAGAAUCAUUGACAGAAGCGACUAGAAGUUCACCAUUGCUGUAGGCUUCUACAACAUCAGCUUCACCAAAAUUUUCUAGUUGUUUUCCUUUUUGAUUCAUAGCCUCCAUUUUAAUUUUGUUCUGUAGCUUAUAGUACUCAAAUUUAAUGUGCCAUUUCUUCUUGCAGAAGUUACAAGUUUUACCUCUGUUUGAAGACUUCGAUCUACCCUUAGAUUUACUACGGGGAUUCCGUUCCUGUGUCCUACCACGAUCAUCAUUAGCAUUCCAAUCUUGUCUCCCAUGAACAAUGUGACUCUCUCCCUAAGAGUCGGGUUUAACCACAAGAUGCUUUAUCUUAUCAUACAAGGUCAAAGAAUCAUAAACCUCAUCAACUGUGAGAGACUCGCGACUAUAUAAAAUCGUGUCUCUAAAGGUUGAAUAAGACGGGGGCAAUGAACAAAGUAGAAUCAACCCUAGAUCUUCCUUAUCAUACUGAACCUCCAUGGCCUCCAACUUUGAGAGGAUUUCUUUAAAGACUGUUAAGUGUUCGUGUACAGACGCACCUUCCUCCAAACGAUGAGCAUAAAGACGUUGCUUCAUAUGCAACUUGCUUGUUAUAGUUUUUGACAUACAUAUUUGUUCUAGCCUCUUCCAUAAUGCGGCGACAGUCUUCUCUUUCAUCACAUCCUGCAGAAUUUCGUUGGACAGAUGUAGAUGUAAUUGUGUUAACGCCUUUUGAUCCUUACACUUCUUCUCUUCAUCUGUUAAUGUCGAAGGCAUCUUAUCUAUCCCUAGCAGGGCAUCCUCUAGAUCCAUCUACGCAAGAACUGCUUGCAUCUUAAUCUACCACAAUGCAAAUCUGGUGUUGCAAUCCAACAGCGGAAUUUCAUACUUCAAAGAUGCCAUUACCGUGAUUGAGAUUAAUAACUUAGAAGCUCUGAUACCAAUUUGUGAAAAUAAAAUAAAAUAAAGAACACACAGAUUUUUACGCGGAAACCCUUUCGGGAAAAAAACCAUGGGCAGAGGAGAAGAAAAUUUACUAUGUCGAAUUCGAGUUAAUUACAAGAGGAAUAGACUAUGUCUAUUUAUAGGCUUGUAAAGCCAUAUUCUAGUAAGACUGAAACACCUUAUUCUAAUCAAUUAGAUGGAAUUUAAUAAGGUUUAGAAAACCUUAUUCUAACAUAAAAUAAAAGAAGUGUAAUUCUAUAUAGAUUCUUCUUUUAUUUUAUGUUACCACUGUAUUUUAUUUAAAUAAGGAUUCGGGUCACUUAAUUCUAACAGAAAAUAGUAACCAAAUUACCGCAACCUGAAGACCAAAAACUAUUAUUAGAAUCUGAGUAGGAAAAGCGGGUGCCAGUUAGGUUGAGACUCAUCCCAUUGUGAUGGUCUUUUUGACAGUUGAAGUAAGUUAUUGGAUGAUUGACCUUAACAGUGCCACCCAAAAAGUUAAACUCCAAUAUUUUCAGAUUUGUGUCAUUUAUGUUUAAGAGCGGCACUUUUUCCCCAUUGGCGGUUGUGUUGCAAAUUACUUCAAACCAGUCGUCAUUGGCAUAAUCUUGAUCCUUCAUUCUAAAGGGGUAGUGAAAAGUAACAUUCCCAUGGGAUCCUACCUUGUAGGUGUUGAAGUUGAUAUGUUCUAGUCCCGGUCUUCUGCAUCCUGCAGAUUUAGCAAAAAAAGGAGUAAAUUACAAAAUCUACUAAAUAUAUGUACAUUAAAUUAAGGGUGUGCAAAACUCAAUUCUAUUUGGAAAAAUAAAAAAAAUUCAAAUUUCAAAUUAAUUGAAAAGUUAUUCAAAUUAUUCAAGUCAACUCGAAUAAGUAAUUCAAGUUUUAAGUUCAAAUUGAGUUGAAUUUUACAAUUAGAAUAAUUCGAAUAACAGAUUGGUGUAAGUACCCUUUUGGUCCCUAUCAAGUUUGAAAAUGAAUAAAUUAGUCCGUCUCUCAACAAAAAUUACAAAAUAGUUUUUAAAAAUUCUAAAAUUCAUAUUUUUUAAAAAAUUCUAAAAAAUUCUAAAAAUAUAUAAAGAAAGUUAAAAUUUUAAAAUUUUCUAGAAUAAUAAUUUUGGGAUCCUAAAUAAGUUAAUUAAUUACUCAAAUUUAUCAUACUAAAGUAUUUUUUAUUUUACUUUGAAAAGUUUUCAAAUAUAUAUGGUUUCAUAUUUAUGUGCUCUAAUAUGGAAUUAGUUAUACUGUAACAAAAUUUUAAUUUGACAUGUUUAAUUUUUUAAUUCAACUCGAAAACUUUCACUCGAUUCGACUUACUUAAAUUUUAUUUCACUCGACAAAAUUCAAAAAAAUUUCGAAUUGAGUUAAGAUGAUAAAAUGAGACUCACCAACUCGAUUAACUCGAAAUUUUUUCACUUGAUUUGAUUAAACACUCAUCCCUACAUCCAAUGCUUGUAAGAAAUAAAAGUAAUGUGUUAUUCAAAAUAUAUAUAUAUAUCUAAAAAGAAGUUAUAUAUGAAAAGUGUUACUCUUAACUAAAUUUUUAAUUAAAUUUGUGUGUUAUUUGUGAUAUUAAAUUCAAUAAAGACUUUUUUAUUAAAAAAAUUAUGGUUGAAUUUAUGUCAUACAAUAUUUUUAAUUAAAAAUACUUUCCUUUUAAAAAAAAUCAGUUCCACUUAAAAAGAAAUAGAUAUUUCUUUUUCACAUUCCCUUUUAAAUUAUGAUUUGAAUUUUUUUUAAGUAACUAAUGAUUCCAUUUUCAAAACUAAUGAACUUAGAUUUAAAACAGUAAAUAUGAUUGAUUGUAAUUGUGAUUUGUGAGCACCAUAGACCCUCUAUCUAUAUUCACUCAAAAGGAUACUAAUUUGUUUUUUUUGAGGACUUUGUACACACUCUAUGUUGCGAAUAGUAGAAAUAGUGUCCCAAUAGUAGUGUUGAAUACAUUAACCAUUAAAUCAACACAUGGAGUUUGAAUACGAUAUUUUGAAGUAAAGGCCAACUCUUUGGAAAAUAAAUUUCCCAAAAUUUCUGAGUCAUAAUAUUUUGUGGAAUGGAAAGUAUAUCCACAAAAUGAUCUAAAUCAACAUCUUUAAAUUGUUAUACCAAAUUAAUGAGGGAAUCGUCUUUGUCUUAAAUUAAACCUCUGAAAUUAGCAUAAUUUCAUAAAUUUUCUUUGCAAUUGUUUGGAAAUAAAAACAACCAAUUGAUUAGCUCAUCUUAUAUUCUGUGAGAAAGUAAAAUAGCAGCCAACAUGCAUGCAUUUGUUCUGUGGAAAUUAAAUUAAAACCAAAGGAGGUAUCACUAUCAAGAAAGAUGAACCAUAAGAAGACUCAUUCCUUUUACUAUUUAUUAUUCAUACUAACAAAAUAGAAAUUUCCAUUAAAAAGUAAGUUCCAUAACAUCCACUGAAACAAUGACAAGAAUUGGCCCCUAUAACAAUUGCAAAAACACCUUGGCUCCUAUACUGAAUUUCUAGAAAUCCUUCAGUGAUUUUAGUGCAAUAAGAAUGAAAAAUGGCCUAAUCAUGAUUUUUAUUUGAUCACAUUCUAAUUAUAUUUUUUUUCCACUCACAUUGCUUUGAGCCCGUUUCAUGCUUUUAUUUCAAUUGCUUGGCUUUUAAUUCUCACAAUGCUUUUGUUCACUCAAGUAAUUUUUCAUUUUACCCACAAGCUUGUAAAAGUCCUAUAUUCACUAUAUUGUACCAUUUCUUAUUUUUUCCUCUCAAAUAUUUUGAAAUCACCAAGAUACCUCUACCUAAACUCGAGUUAUUUAUGGCCCGAUAGUUUCAAUAUUACCGAUCAUUAAGAAGUGUCAUAAGGAUCAAUUAUGGGAACUAGGGAUAAAUAGCAUAUUGGUAUGGUUAUUUGAGAAUUAGUUAUUCAAACAAUGAUUUAGGUCAUCCCUAAGAAUUCCACCAUACACACAGCUUCGUAGGAGUCCUAUAUUCAUUGUAUUGUACCAUUUCUUAUUUUUUCCUCUCAAAUAUUUUGAAAUCACCAAGAUACCUCUACCUAAACUCGAGUUAUCUAUGGCCUGAUAGUUUCAAUAUUACCGAUAAGAAGUGUCAUAAGGAUCAAUUAUGGGAACUAGGGAUAAAUAGCAUAUUGGUAUGGUUAUUUGAGAAUUAGUUAUUCAAACAAUGAUUUAGGUCAUCCCUAAGAAUUCCACCAUACACACAGCUUCGUAAGAGUCCUAUAUUCACUAUAUUGUACCAUUUCUUAUUUUUUCCUCUCAAAUAUUUUGAAAUCACCAAGAUACCUCUACCUAAACUCGAGUUAUCUAUGGCCUGAUAGUUUCAAUAUUACCGAUCAUUAAGAAGUGUCAUAAGGAUCAAUUAUGGGAACUAGGGAUAAAUAGCAUAUUGGUAUGGUUAUUUGAGAAUUAGUUAUUCAAACAAUGCUUUAGGUCAUCCCUAAGCAUUCCACCAUACACACAGCUUCUUUCAUACUUUAAAUUUAUCAGAUGAAUAAAAAUUGAUUCAACUAUCAUGUAUCCAUAAUUAUAUAUCGUGCUUAUUUAUCUUAUGGCACAAUCAAACAUUUUUACAUAAGUUUUUCUAGUCUAUUAUCUAAUGUAACUAAGUAACCUGUACCUUGACAAUAGCCCGAUUAUCCAUUGCAAAGUUUAAUUUAGGUUCUAUAAAUGGAGCAAACUGGAAGGAAUUAGCUCGACAAGCAGAUGUGGAUGGUUUUCUAGUAGGUGGAGCUUCUAUAAGGUUAGUAACUUUCUUUCUUUGCUUGUGUCACUAUUGAUUCAUUUAUUUAAUGCAUUUUCUUCAGAUUGUGCACAACUAUUCUUAACUUAUACAUUUUGUGUUUUUACUUCUCUCGAUCAGUCUGAGUUUAUCGAUAUCAUUUAGUUUAAGUUUAACAUCCACAAAGAGAUGCUAAUGUAUAGUUAAAACUCAAGAAGUUUUGUUAUCGAAAAAUUUGAUAAUUUUUUAUGGCAAGAGAAGAGACUAAGCUAGUUUGUUUAUUUGCAGGGAAAAUCUGACGAAGAAUAUGAACAAUCAGAGGGGUUUCGACAGGAGUUGGAAUUGAAGGUUCGAGAGUUGUUGACAGAGCAGUAAUGGUGCCGGGGAAAAAUGGCGAUAAGUGUAUGUUGGAUUCCGUUAAUAUCCCUUGCUUUCUUUAGUUUUCUCGCUCAAUAAAGUCUUACUAUUACUACGAUGAGUUAAUCACCUCUUCUUAUUUCACCUUCACAUAUAAAAAAAAGGAAGAGAAGGAGGAGGUGGAGGUCAACUAAAGAAGGAUGAAGAAGAGAAAAAGGAGAUGUGGAUAAUGUUAGUAUCUCAAGGCUGCAGCAAAUUUUAAAAUAAUAAGACUAAGUCUUAGGGGGAUUUGUUAGCUUGUUGGUAGGAGGAAGAGUUGUUAGCUUGUUAGUAGCAAUUUGAAUUUAUUUCUUGUUGAGGUUGUUACUUGGGACUUGUAUAUAAGGGUUUCUUUGUUAAUCAAUUAAAUUAUCCCUUCAUUCAUAUUUUUUUCUAUACUUCAAUUAGUUCUUUGCUAAACCAACAGUGGUAUCGAGAGCCAUUUUUCUUGAGGGACUUGUGAGAAAAGUUUUGUGAGAGUUCUGAGAAAAAAAUUUUGAGAGAUACACUUGUGAGGUUUUUUUUUGUUGAGGAAAAUAGAAUCGGGAUCGAGUAACCUGUCCAUCUUAGCCCCACUUGUGUUUGAUGGAGAGAAUUAUCAAGCAUGGGUCAUGAGAAUGUAAGCAUACAUGGAGGGUUGUGAUUAUUGGGAAGCUAUUGAGGAAGACUAUGAGGUGACUCCACUUCCUAAUAAUCCAACUAUGAAUCAGAUCAAAAUGCACAAGGAGAGAACCAUCAGGAAGGCUAAGGCAAGGUCUUGUCUUUAUGCUUCAGUUUCGCUAGCCAUAUUCAAUAGAAUUAUGGCUUUUGGAUUAGCGAAGGAAAUAUGGGACUACCUCAAAGCUGAGUAUCAAGGAGAUGAGAGGAUCAAGAGCAUGAAGGUGUUGAACUUGAUCAGAGAAUUCGAAAGGCUACAAAUGAAGGAGUCUGAGUCAAUCAAAGAAUACUCAGACAAGCUGAUAGAUAUUGCCAACAAGGUAAGAGCUUGUGGGGUUGAUCUCUCUGAUUCUAGACUGGUGCAGAAGAUACUUGUCUCCGUGCCUGAGAAAUAUGAAGCAACUAUUGCCUCUUUUGAGAACACUAAGGACUUGACUCAAUUGAAAGUAGUGGAGUUGAUCAGUGCUUUACAAGCACAAGAGCAGAGGAGGCUAAUGGGGCAGGAAGGAAGCAUAGAAAGAAGUAUAGAAGGAGCAUUGAAGGCUAAGAUGCAGCAAGGCGAAAAAGGAGAGGAACAAAAGUGGAAUGAAAAGAAGAGUGAUUGUAAUAGUGGUUCAGAAACUGUUGCAAAAAGUAAUAGUACUGAAAAUUAUAAUAAGUAUUCUUCAUGUAAGUAUUGUGGAAAAUAGAAUCAUCCACAUUUUAGGUGUUGGAGAAGGCCAGAUGUGAAAUGCAUUAGGUGUAACUUGAUGGGGCACAUUGAGAGGUUUUGCAAGGAAUUGAGAAAUCAGCAGUAGGGUGAAGUACAUGCUGUAGUUGAAUAAGAAGAGGAUCAUUUGUUUGUCGUCUCUUGCUUCUCAUCAAGCAUUUUAUGUGACAGUUGGUUAGUUGAUAGUGGUUGUACCAAUCACAUUACUUUUGAUGAGAAGCUGUUUAAAGACCUUGAUAGGUCAUUGAAGUCGAAAGUCAAUAUAGGAAAUGGAGAAUACCUAGAAGUGAAAGGAAGAGGCAUAGUAGCAAUAGAGAGCUAUGCUGGAACUAAGUUGAUUUCAGAUGUUCUGUUUGUACCUGAGAUUGAUCAAAACUUGUUGAGUGUGGGUCAAUUGGUAGAGAAGAGAUUCAAGGUGAUGUUCGAAGAGGGAAUGUGUUUGAUCCUUGACUCUAGUGGCAAUGAAUUGUUUAUGAUCAAGAUGAAGAAGAAAAGGUUCUCAUUGAAUCCAUUUGAGGAGGAGCAAGUGGCAUCCAAGUAUCAAGAAGAUAAUCCUAUCAUGCAAGAACAACUGCAAAUCAAGUGUUUUGAGAAUGAUAUCUUGCAUGCAAAGGUAACUCUCUUGGAGCAGCAGGUGACAUCUUUCUCUGAUAAACUAUCAUCUUUUGCACAUGAAAUAUCUGAAGAACAUGCUGAGGAGCCACGGAAAAAGAAUCUAUCUCAGGAGAUCAAGAGUAAUGUGCAACUUUUAGAAGAGAAUAGUCGGUUAUGUUUCCAAAAUCAAAAGCCGAUUGAAGAAGUUUCAUAUGCGAAAGAAUUGACAUCUGUAGAUGUUCUUGAGUUUAAGAAUUUAGUUGGUAAGGUGAUUAAGUUUUCAAUGCAAAAUACAAAAUUGAAAAAGGAAUUAUUAGUUGCGAGAAGAUUGGUUAAUCAAACUAUAAAUCGUAUUAAUCGCAAGUAUAGUGAUAACACAAGAUCUUGAAAGAAGGGAAAGCACUUUGGCCACUCUUAUGACUUUUCUAGAGCAACUUGUGAUGAUUUUUAAUUAUGGAAUUUUGAUUUAGAUGGCAUUGCUUGCUAGGAAACAAUUAGAGGCAACUCUUGAAGCUACACUAGUCGAGAAGGAAUUCAUAGAAGGCAAAUAUUGAAGAAACUGGUUUUCAAAGAUCAGAUGACGGAUAUUUUACUAUAUUUUUCAUGUUAGUCAUUUUGAGUUUCUUAACAAAAAAUUUGGUGUCUUCUGCACUUGAGUUAGGAGGAGAAUGUUAGUAUCUCAAGGCUGCAGCUAUUUUUAAAAUAAUAAGACUAAGUCUUAGGGGGAUUUGUUAACUUGUUAGUAGGAGGAGUUGUUAGCUUGUUAGUAGCAAUUUGAAUUUAUUUCUUGUUGAGAUUGUUACUUUGGACUUGUAUAUAAGGGCUGCUUUGUUAAUCAAUUAAAUUAUCCCUUCAUUCAUAUUUUGUUCUAUACUUCAAUUAGUUCUUUGCUAAACCAACAGAUAAUUAGAGUUACCCUUCUUUUGAUUAAGGUACCCUUGGAUUUUGUAUUCCUAUUUGGACGUCUUCUUUAUUAAUAAAUUCAUCUACAUAGAAAAAGAAAGAAAAAACAUAAUCCAGAACUUGUAUAAUAAAUAUCUUCAAGAGAUCAAAUAGCAUUGAGUGAACCAAGUAUGAAUUCUUGGGCAACAACAAGACUCCACCAGUGUGUCAAAUAAAGAAGCUAAAGGCUUUCAAUCAAGAGAAAUUAUUUUAGGAGUGUUGGAAUCUAGAAAGAUGAAUUUAAUGGAAACGUUGCACUAUCGGUUGUAACUGUCCUAGACAUUGAACAACUAGGAUUGGUCUCCCAUGAAUGGAUCAUGUCAUCUAUUUCAGAUUCUUCAUCACCACAGUCUUCAAUAACAUUUCCACUUGAAGCUUUAGUCAACUCCAGCUCCAUUGCUACUUGUUUCAUGGUGGGUCUUUUCUUUCCAUUAAGAUUCAAGCAUCGUUUUGCUACCAGAGCCACAACUAUAAUCUCUUGUUCUGGAUCAUCCUUUACUACCACUGGAUCGAGAAUGUUAAAUAAGGAAUUCUCCUGCAUUGAAUGCAAAAAAUAAGAUACCAAGCUUCUCACUGGCUCUGAUUGUUCUGCGGAGAUAGGUUUUUGUCCUGUUAAAAGCUCAAUAAGGACAACUCCAAAGCUAUAAACAUCACUCUUCUCUGUAAAUUGAUUUGAUCGAAAAUAUUCGGGAUCCAUGUAUCCAAAAGUUCCUUGCACCCGAGUGGUUAGAUGUGUUUGUUCAAGUGCAAUUGAUCUUGAAGUUCCAAAAUCUGAUACUUUUGCCCUAUAUUUAUCAUCCAAAAGUAUGUUACUAGAUUUGAUAUCUCGGUGAUAAAUAGGAGCAGAAGCAGCUGAAUGCAAAUAGAAUAAGGCAUUGGCAAUUUCGAUCGCAAUUCGUAAACGCAUUUCCCAUGUCAAUGGUAAUUCUUCGUUUUGGUUAUGUAUGAGAUCGUAUAAUGUACCAUUUGGUAUGAACUCAUACACCAAUAGAGGAACUUCGGCUUCUAAACAACACCCUAAAAGUUUAACCACAUUCCUGUGAUUAAUUUGAGAUAAAAUUAUCACCUCGUUAAUGAAUUGUUCAACCUUCUUUUCAUCAAAUUUCUUUCCUUCCACCAUGUUGGACUUCUUAAUAGCCACAAUGCUUCCAUCUAUUAGCAUUCCUUUAUAAACAGUCCCUUGACCUCCUUGACCAAGGAUUCGAUUCUCAUUAUAAUGAUCUGACGCCUUUUCCAUCUCUUUUGAAGUAAACAACUUAAUUUUUUCAACAUUACCUUCAUUGCUAGACAAAUGUUGUUGCAGUAACAAACCUCCAUUCCUUUUGAAGUAUUUCUGCUUCAGCAUUAUUUUUUGUUUUCAUUUGAGGACUUUGUACGUACUCCAUGUUGUGAGUAGUAGAAAUAGUGUCCCAAAACUAGUGCUGCAACCUAUAUAGAUAUAAGAAACAUUGUUAAAAGUUAAAUUUGAAAAUUAAAAUACAUGUUAAAAACCAAGAAAAUGUUUCGAUAAAGUUUUAUUCAUAUUUGAUUGCCCUUCAUUUUAAAUGAACAGUGAGACAACCUUAUUGCACCAUCCGAUAUUAAACUUUUAUAAAUUUCAUGAUAAAUAAUUGUUAUUGCAUCACACGUUCAAAAGUAAAUAAAUCACGGAUUGAAUUGACAUAAUCUAAUAACCAUAAUAAUUCCACUUUAAAAAUAAAUACGUACCUAUAAUAAUACUUGUCAUGCAACGAUUGUUUUGAGCUUGCAUUUUGUGCUCACAACGAAACCCUGUAUUAUUGAAUUCAUAAUGAGGAGGGCAAGACUCUGAUGAGCAAUAGUUGCCAGGGGUAUUCAAACAAAGUAUGCGACAAUACUUAUAACUCCCACAUUCCCCAUCUGUCAUUUAUGUGAAUUGAAUAAAAAAAAGUUAUAAUCAUAUAAUUCAAUUAAAGUAUCUAAGAUGUUGUUAUACUAUAUGAGCCGGAACAUAAUGGUUUUGUAUAUAUAAAUUUUAUAUACUUUAUUAAAUAUGAUUUUGUAUGUCGAAUCUUCAACUGAUUAAUAUAUUUUAGUCAUGAUAUACCUCAACCAAUAAUAACUAGAUUAUAGCACACUAAUGAUGUGGGUGACAAAAAUAUGUAACAAUUUAUUUAUAAAAAAAAUUGAUAAAAAAUUAAGAGUUUGAUUGAAAUGGUAAAAUUAAGAUAUUAGCUAUCAUGGUGCCUUUGUUCAAAUUUCAUUAUAGUCAUCUUUCUAGAUUUUACCUAAAUAUAAAAUGAUAAAAGAAAUACUCUCAUAAUAAUAUUUGUCCUUUUAAAAGUAAUGGGUUUUCAUAAUUUCAAUUGAGUCGAGACUUAAUUAAUGGGUGGCACCAACUUAAUUAGCUCCGAAAAAAUAGGACUAAUUUAAGGCAUACUCAUGAUGUGAGCGGAAGAAAAUAUGCAAUAAACAUAUUUAUUAAAGGCUUAUGUAAGAAUCAAGUGAAUCGUUACUUGAAAUGAUAAAAAUUAAAAAUUAAAAAUUAUUGUGUGAAAAGGUCAAAUCUCACCAUGUUAGAUUUAUUAUGAAUUUUAUAUAAAAAUGUAAAAAAUAGAAUAUUUUAAAAUAAUAUAACUUAAUUUAUAUAUAAAAAAUAUUUUAAUAAUUUUCCAAUUGAAGUAUAGCUAUAAGUAAAAAUAUAGAUAUAAAAAAAAAGUUCCUUAAAGAAAAUGUUAAUUCGUACCUUUGCAUAAUGUCGAAUAAACAUGGAUGUCCCUAUCGCACACACAUAGAUGAUUAGAGCUCAACCUCGACCAGCAAUAUUUACCAUUAGAUGUACAAGAAAUGUUGGAACUAUCAUUCAACUGACACACUCCAAAAAUGGGUGUGCCCCAUUGCAGUUGUGUUGGGACAUGCGUUAUAUUACUUAUAUUAAAAGUCAGAUCAUAGAAAUAAUAAAUCAUGGAAGCAAAUCCACAUGAUCUUUUCCUCCUAUAAUCACUAGAAUCGACCCUACUACUCAUGUUUACAUAGAAUGAACUAAGACCCUGAGGAAUAUUAACAAGACAACCAACAAUAGAGGAAGUCUCAUUAUUAAUCCUACAACUUGGUUGCAAACAUCCGCCUAUAAGAUUAUCUGUUUCAUUGCUGAAAACAGUAACCAAAUUACCGCAACCUGAAGACCAAAAGAUGUUGUCGGAAUCUGAGUAGUAAAAGCGGGUGCCUGUUAGGUUGAGACUCGUCCCAUUGUAAUGAUUUUUGCGACAAUUAAAGUAAGUUAUUGGAUGAUUGACCAUGACAGUGCCGUCCAGAAAAUCGAAGUCUAGAAUUUGCAGAUUUGUGCCACUUAUGUUUAACAAAGGCACUUUUUCUUCAUUGCAAGUUACUUUAAACCAGUCAUUGGGAUCAUCUUGAUCCUUCAUUCUAAAGGGGUAGUGAAAAGUAACAUUCCCACAUGACUCUACCUUGUAGGUGUAGAAGUUGAUAGGUACACAACCUGUAGGCUUAGCAAAAAGGAAGUAAAUUGCAAAAUCUACUUGAUAUAUGUACAUUCAAUGUUUGUAGGAAAAAAAAGCAAUGCAUUAUUCAAAAAAAAAAAAUUAUAAUUAUCUAAAAAGAAUGUACAUUUGAAAAGUGAUACUCUUAACUAAUUUUUUUAAUUAAAUUUAUGUGUUAUUUAAGGCAUUAAAUUCAGUAAAGACUUUCUUAUUAUCAAUAUAAAAUUUAUGAUUUGAUUUGAUGUCAUACAAUAUUUCUAAUUAAAAGUACUUGUUUUUUAAAAGUUCACACCCGAUCCUCUCUUAAUUUACAUAAUACCUUGUUAAUUUUAUUCUAAAUAUUAAAUUCUUAAUUGAAUAUGGUAUUUAUACUAAUUUAUCAUUCAACUAAUGAUUUCAAAAAUUUUUAAGGAACUAAUGAUUCAAUUUUCAAAAUAAAUGAACUUAAAUUUCAAAUAAAUCAUUAUAAACAAAAUUAUGUAAAUUAUGAAAUAAAUCAAAACAUAAUACAAAAUAUAUAAAACCAAAAUGAAGCCAGCGUUGCCCUUGAUCUCCCUGAUCAAGGGACCAAAUUAGUAAAUUUUCUACCUCUCCUAAAAAAUUAAUAAUUUAACAUAAAAUUUUAAUUUAGGGGUGAGUAAAACUCGAUUUAACUCGAAAAAAUUAAAAUAAAAAUUUUGAAUUUUGAGUUAAACGUAUUGAUUUAUUUAAGUCAACUCGAUUUUUUUUUAAUUUCGAGUUCAAAUUGAGAUGAGUUUUCGAAUUUGAAUAUAUCGAAUAAUUCGAAUAUCAAACUAUAAUAUUUUGCAUUUUUACUCCAAGCCCCCAAACCUUUUUAUUUUUCCCCCAAAAUUUUUACUUCCCUCCCGUCCCAACCCCCCAUCUAUCCCAAAUCCAUUUCUCAUCAAUUUUUUUAAAUAUUUUCCUUCUAAAAUUUUACUUCCCCAUUUACUUUCCCUCAAAAUUUUACUCCCAAAAACCCUUAAAACUUUUUAUUUUCCUCUAAAUUUUUUACUCACUCCCUCUUUUCCCCGAAAAAAUUUACUCCUCUCCCAUCUCACCCCCCAUCUACCCCAAACCCAUCCCUCCCCCUCCAAUUUUUUUUAAUAUUUUCCCUCCAAAAUUUUACUCUCCUAUUUACUCUCUCAAAAUUUUACUCACGUAAAACUUUUUAUUUUCCCCCUAAAUUUUUACUUCUCACCCUUUAUCCCCAAAUAAAAAAUCAAAAUUAUCCAAAAAAAUUCUUAAACCUAAAUAGUAAUAAAUUUAUUUAUAUCUACUAUUUAUAUUAUUAAAUUAAAUUUCACACUUAUACUAUUUAUAUUAUUGAAUUGUUUAAUCAUAUUGAAUAUUUAUAUUAAAAUUGAAUUAUUAAUGAUGCCAUAAAAUAUUCGUGUUAAAAUUUUAUGUUGAUAUCAAUUUUACAUUUAUCUUUAAAAUAAAUUUUAUUAAAAAAUCACACUUUUACAUUUAAUAUAUUUCUUAAUUUCAAAAUACAUAAUGACAAGAAUAGAAAAUAAUUGAAGCAACUAAGCAAACAAAGAAGCUAGCCCGUAUAUAAAAGAUUAAUAAAUAAAUUAUGAUGUGAUGAAAGUUAAUAACAAAUUUGAUUAUGGUAGACAAAUUUGAUUACACUGGAUGACAGUGGGUAGAAGGACCCAAAAUUAUUUUUUUAAAAAUUUAACUGAAACAUAUAUAUUCAAUUCGAUUCGAUUCAAAUUUCAUCUCACUUGACUUAAUUUGAGAAAAUUUCAAGUCGAAUUAGGAUGAUAAAAUAUGAUUUGUCAACUUGAUUAACUUGAAAUUUUUUCAUUCGAUUCGAUUUGAUUCGAUUGGAUCGAACGCUCACCCCUACUUUAACCCUUGAUAAAAUAUAAAAAUUACAUUUUUUUAACUCCUAAAAAAACUAAUAAUUUAAUUUAAUUUAAUCUCAGAUUUUGAAAUACAGAACUUUUAGGUAUAAAUUUUUGAAAAAGAAAAUAUUAAUAUACAAAAUGAAUGAUCCUAAAAACUUAAUUUCCUCUUAGAACUUAUAUGAUUCUAAAGACUGAUUUUAAACAAUUACCAAAAUCUAUAUAUUAACUGAAUUAAAAGAAGAAUAAUGAAAGCCAAGCAAUUGAAGUGACAGCGCAUGACUGACCUGCGUCACCGCAAUAGGUGGAAUUCCAGUUGAGCACGGCGGGAACAUGCGUGGUUCCAAUAUUGAUGCCAUUGGGUAAUGGGUAAGCACUACGGAAAGAGUACAUGCUAAAGAUGAAAGCGGAUGCGCAUCUUUUGCUGUCAGGAUACAUGGCUGUCAUGGUUACGGUAUAGGAAGUGAGAUUUCCAGUAAUUUCAGUAAAGCAGCCAGAUUCAGAAGCACCAUCGUCACACCUUGGUUGAAUGCAGCCGCCAAGUGAAUCAGCUUCGUCACUUAAAAUAGUAGCCAAAUUUCCGCAACCUACUGAUCCGAAAUAAUUCAUCUCACUGGAAAAGAAAAACGGAGUGCCUGAGAGAUUCACACUCAUACUAGCCUCGUUCAUAUGAUCACAAUUAAUGUGAGUAACUGGAAUACUGAUGACAAUGGCGUCUGCGUCUGAAAAUAAGGAAUCAAGUACCUCCAGAUCAAUGCCAUUUACGUUUAUGAAUGGCUUUUCCCCAUUACGGGUCGAUUUGCAAGUAACUCUAAACCAAGGUUUAGUAUAACAGUUUCUUUGGAUUCCAAAAGGGGAUGGAAUUGUAAUAUUUCCACAUACUUCUUCUCCACAGGCAGGUUCUUGAAAUAUUUCUGCUGCUUGUAAUAUUGGGCAUAACAGGAACAAGAAGAGGAGGAGGAUGAAGUAAAGCGCUAAGUGAAAACCCAUUUGCGUUGUUAUUCUGUUUGAGGGAAAUGAAUGAAUAAGUCAUUAAUAGAUUUUAAAGAAAGAAAAGCAGAGUUAAGUAGCACCACUAGAAACAAACGAUGUUUGACUGAAGCAAAUGAAAAGUCUUUGCUCACACUUUCCUUGAAGUUACAGUGUAAGUGCAUUUGAUUUGAGAACAGUUCAUUAAUUUGUAAAGAAUGUUGGACAAAUAUUAAAAGAUGGAGUCCCAAUCUUUUCAACAAUAAAGUAAUUUUUAAAAAUAUUUUAAGUGAAAAAAAAUAAAUGUUAAUUACAGGAAUUAAGUGAGAUGAUAAAGAUUUCUCCUAUUUUCAAUGGUAGAGAAUUUAAUCCUUACUUUGAGUAUGAAUUAAUUUCAAAACUCGUGAUUAACAUAUAUCUUUUAAUGAAUUUACUAAAUACGAAGAAUUAAUUACACAUGUCAUCAUAAACUAAAAAUAAAUAAAUAUCUUUACUAAUUUUUGGUCAACUAGAGUAGGUUAGGUAUACAGAGUUAGAGACAAAUAAAAUGGCUAGUCGAGCCUUGACCUCUAAUUUGUUUUAUAUAAUUUUUUCAAAUUCCUUGAAAUAUUUUUACAGUAGUAUUAAGAAAUAAGGAUAAUUUAUGUUGUUCCCUUCAAUAGUGACAGAACCAAGAUGUUAAUCUUGAGGGGAUUAAACUAAAAUUAGAUGUACUACAUAACAAUUGAUUUAAACAUAUAAACAACCGAUUCAAAAGAAAUGAUAUUUUAAUACAUAAAAAUCGAUUCAAAAGAAACAAUAUUGUAAAAAUUUUAAACUUUAGGAGGCCUACUUAUAUUUUUGAGAAGACCAUAGUAUAUUUACAAAGGGCUAAAUUGCAAAAAUUUUAAAUUUUGAGAGAACCAUGGCCAUUGACCUUCAAAACUUUAAAAUAAAUCAUAUUGUAAAAUAGAAAGCUUGAUAGUAUAGAUUAAGUAAAAUUAUUUUUAAAAACUCAUUAGUUAAUAUUAAUUCUACCAAUAACUGAAUGAAAAAAGUGAUAGAAGAUUGAGCUGCGAUAUUAAAAUUAUAAUUGUUGAAAGACUUUUACUUAAAUAUUACUUCUAUAUCAAACAAAAUUAAACUCAAAUUAUACAACAAAUGAAGAUAUCUGCGAUUAAAGUCAAUUUUAAUUAAUUUUGUAUUUUGUUUUUUACUCAAUCAAAUAGGGAUAUAGGCAUAUUUAUAUUAUUUAAGUACAUACAAUCCUGAUUGCCGAUAAAAGUAGAAGGGAGGAGAUAGCAAAGAGUAUUAGCCCCUUGCCCAAAAUAAAGGCCAUUAUCCUUAAUGAGUGACAGCAAAGAUGAUUGUGAUUUACAACAACUUGAGCAGAAAUUUCCAAGAAUCUCUACUCUUGACCUUGUUCCCAUAACAAGAGAUUGUUUAUAGCCAUUCAGCAUAUGAGGAGAGCUAGUAUCACAAGUUUAAGAAUUAUUUGUGGCAUGUGAAUAUUUUUAGACAUUUAAGUGAAAUAUCAAAUGAAACUCUUGUAACAAAUUAAGUUAUAUUUUAUAAUUUUUAAAUUUUUUUUAAUAAUUAUUAAUAAUUUAUUUUUUAUAUAUUUUUAUAAAAUUUAAUAAUUUUUACAUUUUAAAAAAAAAUAUUUUUAAUAAUUUAACAUGUCACAUCAAUAUGCUUUCACAUAGCAUAUCAUAUGUCAACUUCUCAUAACUUCCGUUAACCAUGUAAAUAAUGUAUAAUAUUUAAAUUAGUCAAGAAUUUUGAUUCUUUACUAAAUUUUUUACCCUUUAAUUUUAUAUUGAUAUUCAUUACUGAUUUUUAUGUAAUUUUCAUGACAAAAUCGGUAUUAAGCUCAAUAAAAUAUAUUAUUAGAUAAGUUCAGAUAUAACUUCAUUAAAAUCUGGGAAGACAGAAAACACUAUUAAUUUGUCUCAAAUCCCCCUUUUUAGAUAUUGAUUUAACAUGAGAAACAACAGGUGAGAAAUUUCGUUAAUAGAAGCCGAAGACGAUAUUUUGAAGUAAAGGCCACGUUAAAAGGCCAACUCUUCGGAAAACAAAUUCCAUCACGAGUGAACCAAAAAUUUCCGAGUCAUACUUUUGUGGAAAAUUCCACCAAGUAUUCUCAAUGGAAAAGUAUAUACACAAAAUGAUAGAAAAGGCGUUGGGCCACAAUUAAAUCAACAUCUCUAAAUUGUUAAAUCAAAUUAAAGAUGGAAUCGAUAUUGUCAUGACAUCAACAUCUUAUUGCUAAAGGAAACAACUUGAAGCCAACCCCAAUUUGUAAUGAUGUUAGUAUUAUAUUAAAUCGAGUCUAAUCGAGUCAAAAAAAUUCGAGUUAGUCGAGUUGAUGAAUCCUAUUUUAGUAUCUGAACUCAAUUUAAUUUUUUUCAAAUCAAAUCGAAUAUAGUUAAAAAAAUUUCAAGUCGAGUUAACGAAUCCUAUUAUUUAUAUUUAAUGUUGAGUUUACAUAGACUAAUUAUUUAACUAGUAGAUAAAAUACAAGAUUAUUUAACUACAUAAACAAUAUAAUGGUUUUACCUUUUAACUUAAUGAGUAAAUAUUUAUCAAAACGACGUAGUUUUACCUUUUAAUUUAAUGGUUUUGACUUUUAACUUUAGAAAGGUAAAUAUCUAUCAAAAUGACGUAGUUUUGCCUUUUCUUAUUUAGAUUUUCAGAUAACUCGAAUUGUGUAAUUCAUAUUCGAGUUAAACCGAAAAACUUAAUUUUUUAUUCGAGUUGAUCCGAAUAACUUAAUUAACUCAAAUAACUCAAACUAUUUAAUUCAAAAUUUGAAUUUUUAUCGAAUUUUUCGAAUACAAUUUGUCUACGAAGAGAGAAAUUUUCUUUUUGAGCAGAUGAGAAAUUUUGUAGAUAGAAGUUGAAUACAAUUUUCUUUUUGGUGAAUUACAAGAAGAGAGUAGAGUCCUAACAGCAACACGACUUGUUUCAGGAGAUAAAAAUACCUUCAAGAGAUAAAAAUAACAUUGAGUGAAACAAGUAUGAAUUCUUGGGCAACCAUAAGACUCCAUCGGUGUGAAAAAUAGAGAAGCUAAAGGCUAUCAGUCAAGAGAAAUUGUUUCAGGAGUGCUGGAAACUAGAAAGAUGAUUUUAAUGGAAAAGUUACACUUUCGGUUGUAAUUGUCCUAAACAUUGAACAACUAGGAUUGGUAUCCCAUGAAUGGAUCAUGUCAUCUAUUUCAGAUUCUUCAUCACCACAAUCUUCAAUAACAUUUCCACCUAAAGUUUUAAUCAACUCCAACUCCAUUGCUACUUAUUUCAUGGUCGGUCUUUUCUUUCCAUUAAGAUUCAAGCAUCUUUUUGCUACCAGAGCCACAACUAUAAUCUCUUGUUCUAGACCAUCCUUUACUACCAUUGGAUCAAGAAUGUUAAACAAGGAAUUCUCCUGCAUUGAAUCCAAAAAAUAAAAUACCAAGCUUCUCACUAGCUCCGAUUGUUCUUGUUGAAGGUUGGUCAGCAUGCAGCACCAAGAAGCAAGCCAAACGUACCAGCCAUGCUCGAGCAGCAAAACCAAGUGCACCUACUGUCAUUUAGUUCUUUUUGAUUCAUUUUGUUGGUGUAAUGUAAUCUUGUUCAUUUUGAGCUAUGUCAGUUUGAUGAUUGAUGUAAUUAGGUAGUGAUUGAGCUGAAAAUCAGCUUUGUUUUGUUGAACAAGUUAUUUUAUCAAGUUUCAAUAAGUUAUAGUGGUGUUAGGUGACAGUUUAGGUAAAAUUUAGUGGUGUUAGGUGACAGUUUAGGUAAAAUUUGCUUCUAAGUGUUUGACUUAUGUUUGAUAUAUGUAAUGGAUUUAUGCAAAAGUUGAAUGAUGAAUAAAUCAUUAUAUUUUCUUUCCAUAUGCUCUAAUAUAUUUCUUACUUUCAAUUCUGUUCUAUUUAUCAAGCUCAAAUCUCCAUACUUCAAUAUCAAGUUUUCUUCAUUCUUCAUCCGGAUUCAUUACAUUGUUAUUUAAGAUCCAGACUGAAGUACAUACUUCAUCCGGAUAAAGUGUUCCAAAAUCCCCAACAAUUGGUAUCUAGAGCCUUUGUCUUAGUGGACCUGUUAUAGUUAAAUCAUAAAUCGAUAGGUUCAUCAAGCUUCUCCCUAGCUCCACCUCUAGUCUUCAAUGGAGAAGGAUAUCACAUUUGGGUGGUCAAGAUGAGAACCUACCUUCAGGCAUUCGAUCUAUGGGAGAUGGUUAACUCAGAUGUUGAACCAACACCAUUGAGAGCUAAUCCAACAGUGGCUUAGAUUAGGCAACAUGCUGAUGAAAGGACAAAGAGGCAUAAAGCUCUAUCCUGCAUUCAGAACUGUGUAUUAGAUGUGAUCUUCACAAGGAUAAUGGCCUGUGAGACACCAAAGCAAGCCUGGGAUUGAUUGAAGGAGGAGUUUCAAGUGACUGAAAGAACAAGGCAACAGCAGCUUUUGAACUUGAGAAGGGACGUCGAGAACUUGAAGAUGAAGGAAGAAGAAACUGUUAAGUAGUAUUCAGACAUAAUUAUGGUUGUAGUUAACAGCAUAAGGUUCCUUGGAGAGCAGUUCAAUGAAGCAAAAAUAGUGGAGAAAGUCCUCUCAACCUUACCUGAGAGGUAUGAGGCAAAAAUAUCCUCUCUUAAAGACUCAAGAGACCUGACCAACAUCUCCUUGAUGGAGCUGAUCAAUACUCUUUAUGCACAAGAGCAAAGAAGAGCCAGCAGAAUGGAGAAGCACCAAGAGGGUACCUUUCAAGUCAAAACAAAGCCUGAUUCGAGUACCACUACCUCCAAAGGCAAGAAAGCUUGGAGAGACAAAUCUAAGUCAGAUGCUCCAAAAAGAUUAGACAUACCAUGUAGGCAUUGCAAGAGGCCUGGUCAUCCAGAGGCCAAAUGCUAGUUUAGGUGUAACACCCCAAACCCAGCCCAGACGUUACGACCGAAUCCGGCGUGUCACAUUGAAGUAUUUUUCGAAAACCAUGUUUUCAUUGAAAACCCUUCUUGAUGUUUAGAAACUUUUACCGUUUAAAACUUAAAUAAAACCUUAGCCUUAUUUUUUUCCAAAACGUGAUUCAUUGUAAUAAUCAAAGCAUUGUUAACAACCUUGUAAAAUCUUAUGGGAAACUUUGAAAACUUGUAAACCCUUUGUAGUGGCAGAAACAUGUUAUUUUAAAAAAACAGUUAAGUAUCGAAAAAAAAUCAAACCUUCUUUGUCAUGGCUUAAAGUGAAUGGAUACUACGCACCAGGUAGGAUUCAAGAAAAGAGGAGGUGAGUCAAUUAGACUGCUUAAGUACCUAGCUCUUCCAUGAUCUAAUCCUAGACAUGCACACAUCCAUUGCCACACUUUAAGCCUAUUACUUGUCCACGAACAACAAAUUAAGUUUAAGUCUAUUUAAAAUAUUUAUUUCCUUUGAAAAUAUUUACGUUGCGGAAACUUUGCUCGAUUAUCGUGAUAUUUUAAAAAUAAGUAACUUUUAUAAAACGCGCCCUAGAGCUAACCAAUUUAAUAACCCAAAAUAUUUAAAAUAAUAAAAAGAGCGGCCUUAUUACAACUUUAACCAGAAUAAAAAUAAUCAAAAUAAUAAAUGCAAAACUUAUUUUAAAGAAAACAAAACUUAAUCUUUGUGGCCACUCUGAAUCCCGCCCAGCUCCAAGUCCAUCGAUCUAAGGCUCACCUACAAAGAUGGGAAAAAGGGGGGUGAGUUUGGAAAACUCAGUGUGUAAAGUAUCCCAACCAGAGCCCAAAUCAGUUCAAGCUUUACUGGCCUAAGCCCUAUUCAGAAAUCAGUGUUAACUGGGCCUUAGCCCAUAUCAGUAUUAAUCUGGGCCGUAGCCCUAUUACAAUAUUAGAGCAUACUGGGCCUAGCCCAUAUCAGUAUCAGUCUGGGCCGUAGCCCUAUUACAAGUCGAGAUAUAUUGGGUCUUGCCCAUAUUAACACAGUUGGGCCCAUUUUAAUACAGUUGGCCCAUAAUAAAACAGUCUCAUAUGAUUAAUGCAUGAUAACCCCAUCCAACCCUGCACUUGCCUCCGUCCAUCCCUACACUUCCUGUGGGGAAUAAAUCACCCACGCCAUCCCUACACUUACAGUGUUAGCACCAAUUGCGGCACUAACUAUAAUCCGCAGCAAAGCUGCUUAUAUCAGAAUAUGUGGCACAGCCACCAGAACGGGUUCUUCCUCCAUAACAAAACCCAACCCCAUGCAACAGAUAUACAUGUCAUGGCAUAUAACAAACAGAAUCAGAAUAUCAUGUAUUUCAGUCAAAAUUAACCCUAGGGGUAAAAUGGUAAUUUUUAUACUUAGGGGUGUUUUAGUAAAAUUUACUAUUCUAGAGUUUACAUACAUAUUAUAACCAUUAAAGCAUUAACAGAAACACUUACCGAGCAUUUUUACUGAAUUGGGCCCGUUGGCCCACUACCCUAUUUUCAGCCCAUUAAGCCCAAAUAUACCGAAGUGCACGAAAUUGUGCACUCUGCACUCUUACCGCUUAUGAUUACCAAAAUUAACAAACAAACCACCUCACGAGCGCUCGCACGCUCGCAAGUUCACAAAUGUCGACUUUUCGGCAUUUCGGCUUUUCGGCUUUUGCUGAUCUAGUCUAUGAGUAGGUGUCAUUUACACACCUGUUUGCGAUGAAAUGCUAUGAGUUCCACACACGAACUGCCUACAAUCAAUUACUAAUACGUUAACUAUGAAUCCAUAGCAACUUAUCUGCAAAACUCCGUACUAAAAAUCGACCAUUAACACUUUAGGCACUAGUGUUCUUACCUUUGCUGAAAAAAUAGACUAGAUCUAAUUCUGGUCGUUCCAAAUAUCCAAGCCCUCAAUUAGUAGCCUUUAAUCCACACUAUAGGAAAACAAAUCAGAUAUCACCACUAAACCCUUUGAGUACAAUCAACAGGCACCCUUUGCAUAUAGGGGUUUUUUGGCUUUUACCUUAAUUCAUGAAUAACGAAAGAAAGAUUCGAGCGUUUACCUAUAUCAUUAUGACACUACUCCAAUUGAUUGUAGAUCCAACCACCGCACGAGAAGGGAAAAUACUCAACCAAGGGUUCGGCCUUUGUAGUACCUCAAAGUAGUAAGAUUUCGAUUUUGGAAGAAAAGAUACGAGGUUUGGCUUCAAUGGAAAUUCGGCUAACCAGUUUUGUUGAGGAUUUAUGAGAGAAAAGAAGAAGAAGAAUAUGAAGGAUUUAGGUUCGGCAAAAAGAUAGGAAGAGAAUCGGCAAGAGGAGAAAGAAAAGAGAAGAGAAGAAGAGAUGAGAGAAGGAAAGAAAAGAAUAGAAAAUAGAAGAAGGAAAAAAAAUGAAUCCAAAAUAUACGGCAUUUAAUAUAGCUAUGGCCGAAAGAGUGCCUUUCGGCAUAGUAAUUCUUUUUAAAUUCCAAUUCCCUAAUUUGCUCCUUGAUUUUUGGCCAAAUUCGAAGUUUGAAUUUCAUUCAAACUCCCAACCGAUCAGCAGCCUUAUCCACCUGCUUGCACCGCUUCAAUAUGCUGCCAAGAGUCCUGGUCAGACCUCAAUUCCUUCCCCACGCAUGCAGCAAAAAUCCAAACCUUGUAUGUGCCUUUCGGCAUUUAAUAUAGAAAAUAGAAGAAGGAAAAAAAAUGAAUCCAAAAUAUACGGCAUUUAAUAUAGCUAUGGCCGAAAGAGUGCCUUUCGGCAUAGUAAUUCUUUUUAAAUUCCAAUUCCCUAAUUUGCUCCUUGAUUUUUGGCCAAAUUCGAAGUUUGAAUUUCAUUCAAACUCCCAACCGAUCAGCAGCCUUAUCCACCUGCUUGCACCGCUUCAAUAUGCUGCCAAGAGUCCUGGUCAGACCUCAAUUCCUUCCCCACGCAUGCAGCAAAAAUCCAAACCUUGUAUGUGCCAAAUGCAGCUCGAACUACAGACCUCCGUCCGCCUUGCGCCCACGCCCGUGCUACUGACCACUGCACCAUGCUUCCUUCCUUAUUAAUACAUGGUCACAAUUAAUUAUAAACCUUACCUGCUUCAGUUCUGGCCCACUUUAAAAAUUAAACAAAAUUCGCCCGCGUAAGGACUCGAACCUGCACCCUGUCCAUAUGCCCAGCACGCUGCUGCCACUGAGCCACAGGCGCUUCUUGUGACAUAGCUUGGUCGCAAUUAUUGUUAAACCUUACUUUAGUGCGAUCUGGCUUCUUAAAAAUAAAAAACAAGCCUUUGCGUGUGCCAACCCUCGAACCUAGGCACCAUACCACACUCCCAGCGCCUCUGCCACUGGGCCGAGCUUCCCUUUUGUGUUACCUUUUAACCCCAACUUUAUAUAACACUUCCCUACGUCGUUCCCUGAUAUAAAGAAAAUUAACUCUUUUGCACAUGUUGGGAGUCGAACCCCAACUCUCCUUCCCACUACCUAGCAUGCUUAGACACUAGGCCAGGUGCUCCAUUAUGCUAAAAUUCAACCCAAAUUAUUAAUAAGGCCUACUGCCCAGAUUCCCUAAGGUAGCAUAAAAUUAAAAUUUUUCUAGAGUCUUAAACACCAAAACAACAAUACUUUUAUAAAUAUAUAUAUUUUUAUAUUUUAUAUUUUUUUUCCUAUCUAAUAAUAAUAAUUUUAUAAAUAUAUCUAAUAAUAAAAAUUUCAAAUAUCAAUAAUAGAGUAAAUAAUAAUAAUUUUCAUAAAAAAUUUUCAAACAUACAUGCAGUAAUAUUUUUCUAAUAAUAAUAAUUUUAUCUCAUAAUACUAAUUAAAAUUUCGUAAAAAUUUAAAAUAUCCGUAAUAAUAAAUAUAGUAAAAAUUUUCUAGUAGUAAUUCAAAUUUUUUUUUCUUAAACGGUAAUAUUUAAAACUUCCUAAUUAUUCAGGUUUCCUUCUAUCCGAAUCCCAGACUCAAAGCCCAACUCUUUUAGGCCCCAAAAAUCGGGGUGUUACAUUAGGCCAGAUGUGCAGUGCCAAUAUUGCAAGAAGAUAGGCCAUGUUGAAAGGGUUUGCAAAGAAAAAGGUAGACCAAGGCAGAAUCAACAGUAGCCAAGGGCUGAAGCUCGGGUAGCUGAAGAAGGUAGUGACAAUAAAGAGCAGGUCUUUACUGUCUCUUGCUCAGCUACUCAGGAGAAAGUUUCAAACGGUUGGCUCCUAGGUAGUGGUUGCACAAGCAUAUGUCACCAGAUGCAGCUAUUUUCAAAUCUUUAGGCAGAAGCUGUAAAACUAAAGUUAAAGUUGGCAAUGGCCACUUUAUUAAGGCAGAAGGAAAAUGAGAUGUGGUUAUUUGCACUCCAACAGGUAACAAGAUCAUUUCAAAUGUUUUGUAGUUCCUGAAAUUGACAGAAACCUGUUAAGUAUAGCUCAGUUAGUUGAAAAAGGCUAUACUGUGAUGUUCAAAGAAAAUAAAUGUCAGAUUAGUGAUCUAAGUGGAUCUAUGCUCAUGCCAGUAGCCAUGAAAGACAAGAGCUUUGUUGUGGACUGGAAUAAAGGCCUGGAUAGUGCCUAUGCUAUUUCUUCAGAAAAAUCCAAGCUUUGGCAUCAAGGACUUGGUCAUGCCAAUUUUAGGUCCAUGGCUCAGAUGGUCAAAGAGGGUUUGGCUAAAAAUUUCAUUAGUUCAGUGGAAAAUGAUGAUGUGUGUGAAGUGUGUCAAUUAGGGAAGCAGGCCAGACUUCCAUUUCCUUCAAACAAUGCCAGGAGAGCCUCAGAGAAGCUGCAGCUCAUACAAACUGAUGUGUGUGGCCCCAUGAAGACUGAGUCACUGAAUGGCAGCAGGUACUUCAUCUUGUUUAUUGAUGAUUACUCAAGGUUCUGUUGGAUUUAUUUCCUGAAGCAAAAAUAUGAGGUAGCCUCAGUAUUUUGGAAGUUCAAGACAACUGCUGAAGCUGAGACAAGCAGCAAGCUUAAGACUCUAAGGUCUGAUAAUGGACAUGAGUACACCUCAGCUCAGUUUCAAGCCUUCUGUGAUAAAGUUGGGAUCAAACACCAGCUCACCAACAUCUACACACCUCAGCAGAAUGGUGAUAGUGAAAGAAAGAAUAGGAGUUUAAUGGAUAUGGCCAGGUGCCUUCUAUUCCCCCAAAAAAAUUGCCAAAGACCAUGUGGGCUGAAGCAGUCAACACUGCUGUCUAUAUUCAGAAUAGGCUACAAACCAAAGUACUGGAGCACAAGACUCCAUUUGAGGCCUGGUUCGGGUUCAAGCCAUCAUUGGCUCAUUUGAGGGUCUUUGGAUGCUUGUGUUAUGCACAAGUACCAGCUGUAAAAAGAAGCAAGCUGGAUAUGAAAGCUCAAGCAGGCAUUCUAGUUGGCUAUAGCAUAAUAAAAAAGGGCUAUAGGAUCCUUAAUCCUUCAACAAACAAAGUUCUAGUUAGUAAGGAUGUAGUGUUUAAUGAGAAAGCAAGUUGAAAUUAGGAUAAAAAUGAGCCAGAAGCAGUUUCUGAAGAAUUUGUGGCUGAACAGACUGACCCUGAUCAAAAAUGGUCCAGAAAUGGACAUUGAUGAUGAACCAGUCAGGGGUACAAGACCAUUGACUGAAAUUUAUGAAAGGGCUCAAGUAGCAAUAGUUGAACCAAGCAGUUUUGAAGAGGCUGAAGCACAUCAAGGCUGGAAAUAGGCUAUGUCUGAUGAGAUUGUUAUGAUUGAGAAAAACCAAACUAGGGAGUUAGUUGCAAGACCAGCCAACAUGAACGUCAUUAGGGUGAAAUGGGUCUAUCGAGCCAAGCACAAUGCAGAUGGAAGUUUGAACAAGUUGAAGGCUAGGCUAGUUGUGAAGGGUUUUAGCCAAAAGUAUAGUCUGGACUAUUUGGAGACAUUUGAACGAGUGGCCAGACUAGACACCAUCAGGCUACUGGUUGCCUUAGCAGCUCAGAUGGAGUGGAAAAUCCACCAGCUCGAUGUAAAGUCAGCAUUUCUCAAUAGUUUUCUUGAAGAAGAGAUCUAUGUGGAGGAACCUCAAGGCUUCAAAGUGCUAAAAAAGGAAGACAUGGUCUACAGGCUCAAGAAAGCCUUGUAUGGCUUGAAACAGGCACCAAGGGCCUGGUAUAGUAGAAUUGACAGCUACCUGCUCAGUUUAGGAUUUCAAAGAAGCCUCAGUGAGCCUACUUUAUAUAUAAAGAAAGAAAAUGAUAAAACACAACUUAUUGUGUCUGUGUAUGUGGAUGACUUGCUGGUUACAGGAGAAGAUCAAACUAUACUUGCUGAUUUCAAAACUAAAGUGCAACAAAUGUUUGAGAUGUUUGAUCUUGGGAAAGUGACUUAUUUUCUAGGCAUGGAAGUGGUACAAUCACAUAAAGGAUUCUUUCUAAGUCAAAGAACCUUUGCUAUAAAGAUUUUAAACAAGUUCUCAACGCAGAAUUGCAAAGCAACAAAUACUCCAAUUGCUGUUGGAGAAAAAUUACCAAGCCAAAGUAACUCAGAAAAAGUUUGUGAAACAACCUAUAGAAGUCUAGUUGGAUGCUUACUUUACUUAACAACCACUAGGCUAGAUAUAAUGUUUGUAGUGAGUCUACUCUCAAGGUUUAUGCAUUGUUGCAAUGAAGAGCAUUUUCGGGCAGCAAAAAGGGUGCUCAGGUACAUCAAAGGUACCUUGAGUUAUGGCUUAUUGUAUAGCAAGACUGAUAGGCUAAGGCUAGAUGGCUAUACUGACAGUGACUGGGCAGGUUCAAAGGAUGACAUGAAGAGCACUUCAAGGUAUGCUUUCACCCUAGGCUCAGCUAUUUUUUGUUGGAGCUCGAAGAAGCAAAAUGUAGUUGCUCAGUCAACUGCUGAAGCUGAAUAUGUAGCAGCUGCUGGGGCUGUAAAUCAAGCCAUAUGGCUAAGGAAGAUACUAGAAGUUCUGAAUUUGCACCAUGAGGAAGCAACAGUGAUAAUGUGUGACAAUCAAUCCGCUGUUCCAAUUGUAAAGAAUCCAGUUUUUCAUGGUAGGAUAAAACAUUUCAGCAUUAAGCUUCAUGUGGUGAGAGAAAUGGAGCAAGCACAUGAGGUGAAACUGAUUCAUUGCAGUUCAGAAGAGCAACUUGCUGACAUUUUUACAAAACCUCUUGGAGUGACACGAUUUCUUCAUUUGAGAACUAAAUUGGGUGUUUGCAACAUGCUAACCAAGGAGGAGUGUUGAAGGUUGGUCAGCAUGCAGCACCAAGAAGCAAGCCAAACGCACCAGCCAUGCUUGAGCAGCAGAACCAAGUGCACCUGCUGUCAUUUAGGUCUUUUUCAUUCAUUUUGUUGGUGUAAUGUAAUCUUGUUCAUUUUGAACUAUGUCAAUUUGAUGAUUGAUGUAAUUAGGUAGUGAUUGAGCUGAAAAAUCAGCUUUGCUUUGUUGAACAAGUUAUUUUAUCAAGUUUCAAUAAGUUAUAGUGGUGUUAGGUGACAGUUUAGGUAAAAUUUGCUUGUAAGUGUUUGACUUAUGUUUGAUAUAUAUAAUGGCUUUAUGCAAAAGUUGAAUGAUGAAUAAAAAAUCAUCAUAUUUUCUUUCCAUAUGCUCCAAUAUAUUUCUUGCUUUCAAUUCUGUUCUGUUUAUCAAGCUCAAAUCUCCAUACUUCAAUUUCAAGUUUUCUUCAUUCUUCAUCCGGAUUCAUUUCAUUGUUGUUUAAGAUCCAGACUGAAGUACAUACUUCAUCCGGAUAAAGUGUUCUAAAAUCCCCAACAGUUCUGUGGAGAUGGGUUUUUUUCCUGUUAAAAGCUCAAUAAGAAUAAGUCCAAAGCUAUAAACAUCACUCUUCUUUUUAAAUUGACUUGAUAAAAAAAUUUAAGUUAUGUUAUUUCUCUUAAUUAUCAAGCCGAGCUCGAGUACAAAAUUGAUAAACUAGCAAUUUAAUCAAGCUUGAGUUCAAGUAGCUCGAGUAUAUUUCAAUUGAGUUCGAAUAUAAAAACAAAUGUUUAAUUGAACUCAAAUCAAAUAUCAAAUUCUAAAUUUUAGGUCCAACUCAACAAUAUUCAAACUCGGCUCGAUUACGUAACUACCCUCUACAAACUAAUCAGUAUAGCAAAUAUCUGCCCCCGUAAAAGGUGCAAUGCACCCAAUUUGCUCUCAUGACAUCUUCUUUCCUAAUUCAAUGUACACUAGAAAUUUCCAAGGAAGAUUUGCAAAGAAAGGUGAUAAUCUGAACUUAUUGACAAUUUCCUCACAAUUAAGCUAAAGUUUUCCUAUUCAGAAUCUUUUAUGGAAAGGUCAACUCUCCUCAUCACAUACAAUCUUUAUCAUAUGUAAGUUUUUUUUUAAUAUAAUAUAUGUGAUUUAUAUUCAAUAUAUUCAAUAUCUUUUGAAAAACAAGUAUACAUGAUCAUUAGCAAGAACAAUAAACAAUAUCAAAUUUGUUCCCACGAUAUUUGCUCAAUAUUUCAUGUUAAAUGUUCAAUAUUUAUUGCUUAAAGUAAUAAUUAAGAGUUGUGUAAAUGACUAACUCUAUGUGUGGGGUUUUAUGAUGGGAAACAACUCAGGAACCUUCUUUCAACUUAGUUUUUAGAAAAAUAAUAAUGCACUUAAAAUAAAAAAACAAUUAGAAUAGUUGAAUGACUUAAAUUAAAAUUUUCAAAUAAUUUAAUAACUAUUUUGUAACAUUUUAAAUUUGAACGAUUAAAAUGUAAACUUAUUAAUAAUUUAACGACCUUGAAUAUAGUUUACCGUAAAAUUUAAUAUUUCUAUCUUUAAACAAAAACAUUAAUCAAAUAUAUAAUAUAAAAAGAAAUUAUUUGAUACUUCAUUAAAUAUUAAAUAUUCACCCUAUAACUUCAUUAAAAUGACAAUAAAGAGAACACCGUUAAUUUAUCUGAAGACCCCUUUUGGGGUCUUGAUUUAAUAUGGUCAGAUGAGAAAUUUCGUAGAUAAAACCCCAAUCAAGUGAGAACUCGAAUCAUAAUCUUGCGGAAAAUUCGACACCUAAUGGAAAUGUAUGUCCAGAAAAUAAUAGGGGCCACAAUUAAAUCAUCUUUAAAUUGUUAAACCAAAUUAAAGAUGGAACCGUCAUUCUCAUGGGAUCAACAUCUUGUUAUUAAUACUCUACAGGGAAUAACUUGAAGCCAACGCCAAUUUAUAAUCAUGUUAGUAUAUAUGAGUAAUAACUUUGUUAAUUAAUUACUACUUCUUUUAUUAUCGACAAUUUUGCUAAUCAAUUUUAAAUUAGCACUUAGUACACCUGCAUCAUGUUUUAACAUCAUGCAGUUUUGAAUUCAAAUUAAACUGAUUUCCAAUGAAAAAAACAAAAGUCAUUCCGCGUGAAGAGGUAAGUUUGGAACACAUUUUUAUAUGUUCCAUGACAACAGCUGGCCCUUACGACAAUGGCAACAAGACCUAUGAUGAGUUUUGAUACGAUCCGCCUCGAAUGAUGAGUCAAGUCGUAUUUACGUUGCCCGAUCGUUUACGAGAAAGUAUGGUUCAAUUAGAUGGAUAUCUAACUAAAUCAAUGAAAUAUGCUCAACUGAGAUUAAAAGAUCAAAAAUAAAAUGGCUAAUUGGAAAGGGAAAAUAUUUGGUUAUCAAAUAAGUGAUAAAAGUUGAUUAUGUUUUGGAUAUGAUAAAAGGAUGGAAAGAAACGGCUCAAGAAGCAAGCAAGAACCAACACUAAUUAGUGUCGACCCAAUUACUUAUAUGCUUUUGAAAAGGUUUGUAUAUUCGGUCAAGACCUCAACCCACUAUCAAUAAAGAUAGGAACCUCGGUAUAGGGUUCGAACUCCACACUUGUGAAAGUGAUAAGUUUGGGAAGGCAAAGAACUGGUUGACGCCAUUAGCUUUGUAGAUAAGCCAACAAGUCUUUGAACAAAAUCAGAGAAAAGUAUUUCUCACCAAAUGAGCAAAGUUUCAUUAAAAUGUCAAAAAAUCGUCCUUCAAAAUUGCUGGUUACACAUAUUUAUAGGUAGAGAAAAACUAGCUGAAAAGUCACAUCUUAGGGUCUGUUUGAUUGGCAGUAAAAUAUUUUCCGUAAAAUGAUUUCUGGAAAAUGUUUUACUUUUCUGUAAAAUGAUUUACUGGAAAAUAUUUUCUAGUGUUUGAUUGAAUCUGUGUAAAAUAUUUUCUGCUGUUUGACAGAUUUCCUGAAAAUAUUUUCCGAAAAAGUUGUUUUUACAUAUAUUAAUAAAUUUAUAUACAUAUUAAUAAAUUUUUAUAUUUUAAAUUAUUUUUACACAUAUUGCAAUGAUUUAUUUAUAAAUAAAUUUUUUAUUAAUAAAAGUUUUUUAUCUAAUUAAAUUCCAAAUGUUCAUCUAUUUGUAGAUUAUACCGAUUUGAUUUUACUUCUUCAUUAUUAAAACAUUUAUUUGUAUUUAAAUUUUAUAUUAAUUUGAUUCUACUUUUAUCCAAUCUGAUUCUUGUGAUACAUAUAUUUAACAUGGGAUUUAAAUUAAGGGUCCGUUUGAUUGCCAGUAAAAUGUUUUCCGUAAAAUGAUUUCUGGAAAAUGUUUUACUUUUCUAUAAAAUGAUUUACUGGAAAAUAUUUUCUGGUGUUUGAUUGAAUCUGUGUAAAAUAUUUUCUACUUUUUGAUAGAUUUCUUGAAAAUAUUUUUCGGAAAAGUUGUUUUUACAUUUGUUCUAGUGAUUCAGUGUUCUAUCCACAUAUCCUUAUGUCCUAUAAAUCUAUAUUUGGGCUAAAAUGAAAUGGUAAGUGAAAUUUAUUAGUGAGUUGAUGAGUAACAUAUAAUAAAUAGUUUUGAGAAUCUUAAUGCUUAAUGUCUACUUAAUUCCAUUUUAAUAUAUCACAAACAAGGUAUUUAUAUGUUUAAUAUUGAUUACUUGCAAAGGCAAAGCUUAAUUCUCUAAUAAUUAAACUUUCAUCCUUUAAUGUCCAAAGAGACAAAGUUAGAUUAUAGAUACGACCUCAGGGAAAGUAAAUAUUGCAAAGCCAAAACCUUUAGCUAAAACUAUAGGGAAAAACUGAAAGAUAUUCUCGUAUUUUCUUCAAGUAAAAUCGCUUAUUAUAUAUAUUUAGACCAAGUUGUGUAUAAAAUGUCAAAUCACAUAACAACAGUGAAUAAAAUAACUCGAAGUCUAAAAACUAACCAUGUACGUAUGUAUGUAUGUAUAUAUAUAUACACAUAGGCACGUAACAACCCCAAGAAAUUAACAAAUGUAAAAAAUGUAAAGGAAACCAGAAAAGAAUCAGUGAACGAUAUGUAAUAAAGGUCUGCUUAGUUCCCACAGUGCCAUUUUGAUGUAGGAACACAGCUCAAGUAAUGGCACCAGCUGCAAUGGUCAUGUCCAUUCUCUCCUCUAAAUAGCAUUACCAACCCCACUGUGAAACUGUCAUCAUUCGAAAAAGGAAAACAGAGGAGAUUAAACAAACGGGACCAAAAUUAUAAACACGAGCUGCUAAACUAGUAAUGUAGGGUUGAGAGAACUUACCCAGCAAUGAGUAAAACCAUAACUAUCACCAAAAAUAGGUAUUGGUAUGCUUUAUGCUUAGAUGUUACACGAGCACCGGCAGGAAGAUGUUUACGUCCCACCCACCCGAAUUGGGGACGAAGCAGCAAAACGAACCCAAGGAGAAAAUCGGUUAAGAAACCUCCAAUAUGCGCAAAGUUGUCGACGUGAGGAAGAAUCCCCAUUGCUAAGUUAAUGACAAUGAUGACCGUGAGUGUGAUCAGAGCUGUAGCCUACAAAUUAAGGUAAAAAAUCAAUAUCCUCUAUUACUUUUCAAGCCACAUGAAAAAAGAAAUCACCUAUAACUCUGGUUUCCCUUCAUUGCAUUUCUAAGUAGAUAGGAACCCGAGGCAACUAAUAUUACCUUAUUUGUAUAGAUAGUCCAAUUAGUCAGCAGCUCCGACAACAUUAAUCCAAGAAGGCCAAAUAAAGCACCAGAGGCAGCAACAGAAAUGCUACGUUGAAUAAAAAGAGACGAUAGUACGCUACCACUACAAAAGGAAACGGAUAACGUACUGAAUCCAAAUUGUUGUUCAAGGCGAAUUCCAAUGAAGAUCAAGCUCAACAUGUUUGCAAGUAGAUGAAUAACACCAGCGUGUAGCCAGAUGCAAGUGAUAAGCCUCCACGCUUGAUUUCCAUGCACUACCUUGUCCCAUUUUAAGGCUCCCAAUUUUUCCAAUCUGAAGAAGGAGGAGAAAGAACAACAUAAAAUUACACAACUCGCGAUUAUCAACCACGACAUGGCAUAAUAAAAAAAGGAUUUGAAUUAGACCAUACAAAAACAAAAAUAAAACUACAAAUCAACUAACUUCAUUAACCAGUCCUUGAUUUCCAGACAAAGUUCAUUACCCAAAUUAACAAAGAAACUAACUUAAGUUCCUAUAAAACCAUUAAUCCAUAAAUUAACAAAGCAACUAACUUCAUUACCCAGUCCAUGAUUUCCAGACAUGCCAUUAUUUAACAAAGCUCAAAUUUGACUCAAUUGAUAGCUCGACCGAGUUCGAGUCUUUCUUCAAGUAGUUUGCAAGCACCUUUACACCCCUACUAUAGACAAAGCAAACCAUGACAUUUCAUAUUGAGAAUUCCUAUUGCUGCUAAAUGAACAAGGAAGAACAAAUCUAAUAAUAACCUUAAAUAGUAUCAAUCAUAUCAGACACAAAUUUCCAAUAGAAUCAAAAUAAAUCACAGAUUGAUAUAUCCUUUAGCAUGAUCCAAGGAUAAUCCUAUAGAAGAUCAAUUGGGAACUGCAGUUGAAUCAUCAAAUAAGAACUUCCUACAUGAACAACUUCUAAAAGAUACCGUCAGUCCAUAUCUAAAACUUGCAAGCAAUUUUUUCCCCUUCUUUAGAAUUGAAAGUUGCAAAAGGACCCUCAACUUCAAUUCCAACCCAAUUUCCCAUCACAUUAAAAAAAACACAAAAACUAAACAAAAUCUCAGAAAACCAGAGACAACAAAAAGAAGUGAACAAACUCAAAGCAUGAUCAACAUUAUCGAAGCGGUGGUCUAUUUUUCCCUUUCCUCUAACAGGCAUGGACAUUGGUUUCUUACUUAGGCAGUCGAUGUGGGUAGCAAUAGUGUUAGAAGAAGAAGAAAGAGUGGAAAUUAGAAAGAUGGCUUCCAGCAUUAACAACCGAACGAAGAAUAAAAGAAGAAGGAAGCUUACCCAUCAUUUGAAAGCAGAAAUGGCAACGGCAGUAGCAGCCAAAAAGAAAUGAAAAAUAAACGGAGCAUAAAAGCCAAAAAGAAAUGAAAAAUAAAUGAAGUAACCGUCGAAAAAUGGAAAUGGAAUUGCAACGUACCAGCAGCGGUUUCCAGUUCUGAACCAAAAUGAAGCUUUCAAUAACAGAAAUUUGAAGGAAUGAAGGAAGGGAGAAGAAUGGAUGAAGGGAGCUUACUGGAUGAAGGGAGAAGAAUGCCUGAGAGCUUUAGGAAAAUGUCUUACGGAGAUUGAAUCGGUAAGACAAUUUCCCAAAAAUUGUAAGGCAUUUUCCCGUGUUUUGUAGUUGAUUUUCCAAAAGGAAAAUAUUUUCCUCCAAUCAAACACUGGAAAAUGGGGAAAAUCAAUUCCGGAAAAUAUUUUCCCCUAUCAAACAGACCCUUAAUGUGCUAGUUAAAACUGAAAUUAAACUCAAGUCCCUUGGCAUUCUUGUAACAAUUAAUUCCAUCCUUGAAUUCACUUUAAUUCAACUGAAUAAAUAUUCUUGAUUGCUUGAAAAAUGUCUCUUGAGAUGUUCCUUGGCUAGCCGAAAAGAGACCAGUUACUUAAUGGUGUUUUGAAUGCUUGUUUUAAUAUUUGAAAGAACAAAAUCAGCUGGUAGGUGAAAGGGUUGCUGUCAAAUUUAAAAGGGUGUUAAAAUUCUCCUUAAAACUCCUUAAUUGAUGUAUAAAACCUCCUUUGUAACAACUCCUUCCUUUGUAACCAAAAAAAAAACACUUGACAAGUCACUUCCAUUAAGUUGUAACGGCCUUGAAAUGUAACGGUUGUGAGAUGAAGGAACACUUGCAAUAGAUUGCAAGUAACGUCUAUGGGGUUCAUCCCUGCAUGAUUAAUGGGUUUGACUUCUUGUUCUUCCCAAACUCGUUACACGUAGCUUGCCAAUGUGUCUUUAAAUUUCUUAGCUCGUGACCUAGUAAUAGAACCUUGUGGCAACUCAAUGGAUUCAGUAGAGACAUCCCGAGCUAAGGUUGUAUCAUUCCCUCCUCUUGAAAGUGAGUUGUCCUCAAGUCGAAACCUGCAUUAAAAGGAGACAAACUAGCAACAGUAAAGCUUGCACUAAUGUUAUACUCACUCGUUAAGUCAAGUCGAUAUGAAUUUUCAUUGAUUUGUUCAAUAACUUGGAAUGGACCAUCUCCUCGUGGUAACAAUUUAGAUCGUCGUUGAGCUGAAAACUGUUCUUUCCUCAUAUGAAUCUGGACCCAAUCACUGGGUUCAAAGAUAACCCAUUUUCUUCCUUUGUUCACCCUUUGUACGUAACUCUUGGUUCGGGCUUCAAUAUUAGCUCGCACUUUUUGAUGGAACUUCUUGACGUAUUCGACCUUUUCAUUAGCAUCUACAUACACAAAAUGAUUGUUAGGCAAUGGUAAUAAAUCAAGGGGAGUUAAUGGAUUAAAGCCAUAAACUACUUCAAAGGGAGAAAACUUAGUAGCAGUAUGGACAGAGCGAUUGUAAGCAAAUUCGAUGUGAGGUACACAUUCUUCUCACGACUUUAGAUUUUUACAGACGAUUUCACGCAACAAAGUAGUCAAUACUCAAUUUACCACCUCCGUUUGUCCAUCCAUUUGAGGAUGACAAGUGGUCAAAAAUAACAGCUUCGUUCUGAGCUUUCCCCACAAUGAUCUCCAAAAGUGGCUAAAAAACUUUGCAUCACGAUCGAACACGAUCAUUCUUGGAAUUCCAUGUAAACGAACAACUUCCCUAAAGAAGAGAUUAGCUACAUGAACAGCAUCAUCAGUCUUGGCACAUGCAAUAAAAUGAGACAUUUUCGAAAAUCUAUCAACUACUACAUAUAUAAAGUCUUUGCCCAUUUUUGUUUUUGGUAAUCCAAGGACAAAGUCCAUGGAUAUAUCCAUCCAAGGGAAUUUAGGUAUGGAUAGCGGCAUAUACAAACCAUGAGGUUGAAUCUUGGACUUAGCUCGUUUGCAGGUCACACAACACUCACAGACACGUGCAACAUCUCUUCGCAUUAGUAGCCAAUAAAAAUGUUCUUGUAGAGUUGAUAGUGUCUUGCUUAUACCAAAGUGUCCUAUGAGGCCUCCACUAUGCGCCUCUUGCAUAAGCAAUUCUCGAAUCAAGCCUUGUGGUAUGCAUAACUUACCUUCCUUAAAAAGGAAGCCCUCAUACUUAUAAAAUUUCUCAGAAGAUCCAUUUUCACAAACAAUAAAGAUAUUACCAAAGUCAUUAUCAUUAACGUACAAUUCUUUCAAAUAAGAAAACCCAAGUAGCUUAUAAUCAAGAUAAGACAAAAAAGUGUACCUCCUUGAUAGAGCAUCAACAACUACGUUUUCUUUACCUUUCUUAUACUUGAUAACAUAUGGAAAGGAUUCAAGAUAUUCAAUCCACUUUGCAUGACGCUUACUUAACUUAUGUUGACCUUUAAUGUGCUUUAAGGCUUCAUGAUCAGAGUGAAUCAUGAACUCCUUCGGCCACAAGUAAUGUUGCCACGUCUCGAGAGAUCAAUUAAGGCAUACAUUUCUUUAUCAUACACGGAAUAAUUGAAAACAACCCCACUUACCUUUUCACUAAAAUACGCCACCGGUCUUCCAUCUUGGGUUAGCACAGCCCCAAUUCCAACACCUGAAGCAUCACAUUUGAUUUUAAAGGUUUUAGUAAAAUCAGGAAGUGCUAAUAAAGGUGCUUGGACAAGGCAUUGUUUAAUUUUAUUAAAUGAAUUUUCUUGCUCAUUUGUCCAAUAAAAUGGUGAAUUUUUCUUAAUAACACUUGUCAAUGGCGUAGCAAUUGUACUAAAGUUAGGUACGAAACAUCAAUAAAAACUAGCCAACCCAUGAAAGCUUCGGAUUUGGAUAAUGCUAGUCGGGCACGACCAUUCUUGGGUCGCUCAAACUUUCUCUUGAUCAACUUCCAACCUUUCGGAACUCACCACAAAACCUAAGAACACAACUUUGUUAGUACAAAACGAACACUUUUUAAGGUUUGCAUAGAGUAUCUCCUAUCGCAACGUUUCUAACACCUCUCGCAAAUGUUGAACGUACUCUUCCAAUGACUUGUUGUAUAUCAAGAUAUCAUCAAAAUAAACUACACAAAAUUUUCCAAAAUAAGCACGCAACACAUGGUUCAUUAAUCGCAUAAAAGUGCCAGGUCCGUUCGUAAGACCGAAUGGCAUUACCAACCAUUCAUGCAAACCAUGUUUGGUUUUGAAGGUAGUUUUCCAUUCAUCGCCUUCUUGCUUACGAAUUUGAUGGUAGCCACUCCUAAGAUCGAUCUUCGUGAAUAUCUUGGCACCGUUUAACUCGUCGAGCAUAUCAUCGAGAUGAGGAAUCGGAUGUCUAUAUUUAACAGUGAUCUUGUUGAUAGCACAACAGUCAACACACAUUCGCCACGAACCAUCCUUUUUAGGUGUAGCACCCUAAACCCGGCCCAAAUGUUAUGGCCGGAUCCGACAUGCCACAUCGAAGCAUUCAAAACAUUUUCGAUCCAGAAAGAAAACUUACUGAGUGUUUUAAAAGAUGAUUUCAUUAUAGGUUAAAGUGAAUGGAAGCUGUGCACCAGGUAGGAAAUCGGAAAAGAGGUUGUGAGUCCAUCGGACUGCUUAAGUACCAAGCUCCCUUCGGAUCCAAUCCUAGACAUGCAUACCGCCAUUGCCACACCUUAACGUCAUGGAUAUUUCUAGGAAACCGAUUUGAUUAAGUCAUUUUUAGGAAAAGUGAUUAAUCUUGGAAAAUACUUUCAUUACGGAAGCUUUGCUUGUUGUCGUGUUAUUUUGAAAUCAAUUGUUGUUUUUGAAAAUGCGCUCUGAAGCUAUCCAAUUUCAACAGUUAAAUAUAAUAAAUACCUAUCUUAGUAAUACAUAUUAAAACUAUCAAAAAUAAUUAAGCGGCCUUAUUACAUUUAAAAACCCAAAACUUCAAACGUAAAUAAAAGGAUGUCCAGUCCACCAUAAGAAAAUCAAGCUUUCAGAACGGGUGGCCACUCCGAAUUCCCUCACAGCUCCAAGCCCAUUAUGGUUGGGGAUUUCCUGCGUGGAUGAAAAUAAAAGGGGUGAGUUUGGGGAAACUCAGUGUGUAAGGAAAACCCAUUCAAAGCCCAAGUCAGCUCAAGCCUAUUGGGCCUAAGCCCAUUCAGGUAACAGUGGUAAUGGACCAGAGCCCUUUUCAGAUUACAAUAAACUGGGCCUUAUCCCCUUAUUCAGAUAACAGUAUGGCCCAUAGGCCCAUUUCAAAAUACAUGCAACAUCAAUAACAUAUGCAAGCUCAUUUGGGGAGACUACUCAACCCACCAACCACUACACUCCACCCGUACCAGCCCUACACUCAAUGUGGGGAAUAGCUCAACCCACCCAGCCCAACACUCCACAGCUGCAGCCUUGCUGCUCAGUUAACAGUAAAUUGAGGCAAAGCCUCCAGUACGUGGACAAGCCACUUUCAGUACUUCCUCCGUCAAUAUCCCAGUCCCAUGCAUCAGAUAAUAACAACAUGGCAUGAAGUAAAUAACAACACUCAAACAUGCAUUUAGGUCAAUUUAACCCUAGGGGUAUUUUGGUAAUUUAUCUCCUAGGGGUAAAACCGUAAAUUUUCCACUUUUAAAGGUAUUUCAGUAAUUUAUCUAUUUUAGGGUUUUUCAUGCAUAUUCCUACCUUUCACGUACUAACAGAAUCACUACCGAAGGUUCUUACCGAAUUGGGCCCGUUGGCCCAUCAUUCCAAUUUUGGCCCAUUAAGCCCAAAUAUAUCGAGGGCACAGAAAUCAUGCACUUUGCAGUCCAAACAUUGCAGCUUACCAAAAACAUUAAUCGAUUUACCUCACGAGCAUUCGUACGCUCGCAAAUCUACAAAAUACCGGUUUUCGGCUUUUUGACUUUUGUCGAUCUAGACGAAGAAAGAGGGUGUUAGUUACACACCUGUUUGCGACGAUAUGCUGACGAGAUCCACACACGAACUGCCUACAAUUGGAUUACUAACACGUUAAUCUAACUAUUCACAUACAAACUACGUAUUAAACCCUUACAAUAUUCGGCCAACCACACCUACAGGUCAUAGUAAGCUUAUAAGAAAUCAAUAAGCAACUCAUUAACAAAUUUUUGUCAAUGUUUACCACAUAAUCAUAAUUUCACUGCAAGCUGUCUUCCUGAGCAACAGUCACGAAAUCAUUUAUAACUGGAGCUACGAAACUCCAAAUCAAGUGCCGUUAAUUUUCCCUAAAAAUAGACUCAUAUAUCUUCUAUCCAUAAAAUUUUCAGAAUUUUUGGUUUAGCCAAUCAAUACCAGAUAUUUCUCAAAGUUUCCCAUGUUUCACUAUUUGACUAAUCUGCCCACUCUUCAUUACGACUCAAAUUUCUCAUUGUAAAGAAUUCAAAAUAUGUUCUCGUUUAUUUCAUUUGAAACUAGAAUCAUUAAGAUUUAAUUACAUAAUUUAUUCAGCUUCUAAUUCAUCUCCCACAAUUUAUGGUGAUUUUCCAAAGUCACGUUACUGCUGCUGUCCCAAGCAGAUUUAUUACCAAGUCACUCUUUCACACACCUAUCUUGCAUGCAUGUUAUUUAAACAUGUAUAUCACCAAUCAAUCAUCACAUAUCUAUGAUUUUUGUACUUAAGCAUAAUCUCCAUUUCAUCAUUUUAAAGCACAACAUGUUAGCCAAUUUUUCCCUUUAGCAUCUAAGGCACAUGCAUGAUCAUUUGUUUGGCUCAACUUCACCUAUCUUCCAUUUUUCAUCAAAAGAACAUGAAAUAACAACCAUUUCCUUCAUUUUAAUUCAUGACUAAAUGCUCACAACACAACUAAAAACCAAAAUAUGCUUCAAGAGUUAAGGUAGAAUCAAGAAGAACUCAUGAACAUCAAGAUAGAAGCACACUACCAUGAACUUACCUUCAAUUUUCUUCCCCAAGUGACCGAACAUUCAAGAGCUUUCUCCUCUCUUUUCUCUUCUCUAACUUUAGGCUAUGAUGAACAAAUAUGGACAAAACUUUGUUCUUUUCACCCCUUUUUCUUUUAAUAAAAUUUCAUAUUUCAUCCAAUUAAUUCUUAAUACAAAAGACAUGAAAUGCCCAUCAUGGAACAUUUACCUAAACCAUUAUCAUGGAACAUUUACCUAACCCAUUAUCAUGGAAUAUUUACCUAAUCCAUUAUCAUGGAACAUUUACCUAACCUAUUAUCAAUUUGUACCAUGAAUUAUGGAUAUCAAGUGCUCAUAUUGUCUACAAUAACAUGAUGGCUGGCCACUUCAUGUAAAAUGGUAGGUUUGUCAUGCAAAUCCUCCUAUUUUGCACUCCUAUUUAUUUGGCCACUUCAAUUUAGCCUAUAGCAUUUUCAAACAUUUUCACAUAAGUUCUAUUUCAUAAUUUCACCCCCUUUUUCUUAUGGAACAAAAAUUAACUAAAAUUGCCGGGUUCUAUCUUAAGCUUGGGCCUUCUAGAGGCCCACUAACAUAAUUAAACCUAUGCCAACAUUCACAGAAUUCCCGAAAAUUGGGGCAUUACAACUCUACCGUCCUUAAAUAAAUUUCGUCCUCGAAAUUUACCUGAUCCAACUAGUUGAGGGUAUUGUUGACUCAUAGUCUCUUCUGAUUCCCAAGUAGCUUCUUCCCUUCCAUGAUUACGUCAAAGCACUUUCACUAACGGGACAGAUUUCCUUCCGAGAACCUUAACAUCUCGAGCCAAUAUUUGCACAGGCUCCUCCUCAAAGGUCAAAUCAGUCUGAACUUUAAUUUCUGCAACUAGCACGACAUGAGCAGGGUCAGAACGAUAACGCCUUAACAUGGAGACGUGAAAAACAUCGUGAAUCCUGUCUAACUCUGGAGGCAAUUCCAAUUGAUAAGCCACUGGGCCUACUCGCUUCAAAACCCGAUAAGGCCCAAUGAACCGCCGGCUCAACUUGCCCUUCUUACCGAACCUUAAUAUCUUCUUCCAAGGAGAAACCUUUAAGAAGACCAUAUCACCUACUAAGUACUCAAUCUCCUUACACUUCAAAUCUGCAUACGACUUUUGCCUAUCAGAUGCUUCUCUUAAUCGGUCCCUAAUUAUUUUGACCUUAUCCUCAGUAUCAGCUACCAACUCUGGUCCAAGAAUUUGUCGCUCUCCUAGUUCAGUCCAACAACUAGGUGUACGACACCUUCGUCCAUACAGUGCUUCAUACGGUACCAUUCGAAUACUCGCCUGGUAACUGUUAUUGUACGCAAAUUCUGCCAACGGCAAGUAAUCCUCCCAACUACCUCGAAAGUCAAUCACACAUCCCCUCAACAUGUCCUCCAGGAUCUGAAUAACCCUCUCUGAUUGACCAUCAGUUUGGGGAUGGAAAGCCGUACUAAAGUUCAAUCGCGUCCCCAACACCUCAUGCAACCUUUGCCAAAACCGAGAUGUAAAUCUGGGAUCCCAAUCAGAAAUAAUUGAAACUAGGACUCCAUGAAGUCAUACAAUCUCCGCCACAUAUAGCUUGGCUAACUUUUGAAGCGAAAAGUCAGUACGUACAGGUAUGAAAUGGACUGAUUUGGUCAACCUAUCCACAAUCACCCACACUGAGUCUUUCUUUGAUGGUGUCAAGGGCAGCCCACUCACCAAGUCCAUGGUUACCCUCUCCCACUUCCAAAGUGGUAUCUUCACUGACUGUAACAGUCCAGAGGGUAAUUGAUGCUCAGCUUUCACUUGCUAGCAUGUCAGACAUUUCCCUACAAACUCUGUUACUUCUCGUUUAAGCCCAGGCCACCCGUACAAUUCUCGCAAGUCGUGAUACAACUUAUUCCCUCCAGGAUGCAUGGCACAAAGUCCUCCAUGAGCUUCCUUCAAUAUUGUCUGCCUCAAAUCAGAGUCCUUAGGAACAUAAAUUCUUCCUCAGAAACACAGAACUCCUUCGCCAUCUAACCCAAACUCAGAAGUUUCCCCUUCCUUAACUUGUUGGAAACGAGCGACCAAAGACUUAUCGUUCAACUGCUUUUCCUUAAUCUGAUCCACCCAGGUUGGCCUCAGUUGCAACUCAGCCAACAGACUUCCAUCAUCAUACAGACUCAGACGAGCAAACAUUGCUCUCAGAUUAGAUACAGCUCUACGACUUAGAGCAUCGGCUACCACAUUAGCCUUGCUUGGGUGAUACUCGAUCAAACAGUCAUAAUCCUUAAGCAACUCAAUCCAUCUCCUUUGCCUAAGGUUCAGCUCUUUCUGAGUCAACAAAUACUUAAGACUCUUAUGGUCAGUGUAUAUAAUACACCUUUCUCCAUACAAGUAAUGUCUCCAAAUCUUAAGUGCAAAUAUCACUGCUGCUAACUCUAAAUCAUGAGUCGGAUAGUUCCCUUCGUGAGGUUUAAGCUGUCGUGAUGCAUAUGAAACCACCUUACCCUCCUACAUUAACACGCAGCCCAAACCCACGUGUGAUGCGUCAUUGUACACAGUAAAAUCCUUUCCAGACUCUGGCUGAAUCAACACAGGUGCUUCAGUCAGAACUUUCUUCAACUUCUCAAAAGCUUCCUACUGCUUCUCAGUCCAUACAAACGGUACUCCUUUCCUUAUGAGUUUUGUCAGAGGUGCUUCCAUAAUAGAAAAACCUUCCACAAACUUUCUGUAGUAUCCUGCCAGUCCUAGGAAACUCCGUAUUUCCGACAUUGACCUAGGCGGCGUCCACUCCAAAAUCGCUUCAAUUUUCUGAGGGUCCACCUUAAUCCCCUCAGCAGAGACCACAUGUCCUAAGAAGGUUACCUCCUCCAACCAAAAUUCACACUUGCUGAACUUCGCAAAGAGUUCCUUCUCCCGUAAUACUUACAGCACUAUACGGAGAUGCUCAUCAUGUUUCGUUUCAGUUUUAGAAUAUACCAGGAUAUCGUCAAUAAAGACGACUACGAACUGAUCCAAAAAUGAUUGGAACACACGAUUCAUCAGAUCCAUAAACGCUGCAGGAGCGUUCGUCAGUCCAAAUGGCAUAACCAGAAACUCGUAAUGACCAUACCGAGUCCUGAAUACCGUCUUAUGGAUAUCUACCUCCUUGACCCUUAAUUGAUAAUAUCCAGAUCGAAGGUCGAUCUUGGAGAAUACAGAAGCUCCUCUAAGCUGGUUGAACAGAUCGUCAAUCCUUGGCAGCGGAUACUUAUUCUUAAUCGUCAGUUUGUUCAACUGGCGAUAAUCAAUGCACAUCCGCAUUACCAUCCUUCUUUUUCACGAAUAGCACUGGUGCUCCCCAUGGAGACACGCUUGGCCUAAUGAAGUCCCUAUCCAACAACUCUUGAAUUUGAGCCUUUAACUCCACUAACUCCUUCGGUGCCAUCCUAUACGGUGCGAUGGACACGGGCGCCGUUCCAGGCAAUAAAUCUAUUCCAAACUCAACUUCUCGGUUCGGAGGCAAUCCUGGAAGCUCCUCUAGAAAAACAUCUUGGAACUCCUUUACGGUCCUAACCUUAUCCACUGUCAGUCCCUCCUCUUCUGACUGACUUACAAAUGCCAAAUAGGCCUCACAACCUUUCUGAAUCCACUUCUCGGCUCUUAAUGCCGACACCACAUUAGACAAAUAAUCCCUUCGCUCACCUAUCACCAUAACCUCCUCAUCCUUUGUGGUCCUUAACACCAUUCGUUUAACAGCACAAUCCAGAGUCGCUUUAUGCUUAACAAGCCAAUCCAUUCCCAAAAUGAGAUCAAACUCUCCGAACGGUAACUCCAUCAGAUCUCCAAGGAAAAUCUUACCUUGAGUUUCUAAGGGUACAUCCCUAUACAGUUUAUCUACCCUAACCGAGUGACUCAAAUGACUUAGUACAGAUACCCCACUCACAAUCUCCUCAGAGCAGUCCAAGUUGUCCAUAAUCCGUUCUGUGGCCUCCAACCAAUUUUCUGCCAUAUUUGGGGCUAUACCAGACACGCCCCUAAAAAUCUCCGCUCCGUUAGCCCGAAGUCGUUAAGAAAUAGAUCCCCGAACUCCAUUGCCCAUACCUGCCCCGGCAACCCUUUCUAAAACACGAAGCAUUGCCUGUGACAGGGCAUCAUCCCCGGCACCGCGUUCAUGAGACUCUACCUCUGUUGCCGAUGGUACCGGUGCAUCCACCGCCGACAUAUGUCCCGAAGACGAAGAUCUCGCUCGAGCACUUCCUCGGCCCCGUCCACAGCCUCUUCCAUGAAUGGUUCUUGUACUCAUAUCGUAUUAUCUUGAUUACGAAUUUUUAUGCAUCAAUUAAUAUUCUAGUGUUUAUUACAGAUGUUUUAUGAAUUAGACAGUAGUUCAGAGUUUGUUUUCGCAGAGUUGAAGUCUAGCUACAGUUUCAGUCUCUUAUCAGAUUUUCUUAUGGUUUCAGUAUCAUCCUAUCUAGAGUAUCCUAGUAGGGUUUCAGUACAGACAGAUAACUCAGGAAAAUAUUCAGAAAAAUUCAGAAUACUUACAGACUUGAGCCGGAGAUUCGGAAUGCCACCUUCUAAAGAUCUAAAUUUUGAAAAUCGCGUUUUUCGCAAAAAAAAUUUGUUUUUGAAAAUCUUUAUUUUUUUUUGUAAACCCAUUCCACAGCCGAGUUGUUGCAACCUAGGCUCUGAUAGCACUAAAUGUAGCACCCCAAACCUGGCCCAGACGUUAUGGUCGGAUCUAACAUGCCACAUCGAAGCAUUCAAAACAUUUCCGAUCCAGAAAGAAAACUUACUGAGUGUUUUAAAAGAUGAUUUCAUUAUAGGUUAAAGUGAAUGGAAGCUGUGCACCAGGUAGGAAACCGAAAAAGAGGUGGUGAGUCCAUCGGACUGCUUAAGUACCAAGCUCCCUUCGGAUCCAAUCCUAGACAUGCAUACCGCCAUUGCCACACCUUAACGUCAUGGAUAUUUCUAGGAAACCGAUUUGAUUAAGUCAUUUUUAGGAAAAGUGAUUAAUCUUGGAAAAUACUUUCAUUGCGGAAGCUUUGCUUGUUGUCGUGUUAUUUUGAAAUCAAUUGUUGUUUUUGAAAACGCGAUCUGAAGCUAUCCAAUUUCAACAGUUAAAUAUAGUUAAUACCUAUCUUAGUAAUACAUAUUAAAACCAUCAAAAAUAAUUAAGCGGCCUUAUUACAUUUAAAAACCCAAAACUUCAAACGUAAAUAAAAGGAUGUCCAGUUCACCAUAAGAAAAUCAAACUUUUAGAACGGGUGGCCACUCCGAAUUCCCUCACAGCUCCAAGCCCAUUAUGGUUGGGGAUUUCCUGCGUGGAUGAAAAUAAAAGGGGUGAGUUUGGGGAAACUCAGUGUGUAAGGAAAACCCAUUCAAAGCUCAAGUCAGCUCAAGUCUAUUGGGCCUAAGCCCAUUCAGGUAACAGUGGUAAUGGACCAGAGCCCUUUUCAGAUUACAAUAAACUGGGCCUUAUCCCCUUAUUCAGAUAACAGUAUGGCCCAUAGGCCCAUUUCAAAAUACAUGCAACAUCAAUAACAUAUGCAAGCUCAUUUGGGGAGACUACUCAACCCACCAACCACUACACUCCACCCUACCAGCCCUACACUCCAUGUGGGGAAUAGCUCAACCCACCCAGCCCAACACUCCACAGCUGCAGCCUUGCUGCUCAGUUAACAGUAAAUUGAAGCAAAGCCUCCAGUACGUGGACAAGCCACUUUCAGUACUUCCUCCGUCAAUAUCCCAGUCCCAUGCAUCAGAUAAUAACAACAUGGCAUGAAGUAAAUAACAACAGUCAAACAUGCAUUUAGGUCAAUUUAACCCUAGGGGUUUUUCGGUAAUUUAUCUCCUAGGGGUAAAACUGUAAAUUUUCCACUUUUAAAGGUAUUUCAGUAAUUUAUCUAUUUUAGGGUUUUUCAUGCAUAUUCCUACCUUUCAUGUACUAACAGAAUCACUACCGAGGGUUCUUACCGAAUUGGGCCCGUUGGCCCAUCAUUCCAAUUUUGGCCCAUUAAGCCCAAAAAUAUCGAGGGCACAGAAAUCAUGCACUUUGCAGUCCAAACAUUGCAGCUUACCAAAAACAUUAAUUGAUUUACCUCACGAGCAUUCGUACGCUCGCAAAUCUAUAAAAUACCAGUUUUCGACUUUUCGACUUUUGCCGAUCUAGACGAAGAAAGAGGGUGUUAGUUACACACCUGUUUGCGACGAUAUGCUGACGAGAUCCACACACGAACUGCCUACAAUUGGAUUACUAACACGUUAAUCUAACUAUUCACAUACAAACUACGUAUUAACCCCUUACAAUAUUCGGCCAACCACACCUACAGGUCAUAGUAAGCUUAUAAGAAAUCAAUAAGCAACUCAUUAACAAAUUUUUGUCAAUGUUUACCACAUAAUCAUAAUUUCACUGCAAGCUGUCUUCCUGAACAAUAGUCACGAAAUCAUUUAUAACUGGAGCUACGAAACUCCAAAUCAAGUGCCGUUAAUUUUCCCUAAAAAUAGACUCAUAUAUCUUCUAUUCAUAAAAUUUUCAGAAUUUUUGGUUUAGCCAAUCAAUACCAGAUAUUUCUCAAAGUUUCCCAUGUUUCACUAUUUGACUAAUCUGACCACUCUUCAUUACGACUCAAAUUUCUCAUUGUAAAGAAUUCAAAAUAUGUUCUCGUUUAUUUCAUUUGAAACUAGACUUAUUAAGAUUUAAUUACAUAAUUUAUUCAGCUUCUAAUUCAUCUCCCACAAUUUAUGGUGAUUUUCCAAAGUCACGUUACUGCUGUUGUCCCAAGCAGAUUUAUUACCAAAUCACUCUUUCACACACCUAUCUUGCAUGCAUGUUAUUUAAACAUGUAUAUCACCAAUCAAUCAUCACAUAUCUAUGAUUUUUUUACUUAAGCAUAAUCUCCAUUUCAUCAUUUUAAAGCACAACAUGUUAGCCGAUUUUUCCCUUUAGCAUCUAAGGCACAUGCAUGAUCAUUUGUUUGGCUCAACUUCACCUAUCUUCCAUUUUUCAUCAAAAGAACAUGAAAUAACAACCAUUUCCUUCAUUUUAAUUCAUGACUAAAUGCUCACAACACAACUAAAAACCAAAAUAUGCUUCAAGAGUUAAGGUAGAAUCAAGAAGAACUCAUGAACAUCAAGAUAGAAGCAAACUACCAUGAACUUACCUUCAAUUUUCUUCCCCAAGUGACCGAACAUUCAAGAGCUUUCUCCUCUCCUUUCUCUUCUCUAACUUUAGGCUAUGAUGAACAAAGAUGGACAAAACUUUGUUCUUUUCACCCCUUUUUCUUUUAAUAAAAUUUCAUAUUUCAUCCAAUUAAUUCUUUAAUACAAAAGACAUGAAAUGCCAAUCAUGGAACAUUUACCUAAACCAUUAUCAUGGAACAUUUACCUAACCCAUUAUCAUGGAAUAUUUACCUAAUCCAUUAUCAUGGAACAUUUACCUAACCUAUUAUCAAUUUGUACCAUGAAUUAUGGAUAUCAAGUGCUCAUAUUGUCUACAACAACAUGAUGGCUGGCCACUUCAUGUAAAAUGGUAGGUUUGUCAUGCAAAUCCUCCUAUUUUGCACUCCUAUUUAUUUGGCCACUUCAAUAUAGCCUAUAGCAUUUUCAAACAUUUUCACAUAGGUUCUAUUUCAUAAUUUCACCCCCUUUUUCUUAUGGAACAAAAAUUAACUAAAAUUGCCGGGUUCUAUCUUAAGCUUGGGCCUUCUAGAGGCCCACUAAUAUAAUUAAACCUAUGCCAGCAUUCACAGAAUUCCCAAAAAUUGGGGCGUUACAUUAGGUACAAGUAGAACUGGCACAGCACAAGGACUGAGACUCUCUCGGAUGUAACCCUUAUCUAUAAGUUCAACAACUUGUUUUUGUAAUUCCUUGGUUUCUUCCGGGUUACUUUGAUAAAUAGGCAGAUUAGGAAGUGCGGCUCCAGGUACUAGAUCGAUUUGUUGCUCGAUGCCUCGAAUGGGAGGCAAUCCACUCGGCACUUUUUCCGAGAAAACAUCCUCGAAUUCCUAUAAAAGAGACAACAUAGAAGAAGGUAGAUCGUAGGGUAACUCGUUAGUGUUUAACAAAAUUUCUUUGUACAUAAGUACAAAUAUAGGUUGCCUCAAAGUUAAAGCUCUCCGAACAUCACUUAUUCUCGCAAACACACUUAUUUUUCCACUUUUUUUUCUUCUCUAUUUUUUUAAUUUUCUUGCUUCCUCUUUACUCUCUUUUGAGAUUUUACCUCUAGCUCUCUCAUUUUUCUUUUCUUUUUCUCGCAUUUGUCCCACAAAUGUUUUGAGUUUAAGUUGGUCCUCGUAUACUUGCUUCGGGGUUAAUGGUGUAAGUGUCAUAUUCUUGCCCCCAUGCUUGAAGGAAUAUCUAUUAGUAUAGCCAUCAUGAACCACACUCCGAUCAAACUGCCAUGGUUGUCCUAAUAGCAAAUGGCCCGCGUGCAUUAGCACCACAUCGCAUAGAACUUCAUCGGAGUAUUUUCCAAUGCUGAAAGAAACUAGGACUUGUUUCAUGACUUUGAGCUCACCACCAUCGUUGAGCCAUUGAAGCUUGUACGAGUUCGAAUGUUUGGUGGUCAACAGUCCUAAUUUUUCCACCAUGAGAGUACUCACCGUAUUCGUGCAACUUCCACCAUCUAUGAUAAUGCUACAAAUUUUCCCUUGGAUUUUACAUCUCGAAUGGAAAAUAUUCUCUUGUUGUUGCUCAUUCUCCACUCCUUGUAGACUUAAACUUCGUUUGACUACAAGCAACUCACCUUCGACAGGGUGUUCCAAAUCCUCUUCUUCGUUAGAAUUCUAUUCCGGCUCAUCUUCUUCUUCAUCCUUUAUUUCAAUUUCACAAUCUGUACGAAACACCAUGGUGCUCCAGUUUGGGCACUGACUUGCAAUAUGUCCUCUUCCAGGACAUUUGAAGCAUUUAAUAUCUCUAGAAUGGUUGGAUGAACUCUCAAUAGCUUUGCCUUUGCUUGAUUCGGCCAAAAGGUUAUUUGUCUUAGGCAACAUCGUGGACUCCUUCACUCGGUUUGAUGGAAAGCUUUUGCUAACGCCUUGUCCCCAUCUUAGAGGAUUUGUAGUGGAGUAGCCUCAGGUAGCACCCUUACAGUUUAUUUGUUUUUCCACUUUGAUGGCCAUGUGUACCAUGUCCACCACAUUGAUGUAAUGUUGAAGUUCGACGACAUUAGCAAUGUCACGGUUAAGACCAGCUAGAAAACAAGCUAUAGUCACUUCGCGGUCUUCUUGCACAUCUACACGAAUCAUCGCCACCUCUAUCUCCUUAUAAUAGUCUUUUAUGCUCUUAGUUCCUUGAGUAAGAUUUUGAAGUUUCUGAUGAAGCUCCCGGUGAUAAUACGAAGGAAUAAAUCACCGUUGCGUUGCAGCUUUCAUCUCAACCCAAGUAUUAAUAGGCCUUUCUCCUUUGCGCCUUCGACCAGUGGUGAAUUGAUCCCACCAGAUUAUUGUGUACGUUAUCAGAAAACUCAAUUACAUCUAGUUUGACCUUCUUACUAUUGGAAUAGUUGUGUAUUCAAAUACUAAUCUUUUUCCCACUCUAGGUACACCUCCGAAUCAGAUUUGCCUUGAAAGGGAGGUAUUGAUAGCUUUAUAUUCUUGAGAUCAUCAUCUUCACUUCUCCGAUCUCUUUGGCCAUGAUUUCGUUGUUCCCUCUGUUGAGCACUCACAAUGGACCGUUGGUCACUCUCAGCCUCACUAGGAUCUGACUGAUCAUCUUCGUUAAAUUAUUAUCAGCCACGGUUUCUAGGGGACUUUGAGGUGUCCUUCUCUAUCCUACUCUUUCUUCAACUAAAUCCAACCUUUCUUGUAUAGGAUCAAGCUUCCGGUUAAAGAGUCACUCCACCUCUCGAAGUAUAGCUUGAAAAUUAAAGUCUGAAACAUUUUUAACGGGUUGUCGGUCUUGUUGCUCAUCCAUAUUUUGUUUAGGAUUUUGUGACAAAAAAGAAAAUAAAACAAAUCAAAACUGAAGAAAGAUAAUAAUUGAAACCUCAUAACAAACCUUACGUUCACUCGAAAAGGAAAAAAAAUUAUAGCACUCACGCUCGUGUUUGCACUCGUAUGUUGGCUUUUACCUCCUCUAAAUUGUGCUCACAACUCUCGUGCCUUUUUCCACUUCUUUUUUUUCAUGACUUUGUAAGCAGACUUGACAAGGCUUAAUCGUAGGCUUAAGGGUCGGUCACAAAGUGGGAAAUAAGAAAAUUAAUGAAGAGGGGUAGGGUAGGCUAAAAGAAAAGAUGAAAAGGAGUUUAAGUGUGGCAUGGAAUGGGAAGGAAUGGUUGAGAAUAGAAAUUUUCUUGAUCUGGGAAUACAAGAGUAAAUACAAAUUUUCAACUCAAUUUUUUUGAAUUUUUUACUUUUUUCAAACUUACUUUGAUUCUUCACGUACUAAUCUAAGUUUAUCUUCGAAGGUUCGUACUUCUCUUUUUUUAAGCUCUGAUACCAAAUGAUAUGAUCUGCCUCGAAUUACGAGUCGAGUCGUAUUUACGUUGCUAAUCAUCAAUGAGAAAGUAUGGUUUCAUUAGAUGGAUAUCUAACUAAAUUAAUGAAAUACGCUCAACUAGGAUUAAAUGAUCAAAAAUAAAAUGGCUCUAAUUGGAAAGGGAAAAUAUUUGGUUAUCAAAUAAGUGGUAAAAGUUGAUUAUGUUUUGGAUAUGGUAAAAGGAUGGAAAGAAACAACUCAAGAAGCAAGAAAGAACCAACACUAAUUAGUAUCGACCCAAUUACUUAUAUGCUUUUGAAAAGUUUUGUAUAUUCAGUCAAGACCUCGACCCACUAUCAAUAAAGAUAGGAACCUCGGUAUAGGGUUCGAAUGCCACACUUGUGAAAAUGAUAAGUUCAGGAAAGGCAAAGAACAGGUUGACGCCACUAGCUUUGUAGACAAGCCAACAAGUCUUUGAACAAAAUUAGAGAAAAGUAUUUCUCACCAAAUGAGUAGAGUUUCAUUAAAAUGUCAAAAAAAUAGUCCUUCAAAAUGGCUAGUCACACAUAUUUAUAGGUAUAGAAAAACUAGCUGAAAAGUCACAUCUUAAUGUGCUAGUUAAAACUGAAAUUAAACUCAAGUCUCUUAGCAUUCUUGUAACAAUUAACUCCAUCCUUGAAUUCACUUUAAUUCAGCUGAAUAUAUAUCCUUGAUUGCUUGAAAAAAGUCUCUUAAGAUGUUCCUUGGCUAGUUGAAAAGACACCAGCUAUUUAAUGGUGUUCUGAAUGCUUGUUUUAAUAUUUGAAAGAACAAAAUCAGCUGGUAAGUGAAAAGGUUGCUGCCAAAUUUAAAACAGUGUUAAAAUGCUCCUUAAAACUCCUUAAUUGAUGUAUAAAACCUCCCUUGUAACAACUCCUUCCUUUGUAACAAAAAGAAAAAACACUUGAAAGUCACUUCCAUUAAGUUGUAACAACCUUGAAAUGUAACGGUUGUGAGAUGAAGGAACACUUGCAAUAAAUUUCAGGUAACGCCUAUGGGGUUCAUCCUUGCAUGAUUAAUGGGUUCAACUUCUUAUACUUCCCAAACUCGUUCCACGUAGCUCGCCAAUGUGUCUUUAAAUUUCUUAGCUUGUGACCUAGUAAUAGGCCAUUGUGGCAACUCAAUGGAUUCAGUAGAGACAUCUCGAGCAAAGGUCGUAUCAAGUUUCCUUAAAUUCUUGGGUUUGGAAACUAUAACAUAUAUCCUCCUACUGAACCUUUAGUAGAUAACUAAGCUUAGCAAAUUAAACAUGUCCUCAUCUUUAACCAUUUCUGUUAUUUUAAGUGUAUUAUGCGCUACCAUCUUUCUUUCCUUUGCUACAACCAUGUUGCCAACAGAACAAUCACCAUAUGAGUUCGAAGUUAAAGCGUUGAUAAAGAGUGGUUGGUGGAGUAGCUAUAGUAAUGAUACUCCACAACAUUGCAAGUGGGAUGGUAUAUCAUGUAACAGUGCCAGAAGAAUCACCAAAAUUAACAUUUAUGAUGCGCCCAAUAUUGAGGUUGGAGAUAGUGUUGAAGUUGGCCUGCAUCCACCACAUGAUGCAGCCAAGAAGUAGAGAAGCUGCUCGAACCAUAUAGAUGCUGCUGAAGUUGAUGCAGCUAUUCAAUUUCAGUUUAUUUUGUUACUUCAAUUGAUGUUUUAUAACUUUGUUAAAUUAGAACUAAAUAGUUAAUAUACUUGAUGUAUUUUUGUUGACAUUUGAGCUGAUAAAUCAGCUUUACCAAGUGUGCAAGUUUAGUUUAACAAGUUUCAAUGUAAUCAGUGGUAGUAGGUAAAUGUUUAGAUGAAAUUUGUUUGUUUUUUAUCAGCCUAUUGACUGAUAUAUGUAAUGGCAUUAUGCCUCAAUUGGAAGUUAAUGAAUAUACACAUUUUCUUCUUCAUUUUAUGGGUUUUUACUCAAGCAAAUAGCUCAAGCUUCAUAUCUAAUUUAUGUUGUUUGCUUAACAAGUAUCGGGCCUUCAAGCUCAACUUUCUAUCUUUGUUAUUCAUCUUCAUUCUUAGUUCCAAAAUUUGGUAUCUAGAGCUUAUUUCUUAGUGGAGCUGUCAUCUUUUAUUUCUUAAAACCAUGUCUUCUUCAAGUUUCUCUCAACUGUACCACCAGUCUUCAGUGGUGAAGGCUACCACAUUUGGGUAGUAAAAAUGAAAACCUACUUAUAGGCAUUUAACCUUUGGGAGGUUAUCAAAUCAGAUGUUAAACCAGCACCUCUAAGAACCAAUCCCACAGUGGCUCAGAUCAGACAGCAUGCAGAUGAAAGAACCAAAAGAUACAAGGCCAUGUCAUGUAUCUAAAACAGUGUGUCUGAUGUGAUUUUCACAAGGAUCAUGGCUUGUAAGUCACCAAAGCAGGCAUGAGAUAGGCUGAAGGAGGAGUUUCAAGGGACUGAAAGAACAAGACAACAACAACUAUUGAAUUUGAGAAGGGACUUUGAAAAUUUGAGGAUGAAUGAGGAAGAAAAGUAAAGCAAUACUCAGAUAGAAUUAUGGCUGCAGUGAACUGAAUCAGAUUGCUUGGGAACCAAUUUAGUAAAGCAAGAAUUGUAGAAAUGGUUAUCUCAACCCUGCCUGAAAGAUAUGAGGCCAAAAUCUCAUCUCUUGAAGACUCGAGAGAUCUAACCGGUAUCUCAUUGACUGAGCUGAUCAAUGCUCUUUAUGCUCAAGAGCAAAGGAGAGCCAGUAGACAAGAUGAGCACCAAGAAAGUGCCUUCCAAGCUAAGAGCAGACCUGCGUCGAGCUCCUCUGGUUACAAAGGGAAGAAGAUCUGGUCAAACAAGCCUAGAAUGGAUGGUGCAAGAAGUUAUCCACCUUGUCCACACUAUAGAAGGCUAAGUAGAGGAUUGUUGGUUCAAGCUUGAUGUGCAGUGAAAAGUUUAUAAAAAGAUAGGACAUGUUGAGAAAGUUUGCAGAAACAAAGGCAAGCUGAAACAAAACCAACCUCAACAGCCUAGACUUGAAGCUGAAGUAGCUGAAGAAAACAGUGACCAAGAAGAGCAAUUCUUUGCAGUCUCUUGCUCAUAUGCCAAAAGAAAAGCCAUAAAAGGAUAGCUGAUAAGUAGUGGUUGCACAAACCACAUGACUCCAGAUGCUACUAUCUUCAAGAAUAUUGACAGAAGCUUCAAAACAAGGGUGAAAGUUAGAAAUAGAACUUCAUCAAAUCUAAAGGCUAAGGAGAUGUGCUGAUUGACACACCUAAAGGUACCAAACUUGUUUCAAAUGUCCUAUUUGUGCCUAAAAUUGAUAGAAACUUGCUCAAUAUAGCUCAGCGGCUUAAAAAAAAGGCUAUUCAGUAGUGUUUAAAGGCAAAGAAUGCCUAAUCAGUGAUCCAAGUGGGUCCAAAAUUAUGUUAGUAACCAUGGUUGACAGAAGCUUUAUGGUGGAUUGGAACAAGGGCUCAGAUAGUGGCUACACAGUUACUUUAGAUGAAUCCAAGCUGUGGCACAAGAGGCUAAGACAUGCCAACUACAAGUCAUUGGUUUUGAUGAACAAAUGAAACUUGGUUGAAAAUUUCUCCAAAACAGUUGAGAAAGAAGAAGUCUGUGAAGUAUGUCAGUUAGGGAAGCAAGCUAGAUUGCCAUUCCCUUCAAACAAAGCUUAGAAAGCCUCUAAAAAAUUACAGCUAGUUCACACUGAUGUGUGUGGCCCUAUGAAGACAUAGUCCUUGAAUGGCAGCAAGUAUUUCAUCCUUUUCAUUGAUGACUACUCGAGAUAUUGUUGGAUUUACUUCCUAAAGCACAAGUCAGAAGUGGUCUUAGUGUUUUGGAAGUUCAAGGUCACUAUUGAAAUCAAAAUAGGUUGCAAGCUAAAGACAUUAAGGUCUGACAAUGGUACAGAAUACACUUCAACAAGGUUUCAAGGCUUUUGUGAUGCAGCAGGUAUCAAGAACCAGCUCACCAACACUUACACAACUCAACAGAAUGGUGUUAAUGAAAGAAAGAAUAGAAGCUUGAUGGAUAUUGAAAUAUGUCUGUUGUUUGAAAGGAAUUUGCUUAAGAACUUAUGGGCUGUGUAACAGUCUGGCUUUGACCCUAGUCAGAAUAGUGGUUUUGGGACCACAAAUUUGAGUCAAAAAAUAUUUAAAUAUUAUUUACUAUGUUUAUGAUAAGUGAAUUGACAUGUGUGAAAGUCUAGUGUGAAAAUUUAACUGUUUGUGUGGUUAAUUUGCAAAAAAGACCUAAUCGCGUAAAAUGUAAAAGCUGGGUGCUAGAUGUUAAAGUGCAUAUUUGACUUGGCUUUAUAAUUGUGAGGUUCUUAUGUGUUCAUUUGACCAAAUUUAUGAUUAAAUGACAUUAGUGGACAUUAGUUGUUGGCAUAUUAAUAUUUUAAUGCAAGGGUAAUAUGGUAAAAUGCAUAUUAAAGUAAAUUAUAUGAAAACAAAUUAGAAAAUGAUGCCAUAUUGUGUGUUCAUCCAUUGAAAUUGAAGAAAAAAAGAAAGAAUAAAAGGUUUUAGGGUUUUGGCACAUUGAAAGCUUAAUUCGGAUCAAGAAAAGAGGAAUUCAGAUUUAGACUGAGGGAAGUCUAAGAUUAUAGAGUAGAUGACCCGAGUCAGCAAUUCCGAGUAUAAGGUAAGUUCGUACUUAAAGCAUGAUGUUAAAGUAUAUUUUAAUGUUUUGAUUAUACAUAGAUUGUAUAUAUAUCUGGUUUGGAUGAAUAUGACGAUAAAUCAAUAGUAAUUGGCACUAAGUGUGCGAUUUAAAAUAGCUUCGGCUAUAUGAGGUACUAAGUGUGCGAUACUGACUUAGAUUCGGUUAAUUGAGAUGGCACUAAGUGUGCGAAAUUGUUCUAGCUUCGGUUAACCUAUAUAGCAAUAAGUGUGCGGAUGUUUGAAGUACAAAUAAUUUUUGAGAAGUCUUAAAAUAUUCAAACGAGAGGUGAGGAUGAAAAUGAAUAAGUACAGGAAAUUCAGGUAUGUACGAUACCUAUGUGGUAGAUGAUAUUAUGUUUAUGAAGCUCAUUCUUUUGGUAUGAACAUAUGGAUUGUGUUGAUAUAGAUUUUAUAGAUGAUUUGAGAAUUUGUAAACACGUAAGUAUUAUUGAUUCUUGGUACGAGCUUACUCAGCUUUUGAAAGCUUACUUUGUGUGUGUUUGCAUUGUUUUAUAGAUAUCAAAGCUACUGCAAGCUCGGGGAUCAUCAAGGACCGUCACCAUACUAUCGAGCUUAUUUUGGUACUUUUGAAAAUGUAUAUUUCGAAGUAUGGCAUGUAUAGGCUAGUAGUUGUGGGAUUAUGUUUUGUGAUGUAUUACUUAGCCAUGUGAUUUGGCUAAUGGGUGUGUUUGAACUCAUAGUUGAUAAUAGCUUUUGGUAUGUGAUGAUAGUUUGCAUUUGUGGUAUAUUGUAGUUGGAUAAAGAAGAUGGUAAGUUUGAUAAGUUCAUGGCAUGAGAUUGAAUGAUGUUUUUGAUAUAAUCUUACAUUAUAUUUUGGUAUGACUUGGUAAGGUUUAUGAGUAUGGAUGACUAUUAUAUGAUAUGAAUGGUUUAUGUUUCGGUGUUGAAUUUGGCUGAAAUGGUGGUGCAAAUAUGCUUGUUUCCUUGCUUGUAGGUUCACCCAAAUUGGGGUGGCAAUUUGGCUAUUCAAAUGGCCUAUUUUUGUCCACACGGGUAGAGACACGGGCGUGUGCCUCAGCCGUGUGUGACACACGACUAUGUUGCACUAUCGUGUGUCCCCUAAGGUACCCUACAAUUGUAAUUCAGGCCUGAACACGGCCAAAGCACACCGACGUGUGGCUAGCCGUGUGGCCCAAGUCAAGCUCGACCACGGACAAGGUACACGGGCGUGUCUUGUAGCCGUGUGGGCAAGUCAGUAGCUAUGCCCUGUUUUGCCACGGCUUAGACACACAGACGUGUCUAAGGCCGUGUGAGGCACACGGUCUAUUCAUACUGGCAUGUGACUUUUUAAAAGUAAAAAAAAAUUAUAAGCUCUGAAACUUUUAUAUGUUAUCAAUUUGGUCCUGAAUGCAUGUUUAAGCAUUGUAUACUCAUUUUUAUGUGAAUAAUGAAUGUGAAUGAAUGGUUUUUUUAGUAAUGAGAUGAUAUUUGAUGUUUGGUGGUUCUGAUAUUAGUUACAAGUUCGGCAAUGCCUCUUAACCUAUUCCGGUUAUUGUUACGGGUUAGGGGUGUUACAUUUAAUAGGUAUCAGAGCUAUGGUUUAGUCAGUUCUAGGACUUCUAUAGUGUUUGUGAGUCUAGCUAUACAUACCAUAUUUAUGAACUGCGAUAGUGUGAUGAAUCCUGACACUAAAAUGUGCUUUUAUAUAGCAAUGGAUCCCAAAAAAGCUAUGGCAGACGAUGUUGAAAGUAAUGUGCCUGCUCCCGUGCAAGGGAUGGUGCAUACUGAUUCUCGACCGGCUACGAGUAGCCGUGAUGGUGAGGCUAAAAAAGCCUUCUAUCAGAUGAUAAAUGAUUGGUUCACUCAAUAUAUUAGAACCAAUCCAGAGUACAACAACCUCCACCCCCGGUUAAUCCUCCUCAAACUCUUGUUAUGCCACCAGUGAAUCCGGUACAGUUAAGUAGACCACCAGUUGAUAAGAUUAGAAAAUAUGAUGCUGAAAAGUUCUGAGCUACAAUAAGUGAUGAUGCUGAAAAAGCCAAAUUCUAGUUAGAGAAUACAAUAAAAGUGUUUGAUGAGUUUUCUUUGAGUCCAAAUGAAAGCAUAAAAUGUGUCGUUUCACCUCUGAGAGAUACGGCGUACCAUUGGUGGAAAACUUUGACGUCUGUGGUUUCGAAUGAAUGAGUUAUGUGGGAUUUCUUUCAAGCUGAAUUCCAAAAUAAAUAUUUUAGUGAGAGAUUCAUUGAUCAGAAAAGCAAAGAGUUUCUCGAGCUUAAACAAGGUCGUAUGUCUGUCACAGAAUACGAGCGGGAAUUUGUAAGGUUGAGUCAGUAUGCCCAUGAAUGUGUAUCCUCGGAAGCAAUAAUGUACAAGAGAUUUGAAGAUGGUUUGAAUGAGGGUAUUCAUUUGUUAGUUAGGAUUUUAGAAAUCAAAGAGUUUGUGGUGCUUGUUGAACGAGCAUGUAAAGCUGAAGAUCUUGGAAAAGAGAAAAGAAAAUCUGAUUUUGAAGAUAGAGAGGUACAAAAGAGAUCAUAAAGGUAAAUCAUUUCAAUCUGGAUCAAAGAAGUUUAGAGAUGAUAGUAAUCGUUCAAAGACUAUUGUGGGACAUUCGAAUAGAGAUCAUGCUAGAUCGCAACCAAAUUUCAAAUCUUCAGCUACGUCUAUUGCCAGUGUUGAUAAUGCAAAGAAUGAAAAGCCUGAGUGUGAUCAUUGUGGAAGACGACAUUUUGGUGAAUGCUGGGGAAAAAGUAAUAACCGAGCUUGUUAUAGUUGUGGUUCAAGAAAUCAUUUUAUAAAAGAUUGCCCAGAUUUAGCUGAAAAAGAUAAUGUUCAGAAUUAGAGGCAGAGUGGUAACACUUCUCAUGGUAGACCUCUCAGAAAUUCGGGAAAUGUAAGCAGUAGUCAAAGAGGAACGAAAGACAUAGUUGUUAGAUCUAAGGCUCGUGCAUCUGCUAGAGCCUAUGCUAUCUGAGCUCACGAGGAAGCUUCAUCGCCAGAUGUGAUUACGGGUACAUUUACCUUCUAUGAUACUUAUGUGAUUGCUUUGAUAGAUCUUGGAUCAACAUAUUCGUAUAUAUGUAUGAACCUAGUGAAUAGUAAGACUUUACCUAUAGAGUCUACUAAAUUUGUAAUUAGAGUUUCAAACUCCCUAGGCAGAUGUGUUCUGGUUGAUAAAGUAUGUAAGAAUUGUCCAUUAAUGUUUCGAAACACUUGUUUUACGACUAAUCUGAUGCUGUUACCUUUUGAUGAGUUUGAUAUAUUUCUGGGUAUGGAUUAGUUAACUUUGCAUGAUGCUGUGGUGAACUGCAAACGGAAAACUAUUGAUUUAAGAUGCAAGAAUGGUGAAAUAGUUAGAAUUGAAUCUAGUGAUUUGAAUGGAUUGCCUGCAGUGAUAUCUUCAAUGAAAGCUUUGAGUAUUGUGAGAAAGGGUUGUGAAACCUAUUUUGCUUAUGUGAUUGAUUCGAGAGUGUCAGAAAAGAAAGUUGAAUCAGUUCCUUUUAUGUGUGAAUUCCCUGAUGUAUUUCCUAAAGAACUUUCGGGAGUACCUCCGGUUAGAGAAGUUGAAUUUGGUAUUGAAUUGGUACCUGGUACUCCUUCGAUUUCGAUAGCUUCGUACAAAAUGGCUCGGGCUGAACUAAAAGAAUUAAAGUCUCAGUUAUAAGAGUUGACCGAUAGAGGGUUUGCUAGAUCGAGAUUUUUGCCUUGGGGUGCUCCGGUUCUAUUUGUGAAAAAGAAGGAUGGUACAAUGAGAAUGUGUAUUAAAUAUCAUCAAUUGAAUAAAGUGACCAUCAAGAAUAAAUAUCCUCUACCCCGAAUUGAUGAUUUGUUUGAUUAGUGGAAAGGAGCUGCUGUGUUUUCGAAAUUAGAUUUGAGAUCAGGCUAUUAUCAGUUGUGAGUGAAAGACUUAGAUAUUCUGAAAACAACUUUCCAAACAAGGCAUGGCCACUAUGAAUUUUUAGUUAUGCCUUUCAGAUUGACUAAUACACCUGCGAUCUUUGUGGAUUUGAUGAAUAGAAUUUCCAGACCAUAUUUAGAUCAAUUUUUUGUUGUAUUCAUUGAUGACAUAUUGAUUUAUUCACGAGAUGAAUCUGAACAUGUCGAGCAUUUGAGAUUAGUGCUACAGAUUCUGCGAGAUAAACAGUUGUAUGCGAAGUUCAGUAAAUGUGAAUUCUAGUUGUGAGAAGUGGGUUUUCUGGGUCAUAUUGUAUCAGCAUCUAGUAUCCAAGUUGAUCCGAGCAAAAUUUCAGCUAUUUUGGAUUGGAAACCUCCGAGGAAUGUCUCUGAAGUCUAUAGUUUUCUGGGACUUACUGGUUAUUAUAGAAGAUUUGUGAAAGGUUUUUCGAUGAUUGCGACUCCGUUGACAAAAUUGGUACAGAAAGAUGUGAAGUUUGAGUGGUCCGAAAAGUGUCAGAACAACUUUAAUUAGUUGAAAACCUUGUUGACUAAAGCUCCGGUAUUGGUACAACCUGAAUCGGGUAAAGAAUUUGUGAUUUACAGUGAUGCUUCAUUGAUUGGUCUAGGAUGUGUUCUAAUGCAAGAAUGAAAAGUCAUUGCUUAUGCUUCAAGACAGUUGCAGUCGCACGAAAAAAACUAUCCAUCGCACGAUCUUGAAUUAUCUGCAAUUGUUUUUGCUUUAAAGAUUUGGCGCCAUUACUUGUUCGGUGAGAAAUGUGACAUGUAUUUUGAUCAUAAGAGUUUGAAGUAUUUAAUGACUCAGAAAGAUCUGAGUUUGAGAUAGAGAAGAUGGUUAAAACUGCUAAAAGACUACGAACUUGUGAUUGAUUAUCAUUUAGGAAAAACAAAUGUUGCUGCUGAUGCCUUGAGUCAAAAAUCAUUUUUUACUUUGCUUGCGAUAAAUGCUCAUUUGGUUCUGUCAGAUGAUGAUUCAGUUUUAGUUGAAUUGAAAGCGAGACCUUUGUUCUUACAGUAGAUUAUUGAAGCUCGGAAGAUUGAUAAUGAGAUUCUAGCUAAAUGAGCUCAGUAUGAUGUAUAAUCUGACUCAGAAUUCAGAAUUAAUAAAGAUGAUUGCUUGAGAUUCUGAGAUCGAAUUUGUGUUCCUAGAAAUCCAGAGUUAAUUCAAAUGAUUUUGAGUGAAGCUCACAGUAGUCGUUUAUCUGCGCAUCCAAGUAGUACGAAAAUAUAUAAUGAUCUGAAACAACAUUUUUGGUGGUCCAGAAUGAAAAGAGAUAUCUCUAAUUUCAUUUCUAAAUGUUUGAUCUGUCAGCAAGUUAAAGCUGAAUUUCAGAUGCCAUCAGGUUUGUUACAACUGAUUAUGGUUCCAGAGUGGAAAUGGGAUCGAGUGACAAUGGAUUUUGUUUCAGGUUUGCCCCUGUCUCUGAGAAAGAAAGAUGCAAUUUGGGUUGUAGUUGAUUGAUUAAUGAAAUCAGCUCAUUUUAUUCCGAUUUGAUCCGAUUACUCACUUGAUAAAUUAGCUGAGUUAUACAUUUCUGAUAUCGUGAGAUUGCAUGGUGUGCCAUUGUCUAUAGUGUCAGACAGAGACCCGAGAUUUACAUCACGAUUCUAGAAGAAGCUGCAAGACGCUCUGGGUACUAAAUUGCACUUUAGUAUUGCUUUUCAUCUGCAAACUGACGGUCAAUCCGAGUAGAUUAUUCAGAUACUUGAGGAUAUAUUGAGAUGUUGCAUUCUUGAGUUUGAAGGUACGUGGGAACAAUAUCUGCCCUUGAUUGAAUUUGCUUAUAAUAACAGUUUUCAGUCAAGCAUCAAAAUGGCACCCUAUGAAGCUUUAUAUGGUCUCAAAUUCCGUGCACCUUUGUAUUGGACUGAGCAUAGCGAAAAUAAGAUUCACGAGGUUGAUUUGAUAAAAGAGACUGAACAGAAAGUAAAAGAGAUCCGAGAUAGUAUAAAAGCAGCUUCUGAUCGUCAAAAAUCUUAUGCAGAUUUGAAAAGAAAAGACAUUAAAUUUGAGAUCGGCGAUAAUGUGUUUUUAAAAGUGUCUCCGAGGAAGAAACUGCUUCAGUUUUGUAGAAAAGGCAAAUUGAGUCUGAGGCUCAUCGGGCCAUAUGAAAGAGCGUAUUGGGCUGGUUACGUAUAGAUUAUUAUUGCCACUAGAGCUAGAAAAGAUUCAUAAUGUGUUUCACGUAUCGAUGCUUCGACGAUACAGAUCUGAUCCUUCAUAUGUUAUUCCACCGUCUAAGAUAGAGAUUCAGUCUGAUAUGACUUACGAAGAAAGGCCAAUUCGUAUUUUAGCUCGCGAGGUUAAAGAGCUGUGAAAAAAGAAAUUCCGUUAGUAAAAAUGAUAUGGCAUCGACAUGAUAUUGAAAAAGCCACGUGGGAACCUGAAGAUGCUAUGAGACAGCAAUAUCCAAAUCUGUUUAAUGGUAUGAUUUUCAGGGACGAAAAUCACUAAGGGGGAGAAUUGUAACAGUCUGAUUUUGACCCUAGUCAGAAUUGUGGUUUUGAGACCACAAAUUUGAGUCAAAAAAAUAUUUAAAUAUUAUUUUCUAUGUUUAUGAUAAGUGAAUUGACAUGUGUGAAAGUCUAGUGUAAAAAUUUAACUGUUUGUGUAUUUAAUUUGUAAAAUGUAAAAGCUAUGUGCUAGAUGUUAAAAGUGCUUAUUUGACUUAGCUUUAUAAUUGUGAGGUCUUUAUGUGGUUAUUUGACCAAAUUUAUGAUUAAAUGACAUUAGUGGACAUUAUUUGUUGGCAUAUUAAUGUUUUAAUGCAAGGGUAAUAUGGUAAAAUGCAUAUUAAAGUAAAUUAUAUGAAAACAAAUUAGAAAAUGAUGCCAUAUUAUAUGUUCGUCCACUGAAAUUGAAGAACAAAAGAAAGAAUAAAAUAUUUUCGAGUUUUGGCACAUUAGAAGCUUAAUUCGGAUCAAGAAAAGAGGAAUUCAAAUUUGGAUCGAGGGAAGUCGAAGAUUAUAGAGUAGACGACCCGAGUUGACAAUUCUGAGUACGAGGUAAGUUCGUACUUAAAGCAUGAUGUUAAAGUAUAUUUUGAUGUUUUGAUUAUACAUAGAUUGUAUAUAUAUCUGGUUUGGAUGAAUACGACGAUAAAUCAAUAGUAAGUGUGCGAUUUAAAAUAGCUUCGGCUAUAUGAGGCACUAAGUGUGCGAUACCGACUUAGCUUCGGUUAAUUGAGAUGGCACUACAUGUGCGAAAUCGUUCUAGCUUCGGGUAACCUUUAUAGCACUAAGUGUGCAGAUGUUUGAAGUACAAAUAAUUUACGGGAAGUCUUAAAAUAUUCAAAUGAGAGGUGCGAAUGAAAAUGAAUAAAUACGGGAAAUUUAGGUAUGUACGAUGCCUAUGUGGUAGAUGAUAUUAUAGUUAUGAAGCUCAUUGUUUUGGUAUGAACAUAUGGAUUGUGUUGAUAUAGAUUUUAUAAAUGAUUUGAGAAGUUGUAAACACGUAAGUAUUGAUGAUUCUUGGUACGAGCUUACUAAGCUUUUGAAAGCUUACUUUGUGUGUGUUUGCAUUGUUUUAUAGAUAUCAAAGCUACUGCAAGCUCGAGGAUCAUCAAGGACCGUCACCACACUAUCGACGUCAUUUUGGUACUUUUGAAAAUGUAUAUUUCGAAGUAUGGCAUGUAUAAGCUAGUAGUUAUGGGAUUAUGUUUUGUGAUGUAUUACUUAGCCAUGUAAUUUGGCUAAUGGGUGUGUUUGAACACAUAGUUGAUAAUGGUUUUUGGUAUGUGAUGAUAGUUUGCAUUUGUGGUAUAUUGUAGUUGGAUAAAGAAGAUGGUAAGUUUGAUAAGUUUAUGGCAUGAGAAUAAAUGAUGUUUUUGAUAUGAUCUUACCUUAUAUUUUGGUAUGAAUUGGUAAGGUUUUUAAGUAUGGAUUGGUAACUAUUAUUUAUAUGAAUGGUUUAUGUUUUGGUGUUGAAUUUGGCUAAAAUGGUGGUGCAAAUAUGCUUGUUUCCUUGCUUGUAGGUUCACCCAAAUUGGGGUGGCAAUUUGGUUAUUCAAGUGGCUUAUUUUUGUCCACACGGGCAGAGACACAUGCAUGUGCCUCAGCCGUGUGCGACACUCAACUAUGUUGCACGGUCAUGUGUCCCUUAGGGUACCCUACAAUUGUAAGUCAAGCCCGAACACGGCCAAAGCACACGGACGUGUGGCUAGCCGUGUGGCCCAAGUCAGGCUCAACCACGGCCAAGGCACACGGGCAUGUCUUGUAACCGUGUGGGCAAGUCAGUAGCUAUGCCUUGUUGUGCCACGGCUUAGAUACACGAGUGUGUCUAAGGCCGUGUGAGGCACACGGUCUGUUCACAUAGGCAUGUGACUUUUUAAAAGUAGAAAAAUUUUAUAAGUUCUGAAACUUUUAUAUGUUAUCAAUUUAGUCCUGAAUGCAUGUUUAAGCAUUGUAUACUCGUUUUCAUGUGAAUAAUGAAUGUGAAUGAAUGAUUUUUUUUAGUAAUGAGAUGAUAUUUGAUGUUUGGUGGUUCUGGUAUGAGUUAAAAGUUCGGUAAUGCCUCUUAACCUAUUCUGACGACGAUUACGGGUUAGGGUUGUUAUAGGCUGAUGUAGUUAAUACUGUUGUAUAUCUCCAAAAGAGCCUACCAACCAAGACUUUAGUUUAGAAAACUCCAUUUGAGGCCUGGCUUAGGUUCAAACCAUCACUGGCUCAACCUACCAUAUUGGUGGGCUGUAGUAAUGUCAAGUAGGGCUAAAUGAUCUUAAAUCCUUCUUCCAACAGAUUGUUUGUGAGUAGGGACGUUGUAUUUGAUUAGAAAUCAAGUUGGAAUUAGGAUAAAGCUAAAGACCUGGUGACAGAUCAGAUUGAAGCUGAUCAAAAUGAUGCUAAAAUGGACAUUAAUGAUAUGCUAGUUAGAGGAACCGAAUCAUUAGUUGUGAUAUAUGCAAGAGCAGAUGUAAUAAUUGUUGAACCAAGUUUUUUUGAAGAGGCUGAAGCUCAUCAAGGUUGGAAACAGGCCAUGCUCAAUGACAUGAGCAUGAUUGACAAGAAUCAAACCUGACAACUAGUUGCAAGACCAGAUCAUAGGAAGGCCAUUGGAGUGAAGUGGUUGUUUCCAGACAAGCACAAUGCUGAUGAAAUUCUGAACAAGCUGAAAGCAAGGCUGGUAGUAAAAGGAUUCAGUCAAAAGUAUGGUAUAGAUUACUUUGAAACCUUUGCACCAGUGGCCAGACUUAACAUAAUCAAGCUGCUAGUUGCCUUGGCUGCACAUAAGCAGUGGAAAAUACAUCAACUAGAUGUAAAAUCAGCAUUUCUAAAUGGUUUUCUUGAUGAUGAGAUAUAUGUUGAGCAGCUUGAAGGAUUCAAUAUUGUUGGUGAAGAGGAUAAAGUAUACAAGCUGAAGAAGGCCUUGUAUAGCUUAAAACAGGCACCAAUAGCUUGGUAUGACAGGAUCAACAGCUAUCUAGCUAGCUUUGUAAUGAUCCGGUUUUGACCCUAGUUAGAAUAGUGAUUUCGGGACCAUAAAUCCGAGUUAGAAAAAUAUUUUAAUAUUAUUUUUCGUGUCUAUGAUAAGUGAGUCGACAUGUGUGAAAGUCUCGUGUGAAAAUUUAACUGUUUGUGUGUUUAAUUUGUAAAAAUUACCAAAUCGCGUAAAAUGUAAAAGUUGUGUGCUAGGUGUUAAAGUGCUUAUUGGAAUUGGCUUUCUAAAGUAAAGGUCCUUAUGUGGUUAUUUGACCAUUGGAAGUUUGAAUGGACAUAAAAAGGCAUGUGUUAGGCGAAUGAAUAAUUUUAUAAUAAAGGGUAAAAUAGGUAUUUGGUUAAUAUGUUAUAUUAAAUAAAACUAAAGUUAAAAAUUAGACCAUUAUCAUUCGUGCUUACCGAAAAUCAAAGAAAAGAGAUGAAAUAAAAGCCUUUAGGGUUUCGGGUAGGAGAUUUGAUAAUUAAGGUAUGAGUUUUGUUCGGUUUUUGAUGAUUUUUACAUUUUUGAGAUCGUUGCUUUGUGUUUUAUAAAGCCUAUGCUUAAAUUUGAGAAAUUGAUGAUGAUUUUGAAAUAUGCCAUGGAUGAAUUCAUGAGUUUUGUGUUGUUAAAUGGUGAAAUAUGGAAGCUUGAUGUUGGGUUUAAAUGUUUUGUUUUUGGAUUUUUGAUGAAAUUGAGUAAUUUGGGCUAAAAUGUGGAAAUGUUAUUUUACGGGACUUAAAUGUGAAAUAAAUGAAAUGUGUGGACUUCUAUGAAAGCCAUGAAAAUUCAGCUAAGCUUGUGUGCAAACAAAUUUUGUGUAUUUUGUGAAUUUGUAAAAUAGGGACUAAAGUGUCGAAACGUGAAAAUGUGAGGGCUAGUUUGUAAAAUGCCUUAAAUAUGUGUUUAUGGAUUGAAUUGAAUUAAUUGGUGAAUAAAAGGGUUAAAUUUGAAAACAAAUAGAUCAAGAAAGGAGGAAUUCGGACUUAGAUCGAGGAAAAUCGAAGGUUAUCAAGUAGACAGUCCGAGUCGACAAAAUUCGAGUACGAGGUAAGUUCGUACUUAAAAUAUGAUGUUAAGUAAGCUUUGAUGCCUUUAUUAUACAUGAGUGGUACAUAAUUGAAUUGGUUAAUAUGAUGAUGAAUCGGAAGUUUUGGCACUAAGUGUGCGAUUUAAACUAGCUUUGGCUACUAAAGGCACUAAGUGUGCGAUACCGACUUAGUUUCGGCUAGCUGAAAGAUGGCACUAAGUGUGCGGAAUCACUCUAGCUUCAGCUAAUCUUUAAGCACUAAGUGUGCGGAUAAUUAAGCAUUGGUGAUCAUUGGAAUGUCCUAAAGUAUUCGAGCAAGAGGUGAGAUUGAAAACUAAUGAAUAUGAAAAUGAUUGGGUAAGUAUAAUACCUAUGUGGUAGAUGAUAUUGUGUUUAUAAAGCUCAUUGAAUUGGUAAAGAUUUAUGGAUAGUGUUGGUAUAGAUUUGAUAAAUGAAUUAAGAAAUUGUAAUACUUAUGUGUUGAUGAUUUAUUUUAUAUAUAUUGUGGAUAAUUUUAGUACGAGCUUACUAAGUUUUUGAAAGGUUACUUUGUGUCUUUUUAUAUUGUUUUAUAGAUAUCGAAGCUACUGCAAGUUUGGGGAUCGUCAAGGAUUGUCACCACACUAUCGAACCUCAUUUUGGGUACUUUUGAAAAUGUAUAUAUUUAAAGUAUGGCAUGUAUAGGCUAGUAGUUGUGGAAGUAUGUUUUGUAAUGUAUAUACUUAGCCAUGUGAUUUGACUAAUUUGUGUUUGAACCCAUAGUUGAUAAUGGUUUAUGAUAUGUGAUGUUAAUUUGCAAUUGUGGUAUGUUUAGUUGGAUAAAGAAAAUGGUAAGCUUGGUGAGUUCAUGGUAUGAAAUUGAAUGAUGAUUUUGAUAUAAUCUUACAUUAUGUUUUAGUAUAAAUAGGUAAGGUUUAUAAGUAUGUAAAUGGUUGAUAAUAUUAUGGUAUGAAUAAUGUGUUUUUUAGCAUAAAAAUUGGUUGAUUGGAUUGUACAUAUAAGUUUGAUUCAUUGCUUGUAGGUUGACUCAAAAAGGGAUGGCAAGUUGGCUUAAACCAAGCCUGCAUUGUGCCGCAUGGUCCGGGAACACGGGGGUACCUUGUGGCCGUGUAUGCAAAGCAGUACCCUCUUAAGAUCACACGACCAUAGCACAUAGGCGUGUCAUAUAGCCGUGGGCUUAUGUCAGUAGCUAGCUAAGAACCACACGGCCAUAGCACAUGGGGGUGUUUGUUGGCCGUGGGUGAAAGUCAAUAUGUAUGCUCUAUUUUGACACGGCUAGAUUACAUGGGUAUGUCUGGUGCCCGUGUAAGGUACACGGCCUGGUUACACAGGCGUGUGAGCUCUAUAGAAUUGAAAAAUUUUACUAAGUUCUAAAAAUUUUGAAUGUGUUCAUUUUAGUCCCGAUCUAUUCCUAAUGCAUGUUUAAGGUCCCGUUGACCUAAGAAAGGGACUUUAUGUUGAUGUUUGAUUAUGAUGCUAUGAUGUUGUAAAAUAAAUGCGAAAUGUUGCGAUAUGUUCGGUAAUGCCUCUUAACCCUAGUUCGGCGAUGGAAACAAGUUAGGGGUGUCACAUUUAGUUGGUAUCAGAGCUAUGGUUUAGUAGAUUCUAGGACUACCAUAGUGUAUGUGAGUCUAGCUAUACAUGCCAUAUAUUUGAAACUGCGAUAGUGUGAUGAAUCCUGACAUUGAAAUGUUUUUUUAUUUAGCAAUGGAUCCCGAUAGAGCUGUAGAUGACGAUGUUGAAAGCAAUGCACCUGCUCUCACGCAAGGGACUGUGCAAGCUGAUUCUCAACCGGCUACGAGUACCCAUGAUGGUGAGGCUAAGCAAGUCUUCUAUCAAAUGAUGAAUGAUUGGUUCACUUAGUAUAUUAGAACCAAUUAGGCAGUACAACAACCUCUUUCCUCGGUUAAUCCUACUCAAACUCCUAUUAUGCCACGAAUGAAUCCGGUACAGUUUAGUAGACCACUAGUUGGUAAGAUUAGAAAAUAUGGGGCUGAAUAGUUCAGAGCUACAACAAGUGAUGAUGCUGAAAAAGCUAAGUUCUAGUUAGAGAAUAUAAUAAGAGUGUUUGAUGAGUUGUCUUUGAAUCCUGAUGAAUGCAUGAAAUGUGUUGUUUCACUUUUAAGAGACACGACGUAUCAUUGGUGGAAGACUUUGACAUUCGUGGUUCCGAGUGAUCGAGUUACUUGGGAUUUCUUCCAAGUUGAAUUUUGGAAGAACUAUAUCAGUCAAAGAUUCAUUGAUCAGAAACGCAAAGAGUUUCUUGAGCUUAAACAAGGCCAUAUGUCUAUCACAAAAUACGAGCGAGAAUUUGUAAGGUUGAGUCAGUAUGCCCGCGAAUGUGUAUCUUUGGAAGCAAUAAUGUGUAAGAGAUUUAAAGACAGUUUGAAUGAAUAUAUUCGUUUUCUAGUUGGGAUAAUAGAAAUCUAAAAAUUCGUGGUGCUUGUUGAACGAGCAUGUAAAGUGGAAGAUCUUGGGAAAGGGAAAAGAAAGGCUGAUUUUGAAGCUAGAGAGGUACGAAAGAGAUCAUCGGGCAAUUCAUUUCAAUCUGGAUCCAAGAAGUUUAGAGAUGAUAGUAGUCGUUCAAAGGUUAGUGUAGGACAUUCGAACAGGGAUCGUGUUAGAUUGCAAUUGAAUUAUAAAUCUUCAGCCACGUCUGUUGCUAGUGUUGAUAAUGCAAAGAAUGAAAGGCCUGAAUGUGAGCAAUAUGGAAGACGACACUUUGGUGAAUGCUGGGGAAAAAGUAAUAACCGAGCUUGUUAUAGUUGUGGUUCUAGAAAUCAUUUUAUAAAUGAUUGCCCAGAUUUAGUUGAAAAAGAUAAUGAACAGAAGCUAAGGCAGGGUGGUAAUGUUUCUCGUGGUAGUUCUCCCAGAAAUUCAGGAAAUGUAAACGGUGGUCAAAGAGGAACAAAAGACACAGUUGUAAGAUCUGAGGCUCGUGCACCUGCCAAGCCUAUGCUAUUCGAGCUCGAGAGAAAGCUUCAUCACCAGAUGUGAUUACGGGUAUAUUUACUCUUUAUGAUACUUUUGUGAUUGCUUUGAUAGAUCUUGGAUCAACAGAUUCAUAUAUAUGUAUGAACUUAGUGAACAGUAAGACUUUGCCUGUAGAGUCUAUUGAAUUUGUAAUUAGAGUUUCGAACCCCCUAGGCAGAUGUGUUCUAAUUGAUAAAGUCUGCAAGAAUUGUCCAUUUAAUUUUGAGACAAUUGUUUUCCAGGUGAUUUGAUGCUGUUGCCUUUUGAUAAGUUUGAUAUAAUUCUGGGUAUAGAUUGGUUAACUUUGCAUGAUGCUGUGGUAAACUGUAAAUGAAAAACUAUUGAUUUGAGAUGCAAGAAUAAUGAAAUAGUCAGAAGUGAAUCUAGCUAUUUGAAUGGAUUAUCUGCUGUAAUAUCUUCUAUGAAAGCAUUGAGUAUUGUGAGAAAGGGUUGUGAAGUUUAUUUUGCAUAUGUGAUUGAUUCAAAUGUGUCAGAAAAGAAAGUUGUAUCUGUACCUGUUGUCUGUGAGUUCCCUGAUGUGUUUCUUGAAGAACUUCCGGGAUUACCUCCAGUUAGGGAAGUAGAAUUUCACAUUGAAUUAGUACCUGGUACUACUCCGAUUUUGAUAGUUCUGUACCGAAUGGCUCCGACCAAGCUAAAAGAACUAAAGUCUCAGUUACAAAAGUUGAUCGAUCGAGGGUUUGCUAGACCGAGUUUCUCGCCUUGGGGUACCCCAGUUUUAUUUGUGAAAAAGAAAGAUGGUACGAUGAGAAUGUGUAUAUAUUAUCAUUAGUUGAAUAAAGUGACUGUAAAAAAUAAGUAUCCCCUGCCCCAAAUUGAUGAUUUGUUUGAUCAGUUAAAAGAAGAUAUUGUGUUUUCGAAAAUAGAUUUGAGAUCAGGUUAUUAUCAGCUGCGAGUGAAAGACUCAGAUAUUCCGAAGACUACUUUUAGAACGAGGUACGGGCAUUAUGAAUUCUUAAUUAUGCCUUUUGGAUUGACUAAUGCACCUGCUAUCUUUAUGGAUUUAAUGAAUAGAAUCUUUAGACCGUAUUUAGAUCAAUUUGUUGUAGUAUUCAUUAAUGAUAUAUUGAUUUAUUCACGUGAUGAAUUUGAGCAUGCCGAGCAUUUGAGAAUAGUGCUACAGACUUUGCGAGAUAAACAAUUGUAUGCAAAGUUCAGUAUAUGUGAGUUUUGGUUGAAAGAAGUUGUUUUUUGGGUCAUAUUGUAUCAGCAUCUGGUAUCCGAGUUGAUCCGAGCAAAAUUUCAGCUAUUUUGGAUUGGAAACCUCUGAGAAAUGUUUCAGAAGUCCGCAAUUUCCUGGGACUUGCUGCUUACUAUAGAAGAUUUGUAAAAGGAUUCUCGAUGAUUGCGACUCCGUUGACAAAACUACUCCAGAAAUAUGUGAAGUUUGAGUGGUCUGGAAAAUGUCAAAACAGCUUUGAUCAGUUGCAAGCCUUGUUGACUGAAGCUCUGGUGUUGGUACAACCUGAAUCAGGUAAAGAAUUUUUGAUUUAUAGUGAUGCCUCGUUGAUUGGGUUGGGAUGUGUUCUAAUGCAAGAAGAAAAAGUCGCUGCUUAUGCUUCGAGAUAGUUAAAACCGCACGAAAAGAACUAUCCGACGCACGAUCUUGAGUUAGCUGCGAUUGUGUUUGCCCUAAAUAUUUGGCGCCAUUACUUGUUCGGAGAGAAAUGUCAUGCGUAUUCUAAUCAUAAAAGUUUAAAGUAUUUAAUGACGCAAAAAAAAUUGAAUUUGCGACAGAGAAGAUGGUUAGAACUGCUAAAAGACUACGAACUUAUGAUUGAUUAUCACCCAAGAAAAGCAACUGUUGUUGCGGAUGCUUUGAGUCAAAAAUUGUUAUUUGCUCUGUGUGCGAGAAAUGCUCAUUUGGUUUUAUCUGAUAAUGGUUUAGUUUUAGCUGAAUUAAAAGUAAGACCCUUGUUCUUACAGCAGAUUAUCGAAGCUCAAAAGGUUGAUAAUGAAUUAAUAGCAAAACAAGCUCAGUGUGAUUCUAAAUUCUGAGUUGAUGUUGAUGAUUGUUUGAUAUUCAUAAACGGACUUUGUGUUUCGAGAAAUCUAGAGUUAAUUCGGACGAUUUUGAGUGAAGCCCAUAGUAGUCGGUUAUCUGUGUAUCCGGGCAGUACUAAAAUGUAUAAUGACUUGAAACAACAUUAUUGGUGGUCCAAAAUAAAAAGAGAUAUCUCUAAAUUUGUUUCUAAAUGUUUGAUCUGUCAGCAAGUUAAAGCUGAGCAUCAAGUGCCAUUUGGAUUGUUACAACCGAUUAUUGUUCCAAAGUGGAAAUGGGAUCGAGUGACCAUGGACUUUGUGUCGGGUUUACCUCUAUCUCUGAGAAAGAAAGACGCAAUUUGCGUUGUAGUUGAUCAAUUGACAAAAUCAGCCCAUUUUAUUCCGAUUCGAUCUGAUUAUUUGCUUAAUAAAUUAACUGAGUUAUACAUUUCUGAUAUAGAGAGAUUGCAUGGUGUGCCAUUGUCUAUAGUGUCAGACAGAAAUCCGAGAUUCACAUCAAGAUUUUGGACGAAGUUACAAGAUGCUCUGGGUACUAAAUUGUAUUUUAGCAUUGCUUUUUAUCUGCAAACAGAUGGUCAAUCUGAACGGAUUAUUUAGAUACUCGAGGAUAUGUUGACAUGUUGCAUUCUUGAAUUUGAAGGUACAUGGGAACAAUACUUACCUUUGAUUGAAUUUUCUUAUAAUAACAGUUUUCAGUCAAGCAUCAAAAUGGCACCACACGAAGCUUUAUAUGGUGGCAAAUGCCAUACACCUUUGUAUUGGACCGAGCUUAGCGACAGUAACAUACACGGGGUUGAUUUGAUAAAAGAAACUGAAUAGAAAGUGGAAGUGAUCCGAGAUAGUUUGAAAGCAACUUCUGAUCGUUAGAAAUCAUAUGCAGAUUUGAAAAGAAAAGACAUUGAAUUUGAAAUCGGUGAUAAAAUGUUUUUGAAAGUGUCUCCGUGGAAGAAAGUGCUUCGGUUUGGUAGAAAAGGCAAAUUGACUCUGGGGGUCAUUAGACCGUAUGAAAUAAUCGAGCGUAUUGAGCCGAUUGCGUAUAGAUUGUUGUUGCCACCAGAGUUAGAAAAGAUUCAUAAUGUGUGCUUCGAUGAUACAGAUCCGAUCCUUGUAUGUAAUUCCUUCGUCUGAGAUCCAAAUUCAGUCUGAUAUAACUUACGAAGAAAAGCUGAUCUGAAUCUUAGCACGAGAGGUUAAAGAGUUACGAAAUAAGAAAAUUUAGUUAGUUAAAGUGAUGUGGCAUCAACAUGGUGUUGAAGAGGCCACGUGGGAGCCUGAAGAUGCUAUGAAACAACAAUAUCCGAAUUUGUUUAAUAGUAAGAUUUUUGGGGACGAAAAUCCCUAAGGGGGAGAAUUGUAAUAGUUCGGUUUUGACCCUAGUUGGAAUAGUGGUUUCAGGACCACAAAUCUGAGUUAGAAAAGUAUUUUAAUGUUAUUUUUCGCGUCUAUGAUAAGUGAAUUGACAUGUGUGAAAGUCUCGUGUGAAAAUUUAGCUGUUUGUGUGUUUAAUUUGCAAAAAGGACCAAAUCGCGUAAAAUGUAAAAGAUAUGUGCUAGAUGUUAAAGUACUUAUUGGAAUUGGCUUUCUAAAGUAGAGGUCCUUAUGUGGUUAUUUGAUAAUUGGAAGUUUGAAUGAACAUAAAACAACAUGUGUUAGGUGAAUGAAUAAUAUUAUAAUAAAGGGUAAAAUAGGUAUUUGAUUAAUAUGUUAUAUUAAAUAAAAAUAAAGUUAAAAAUUAGACCAUUAUCAUCCAUGCUUGUCGAAAAUCAAAGAAAAGAGAUGAAAUAAAAGCUUUUAGGGUUUCGGGUAGGAGAUUUGAUAAUCAAGGUAUGAGUUUUGUUCGGUUUUUGAUGAUUUUUACGUUUUUGAGAUCGUUGCUUUGUGUUUUAUAAAGCCCAUUCUUAAAUUUGAGAAAUUGAUGAUGAUUUUGAAAUAUGCAUGGAUGAAUUCAUGAGUUUUGUGUUGUUACAUGGUGAAAUAUGGAAGCUUGAUGUUGGGCUUAAAUGUUUUGUUUUUGGAUUUUUUAUGAAAUUGAGUAAUUUGGGCUAAAAUGUGGAAAUAUUAUUUUGAGUGACUAAAAUGUGAAAUAAAUGAAAUGUGUGGACUUGUAUGAGAGCCAUGAAAGUUCGGCUAAGCUUGUGUGCAAACAAAUUUUGUGUAUUUUAUGAAUUUGUGAAAUAGGGACUAAAGUGUUGAAAUGUGAAAAUGUAAGGGCUAGUUUGUAAAAUGCCCUAAAUAUGUGUUUAUGGAUUGAAUUUAAUUAAUUGGUGAAUAAAAGGGUUAAUUUUGAGAACAUAUAGAUCAAGAAAGGAGGAAUUCGGACUUAGAUCGAGCAAAGUCGAAGGAUAUCAAGUAGACAGUCCGAGUCGACAAAAUUCGAGUACAAGGUAAGUUCGUACUUAAAAUAUGAUGUUAAGUAAGCUUUGAUGCCUUUAUUAUACAUGAGUUGUAUAUAAUUGAAUUGGAUAAUAUGGUGAUGAAUCGAAAGUUUUGGCACUAAGUGUGCGAUUUAAACUAGCUUUGGCACUAAGUGUGCGAUUUAAACUAGCUUUGGCUACUAAAGGCACUAAGUGUGCGAUACUGACUUAGUUUCAGCUAGUUGAGAGAUGGCACUAAGUGUGCGAAAUCGUUCUAGCUUCAGCUAAUCUUUAAGCACUAAGUGUGCGGAUAAUUAAGCGUUGGUGAUCAUUGGAAAGUCCUAAAGUAUUCGGGCAAGAGGUGAGAUUGAAAACUAAUGAAUAUGAAAAUGAUCGGGUAAGUACAAUACCUAUGUGGUAGAUGAUAUUAUGUUUAUAAAGCUCAUUGAAUUGGUAAAGAUUUAUGGAUAGUGUUGGUAUAGAUUUGAUAAGUGAAUUAAGAAAUUGUAAUACUUAUGUGUUGAUGAUUUAUGUUAUAUAUAUUGUGGAUGAUUUUAGUACGAGCUUACUAAGCUUUUGAAAGCUUGUGUCUGUUUAUAUUGUUUUAUAGAUAUUGAAGCUACUACAAAUUCGGGGAUCGUCAAGGAUUGUCACCACACUAUCGAACCUCAUCUUGGGUACUUUUGAAAAUGUAUACACUACAGGAAAUCAGACUUUUAGCGGCAGUUUUUUUUUGCCUUUAGCGGCGUUUUUAAGCGCAGCAAAAAAACGUCGCUAUAUGUAACGCCGUAAAAUUAGUGGCAUUUUUUGAAAAAAGCGCUGCUAAAGACCAGCACUUUUAGCGGCGCUUUUAAAAAAACGCCGCUAAUUUGCCCAGUUUUGCAAUAUGUAUUUUUGCACCUAUAUCCAACCCUCCUGCAAGAAAUUCAACCAAAAACAGCAAAUAUACCAUGAAAUCCAACCAAAACCCGCAAAUUUAAAUAAUACAAAAUUAUAUGAAAAAUAUAUUAUAUAAAUUGUAAAUGAAUAUUCAAAAUAUUCUUACAAUAAAGUUAAAAGUUACAAGAAAACAAAUGUCUAAGAUGGGGGAUUUUGAAAUUGCUGGAACAUAGUCAUCAUAGACUGAAGCUGUAGCUGGAGUUCAUUGUAUUUUCUGUUCUGCUCCGCCUCCCUCGCUGCUGCCUCCGCUCUAAGUUGAGAAAUUUGCUCAUCUGUGCUAGCUUGUAUCUGAACUAUCUGAUCUUUUAGCCUCUGAACUUCAGCUUGACUUUGACUCCCGGAAGGCAUGUAUUGGUGCUAGAUGGAUCCGAAAUAUUGGGUCGGGUUAACACCAGAUCCUUGAAAUCUAACCCGACCAUACCUUUCAGGACCCAAAACUUCAUUAAUAAUUCUGUUAUCAAUAUCCUCAAAAUUAACAGAACUAUCAGUCAAAGCAGUCACUUCAUACUCUGCCUUCUUAUCUUUUAGUUUCUCUUAAUAAAUCAGUUAAAGAGUUAGAAACGAAAUAUACAAUAAAAAGGAAUACAAUAUAACAUUAUUUAAAUUAAACUAAUAAAAACGACGAAUUAAAACAUUAUAAUUAAAUAUUAUAAAUAUUUAUAAUGAAUAAAAUUUUAUUAAGUAAAAAUACCAUAAUUUUUGUAGCCUCAAAUGUCAUCGGAGUUCCAUCUUUUUUCCUUUGUGUAAUGUCAAAAAGCUGAAGGCGUCCAACUUUUUAACCAGACGAGGCUUCCUACAAUAUAGUAGUAAAUAUUAUUUAAUAGUAAAAAGUCAUUAAUACUUGAUAGAAUUAAUAAAUCCAUAGUACCCCGGCCUGAGCUACACAAGCAAAACUUUUCGAUCCUACCGUGUGCGUAAAUUUUUGUUUUUGCCUGCUGCUUGUUCCAACUCGCUCACGGUCCUAAAUAAUGAAAUUAUUAUUACGUAUAUAGUAAAUACUAUAAACCAAAAAAUUUAUAAAAGUUUGCAAGAACAUAAUACCUCUCCUUUCUUCGAAUUCCAAAAUCGAACCGUAUCUUCCCAUUGGUACCUCAGCAUUCCCGGUGGGACAUUUUGCAAUUUUUCUUCGAGGCUUAUGGGUUUUUUAAAAUAUUCUUUUUUCAAAAUGCUUUUAUGGUCUCUCCAUUUUUUACCCAAUGCCUUCUUGAUAUAGGCAUCAGAGACCUCUAAAGCAAACCUCUCCUAAAAAACAAAAGUUUAGGAAGUAAAUAUAAAUGAAACUUAAACCAAAGUAUUAUAAAUUACAUUAACGUUUUGUUACCUUAAUAUUAGAGAGAGCUUGAUUUUUAUUGCUAUCAGGCAUGUUAUGCCAUGAUUCGUAGUUGAUGGGCAACAUAUUGGCAUUUCGUGCUAUAAUACCCAAAUAGCCUACUAAAAGUCGAGCUUCUUGUCCAACAGGCUGACCAUGGCUGUUUCUAGUUACUUUGACACGCUCGACAGAAUUUAAGUUAUAUAAAUCUGUUAGGAGCGUACGUCCUCGACCUCUGCGCGUCCGACCAUUUUCAGCUGAAAAAUAAUAUAUUAUUACUAUGUUGAAAUUUAAAAAUAAAUCAGUAAUAAAAUUUAAUACAAUUUGUAAAAUAAACUUAACAUUACUUUGAAAUUUCACAGACUCGUCAAGUGUCUCCGGCACGCUUGACGAUCCAACAACUGUCUGUUGUUCAGUACUUACUUCUUCCGAAUUUUUAGUACUCUGUACAAUACUAAGAUCUCUUAAUCUUCUUCUAGGCAUUUUUCCUGCAACACAUAAAAUAGUUAAAAUUUUAGUAAGAAAUAACAACAAUAGUAAAUAUAAAAUAGUUAAAUUAUAUAACAUGACCAAUGUUAAAAUUAUAACAUUACAUAUAAAUAAAAAAUCAUAAAAUCUUACUACAUCAUAAAUCGUAAAUAUCUUUGUCCACAUCCUGACGAACCCAUUGAAAUUGUGUACUAGUACUACGGAUAUUUUCAUUUAAGUUUUGUUCUAGAAAAGGCAAAGUUUCUGAUGUUUCAACGAUGUCAUCUCUACUUCCAUUCCCCAUGUCAAAUAAGUCUCUAGGGGUGUUUUGGAGUACAACGUACCAACCCUCAUCAAUUGGAUCUUUCGAGUAAAAAACUUGUUUAACUUGAGAAGAAAAUACAUACGGCUCGUCUAUCAAAUGUUCUCCUGUGUGAAUUAAUCGAGAGAAAUUCACCAUUGUAAAACCAAACUGAUCAUUUUUAAUUCCGCGAGCAGUAUUAGCAUCAGCCCAAUCACAUCGAAAUAAGAUCCAUAGUAAUCCAACUCAAUAAUGUCGGUUAGAAGUCCGUAAUACUCCACAUUUCCCUCGACAGGAUUACUGUCCCUAGCACUAGCGUAACUUGUAAUUAAAGAAUUAACAACUACUCCACAAUUUUGAGUUCUCCUCAAUCUCUCGCGAUAUUUGGUAUGAAAUCUGAAUCCAUUCAUGAUGAAGCCACUAUAUCUUUUUACUACUCGAUUUGGACCUUGGGAAAGCCAUUUAACUUCGUCAUUAACGACAUUCCCACUCCAAACCUAUUGAAUCAAAAGUAAAUUGAGUAAUUGUAAAUGUUAUGAGAAAACAUUAUUAUUUGUGAAUAAAAUGUUGAGUUGCAUACCGUUUGGCUUAACCAUUCAUGAAAAGAUUCUGCGAAUAACCUAUUAAUCUCGCGAUGUUGUAAUCUUCUUGAGCGUGAACGAGAUCUUAAGACUUGUUUGUACUCAUUAUGUUAAAAACAUGUUUAAUUCAUUAAAAAAUAAACAAAUCAAAAAAAGAUGAAUAUUUAUCAUAUUCUAGAACUUACUUGCGUAAUUGUUCAAGUGCAUCAUGGUGGAAAAGAACAUAUCUAUGUGCUUGUAUCCAAGAUCAGUCAUCUAAUUCUGCAAUUUCAACUUUGCCGACUGGUUCUCCAUAACUUUGAAAUAAAUAAGUUUCGGCCAAGCUAGGAUUAUUGAGUCCGGCAUUUCUACUUGGUCUAUUCAAUCUUGUUUCAACAUCUUCUAAAUAUCUAGAACAGAAUGUCAUACACUCCUCUGCCAAGUAGCCUUCAGCAAUCGAUCCUUCUGGAUAACGCUUGUUACGGCAAUAAGACUUCAAUUUGCUUAGGAACCUAAACACCAUAUACAACAUUAUCAAAACUAGUAACUAUAGGUAUAAAGGUGGAAUGCCUUUGAAAUAAAUUAGCACCUUUCAAUUGGAUACAUCCAACGAUAGAAAAUCAGCCCACCAAUUAUUGCUUCACGAGGGAGAUGAAUGACAAGGUGCACCAUAAUUGUGAAUAAGGAAGGUGGAAAGAUCUUCUCCAAAUUGCAUAAUGUUAAAGCGGCUCGAUCUUGUACUUUUUCAAGUUCUUCAACAUUUAGAACUUUGCCACAAAUUGCUUUCAUUAUAUUAGACAGUUCAAUUAUACAGGACGUUACCUUCUUUGACAUACAACACCGUAAAGCAACUGGAAGUAGAUCUUGCAUCAAGAUGUGAUAGUCAUGUGAUUUUAAUGAAUAUAGUCUUCGAUCUUUAAGACUUACACAUCGAGAUAUAUUUGAUGCAUACGCAUCCGAAACCUUUAUAUCCUUCAACACCGUGCAGAACAUUUCUUUCUCUUUCUUUGACAUUGCAAAAAUUGUAGGCGGCAACCAAUAUUUUCUAUUAGAACGUACUUGGGGAUGAAGAUCACGCCUAAUUCCCAUGUGAACUAAAUCAAGUCGACUCUGAAGAUUAUCUUUUGAUUUACCAUCGACGUUCAAAAUUGUCUGGAUGAUGUUCUCGUAGACAUUCUUUUCAAUAUGCAUCACAUCAACAUUGUGGCGUAAUAUGUGAUGCUCCCAAUAAGGCAACUCAAAAAAAAUACUUCUUUUCUUCCACAAGUCCGCCUCAUUAGGGUCAUCCUCCUCGUCAGAUUCAUCAUCAGAUUCAUCCCUCGAUCGCCUAUUUGUUUGCCUGUUAGAUGGUUGAUUCAGCUUCCCGUAACUGAAAUCCAUAUCUUUUAACAUGAAUAAGAUUUCAGAUCCAAUGGUCUACUCAGGAGCUUUUUUCAACUCUUCAGUACCGUCAAAUAAAGCCCUCUGAAAUCUAUAGUUAUGAUUUUCAUCUAACCACCGACGAUGCCCCAUAUAGCAGAACUUCUUCCCAUUAUAUAACCACUGUGAACACGUUUGAGCAGCACAACAAGGACAAGCAUAACGUCCUCUGGUACUCCAACCAGAUAAAUUCGCAUAUGCCGGGAAAUCAUUAAUUGUCCACAGCAAAGCAGCACGUAGGUAAAAGUUCUCCUUUCUCAAUACAUCAUACGUCUCAACACUCGCCCAUAAUUAUUUUAACUCUUCAAUAAGUGGCUGCAGAUAUAUGUCAAUAUCAUUUCCGGGGCCUUUCUCUCCGGGGAUAAUCAUAGAUAAUAUCAAAGAAGAUUGCUUCAUGCAGAGCCAUGGAGGCAAAUUAUAAGGAACAAGGACCACAGGCCAAGUACUGUACGAGGUGCUCAAGAUUUUAAAAGGAUUAAAUCUGUCAGAUGCUAACCCGAGCCUUACACUCGGAGGAUCACUUGCAAAGCUUGGAAAUUUAUUGUCAAAUGAUUUCCAAGCUAAAGAAUUUGCAGGAUGCCUUAAUAAUCCAUCAUCCAUUCGUUGAUCAUGAUGCCACGUCAUAAACUCGACUGUCUUUGACGACAUGAAUAGCCUUUGAAGCCUUGGGAUUAGCGGGAAAUAUCGCAAAAUCUUGUUCGGCUUCCUUGUUGACUGUGGCCCAUAUUCAUCCUCAUUAACAUCUUCUGCAUCUCUAUUUAUCCAACGAGAUUUACCGCAAACAUGACAAGACUGUUGAUUUCUCCGAUCACCCCAAUACAACAUGCAAUCAUUUGGGCAACUAUGAAUUUUGUUGUACCCAAGCCCCAAAUCUUUUAUCACUUUCUUCAUGUCUUUACAUGAUUGAGGGAUUAUUGCAAACGGGAACAUUUCUCUCAAAAGCUCUAACAGCAUUGUCAAAGAGUUUCUGGUCCACCCUCCCAAACAUUUUAAGUGGAAAAGGCGAAUACAGAAUGACAUUUUCGAAAAUUUUGAUCCCUCAUAAAGUUCUUCAUUCAUUUCACCAAGUAACGUGUAGAACUUCGCCGCUUCUUCAUUCGGUUGUUCAUCCGGUACACUUCUUCUCGUUUCCAUAAAAGUAUUUCCACCGAUAUUAUAAUCAUCGGAUGCAACAUAGUUUGGUGGAAAUGAUUGGAAACCUUCACUCUGCAUAUUAAAUGCAUCCCACAUCAUACCUUCCAUGUCAUCUUCUCUAACAUACUGACGGUAAUCACUAUAAGGAUAACCCUGAUUAAUCGUCGAGGAGGCUCCACUAGGUGUACACUCUCCAUGGAAAAUCCACUUUUUAUACCCCCGAAUGAAGCCAUCAACAAUUAGAUGUUCGUAGACAACUUCACGAUAAUGCCAAUAGAUAUUGCCACACUUCUUACACGGGCAAAGAAUCAUAUUCUCUUGGCUUGAAUUGUGAAAUGCAAAAUCUAAAAAAGAUUGCACUCCAUUUUGAUACUCGUUGCUUGCCUUUGAGAAAUUCAUCCAAGUCCUAUCCAUUUCGUAGUUGUUGAAGUCUAAAGUUGGCAAUAAGUUACACGGGUAAGUUGUUUAUUAUGUAACUCUUGAUAUGAUAUAUAUUUAUGUUUUAUGUAAGUUAUGAAAUUUGAACUUUAAACUAUAUGCUUUUAAGGAAAUUAUUAGAUUAAACUACAUGUAUUAGUUAAGUUAUGUAAGUUGUUAUGUACGUUAUGUGAGUUAUAACUUUUAAAGACAUUUAAAAAUAUUAAAUAUUAAAAUCAAACAUCAUUAAUAUAAAAAAAUAGUAAUUUGAAUAUAAUAAUAUCAAAAAAGAAUCGUAAUUUAAUUUUUAUAAGUAAAUUAGAAAUAAAUUAAGGUUAUAUAAAUAUUCAAUAGCGAUAGAACUUUUUUCAAGUCUUUUUGAAUUUUUUAAGAUUCAUCAUACGUGGCGUUGUUACACCUAGGGAGGAUCCAUUAUAUCUUGCAGCUCGAUAUAAGGCAACCUGUCAGGUUUCCAGCCUAUAUACUUUGAAUCUUUAAAAUAUUUAAAAUAAGGAAUGGACAAGCAAUCUACAUAUAUGGUAAUAAAAUUAAUUCAUACUUAUUCAUACUUAAGUUGAAUCAAAUAAUAAUUAAGUUGAACCAAAAUAUAAAAACUUAUUCAUACUUCAAAUAAUAAUUAAUGCUGUUUUGAUAAAAAUUAGUUAUAACUUUUAAAGACAUUUAAAAAUAUUAAAUAUUAAAAUCAAACAUUAUUAAUAUAACAAAAUAGUAAUUUGAAUAUAAUAAUAUCAAAAAAGAAUCGUAGUUUAAUUUUUAUAAGUAAAUUGGAAAUAAAUUAAGGUUAUAUAAAUAUUCAAUAGCGACAGAACUUUUUUCAAUUCUUUUUGAAUUUUUUAAGAUUCAUCAUACGUGGCGUUGUUACACCUAGGGAUGAUCCAUUAUAUCUUGCAACUCGAUAUAAGGCAACCCGUCAGGUUUCCAGCCUAUAUACUUUGAAUCUUUAAAAUAUUUAAAAUAAGGAAUGGACAAGCAAGCUACAUAUAUGGUAAUAAAAUUAAUUCAUACUUAUUCAUACUUAAGUUGAAUCAAAUAAUAAUUAAGUUGAACCAAAAUAUAAAAACUUAUUCAUACUUAUUCAUACUUCAAAUAAUAAUUAAUAUUGUUUUGAUAAAAAUUAGUUAUAACUUUUAAAGACAUUUAAAAACAUUAAAUAUUAAAAUCAAACAUUAUUAAUAUAACAAAAUAGUAAUUUGAAUAUAAUAAUAUCAAAAAAGAAUCAUAAUUUAAUUUUUAUAAGUAAAUUGGAAAUAAAUUAAGGUUAUAUAAAUAUUCAAUAGCGAUAGAACUUUUUUCAAUUCUUUUUGAAUUUUUUAAGAUUCAUCAUAUGUGGCGUUGUUACACCUAAGGAGGAUCCACUAUAUCUUGCAGCUCGAUAUAAGGCAACCCGUCAGGUUUCCAGCCUAUAUACUUUGAAUCUUUAAAAUAUUUAAAAUAAGGAAUGGACAAGCAAGCUACAUAUAUGGUAAUAAAAUUAAUUCAUACUUAUUCAUACUUCAAAUAAUUAAUACUAUAAGGUCAGGUUUCCAGCCUAUAUACUUUGAAUCUUUAAAAUAUUUAAAACGUACCUUAAUAAAACGUACCUGGUCUACUCCACUCUCACCAGCAAACAGAGGCUGGAAUCCAAAAAGUAAUAUUUGUUAAGUAAUUUAAAGUGAAAAUGCAUAGAAAUAAGGAAAAAAAUCUAGCAACGAAACCUGUACGUACCUAGAACAAAUGUUAAUGGCUAUGGUGUAUUUAGUUGCACCAAAUAUUAUUUCAGGUGCUCGAUAGUACCUAAAACAGAUGUAAGAUUAUAAGAGUAGCACCAAAUAUAUUUCAGUUUAAGCAAAUAUAAAAACUUUAUCUAUAUCAGUACCAAAUUUUAAUUCAAAGAUUAAAUGGCAGCUUCAGUUGAACCAAUACUUGCAGGAGGAGCAGGAAGCAGUAAAUGAAGCUGUACACCUCAGCAAAAUCUGGCAAAACUGCACUAUAUAGAAAGAACACUUAUCAUCAAUGGGACAAAGGAAACUUAAGGAUGUGAUGACAGGAACUACUCAAGAAGACACUGAUUAUCACGUGUUCUUAUUCAUACUUAUUCAUACUUCAAAUAAUAAUUAAUACUAUUUUGAUAAAAAUUAGUUAUAACUUUUAAAGACAUUUAAAAAUAUUAAAUAUUAAAUAUUAAAAUAAUUGCUUCAACCCCAAUCAACUGGAAUUUGCCAAUGACCAUGAAAAACAUCAUAAUAUAUUGAGUCUUGCUGCAAUUUACUAUAUCCAAUAUAAGCUUGCCAUUCUAAAUACCAUUAUCAGUGCCAUUUUCUUCCUUCACCAUAGCAUUUAUUACCUUCAAUCGACAUCUCAUUUUAUAAUUAGAAAUUGAAAAGCAUUUUCAAACAAAAUAUAACAAUUUUUUUAUAUAAAACGUGAGCAACAAGGCAGCAUUAAACUCUUAAAUCAAUCUAAGUCCACACUAAACACAUACACAUAAAUUGGAUAGAAACAUGAAAACAGACCAAAAGAACAUCUAAAAAACCAAAAUGGAAUCACCAUUAUUAUGUAAACAUGAAAAUGCACAGCUUUAAACAAACCAACUUUGCAUGUGCAGAAUCAUACUCCACAAAACUCAUAAACAUUAACUUCUCCUAACCAGAAUACCAACUUUAUGUUUACAGAGGCCUUGAUGGAAACUAACAUAACUGUUGAUAUAUAACUUAUCUAAUAAGAAUCACAAAAUAUGCAGAAACUACCUGAGUAUUUAGUAUCAAGAGAACCAUGUAUUCAAAGGAAAAGAGCCAGAAAUUGAUCAAUGUAUGCAAAACUUGGUCUAUAUUUCAAAACUGGAGUAAAGCUUUCAUCUAGUACCAAAUACAUACAUAUAUAUAGACACAAAUACACAGGCAUACAUCUUCCAUUACCUUAAUCUGUUUCUUGAAAAUAAAAGAUAAGUAAGCUUCUAUAGGAAACUUAACAAAGGAAGCUAAAUCGAGACAAAACACAAAAAAGAGUGGAUGAAAUAAGCUUAAAAAUUUAGGAAUGUAAUUAAAAUGUUAAUUAAAUGUUAGGAAAAACAUUAAAAAUUUAGGAAUGUAAUUAAAUGUUAAUUAAACGUUGAAAACAUAAAAGGAAAAACAUGUUGAAAGAAACAUAAAUGUUAGGGAAGAGAAUGUUUACCUUGAUUGAAUUGGAAAUGUUUUCUUGAGGGUUUAUUUAGAGAUGUUUGGGAUUGAUCUCUAAUAAUGUCGAGAGACUUCCCUACUCAUUGCAUUUGAAGAGCAGAAGUCUGUUUCUGGUCGACAAAACAAUCAAAUGAGUUCUAAAAAUAAACAACAUUUAAUGAUCGGUAUAAUAUUAAUUAUAUUUGCUAAUAACAGGUGGGAAUAAACAAAUAAAAUGAUAAAAAAAAUAGCCAGCAAUUUGGUAUAACAUUAAUAGGAAAAAUAGGACCAAGCUCAAUACCAUUAAAAGACAGUAAGUUACAUUGUAUACAUAUUAUCACUGCAAUUUGGUAUAAAUAUUCCCGAUUAUCCCAGCAAUACUAACUAUCACAGCCAGUAUUAACAUUAACCACGACAAAAAUUUUUCUACUCUGCUCAAGCUCAUGCUCUCUUCUUGCUAACUUAUCCUCAAUGCAAUUAGAGCGGGGAACGUAAAACCUAAGGAAACAGCUGUUGUUGCUCCAGUAAAUUUGAAAGCUGUCCAUAUAUUUGGGAUCAUAGUAGAUCCAAUAUAUAUAAGCACUAACAAUAUUACUGUUAAUGCCAAAGACCUUUUUUUACUCUCCGUGAGAGGAGCUGAUCCCUCAAACACCAAGUUAUCCACAGUUUGCCGUAGGGAAAAGUGAAUAACAGGGAAAACCAGAACCAAAUGAAGAGCAAAUAUAAUUCAAAGCAGUGCUAAAAUGAAUUCCCAGAUUGCUAUCAAAAUUGGUCAAAACAUCACCUUCAGUGUCCUUUCCGAAGAGCAAAUACCCUGAUAUUGCUGUUCAGGCAUAGACCACAACACAAAGAGCAGUUGUGAUCCUCCCUACCUGAUUCAUCUUUUGAGGAGAUCGCCCUUCGAGCUCAUUGUAUAUAGUUUGAACAUUGAAAUGGCAAACAUAUGCAUUAGUCAUAAUAGGGAUAACUACUAGUAAAUCCAAAAUUGCCAUUUUCGAUCCAAAAUCUGGGUUCAUCCUUGGAGCCUCUAUCUUCCCUUCAAUAAGCUUAAUGAAUGCAACAGCAAAGCAAACCACAACGAAAACAACAGCGAGAGCUACCGAAGCAGCCGAAGUCAUGCUCAAUGAAUCAAUCCUAUCUAACACGCAAAGUGGAGCAAGAAAAACAACCAUAACAACCAAAACCAAUAACUUCCUAUGAUCCCAAUAACCAUGUCCUAACCACUGAUCGAGAACCCCAAUAUGACGAACCGAACUGGACAUAACAUCACACAUAGUAAUCAAAUAAACUAUCAGGACACCUGUAUUGUUGACAAUUAUGCAAAUCUCAGACAAAACCCUAACAGUUCUCCCUAUUGCAAUUUGCAUAACUUCCUCAUAAGAUCUAGCUUUACAAGAAACCGCAAACCUAAUCAACAUCUCGACAGUAAUUUUAGACAAAAUCCCAAUCAGGAUUAUCAAAAAAAUCCCUAAAACAAGCCCCAAAACCUUCAUAGUAGCAGGUAAAGCCAUGAUUCCAGCACCAAUAAUUGUGGUGGUUAAGUUAAAAACAGCACCAGAAACACCAGACCCGGUAUUGGGUUUACUUAAAACAAGGGUAUAAUCAUCGAGAUCAAACCCAUUUCAAUCCAUUUCAAACAAAAAAAAGGCAAGUAAUACAGUAACUACACAUUAAUCUGAAGGGGACUCAAAAACUAACCAUUUCAAACCCAUGAAGCAUAUGACUGUCGACGAGAGGAAAGGGAAAAUAGUUAGGGAUUUUGGGGAUGGGGGAACAGAAUAAGGGAAAAAAAGGGGACUUGGGGAAAAUGUUAGGGAUUUUGGGUUUGGGGAAUUAGGGGAUGAUAUGGGGAAAAAGAAAGAGGUGUUUUUUGUUUUAGGGAUUUAGGGAAGAAAGAGACGAAAUAGGGGAAAAUGACUUAGCAAAAAAUGAAACUGAUUUCGGGUAAAGGGCAUAAACCUCAGGAGAGAAAAAAUGACGCCAUUUCAAAUAAGGAAAUUUUGUGGCAUUUACAGCAACGUGCCGGUAAUGAGACCUUUUGCGGCGUUUUCAGCAAAGCGCCACUAACGCCUCUUUUAUCUACACUAUAAAACGACGACGUUCUAAUAUGAGUUGUGGCAUUUAUUAUAGAAACGCCGCUAAAGCCACUAGUAUUCAUAGGAAACGACACCGUUUUACUGUAAUGUAUAACAAAAUUUUAUGGCAUUUUCUAGAAAAACGCCGCUAUUUCCGAUCUUUAGCGGCUUUUUAUGUAUAAACGUUGCUAAUACCUUAAUAUUUUAUAAAAAUUGAUCAAAAUUUAAAACUAUAUAUUUAGAAUUUCUUUUAAAUUAUAUCUAAAUAAUGUUACUGUGAUGAAUGUUAGUGUAGUACAAAAUAUAUAUUUCAUAUAAUUAUAUUAGGUUUAGUACAAAUUCGUAAGAAUCUCAUAAAAUUCUAAAUAUUGGUUCAAUAUUCAAUAAUAUACCUUAAACUUUAAACCUCAAACCAUAAACUUACACUCUAAACCCUAACUAUAGUUGAAACUUUAAUUUUGAUUUAAUACACAUUUUAAAAUACAUAUUAUGUAUGCAUAUAAAUUAUUUAAAUAAAAACAUGAUGCUAUUUAUUAUAUAUAUCAAUAACGUGUAAAUAUUAAUUUACAAGAUCUAGAUCAAAUUACAGUUCAUGUACACAAUUGCACACUAAACCACUUUUCAUAUAUAUAUAUUUAUAUAUUUUUUAAAAUAAUAAUUUAUAUAUAUUUAUCUUAUAUACAUUUAUCUUCUAAAUUAAAAUCCAAAAUUAUACUCUAAAUUUAAAACCCUAAACUUGAGACUCUAAACCCUAAACCUUAGACCACAAGCACAAAACCCCUAACCCCAAACUUUAAACCCCAAAACCAUUCGGUAACCCCUAAACCAACCAUAACUCCUAAACCAUAAAGCCCAAGCUAUAAAGUACUUUAAAAAUUGUUAACCCUAAACCAUAAUCGUAAACAUAUUUUUGGGAAUUCGUGUGGCCAAUGUUAGUGUAGUACAAAUUAAAACACAUAUAUAUGUUUAUAUUCUUAUAUUAAAUAAUAUGAGUCUAUACAAAAUAGCAUGAAUAUUAGUAAAAUCUAAAUGUUCUUCAGUUAAUUUCUAGCUAAUAGUAUCAUUUCCUUAAACCCUUAACCUAAACUUAAUUUUUAACAUAUUUUAUUUGAGACAUUCUAUUUAAUCUAAAUAUAUUUAAACAAAAAAAAAAGAUAAAAAUACACAAUAGCAUUAUUAUUUAUACAAAGUUACAUAACUUUAAUAAAACAAUUUCUCUAUUGGAACACUCUAGUUAUAAUGUCCACUCUAUAAGAUAUUUCUAUGUUAUAUAAGCUUGGAAAUUAUACAUAGUUCAACAAAUGCUAAUUCCACAUUCAAAAUCACCCUUUCUUAAUAGCAUCCCAUGUAAGAAUCUGGAAAGGAAAUUAUCUCUUAAGAAGUUAAUAAUUGUCCCAUUGUAAACUUCAACCCUAACCUUUAAACCCUAAAUCAUAAUCCUUAAACCCAUAAUUCAUCAUAAACCUUCAAAUACUAGUUAACUCCUAAACUGUAUAUCUUAAACCAUAGUUAACUCUUAAACCUGCUUAAACCCUAAAUCAUAUAUCUUAAACUAUAAUGAUAAUUAAUUUAAUAUUUUAAAUUCAAUACUAUCUCUUUUACGAUUAUAGAAGAAAAUAUUUAAUAUAUUGUAUAACCAUAAAUUUUAAUAAUUAUUGUUUUAGGGGUUAUAGAUUAGUGUUUAUGAUUUUUUUGGGGUUUAGGGGUUAAAUGACUUUUAGCGGCGUUUUACCAAAAGCGCCGCUAAUGCUCUGGUUUUUAGCGGCGUUUUACCAAAAGCGCCGCUAAUGCUCUGGUUUUUAUCGGCGUUUUACCAAAAGCGCCGCUAAUGCUCUGGUUUUUAGCAGCGUUUUACCAAAAUCGCCGCUAAUGCUCUGGUUCUUAGAGGCGUUUUACCAAAAGUGCCGCUAUUGCUCUAUUUUUAGCGGCGUUUUUUACUAAAACGCCGCUGUUGCUCUGUUUUUAGCGGCGUUUUUCUUAAAACGCCACUAUUGCUCUGUAUUUUAAAAUUUUUGCAGCGUUUUUUGAUAAAACGCCACUAAAGACCUAUUUUCCUGUAGUGAUAUAUUUGAAGUAUGGCAUGUAUAGGCUAGUAGUUGUGCAAGUAUAUUUUGUGAUGUAUAUACUUAGCCAUGUGAUUUGGCUAAUUUGUGUUUGAACUGUGACAGCCCAAAAUUGACCCUAGUCGGGAAGUGGUUUCGGGACCGCUAAACCGAGUCACCGAAAUGUUUGAAUGUGAUAUUUAUUGUCUAGAAUAUGUAAUUAUGAAUGUGCGAAAAUUUCAAGCUUCGAUUUAGUCGAUUGCAUGUGAAUUUAGUCAAUAGAACUUAUGUGCGACAUUUUUGAAAUGUGAUAGGUCGAAGCAUAAGGACCUAUUAGAGCAUGAAAUAAAAAGGGGGGACUUGCAUGUCAAAUUCCGCCCCCCUAACUAGUAGUGGCCGGCCAUGACAAGCAUGGUAGACCAAGUGUGAUGGGCAAGACAUGUCAUAGACAUGUUGUGUUGGUGCAUCAUGGGUGGAAAAAAAUAAAAUAAGGAGCAUGAGCAUAAAAUAAUGAAAGGGAAUAUGAUGAAAACAAAAAAAAAAGUGUGUAGUUGUUCCCCCCCCCCAUUGCCGUGAGUUAAAGAAAAGAAAAGAGAAAAUUUUGUUCAUCCUUUUUCAUCUUCAUUUGGCCGAAAAUUCAAAGGAAGGAGGAAGGAGUUCUUGCUUCAUGUUUGGUUUGGAAGAGGAUUAGGAGGAGGUUUGGCCAUACUUGUAUCUAGAUCAAGGUAUGUUUGAGGUUGUGCCUUGAGAUUCAUGCAUGUUUUUAGUUGCUAGCUUGAGUUCUAAUUAGCCCAUGGUUCAAAUCUUUGCUAUGUCAUGGGGAUGAUAUUCGGCCUAGGUAGGUUUUGUGUUAAUGCCAUUGCAUGCUAAAUAUGAAGCUUGUUAAUGAUGCAUGUGAUGGUGGAUUGAUGAUUCUUGAAUCUUCUUUUUAGCAUUUUUGAGUGAGCACAUAUGUGCAUUGGUUGCUAGAUGGAGAAGAAUCGGCUAGCAAGUUGUGUGCUAAGGCCGAAUAUAAUUUUUGUAUAUUAAUGAGUAAUGCAUGUGUUAAAUUGAUGGAAAGGGAGAGGAUGCUUUACUAGUGUAUAUAUGUGUGUAUUAGCCAAGUUUUGAACUUGAAACAAAAGGGUGUUUAGUCAAUACAAGUGACCAUACUUGUAGAAUGUAUUAAGUGUUGAAAUCGGCCCCAACAUAGACAUGCAUAUUCGGCCAUAGGAAGGAGAUUGGUGUUGCAUGUAUUCGGUUAGAGGCAAGCAUAUUGAUGCUUUUGUCUUGGCUUAGAAAAUUCGGCCAAGGGGGAAAAAUUAGCUAAAAUGUUGAGUUUGAUUCAUGAUUCCGUACAUAUGUGACUUUAAUGUCUAAUGUAUAAAAAUGGGCUAAGUGCCUUGUGUUCCUCUUUCCGAUGCUCAAAUGAUUAAAUCAAUUUAUUUGUUUAAUUAAGCUCAAGAGCAAAGGGGAACUAAAUCUGAUAAAGGGAAGGAAAAAGUGGUCGAAUAGCUAUCGGAAUCGUUCGACAACACCCGAGGUAAGUUCUUGAGUAAAAGAGCUUAAAUUAUGAUUUGAUUAGAUCAUGUUUUAAGCAAACCAAAAUCAUGCUCUUUGUGUGGCUAUUGAGCCGAAAUUGCAAGAAUGAUAAAUGUCUUGUGUUUGAGUUUUACUAACGUAAACGAAAUACGAAUGUGCCAUGAUUUAUUGUUAAAUGUGCAUGGUUAUUUGAAUGAUGUCCGGGCUAAGUCCCGAAGGCUUUGUGCUAAGUGACCAUAUCCGGACUAAGAUCCGAAGGCAUUUGUGAGAGAUACUAAUUCCGGGCUAAGCCCGAAGGCAUUUGUGCGAGUUACUAAAUCCGAGUUAAGUCCCGAAGGCAAUUGUGCGAGUUACUAUAACCGGGCUAUGUCCCGAAGGCAUUUGAACGAGUAGCUAUAUCCGGUUAAAUUCCGAAGGUACGUGAUUUGGGAAUGAAUGAUCUUGCUGUAAAAAUUUCAGUAAAUACUCUAGAAACAUCCCAACAUUGAGGUAUGUUUCGUAUGUGCUUGAAUUUAGUUGAGCCCUUACAAAUAAGUAUUCGCUCAGUUGAUAAACGAGCUACCGGCCUUUGGCUAAGUUGAUCUUUUGUGUAUGUAUAUAAGGGUCGGUAAUGUGAAGCAAGUAUGAUAUCGAAAAUUUGUGCAUAUGAAAUUAUUCGUUUAGCUAUAUGAAUGCUAUACUUUUGCUGUGCUGGAAUUCCUUGCUCAAAACUUACUAAGCAUAAAUUGCUUACUCCGUUUCUUUGAUCCUCUAUUUUAUAGAUUUUGGUUCUCCAGCUAUCGGACUCGGGAUUUUGAAGUCGAAGUCGCCCACACUAUCAAAGCCCCCCUUUUGGUACAAUUUUGGUUGAACUUCGAAAUGGCAUGUAUAGGACUACCCGUUUGUUGUGGGUCAUGGACCCUUUGGACUUGUAUAAUUUUGGAUAGCCAUGCGAAAAUGGCUUAUAUAUGUUUGAGUGUAAUGUUAUAAUCAUUUGGUAUGGAUAUGGUUAUUGAGAGGUGUGGAUAGGCUUGACAAGGAUUGGCCAUGGGAAUGGUUAAUCACUAUCAUAAAUUGUGCUACUUAUGCAAAAAGGGCUAGUUGAAUCAUGGAAACUAUGAAAUAGGUAAAGUCUACCUUAAAGGCAGAUGCUGACAGCAGCAGUGAUGUAUAUUUUGAAAUUCACUAAAAAUAGUAGGAAUGGAAGUAAAUAGUGAAUAAAUUAUGUAAACGAACCUUGAUGAAUCUAUUUUCAUAGGAAAGUAACGAAACAAUCAUACGGACAGUAUGUUAGGAGAUAUUCAGGUUCUUGUGAGACAGGGCCAGAACGGUUUCUGGAUUUCCUGUUCCGACUUUGGAAAUUCAUUAUAAAUUAACCAGAGACAAUUAGGAGUCAAUCCAUAUAUGUAUAGAUUCCUCUCUGAGUCUAUUUUCUAUAGAAACAAACGGCAUCAGUAUUGAAGCCCUGUACAGGGAGAUAUCCAAGUCAUAAUGCGCAAAGGUCAGGGUAGUCGAUCCCUGUAACAUGGGAGACUUUGACUAAUAAACUGUACUAAUUGGCCUGAGCAAAAAUUCUAGAAAAAAAUAUGUAGAUGGAAAUAUGAGUCUAGUUUCAGGAAAAAUUUACGGAACUGGAUUCCGAGUUUCUGAACUUAAGAUAUGAUUUUUAAAGCGACUAUUAUGCAGAUUGGCAGUGUCUGGAAAAUUUUUAAAGUUUGUUAACACCUCGUGUUCGACUCCGGUGACGGUCUCGGGUUCGGGGUGUUACAUUUGAUUGGUAUCAGAGCUACGGUUUAGUCGAUUCUAGGACUACCGUAAUGCGUUGGGUCUAGCUAUACAUGCCAUUUUAUGUGAUUAUUUGAUAGUGUGGUGAUUUCUGACAUUUGCAAAUGUGUUUAUUUAUAGUAAUGGAUCCCGAUCCCGACCGAGCGGUAGCUGAUGAUCUUGAGAGUGUAGCGCCGGUGGACUCUCAACCUAAUGCUAGUAACCCGAAUGAUGAAGCUAGACAAGCUUUCUAUAGCGUGAUGAAUGAUUGGUUCAACCAAUACAUUCGAACUAAUACGGCUGUUCCACAACCUCCCUUCCCGACUAAUACAACCCCCGCACCUACAAUACCUCCGGUAACUGACCAAAUAAGGUCAAAUAAGCCCCCAGUUGACAGAAUUCGAAAACAUGGGGCUACUGAAUUUAAAGCUACGGAUAGCGACGAUGCCGAGCAAGCUGAAUUUUGGUUGGACAACACUAUCCGGGUACUCGAUGAGCUAUCUUGUACACCCGAUGAAUGCUUAAAGUGUACUAUCUCCUUGCUACGUGAUUCUGCCUACUAUUGGUGGAGUACUCUGACUUCUGUUGUGCCCCGAGAGCAAGUAACUUGGGAGUUUUUCCAAACUGAGUUUCGGAAAAAGUAUAUCAGUAAGAGAUUUGUUGAUCAAAAACGGAAGGAAUUUCUUGAGCUUAAGCAAGGUUCCAUGUCGGUUACUGAUUACGAGCGAAAAUUUGUUAGACUUAGCAAAUACACUCGGGAAUGUGUUUCGUCCGAGGCUAUCAUGUGUAAACGCUUCGAGGAUGGGCUGAAUGAAGAUAUAAAAAUGUUCGUUGGUGUUCUUGAAAUACGAGAGUUCGUAGUACUUGUCGAGCGAGCUUGUAAAGCCGAAGAGCUUAGAAAAGAAAAACAAAAAGUUGAUGUGGGAACUGGAGAGUUUCGUAAAAGAUUUUCGGGAAAGUCUCUUCAACAGGCAUCGAAGAAAUUUCGAGAUGAUGUGGGCUGGUCGAGAGGCACUUCGGGCCUUUUUAGACGAGAUCGUGAUCGACCCCCUGUGGGUACACGAGGCACUUCGGUCGCCAGUGUUGGGAAUGAACGUCGAGACAGAACGAAAUGUCGAUAUUGCGGUAAAUGGCAUUCGGGGAGUUGUAGAUUCCCUGACCGCUCCUGUUACAAGUGCGGAUCAGUUGACCACUUCAUUAAAGAUUGCCCGAGGUUGUCUGAACAGAAUGUAAAUCAGAGUGGGAAAUCGGGUGCUACCACUGCUUGAGGUAGACCAUCUGGAAAUACGGGCAAUGCUAGUGGUGGUCAGAGAGGAUCUAGAGAUGCUACGACCAGAUCCGAGGCUCGUGCGCCUGCUAGAGCUUAUGCUAUACGUGCCCGCGAGGAUGCUUCUUCGCCUGAUGUUAUUACCGGUACUUUUACUCUCUUUGAUACUAAUGUAAUUGCUUUGAUUGACCCCGAUUCUACUCAUUCUUACAUAUGUGAAACCUUAGCAUCCAGUAAGACUUUACCUAUUGAGUCUACUGAGUUCGUAAUUCGGGUGUCAAAUCCCUUGGGUCGUUACGUGCUUGUCGACAAAGUGUGUAAGAAAUGUCCCCUAGUAAUUCGAGGUUCCUGUUUUUCGACGGACUUGAUGCUUUUGCCGUUUAAUGAAUUUGAUGUUAUUCUCGGGUUGGAUUGGUUGACCGUGCAUGAUGCGGUUGUGAAUUGCAAAAGCAAGACGAUUGAAUUGAGGUGCGCAAAUAACGAAGUAAUCCGAGUUGAGUUUACGGACUUGGAUGGGUUGCCAGCUGUAAUAUCCUCAAUGUUGGCCCAGAAAUAUGUAAGAAAAGGGUGCGAAGCAUACCUUGCGUAUGUACUUGAUGACAAAGAAUUAGAAAAGAAACCCGAAUCUGUGCCGGUGGUUUGUGAAUACCCGGAUGUUUUUCCUGAAGAAUUACCGGGUUUACCACCUGUUCGGGAGAUAGAGUUUGGUAUUGAGCUUGUACCUGGGACUACGCCGAUUUCGAUGGCUCCGUAUCGUAUGGCACCAACCGAGUUAAAAGAGUUGAAAGCUCAGUUGCAAGAAUUGACGGAUAGAGGUUUUGCUCGACCAAGUUUCUCACAUUGGGGUGCACCAGUAUUGUUCGUGAAAAAGAAGGACGGAACCAUGAGGUUGUGCAUUGACUAUCGUCAACUGAAUAAAGUGACGAUAAAGAACAAAUAUCCGUUACCGCGUAUCGAUGAUUUGUUCGACCAACUGAAGGGAGCCUCAGUGUUCUCAAAAAUAGAUUUGAGAUCGGGCUAUUAUCAGUUGCGAAUUCGAGAUUCAGACAUACCCAAAACUGCCUUCAGAACGAGAUAUGGUCACUACGAGUUCUUAGUGAUGCCGUUUGGGCUCACUAAUGCCCCUGCGGUAUUUAUGGAUUUGAUGAAUCGGAUCUUCAGACCAUAUUUGGAUCGGUUCGUAGUUGUGUUCAUUGAUGACAUCUUGGUCUAUUCAAGAGAUGAGACCGAACAUGCUGAGCACCUGAGACUAGUGUUGCAAAUUUUGUGGGAUAAGGAGUUAUAUGCUAAGUUCAGUAAGUGUGAGUUCUGGUUAAGAGAGGUUAGCUUCUUGGGUCAUGUGGUAUCCGCAUCGGGUAUUCGAGUUGACCCGAGCAAAAUUUCAGCCAUACUUAACUGGAAGCCUCCAAGAAAUAUUACCGAAGUUCGGAGCUUCCUGGGGCUCGCCGGUUAUUACCGACGAUUUGUCAAAGGUUUCUCGAUGAUAGCCACACCAAUGACGAAGCUACUUCAAAAGGAUGUUAAGUUCGAAUGGACGGAGAAAUGUCAGAAAAGUUUUGAUCAACUAAAAACUUAUUUGACUGAAGCUCCAAUUUUAGUGCAACCCGAAUCAGGCAAAGAGUUUGUCAUUUAUAGUGACGCAUCCCUACUUGGGUUGGGUUGCGUAUUGAUGCGAGAAGGUCGAGUGGUGGCCUAUGCGUCGAGACAAUUAAAGCCACAUGAGAAAAAUUAUCCGACCCAUGAUCUUGAACUAGCUGCCAUCGUAUUUGCUUUAAAAAUAUGGCGACAUUACUUAUUUGGUGAAAAGUGCCAUGUAUUUUCGGAUCACAAAAGUCUCAAAUAUUUGAUGACUCAAAGAGACUUAAAUCUGCGACAAAGACGUUGGCUUGAGUUGUUGAAAGAUUACUAGCUUGUCAUUGAUUACCACCCGGGAAAGGCUAAUGUGGUUGCGGACGCCUUAAGCCGGAAAUCAUUGUUUGCUUUACGAGCGAUGAAUGUGCACUUGUCUGUUCUACCCGACAAUGUGUUAGUAGCUGAAUUAAAAGCCAAACCAUUAUUGAUUCAUCAAAUUCGUGAAGCCCAGAAGGUUGAUGAUGAAUUGGUUGCAAAACGGGCUGAGUGUGUUCCGAACAAGGAAUCAGAGUUUCAAAUUGAUGAUGAUGAUUGUUUGAGGUUCAGAAGUCGUUUGUGCGUUCCAAGGAAUUCGGGACUCAUUUCGAUGAUUCUGAACGAAGCCCAUUGUAGCCGAAUGUCAAUUCACCCGGGGAGUACGAAAAUGUACAACGAUUUGAAACGUUGGUUUUGGUGGCAUGGUAUGAAACGAGACAUCUCCGAAUUUGUUUCGAGAUGUUUAAUAUGUCAACAAGUGAAAGCGGAACAUCAAGUGCCUUCAGGAUUACUUCAGCCGAUCAUGAUACCCGAGUGGAAAUGGGAUCGAGUCACAAUGGACUUUGUGUCCGGACUGCCCUUGUCAGCAAGUAAGAAGGAUGCGAUUUGGGUUGUUGUUGAUAGACUGACUAAGUCGGCUCACUUUAUCCCCGUGCGUACGGAUUUUUCAUUGGAUAAACUAGCCGAAUUGUAUGUUUCUCAGAUUGUGAGAUUACACGGGGUACCUAUUUCUAUCGUGUCGGAUAGAGAUCCGAGAUUCACCUCGCGAUUUUGGAGGAAAUUGCAAGAAGCUUUGGGUACCAAGCUGCAUUUUAGCACUGCUUUUCACCCCCAAACCGAUGGUCAAUCUGAGCGGAUAAUUCAGAUACUUGAGGAUAUGUUGAGAUGUUGCAUCCUCGAGUUCAGUAGUUCAUGGGAACGGUAUUUACCUUUGAUUGAAUUCGCUUACAAUAAUAGUUUUCAAUCAAGUAUUAAGAUGGCACCUUACGAGGCUUUGUACGGUCGUAAAUGCCGUACACCAUUAUUUUGGACCGAGCUCGGUGAAAGUAAAAUUUUCGGAGUUGAUUUGAUUAAGGAUGCCGAACAGAAAGUAAAGGUAAUCCGUGAAAGUCUGAAAGCAGCCACAGAUCGUCAAAAAUCGUAUGCGGAUUUGAAACGAAAAGACAUUGAAUAUCAGGUGGGAGAUAAAAUGUUUCUUAAAGUUUCGCCUUGGAAAAAGGUACUCAGAUUUGGCCGUAAGGGCAAGUUGAGCCCGAGAUUCAUUGGGCCGUACGAAAUCUCCGAACGAGUUGGUCCGGUUGCGUAUAGAUUGAUUUUGCCCCCUGAACUUGAAAAGAUUCACGAUGUCUUUCAUGUUUCGAUGCUUCGACAUUAUAGAUCCGAUCCGUCACAUGUGAUUAAUCCCUCAGAAGUUGAAAUUCAAUCUGACUUGAGUUAUGAAGAAGAACCGAUUCGUAUCCUAGCUCGUGAAGUGAAAGAGUUGCGAAACAAAAGGGUUCCGUUAGUUAAGGUGUUAUGGCUCAAACACGGGAUCGAGGAAGCUACUUGGGAAACCGAGAGCUCGAUGAAAGAACGAUACCCAAACCUAUUUACCGGUAAGAUUUUCGGGGACGAAAAUUUCUUAAGUGGGGGAGAGUUGUGACAGCCUAAAAUUGACCCUAGUCGGGAAGUGGUUUCGGGACCGCUAAACCGAGUCACCGAAAUGUUUGAAUGUGAUAUUUAUUGUCUAGAAUAUGUAAUUAUGAAUGUGCGAAAAUUUCAAGCUUCGAUUUAGUCGAUUGCAUGUGAAUUUAGUCAAUAGGACUUAUGUGCGACAUUUUUGAAAUGUGAUAGGUCGAAGCAUAAGGACCUAUUAGAGCAUGAAAUAAAAAGGGGGGACUUGCAUGUCAAAUUCCCCCCUAACUAGUAGUGGCCGGCCAUGACAAGCAUGGUAGACCAAGUGUGAUGGGCAAGACAUGUCAUAGACAUGUUGUGUUGGUGCAUCAUGGGUGGAAAAAAAUAAAAUAAGGAGCAUGGGCAUAAAAUAAUGAAAGGGAAUAUGAUGAAAACAAAAAAAAAGUGUGUAGUUGUUCCCCCCCCAUUGCCGUGAGUUAAAGAAAAGAAAAGAGAAAAUUUUGUUCAUCCUUUUUCAUCUUCAUUUGGCCGAAAAUUCAAAGGAAGGAGGAAGGAGUUCUUGCUUCAUGUUUGGUUUGGAAGAGGAUUAGGAGGAGGUUUGGCCAUACUUGUAUCUAGAUCAAGGUAUGUUUGAGGUUGUGCCUUGAGAUUCAUGCAUGUUUUUAGUUGCUAGCUUGAGUUCUAAUUAGCCCAUGGUUCAAAUCUUUGCUAUGUCAUGGGGAUGAUAUUCGGCCUAGGUAGGUUUUGUGUUAAUGCCAUUGCAUGCUAAAUAUGAAGCUUGUUAAUGAUGCAUGUGAUGGUGGAUUGAUGAUUCUUGAAUCUUCUUUUUAGCAUUUUUGAGUGAGCACAUAUGUGCAUUGGUUGCUAGAUGGAGAAGAAUCGGCUAGCAAGUUGUGUGCUAAGGCCGAAUAUAAUUUUUGUAUAUUAAUGAGUAAUGCAUGUGUUAAAUUGAUGGAAAGGGAGAGGAUGCUUUACUAGUGUAUAUAUGUGUGUAUUAGCCAAGUUUUGAACUUGAAACAAAAGGGUGUUUAGUCAAUACAAGUGACCAUACUUGUAGAAUGUAUUAAGUGUUGAAAUCGGCCCCAACAUAGACAUGCAUAUUCGGCCAUAGGAAGGAGAUUGGUGUUGCAUGUAUUUGGUUAGAGGCAAGCAUAUUGAUGCUUUUGUCUUGGCUUAGAAAAUUCAGCCAAGGGGGAAAAAUUAGCUAAAAUGUUGAGUUUGAUUCAUGAUUCCGUACAUAUGUGACUUUAAUGUCUAAUGUAUAAAAAUGGGCUAAGUGCCUUGUGUUCCUCUUUCCGAUGCUCAAAUGAUUAAAUCAAUUUAUUUGUUUAAUUAAGCUCAAGAGCAAAGGGGAACUAAAUCUGAUAAAGGGAAGGAAAAAGUGGUCGAAUAGCUAUCGGAAUCGUUCGACAACACCCGAGGUAAGUUCUUGAGUAAAAGAGCUUAAAUUAUGAUUUGAUUAGAUCAUGUUUUAAGCAAACCAAAAUCAUGCUCUUUGUGUGGCUAUUGAGCCGAAAUUGCAAGAAUGAUAAAUGUCUUGUGUUUGAGUUUUACUAACGAAAACGAAAUACGAAUGUGCCAUGAUUUAUUGUUAAAUGUGCAUGGUUAUUUGAAUGAUGUCCGGGCUAAGUCCCGAAGGCUUUGUGCUAAGUGACCAUAUCCGGACUAAGAUCCGAAGGCAGGUGUGGAUAGGCUUGACAAGGAUUGGCCAUGGGAAUGGUUAAUCACUAUCAUAAAUUGUGCUACUUAUGCAAAAAGGGCUAGUUGAAUCAUGGAAACUAUGAAAUAGGUAAAGUCUACCUUAAAGGCAGAUGCUGACAGCAGCAGUGAUGUAUAUUUUGAAAUUCACUAAAAAUAGUAGGAAUGGAAGUAAAUAGUGAAUAAAUUAUGUAAACGAACCUUGAUGAAUCUAUUUUCAUAGGAAAGUAACGAAACAAUCAUACGGACAGUAUGUUAGGAGAUAUUCAGGUUCUUGUGAGACAGGGCCAGAACGGUUUCUGGAUUUCCUGUUCCGACUUUGGAAAUUCAUUAUAAAUUAACCAGAGACAAUUAGGAGUCAAUCCAUAUAUUUAUAGAUUCCUCUCUGAGUCUAUUUUCUAUAGAAACAAACGGCAUCAGUAUUGAAUCCCUGUACAGGGAGAUAUCCAAGUCGUAAUGCGCAAAGGUCAGGGUAGUCGAUUCCUGUAACAUGGGAGACUUUGACUAAUAAACUGUACUAAUUGGCCCGACCAAAAAUUCUAUAAAAAAAUGUGUAGAUGGACAUAUGAGUCUAGUUUUAGGGAAAAUUUACGGAACUGGAUUCCGAGUUUCUAAACUCAAGAUAUGAUUUUUAAAGCGACUAUUACGCAGAUUGGCAGUGUCUGGAAAAUUUUUAAAGUUUGUUAACACCUCGUGUUCGACUCCGGUGACGGUCUCGGGUUCGGGGUGUUACAUGAACUCAUAUUUGAUAAUGGUUUAUGAUAUGCGAUGUUAAUUUGCAAUUGUGGUAUGUUUAGUUGGAUAAAGGAAAUGGUAAGUUUGGUGAGUUCAUGGUAUGAAAUUGAAUGAUGAUUUUGAUAUAUAAUCUUACAUUAUGUUUUAGUAUAAAUAGGUAAGGUUUAUAAGUAUGUAAAUGGUUGAUAAUAUUAAGGUAUGAAUAAUGUGUGUUUUAGCAUAAAAAUUGGUUGAUUGGAUUGUACAUAUAAGUUUGAUUCUUUGCUUAUAGGUUGACUAAAAAAGGGGUGGCAAAUUGGCUUAAACCAAGCCUGCAUUGUGCUACACGAUCAGGGAACACGGGCAUACCUUGUGGCUGUGUAUGCAAAGCAGUACCCUCUUAAGAUCACACGGCCAUAGCACAUGGGCGUGUUAUAUGGCCAUGGGCUAAAGUCAGUAGCUAGCUAAGAACCACACGACCAUAGCACACGGGCGUGUUUGUUGGCCGUGGGUGAAAGUUAGUAUGUAUGCUCUGUUUUGACACAGCUGGACUACAUGGGUAUGUCUGGUGCCUGUGUAAGGCACACGGCCUGGUUACACGGACGUGUGACCUCAACAGAAUUGAGAAAUUUUGCUAAGUUCUAAAAAUUUUGAAUAUGUUCGGUUUAGUCCCGAUCUAUUCCUAAUGCAUGUUUAAGGUCUCGUUGACCUAAUAAAGGGACUUUAUGUUGAUGUUUGACUAUGAUGCUAUGAUGUUGUGAAAUGAAUGUGAAAUAUUUUGAUAUGUUCAAUAAUGCCUCUUAACCCUAGUCCGGCGAUGGAUACGGGUUAGGGGUGAUACAAGCUUGGAGUUCGAGAGAAGAAUUAGUGAACCUACUUUGUAUGUGAAGAAAUAAUGUGUUGAAACACAGCUCAUAGUGUCCUUGUAUUUUGAUGAUCUACUUGUAAUAAGAAGCAAUAAUUUCAUGCUUGAUAAUUUCAAAAGGAAAAUGGAAAAUAUGUUUGAGAUGUCAGACUUGGGACAAAUGUCCUACUUCCUUGGCAUGGAAGUGUCUCAAACUGAGCAAGGGAUCUUCCUAAGUCAAAAGGCUUUUUCCUUAAAGAUUUUGAACAAAUUCUCCAUGUUGAACUGCAAGCAAGAAGCACACCAGUUGCUAUUGGAAAAAAGCUAUCAUGUCAAGGUGAUUUUGAGAAGGUUUGUGAAUCAACCUAUAAGAGUUUGGUUGGAUGCUUGCUCUAUUUGACAGCUACUAGACCGGAUAUCAUGUUUGCUGUGAGUCUGCUAUCUAGAUUCAUGCAUUGUUGCAAUGGGAAGCAUUUACAAGCUGCCAAAAGAUUUCUCAGGUACAUCAAAGGCACACUGAGCUUUGGAGUAAAGUUCACCAAGGUUUAUGGCAUGAAACUGCUUGGUUAUGCUGAUAGUGAUUGGGUUGGAUUGAUAAAUGACAUGAAAAGCACCUCAGGGUAUCUAUUUACCCUUGGUUCAGCCAAAUUUUUUUGGAGUUCGAAGAAGAAAAAUGUUGUUGCUCAAUCAACUGCUGAAGCAUAAUAUGUGGCAGCUGCAAGAGCUGUCAACCAAGCCAUUUGGCUAAGAAAGAUAAUGACCGAUUUGAAUCUACACCAAAAAGUAGCAACAGAGAUUAAAUGUGACAACUAGUCUGCUAUUGCAAUGUAAAGAAUCUAGUGUUCCAUGGGAGAAUAAAGAACUUCAGGAUUAAGUUUCACUUUGUUAAGGAGAUGAAACAAGAUCAAAAGGUGAAGCUAAUUCAUUGCAGUUUUGAAGAACAACUUGGUGAUAUCUUAACAAAGCCCCUUAGUGUGUCGAGCUUCAUGCAUUUGAGAACUAAAAUGGGAGUAUGCUGCAUGCAAGCCAAUAAGGAGUUUUGAAGUUGGCCUGCAUGUAGCACAUGAUGUAGCCAAGGAGCAGAGAAGCUUCACGAACCAUGCAGUUGCUGCUGAAGUUGAUAUAGCUGUUUAAUUUCAAUUUAUUUUGUUACUUCAAUUGAUGUUUUGUAACUUAGUUAAACUAGAACUAAGUUGUUACUGCAAUUGAUGUAUUUUUGUUGACAUUUGAGAUGAUAAAUCAACUUUACCAAGUGUGCAAGUUUAGUUUAACAAGUUCCAAUGUAAUUAGUGGUAGUAGGUAGAUGUUUAGGUGAAAUUUUUUUGUUUUUUAUCAGCCGUGACAUAUGUAAUGGCAUUAUGCCUUAAUUGCAAGUUAAUGAAUAUACACAUUUUCUUCUUCAUUUUUUCUGGUUUUUUACUCAAGCAAAUUGCUCAAGCUUCAUAUCUGAUUUAUGUUGUUUGCUUAACAACCAUCGAGCCUUCAAGCUCAAGUUUCUAUCUUUGUCAUUCAUCUUCAUUCUUAGUUUUAACAGACAGAUUUGGGAAAUUGAAUUUCUCUUCAUUUCCAAAUCUUGUCCUUCUUGAUCUUAGUGAUCAUCAACUUGAUGGAAAUAUCCCGCACCAGAUAGGUGAUCUAUUCGCAUUGAAGUACCUUGACUUGUCCAAUUGUGGUUUAUCCGAUGAGUUACCUCCUGCUCUAGGAAACCUAACCCGAUUAAAGUACCUUGACAUUUCCUAUAAUGAUAAUAUUAACAGUUUCAUCCCUCCACAACUAGAAAAUCUAAUGAACCUUGUCAAUUUAAACUUGAGUGUCAACAGUCUUACAGGGAAGAUUCCUUUAGAAUUAGGAUUUUUUAUCAAAUUUGGUUUAUUUGGAUCUUUAUAGCAACAAGAUUUUUGGUCCAAUACCAUUUUCUUUGUACCAUUUGAUAGAUUUGGAACAUCUGUACAUUGAUAAUAACUACCUUGAAGGAUCAAUCUCUAAAAAUAUUGAAAAUUUCAAGAAAAUAAGCUUUUUAAACAUCACUAAUAAUAGAUUUACUGGUCAUAUUCCUCUAGCUUUUUGUCGUUUGCCCACUUUGGAAGAAAUCUUUCUUGACCAAAAUCAAAUAAGUGGUUUGGUCCCUUCUUGCAUUGGUAAUUUAUCCAACUUGACUUCAUUGUACCUCUCUCCCAAAACAAAUUGAGUGGUUUGAUCCCUUCUUGUAUUGGUAGUUUAUCAAAAAUGCAGUAUUUAAGACUUGGUUCUAAUCUAUUAGAAGGUCCUAUUCCCCAAGAAAUUUGUGAUUUGGGAAAUUUAACUUCAUUAGGCCUCUACCAAAACAAAUUGAAUGGUUCAGUCCCUUCUUGUCUUGGUAAGUUGUCCAAAUUGCAUACCUUAAGACUUGAUUCAAAUCUAUUAGAAGGUCCUAUUCUUGAAGAAAUUUGUGACUUAGCAAAUUUAACUUCAUUAAGCCUCUACCAAAACAAAUUGAAUGGUUCAAUCCCUUUUUGUCUUGGUACAUUGUCCAAAUUGGAUACCUUACAACUUCAUUCAAAUCUAUUAGAAGGUCCUAUUCCCCAAAAAUUUUGUAAUUUCGCAAAUUUAACUUCAUUGUACCUCUUCCAAAACAAAUUGAGUGGUUCAAUCCUUUCUUGUAUUGGUAGUUUAUCAAAGAUGCAGUACUUAAGCCUUGGUUCUAAUCUAUUAAAAGGUCCUAUUCCCCAAGAAAUUUGUAAUUCAGAAAAUUUAACUUUAUUGUACCUCUCCGAAAACAAAUUGAGUUGUUCAAUCCCAUCAUGUAUUGUCAAUUUAUCCAAUUUGUAUACCUUAGAACUUGAUUCAAAUCUAUUAAAAGUUCCGAUCCCUGAAGAAAUUGGUAGGCUUUUUCACAUAUCAAAUUUAAACCUCAGCUUCAACCAACUCUCAGGUAGUGUCCCUAUCUUGUCUGCCACUAAACUUCACAUUAUCGAUGCUGGAAAUAACUGUAACAAGAUUUCUUCCAAUCCCUUUGAAGGCAAUAGUGGUUUAUCACCCUAUAUGUGUCCUUCUCGAGAAACCGACAAAGUUAAUAGCAGUAGGUUUCCUUACUAUAUCAAAAUAUUCCUCCCUAUUACCAUCUUAUCCGCAUUCACCAUUUUGGGAUGUUUUCUAUUUUCACGAUUUAAGCUCAUGAAUAAUCGUGCUAGUAUACAACCAAUGAAAUGGGGAUUUGUGUUCCAUAUAGAACUAUGAUGGAAAGAUACAUACGAGGAUAUUGUCGCAGCAACAGAGGAUUUCGAAUUUCGAUACUGUAUUGGAGUUGAUGGCUAUAGAAGUGUUUAUAGAGCAAAAUUCCCUUGUGGUAAAGUAGUUUCUUUGAAGAAACUUCAUCACUUUGAAGUCGAGAAUCCAACCUUUGACAAGAGUUUCAGGAAUGAGAUCAAGUUUCUAACAAAAAUAUGACAUCGAAACAUAGUAAAGUUUCAUGGGUUUUGUCUACACCGAUGGUCUAUGUUUUUGAUCUACGAAUACAUGGAAAAAGGGAGUUUGUUCUGCAACUUAAGAGAUGAAGUGGAAGCUGUGGAAAUGGAUUGGACAAAAAGAGUGAAUAUCAUCAAAGGCAUAGCACAUGUUUUUUCUUACUUGCACUUUGAGGCCUUUGUAGCUGACUUUAGAACUGCUAAAAUGCUGGAUCUUGACUCAUCCAAUCAGACCAUUAUUGUGGGCACAUAUGGAUAUGUAGCUCCAGGUGAUUUUCUUUGAUUCAUUUACUGAUAUUUUCUUUUGAAUUUAUAAAAUUAAUUUAAUAUAUAAUUGGUUUUCUUUUUAUCUGGUUGACAUAGAUAGAACUUGCCUAUACAAUGGUUGUUAUCGAAAAAUGCGAUUUCUAUAGUUUUGGAAUGGUGGCCUUGGAAACAUUAAUGGAAAAGCAUCCUGAAGAAGUGUUACCAUGGUUGUCAUCAACUUAUUUGUUAAAUAUGAAGCUGAUUGAUGUGUUGACAACCGUUUACCACUUCCAACAAGCCAACUAGUUGCACAAAAUCUUGUUCACGUUGCUACACUAGCAUUCACUUGCUUAAGUCUGCAACCCAAGUCUCGACCAACAAUGAAAGAAGUGUGUGAAGAGUUUCUUUGUGACCAAAAAUCCUUGGGAAUUCCCCUUGGGAUGGUCUCUUUGUUACAACUUGUCAACCAUAAAAUCCACAUUAGAGGCAAAACUGAAAAUUGUAGUGUUCAAAGUCCAUGCGCUUGUUAGAUACUGUUUGUCAUGCUGUCAUGAUUUGUUUCUUCAGUAGCUCUUGUGUUAUGUAUGAUGUAAUGAAUUGUAAUGUUGAAUACACUUGUUUAUUUGGUGGCUAUGGAAGAAAUAAAUUCUGCAAUUUGAUUCAAAUCUUCAUACUUCGUCAAGUUUUUCCUUCUUCCAAACAACAUAAAGAUAAUAUAUAAAAUAAAAGUAACCAUAAAAAUAAAUUUUGGAGAAGAAGGAUAUUUGAUAUGAUUUUUUGUAAAUUUGAACUAGGAUAUUUGACCUAGAAAAGAAACCGUGAUUGUAAUUGUUUUGUGACCUCAGAUACAAUGUUAUUAUGAUCCAACACAUGCCUAGCUUUCAUAAUCCUCACUCUCUGCCUAGUUUCUUGAUUUUAUAUGUAUGGUUUCCGUAGUUGAAAUCUAAUUAUAGAUAAUUUUUUAUUGAUUUAUAAAAAGAUAAAAAGAUAAAAACACUCCCAUAAUUAUAUAAUAUAUCUUGCAAAUAAAAUGGUUUUUUGACAAUUCCCCUAAUUGGAAUCCAGUUUGAAUUAUACUCCAAUUUCUAAAUUGUUUUUAAAGGUGCUUUUUUAAAAAAAAAAGUGUUACAUAAAUUAUAAUUUUAUUAUUUUACUUAAAAACUAGUGUAAAUUAUUUAGUUGGUCACCUAAUUUUUAAAGUACUUUUCAUUUUAGUCACUCAAGCAUUAAAUUUUAAAAUUGUAAACAUGAUAUGACAUGCAUAGUUAACUACCGUUAGAGAUUUAAUGCUUAGGUAAAUAAAAUGAAAGCGGCCUAAAAGUUGAGUGACAAAAUUGCAAAGAUUUCAUUUUAAGUGAUCAACAUGAAAGCACCUUAAAAAUUAGAUGACCAAAGUAAUUUACCCUAAAAAGUAUGCAACAUCCAAUAAAAGUGCUUCAUGUGACAUGCUUUUAUUUGCUUACAUUGUUUUUUAGUAAACUAGAAUAAAAUUUAUAGUUUCCAUGUCGUUUCUAAUAAAAAAAAUUUAAAGAUUAAUCUAAAAAUUAAGGUAUAGUUGAAACACAUUUUUUAACAAAGCUUCAAAAUAUGAUCGAAAAGAUUAGCAUUAAAGGAAAACUACAAUGUUAAGUUAAAAAUAGUAAAAUGUUUGGCGCUAAAAGCAUCAAUUGAAAUUAUUAGAUGACUGGUAAGGCUUCAAUUCUAUUAUUUGUAUACAAUUCUUGUUAAAUUGCAACACUAGCUUAUAAUCACCAUUUAGUAUAGUAGAAAUUAUAUUUUAUUAGUGGUUUAUGUUGUAUAAAGUUUAACUUAGUUUAGAGUGUUUUCUUAGCAAGGAAUGAAUCUCAAGUUGCCUAGGAACAAAAGGUAAAAGAUUAUAAGUCUAUAUAAAACCCCUUUCUCAUAUGACAUAGAAAAACAAGGAUAGUGGACCUUGAGUUUAUAUAAAGACCUAUGUUGCAAAUAUUAUUUGCACCAAAUCAACUAUUAAAAUUUCUAUUUGAUUUCUUUUAAUUCCUCUUUUAUUUUCUUAUUUUGGAGUAUUUAGGAGGUGUAACUAAAUAUUAGUUUAGUGGUCUUGUAAGCACAAGUGUUCUACAAUUUUUAAUUUUUUUAAGUAGAAAAAAUUUAAGUUCAUAAAAGAAAAAAAGUUAUAUCAUCAUUUCUGCUAAAAAUUUAAAGAAGGGUUAUCAAACAAAAUUAAUUGAAAAUGUUGGUAAUAAAAUUGAAAAUUUUUGUAGUUCAACAACCACAACAAAAACUUACUAUUAGUUGAGUGGCUAAUAAUGUAGUUUAAUCUAAAAACUAAAGUUUUCAACUUUAAAUGAAUUGGCCAUAUUUUAAAUCCAUACAAACGUAAAAACAUUCUUUUUUCAACAAUUUUUUAAAAAUUAAACCUAAUAUCCUUAUUUGAAUCCAUAUAAAUGUAUAUUUUAUUUUAUUUUGCAUAUUUCUAUUAAAGAAAAAUAGACUAGUUUUAUCUUAUAUCUAAUAAUUACAAAAUAUUGAAUUUGUUUGUAAAAUUUGUUUAAAAAUUUGUACAAUUUCACAAAUAAUAUGAAAUAAUGUAUUCUAAAUAUUGGAUAUUGUAAACUAUUUAUAUACUAUAUGUUUAAUACUAUAAAAAUAUUUAUAUUAUACACUACAAAAAAUUUAAAAUUUUAUACAUAUUGUUUAAAUUAUAUAGAAUUAUUUAUACAAUUUAAAUUUUAAGAGUUCUUUAAUUGUUUUAAAAGUUAAUAUAAGUAAAUUUUAUAUGAAUUUUUAAAAUUUUAUUAGUCUAGGUAUAUAAUAUCUAUAUGAUGGAGAGUAAAGGUGUCCAUGGAUCGAGUCAGAUUCAGACCAAGCCUAUGCAAAUAUCUAGAUCAAUUUUUCAAGCCUGACCUAGCUUGAAAAAAUGACUUACUUUUUUCCCAAGCCCAACUCAAUCUAAGAAAGAUAAAUUGGGUCUGACUCGGCUCGCCCAUAUUUGAUUUUUUAGAUUAGUUUUUUUAAAGGUAAUUUAAAAAUUAUAUAUAAUACACUAAAUGAAAUAAAAAGUGAUAAAAUAAAAGUUUUCUAACAAAUUAAAAAAGAUUUAUAUUCAAAAAUACGACCAUAAAUAUAAUAAAUGUUUUAUUAUAUUAAAAAAACAAAUAAAUGUACUAAAGAUUUUAUUUUAUUAAAUAAUUUUCAAAUCUUAUAUUUUGGGUAGGGUUAGUUUGGUCUUUUUUUUAGGUUUUGGGUAAUGGGUAUAAUUUUUUUGGGUUGGUUAUUUAAUAUAACUCUCUAUCAUUAUUAUUUACCCUAUAUUUGGGGUGGGCCAAGCUUCGGGGGUUUAAGUUCGCGACGCUAACCUAACAAUUUUAAAAAUUUACAUUUUAGCUCUCAUUCAACCUCGAGUUAUCAAAAGCACUUUCAUAAGCUCAUUUAACCCUAAAAUUUAUUAUAAUCUUGGUGUUCCUGAUGUAAUGGCCUUGAUAUUCUGUAUAAAUUGUUUUAAUUAAAUUACAAUUACGGUCGUAGUUUUGCUCUGGCAACGAAUGUGUGAUGGUCACUAAACUAACUAUAACUAUGAUAAGCGACAAUAGUAUAGCUAUGGCGAGUAGGGAAUAUCAUAUCCAAAAGGACUAAAAAUACUAGUAAUUAUUGUUUUUCUAUUAUUUAGCCGAUAAAUUGGGAUGAUUGUUUUUAAUCUAAAAUUACUAAACUAUUACUAAAGAAGGCAAGCAGAGAAUGAAUUAAGAAAUAAUUGAAUAAAACCAUGAUAUAGACACUACCCAGGAAAGAAUCCACCUAGACUCCACCUAUUAUUCUGAAUCUGAAUUAAACGAUUUAUUCACUUAUGUCUUGAUCUGUAGAAAUCCCUAAAUUAUGUUAAUAUCUCUUUCGAGAGUAAAAACAAUUGACUCUAGAUUCAUUAAUUGAAAUCUCUUUCUAAUUAAAACCUCUAUUGUCGCAUUAGCUCAAUCUAUGGAUUCCCCUAUUAGAUUUGACUCUAAUCCGGUAGAUUUAUGCCGUCUUAUUUCUACGGUUGCAUGCAACUCCACUCAAUUAUGCUAGAUCUACUCUUAAACAGGGACUUUUGCUCCACUGAAAAGAACAUUAAACAUGAGUUAAUAUCCUGAAAAUAUUAAACACGAAAUAAGCAUACAUAAUUGAUGUAAUAGCCCAAAUUUGCCCGGGCCCGUGAAAUAGAAUAAAAAAAUAAAAAAUAAAAAAAUAAAUUUAAUGUCUGUAAUGUCCAGUUUACAAUAAACGAGCCUAAAGACUUGAUGACCCAAGACCCAAUUAGCCAAAGAACCCAAGUGCCCAUUACACCCUCAACCCAAAAAACAUACGGGGCCCAAGAGGCCCAAACCGUAAACUAAGGACAGAAGACCUAGGGUUUCAGAAACCCUAGGCGCCGCAAGCACUCCAACCGUCACCCUCUNNNNNNNNNNNNNNNNNNNNNNNNNNNNNNNNNNNNNNNNNNNNNNNNNNNNNNNNNNNNNNNNNNNNNNNNNNNNNNNNNNNNNNNNNNNNNNNNNNNNNNNNNNNNNNNNNNNNNNNNNNNNNNNNNNNNNNNNNNNNNNNNNNNNNNNNNNNNNNNNNNNNNNNNNNNNNNNNNNNNNNNNNNNNNNNNNNNNNNNNNNNNNNNNNNNNNNNNNNNNNNNNNNNNNNNNNNNNNNNNNNNNNNNNNNNNNNNNNNNNNNNNNNNNNNNNNNNNNNNNNNNNNNNNNNNNNNNNNNNNNNNNNNNNNNNNNNNNNNNNNNNNNNNNNNNNNNNNNNNNNNNNNNNNNNNNNNNNNNNNNNNNNNNNNNNNNNNNNNNNNNNNNNNNNNNNNNNNNNNNNNNNNNNNNNNNNNNNNNNNNNNNNNNNNNNNNNNNNNNNNNNNNNNNNNNNNNNNNNNNNNNNNNNNNNNNNNNNNNNNNNNNNNNNNNNNNNNNNNNNCAUUUUUAUUUUAAAUUGGCCCUAAUAUUUUACGAUUAAUUCAAUUUAGUCCCGAUGGCCCUUAUAAAGUUUACUCUGGGAACGACGUCGUUUUUGGGAUUAGGGCUAAUUGCCCAGUGAGUCCCUUGGUUUUAGUGCGUGUUUCAAUUGGGUCUAAAAUUCUUUUGAAAUUAACCCUAAAAGUUUUAUUCUUAUUUCAUUUUAAUCCUUUUUUAAAUUUUUUUAUAUAAUUUAUCUAUUUUAAAUAUUUUUAUAUUAUUUAUUUUCACUACAAACAUUAUUAUAUAAAAAUUAUUAUAUAUAUAUUUUUUAAUUAGACAUUUAUUUAUACGCUUUAUCAUAUAUAUUAUAUUAUUUUAAUAUAUAUUUUAUUCAUUAUAUCAUUUUCAUUAUAUAUUAUAUUUUUAUUUAUUUAUUACUAUGUACAAUUUUUUCUAAAAUUUUAACUAAUAUUAAAUAAUAUAUAUAUCAUUAUUAAAUAUUUAGUAUUUAAUAUUCUAAAACUUAUUAUAAAACUUUGUUCCUAUUCAACAUAUUAUUAUUUUUAUAAAUAUAUAUAUUAAACCGCUACAUUAUAUAGUAUUUUUUUAAAAAAAUUAUCCUUUAUUAUUUUUAUAUUGUUUUAAAUUUUUAUUUGUAUGUAAUCUUAUCUUUUUCUUUUCUUCUGACUUUUGUUAUAUAUUCCUAACUUAUUUAUUUUUAUACUAUUUUGUGUUUAUUUAGUAUUAUUUUAAUAUGUUAAUUGUAUCUUAUGAAUUACUUUUUAUUCUUAUUUCAUUUAUUAUUUUAUAUAUUUGCAUGGAAGUUUAUGUUGUUAUUUUAAGUUAUAUCCGCAUGAAAUAUUGUUGUAUAUUAUGUAAUUUGUAUUGUUCUAUUCAUUAUUCUUUAUGUUGUAUUUUGCAUGGAAUGAUAAUGUAUGUAUAUUUACGUUAUUUACGUUAUUUACAAUUAUAUAUGCAUGAAAUGUUAAUGUAUACUAUGUUAUUUACAUCAUUAUUUAUCAUUUUCCAUACUAUAUUUACAUGAAAUGUUAAAGUAUGAAUCAGGUAACUUAGUUUACUUAAUAUUGAUCCUUUGUAAUACGUUAAAUACAUCAUUACUUUUAAAAAAAUUAUAUCUCAUUUAAUCCAAAAGAAUUUUAAAAAGAGAGGCAAUGUCUUUGCUAUUUAGGAAUUCGGGAAGUAGUGCCUUAACAUGCUGGGUUGCGAUUUCUCGUCUGCCUAAAUGUCUAAAGUAUCCUUCUAAAUAGAUUUUGUAAAUCACGAGAUGAUUUCAAUUUUGAAAGAUUUAGAAUAUCGUGUCCAAUCAUGCUGGAUGUGAUGUUUGUACUCUUUUGGAGUGAAAGAACCUCGAUUUUCAGCAAAUUAUUAUAGCUUUAAAAAGGGAUCUUAUUUCUAAAUUCUUUCAAACUUUUGACAUCAAGACAGAAAAAUAAUUUGGUACCAGUUUUGGGCGUUGCAAGGGUGCUAAUCCUUCCUUGCAUGUAAUCGACUCUCGAACCCAUCUUCUCAUGUUUUCGUAGACCAAAAUGUUUUAUAAGGUGAUCUAAUCACACCUAAAAGGUUGGUGGCGACUCCCGUUUUUCAAAAAUCUCAUUUUUAAAAAGGAGGUUUCGACAGCUUGGCGACUCCACUGGGGACCAAUAAGAGAGUCAAGCCAAGAAAUUGAUUAUUUUCUAUCUUAAUGUUGGAAGUUUGGAAACUUUUACAUAUAUUGAUCUUUUUAUAUGUGUUUGCUGCAGAUGUUUGUUAUCUUGUUUUCGCACACAUUGCAUUUGUAUGACCGCUGUGGUCGCACCCUUAAGUGGGAGUGAGAAGCUACGCUUUCGUGAGGUUUUCACCUCCGUAUGGGCUAGUGGAUUACUUUCAGGAUACAUCUGUACCUAUGUCUUCGUGAGAUUUUCAUCUCCAUAUGGCCAUAGGGAAAUGUGUUCCCUUGAACCGAACUUGGUACAUAUGAGCCUAUAAUGGGUGAGGACCGAGGAAUCUACUGGUUCAGGUACCCUCGCUUUAGAACUGAAACGCAUAUAAUGAACUUUAAGUGCUUACCCUAGGGAGUAUAGUGAUAGCCUUUAGUAAGCUACCUUUAUAAGUGUUUGUUUAUUAUACGUUUAUAUAUGAUACUGACUUAUUUUAUUUUUUUAUCAUUGCAUGUCACUCAAUAUUUAAAAGUAUCGAUUCACGGUACGAUUUCUAGAUUAGAAAGUUUUGUAAUGAGGAACGAAUAUCUUGAUAAAGUGGAGGACAAAGUGGAGGACAAUGCUUCUGUCUGUGCAUGGUCAGAAAAAAGCCAAUUAAAGAAAGGAGAUAGUGUCACUGAGGGGUAUACAUCAGAGUUGUGGGACUUCACUCGUAUCAGUUCAACACAGAAUGAGUUUCAGGAGUUGAAGGACAUUUGGGUCCAAUAGAAUGACGAGGCUAAGCAGCUGUUCUACCAGAAUUAUGGAGAUCUUCCCUAUUUGCUAGACAUCAAGGUGGAUAAGCAUCUGUUUCUAGUUAUGGUACAAUUUUGGAACCCUGCUUAUAGUUGUUUUACAUUUGGAGAGGUAGACUCAGUACCUACUUUGGAGGAGUAUACGACCUUACUUCGCUGUCCAAAAAUUCAAGGUAACAAAGCUUAUGUUAGGGCUAUUAAUCCCCCAACUUUCGUGAAGAAAUUAAUGAUGAUUACAGGGGUGAGUGAACAGUGGGCCGCAGCUCGAGUCCAACAAAAUGGUGAUAGUAAAUGCAUUCCGUGGGCAAGUUUGAGGGAUUUGAUAUUGGCACACCCAGAUGUGAAGAAAAUGGUUGAUAUCUUGGCCUAAAGUAUGUAUGGUUUGGUGAUUUUCCCAAAAGCUAUGGGGAACAUAGAUGAGGCAGUUGCAGAUUUAUUCGAUCGACUUAGUAAACAGAAUACACCUGUACCUGCAAUCCUAGCUGAGACGUUUAGAUCCUUGAGCCCAUGUCGAAAAGCUGGUGAAGGUAGAUUCAUUGGAUGUGCACAGUUGUUGUUAGUAUAGUUCCACAAUCACUUUUGGAAAGUUGAUAAGGUUCCCUGCCGAAUGUUCUCUAAGGAUUAUUCUCCCUUAAGGAAAGUAGCAGUUACACUAGGGAGGGACGACAUUACAGAGGAAAGGUAGAUAGAAAUACUUCAGAAUCUCCGAGAGGAAGAUGUAAUGUGGAUAGCCUCUUGGAUGGCUCCUAAUGAAGUCCUUUAUCGUUGUGGAAAUUUUGAUUAGGUACUUCUUCCUGGAAUUUGGGAAGUUGUUGGUUAUGCACCAUUACUCGUCCUAAGGCAAUACAAAGCGGGGCAGUUUAUACCGGCAACACAAGGGUUAGCCCAGAGUGAUUUCUCAUAUAAUGGGGAUCAUUAUAAGAAGAAGAUGCGAGAGAUUUCUGAGGCCUGAAAGAAAAUUUAUUGUGUGAAGAUUCUGACUGAAGGUCUGACGGCGACCCUUGAGUACAAAGAGUGGUUUAGCAACAGAAUCAAUGAUAACAUCCCUAGACCGAGUUUGGGAGCUUCCCGAUCGAUGGAGGAGAGUUUACGAGUGAUUUCAUCAGAGUUAGAAGUUAUAAAACAAGAGUUUGGAAGGAAGAAUUUGGAGCUCAAGAGAAAGAUAGAGAAGCUUGAGGAGGAGAAGAUGUACCUGAGUUUAAACGUCGACGUUCAUAGAAUUGAGGUCGAAAAAGAGAGGAAAGAAAAGAGGAAGAUUGAGGAAGACCGAGAUGACUUGAAGACGCAAUAUAAGAGGAUACAGUUAUCAAUGAAAAGAGCUGGGUUGGGGAAGUCUUUAGAGCAGUGGCAACAAGAGGUUCAAGAAGAAAGAGCCAAAGCCGAAUAUUGGGAGAAGAAGUUUCAAGAGAUACAGUCGCGUAAUCAGGCCCUAGAGAAGGAGAAUCAAGGAUUAAAAACUAAGGUAACUGAGCUUGGAUGAUCUCUUCAUCAUCACCGAAGUUGUAACUCUGCGGUCGAGUUAAAGGCAAGCCUGGAUACGAUCGAGGAAAUGAAGCACAAUAUUGGAGGGUUGGAAGCAGCAUUACAGAACUGUGAGCUAUAGAUUGAGCAACUCAAGGCAAGAGAAGAACAUUGGAAGGGAGAGCUUCACCAUUUUCAAGAUCAAGUCAGAGAUAGGGACUAUAUCAUGGGAGAAGCUAUAGUACAGAUUUGAGAGGUUGCGGAUCAUUUGCAAGACCUAGCAGUGCAAGCUAAUGUAUUGAGUACAAAGUAUGAGUUAGUGCCAGAUAGAGGUCUAGAGUUAGCCUUGUUAUUGGAUAGAGUUAAAAGUAUGGGCCUAAAGGCAAAGACGUAUUUGUAAUCCGUUUUGUGUAAAGAUUUUUGUUUCUUAAAUAACGUUUUCUAAAAGAAACUGAAUCAGAAUCGAUAUCUUUUUACAUUCAUGCAUUUGCAUCUCAUCGCAUCAUAUGCAUUCAAAUUUAUAGAAAGACCCUAAUUAGUUAAAAUUAUUAAGGAGAAAGAGAGACUGAGAAAAAGAAAAUCUAAAAGCAACAUAUCCUUACGGUACAUGCACUAAGACAAAGAAUAUGGAUCAAAGACUUGAGUAGAUAUAGAAAGAAAUGCAAGAGCAAUUACAGGAACAAUUGGGGAAAAUCCACCAGGAGAUGAAGGAUCAAAUGGUAGAGGCUCAAAGGAAUAUGAUGGUUGAGAUGGCUCAGCUACUGAGGGGGGCAACGGAUAAAGGAAAGGCCCCUAUGACUACCACUGAAGAGGAUAACGAGGAUCAUCCUCCUCGUUUUACUCCACCUCAUGUGCAGACUCAACCUGAGGCAUAUCCCCGAAGGCCGUUCAUCACAAUAAGGCCUCAACAGGGGCAAGUCGAUGCUAGAAUGCCCAUGAACUUUCAAACUGGUUCGAGAUUCAACCCUGGAGAUUACCCUACCAAUCCAGUCAUCCCUGAUUUAGAUGUAGCUGAGAGAGAAGAUAUGAGGCUCAAAUCAUCAAGGCAAUUAAAGGAACGUUACAGAUGGUUAGAGGAGAAAUUUAAGGCAUUAGAAAAUGCUGAUAAUCAUCAAGGAAUUGAUGCCAAAGACUUGAGUUUGGUCCCAGAUUUGGUACUUCCUCAUAAGUUCAAGAUGCCAGAAUUUGAGAAGUACAAUGGGACUACUUGCCCUGAGGCUCGUAUCACCAUGUUCUGUAGACGGAUGACUGGCUAUGUAAACAAUGAUCAAUUAUUGAUCCAUUAUUUUCAAGAUAGUUUGGUUGGGGCAACGGCUAGAUGGUACAAUCAAUUGAGUCGCGCAAGGAUUGGUUCUUGGAGAGACUUAACGCAAGCCUUUAUGCAGUAAUAUAAUCAUGUGAUUGACAUGAUUCCUGAUAGAAUCACUUUGCAAAAUAUGGAAAAGAAGCCUAAUGAGCUUUAGGCAAUAUGCACAAAGGUGGAGGGAGGUUGCCAUGGAAGUUCAACCACCGCUCUUGGAGAAAGAAACUACCAUGUUUUUCAUUAACACUUUGAAGGCCCCAUUCAUUACUCACAUGAUUGGAAGUACCACCAAGAGUUUUACUGAUAUAGUUAUGGCGGGAGAAAUGAUUGAGAACGCCAUAAGGGGUGGUAAGAUAGAGGGGGAAACUGUUAAAAGAUCGGCCCCAAGAAGGAAAUAUAAUAAUGUGAACAAUGCGAGUAGUUAUAAUUCAAAAGCAAUUACUGUUAGUCAAUCAAGAGCAACUACGGUUGGGCAACAGGAUUCCCAAAAGUAGGAAUCUGGUUCGAGACAAAAUUCUGAAAAGGUCUCAUUUACACCUAUCCCGGUGACGUAUCGAGAGCUUUAUCAAAGUCUAUUUAAUGCGCAUGUAAUAGCUCUUUUUCAUUUGAAACCACUGCAAUCCCUAUAUCCCAAAUGGUACGAUGCAAAUGCCAAAUGUGAAUACCAUGCAGGGAUAUUAGGGCACUCAAUCGAAAAUUACACUGGCUUUAAAAAAGUAGUGGAAAGACUGGUCAAGAUGGAGGUCGUAAAAUUCGACGACACUCCUAGUACAGAGAACCCAUUGCCAAACCAUGGUGAUCAAGGGGUAAAUGCAAUUGGGGACACUAAUAUGGGAAGGAUCAAAGAGGAUGUGGCUGAGAUAAGAAUGCCGAUGAAAGUAAUCUGGGAAGAAAUGGUGAAAAGAGAAAUGAUAAUCUCUGAGGAGGGAAAUAGAGGAGUGAGGGAUUACUGCGAGAUCCAUGCAGAAAAGGGACAUGAGAUCCAGGAAUGUGACGAGUUUAAGGCCUUAAUACAAAGCCUUAUGGAUAAUAAAGAGCUAGAAUUUUAUGAAGCUGGCUCAGAUGAGGGUUAUGUAUGCACAUUGGAAGGGGAACCCAAGAAUCGAAGAAUCAACCGACCAAGGAUCAUUAUUUCCCUACCAAUGAGUAAUAAAAUUGAGACACAAACAGCGCCAAAAGUCAUUAUUCACAAACCCGUUUCCUUUCCUUAUAAGGAUAACAAAAGGGUACCCUGGAAUUAUGACUGUAAUGUGACAAUACCAGAGAGAGAAAAUAUAGCUAGUACUUCUAAGGAGGCUCAAGUUUAAGGAUUCUACACACGUAGUGGGAAGCAUUAUGAUGCAAAAGGCAUCAGAAUUAAGCCUAGGAAAGUGAAAGCCUUUGACGUUGAGAAGGAGAAUAAGGCUGAGGUACUUAUUAAUGAGCCAAUGAAGGAAGAAGAAGCUAGAGAGUUUCUAAAAUUCCUGAAACACAGUGAGUACAACGUAGUUGAGCAAUUGCGCAAACAACCAGCUCGUAUAUCAGUAUUGGCUUUGCUUCUGAGUUUAGAGGUACAUCAUGAGGUGUUAAUGAAGGUGCUCAACAAAACUUAUGUUAUUAAUGAUAUAUCCGUCAACAAGUUAGAUCGAUUGGUUAGUAACAUAAGUGCUGACAAUUUCAUUUAUUUCAAUGAUAAUGAAAUCCCACCUGGAGGUAUGGGAUCAGCUAAGGCUUUGCACAUUACCACUCCGUACAAAGGAUAUACAUUUCCGAGUGUGCUUAUUGAUAAUGAGUCAGCCUUAAAUGUCAUGCCAUUGUCCACAUUGAACAGAUUAUCCAUAGACAGUUCUCACAUGAAAACAUGCCAUAAUGUAGUGAGUGCAUUCGGUGGCACAAAGAGGAAGGUUAUGGGAAGAAUUGAUAUUCAUUUGAUUAUUGGGCCAAACACGUAUGAGGUGGACUUUUUAGUAAUGGACAUCAAACCCUCAUACAAUUGCCUGAUGGGGAGGCCUUGGAUACAUUCGGUAGGAGCGGUGCCCUCAUCUUUGCACCAGAAAUUGAAGUUAGUAGCGAACGGAUGGUUGGUCACCAUAAAUGCGGAGGAAGACAUCAAUUACCAGUGACACACCCUAUGUAGAGGCAAAUGAGGAGGCCAUUGAGUGCUCUUUUCGUUCCUUAUAAUUCAUUAAUGCAACAUUCAUUUCAGAGGGGAAUGAGAUGCCGGUGCCUAGAAUAUCUAGAACCACAAGAAUGGGUUUACAGCUAACAAUAGGGAGAGGAGCCUUGCCAGGAAAAGGAUUGGGAAGAUAUCUUCAAGGAGGGAUUCAAAUUCUAGAACUAAAGGAGAAGAGAGACCAUUUUGGCUUGGGUUUUAGGCCAGAUCACAAGCAGAGAAGGAAGGAAAUAGAAAAGCGUCAAGAAAGAAGAAGGGCGCGUUUAAGUGGAAGAGAAGUAGAGUGGGAAUGGUUGACGUUCCCUCAGAUAUCCCAAACCUUUAUAUCAGGAGGGAUAAUUUACCGUGAGAGAAGGUUGCUCGAAAAAGGAAGUUAUCACAUCAAUGUUGUACAUAAUGAAGAGUCUGAACGAAGAAACCUUGAGGGCACUCGCCCUUAUGAACCGGGAAGCUCUUUAAACAAUUGGAUUGCAAAAGAACUUCCUGUAAUUUUUAAAGACUUUUUAGAGUAAUUUUCAGAACACUCUUGUUGCUCUAGAGCCUAGGAGUAAUAAGAUUUCGUUUGUAAAAUAGGCUUAUGUUCGGAUAUUGGCAUUUCAAUAAAACACGACUUUUGUUAUCAAUCCAAGUGAAUAUUCUUUUAUACCGAUUAAUAUUCUUUUGACCUUUUAAAUUCUUUCAAUUUUUUUUUUCAUUUCAUAUGUAACACAUAAAUAAACAUUCUUAAAAUUCAUUCAUUCUUUGUACAUUCUUUCGUACCCCGCAGGUCCCUAGAUAUCAAUGACAUGAGCACUGAUACUACAAAUCCUGAAUUCUCUUUUGAGUAAGACAUAUGUUUAGAAGAGCCUCAGGAUUUCGAGGAUGACGAGAAUUGUGAUGUGUCUCCAAAUCUGUUGAGAAUGGUGAAACAAGAGGAGAAACAAAUCCUACCCCGUAAGAAAGAGGCAAUAGAGAAUGUAAUCUUGGAAGAAGGAAAAGAGGUGAAAAUAGGGACACAAAUUGCAAAGGGAACGAGACAAGGUCUUGUUGAGCUACUACGUGAAUUCAAAGAUAUCUUUUCAUGGUCAUAUGAGGAUAUGCCAGGUUUGAAUACUGAUAUCGCGGUACAUCGUCUUCCCAUAAGACAAGGUUGCAAGCCAGUCCAACAAAAAUUGCGAAGGAUGAGGCCUGAUAUUGUGCUGAAAAUAAAAGAUGAAGUCAAGAAGCAGUUUGAUGCUGGAUUCCUACAAGAGGUUAAGUAUUCAAAAUGUGUGGCUAACAUUGUACCUGUCCCUAAGAAGGAUGGAAAGGUACGAAUGUGUGUUGAUUACAGAUAUCUGAACAAAGCUAGCCCAAAGGAAAAUUUUCCUUUACCGCACAUCGACACUUUGGUGGACAAUACAGCGAGAUAUUCAUUGUUUUCUUUUAUGGAUGGCUUCUCAAGGUACAAUCAGAUAAAGAUGCAUCCUGAGGACAUGGAUAAAACUACCUUUAUAACAUUAUGGGGCACCUUUUGUUACAAGGUAAUGCCCUUCGGGCUAAAGAAUGCAGGAGCAACAUACCAAAGGGCUAUGGUAACUUUAUUUCAUGAUAUGAUGCACAAAGAGAUUAGGUGUAUGUUGAUUAUAUGAUUGCCAAAUAUUGAACAGAGAAGGAACAUAUUGAAGUCUUGAGGAAGUUGUUUCUGAGAUUAAGGAAGUUUCAGUUAAAGCUUAAUCCGGUAAAGUGCACCUUCAAAGCUAGGUGGGGGAAAUUAUUGGGCUUUGUGGUCAGCGAAAAGGGAAUAGAAGUUGACUCAAACAAAGUUAGAGUCAUACGAGAUUUGCCUUCACCACGUACUCAGAAGGAAGUUCGGGGUUUUCUUGGAAGGUUGAAUUAUAUUGCUCGUUUUAUUUCACAAUUAACAGAGAAAUGUGAUCCUAUAUUUCGCCUCCUUAGAAAACACAACCAAGGUACUUGGGAUGAGGAAUGCCAGAAUGCCUUUGAUAAAGUCAAACAAUACUUGUUAAAAGCUCCAGUAUUAUCUCCACCUAGUCCAGAUAGACCAUUAAUUCUGUACUUGUCGGUAUUUAGUAAUUCUAUGGAAUGUGUGCUUGGUCAACAUGAUGAGUCAGGAAGAAAAGAGAGAGCUAUAUAUUACCUUAGUAUGAAAUUCACAGUGUGAAAUGAGAUAUUCACCAAUUGAAAAGUUGUGUUGUACUUUGAUUUGGACAACUCGAAGAUUGAGACAAUAUAUGCUAUAUCAUACGACUUGGCUAAUUUCAAAACUUGAUCCAUUAAAGUACAUUAUGGAGUCAACAGCCCUAAAUGGAAGAAUGGCAAGGUAGCAAGUAUUGCUUUCAGAAUUUGAUAUAAUCUAUGUGAGUCAAAAAGCUAUAAAAAGAAGCACGAUAGUAGAAUUUCUAGCUGGCAGAGCGUUAGAAGAUUAUGAGCCAUUGAGCUUUGAUUUCCCUAAUGAGGAGUUGAUGUAUGUGGCAGCUAUUGAAGAAUAUCCAUGGAAGUUGAACUUCGACGGCGCAUCUAACACGGUAGAAAAUGGAAUUGGGGCAGUCUUGGUAUCCCCAAAUGGUGAUCAUCAUCCAUUUACAUGUAAAUUGGAUUUUGAUUGUACGAACAACAUGGUCGAAUAUGAAGCAUGCAUCAUGGGGAUCCGAGCAGCCAAAGAGCGAAAAAUUAGAACCUUGGAAGUAUAUGGAGACUCUGCGUUGGUAAUUUACCAGCUUAGGGGUGAAUGGAGACAAAGGAUCCCAAACUGAUUAAUUAUCGAAAGGUAGUUUCAGAGUUACUUAAAGAGUUCGAUAAUGUCACUUUCAGUUAUCUCUCACGGGACAAAAAUCAGAUGGCAGAUGCUUUGGCAACAUUGGCUUCCAUGAUCAAAGCAAAUAAACAAGAGGAUGUGAAACCAAUUCAGAUGAGCAUUUCUAAGGUUCCAGCUCAUUUUUGUAAUAUCGAAUAAGAGAAAAAGGAUGACUAUCCUUGGUAUCAGGAUAUAUUACGGUAUGUGAGAAAUCGUGAAUAUCCUGAGCAGGCAACUAAAAACGACAAAAGAACUUUGAGGAGGUUAGCCUGCGAAUAUGUGCUAGAUGGGGACAUCCUUUAUAAAAGAAAGAAAGAUCAGGUACUUUUGAGAUACGUUGAUGUUGUAGGAGCUAGACAAAUCCUGGAAGAAGUACAUGAAGGAGUUUGUGGUACACAUGCUAAUGGCUUUACGAUGGCAAGACAAAUCAUGAGGUUUAGAUUCUAUUGGUCUACUAUGGAAGGAGAUUGUAUCAGUUAUGCUAAGAAAUGUCACAAAUACCUGAUAUAUGGGGACAAGAUCCAUGUACCACCUUCACCCUUACAUGUUAUGACUUCUCCAUGGCCCUUUUCCAUGUGGGGCAUAGAUGUCAUUAGGCCAAUAUCACCAAAAGCUUCGAAUGGGCAUCGUUUCAUUUUCGUGGUUAUUGACUACGUCACAAAAUGGGUAGAGGCAGCUUCAUAUGCUAGUGUUACCAAGUCGACAGUGAGUCGAUUCUUGAAAAAGGAGAUUACUUGUCGGUAUGAAAUGCCUAAGAGGAUCAUAUUGGAUAAUGCAUUGAACUUGAAUAACAGCAUGAUUGCGAAAGUUUGCAGUCAAUUCAAGAUCAAACAUCAUAAUUCAUCUCCAUAUCACCCAAAAAUGAAUGGGGCAGUGGAAGCUGCCAACAAAAACAUCAAGAAGAUAGUGGGGAAAAUGACUGAAACUUACAGAGAUUGGCAUGAGAAAUUACCAUUUGCACUCUUUGCCUAUCGAACGUCCGUUGGAACCUCUACUGGGGCAACUCCUUUCUCGUUGGUUUAUGGGAUGGAGGCAGUGUUACCCAUUGAAGUAGAAAUACAUUCUCUUUGAAUUUUGUCAGGGAUAAAGCUGGAUGAAGCAGAAUGGAUUCAAUCGCGGUAUGACCAAUUGAACUUGAUUGAAGAAAAGAGGCUAAGAGCUAUUCGCUAUGGUCAGAUGUAUUAGAAGCGAAUGAUGCAAGCCUAUGACAAGAAAGUUCAUCCAAGAAAAUUCCACGAAGGAGACCUUGUAUUGAAAAAGAUUCUUCCCAUACAGAAGGACUUUAGAGGGAAAUGGAUGUCGAAUUGGGAAGGGCCGUAUGUUGUGAAAAAGGCUUUCUCUAGAGAUGCACUAAUUUUGACAGAAAUGGAUGGGAAAAGUUUGCCCAAUCUAGUGAAUUCAGACUCAGUCAAGAAAUACUUUGUCUAAAGGGAAGGGAAGACAAGGUGAAAACCCGCAAAGGGCGUUUUGAGGUUUCUAAAAAAAAUGGAGAGGCCAAGGUAAAAACCCGCAAAGGGCGCCUUGAGUCCAAAAGGGUUUUGAGUUGAAAACCCGAAAGGCUGCUCAAAUUUUGAGAAGUAUGUAGUGACCUUGCUAUACCAGAUUUAAGGAGAAGUGGAGUGUGUUACAUACUAGGGCAUCAACAAAGUACUUUGGAUAUUCUAAACACAUAUUAAACUCAAAACAGUUUUUAUGAAAUUUGUAUACAGAAGCCCAAGCUGCGAUAUGUUGGACAUCGAAUUUUUGUUCUCUUUACUAUCUUUGGAUUCUUUUUCUUCUCAAAGAUAUGUUUUCAGAUUAAUUUCCUAUUGAAUUCUGAUGAUUUAUUUAACUAUUCUCAAGAUUAAAUUAUUUGUCUUCCAUUAUUCAUAAAGUGCGUUGCAUUGAAAUAAUGAUUGAUGAACUAAAUAUUUUUACAAAUGAAGUUUUGCAUAUUACUCUGGAAAUCUCUAGAGAAUACAAGAAACUAAAAUAGAACAAUUGUUUGAAGAAUUCCCAUGAGUGAGGGUCGGAGGUAUUCAAGAAAAUUUCUUCAGUUCAAAGGAUAAUUGGGCAAUUCAAAUGAUUCAAUCUUAGGAGAGGAUCGUCUCCAGCAGGUCGUAACGUUCGGAGAAUGGUACAAUAGGACCAAUCUGAUUCAAAACACAUGAGCAGAGUAUGAUUGAUACUGUGAGUAAAAUAAAGGUGGAAUUUUGAUGGAUGAACGAGUAAAGACGUCCGAAAUAGGAAUCAUUCUCAUAACAUUUUGCAUUAUAAUAUGUCUAUUUAGGAGCAUUUGACUCAUUUCGAUCAUGUCACCUUAAUCAUCGGGCAUGAGCACAUAUGCAUUCUACAGGUUACGCCCUUUAAGGGACAAUAUAAAUUACCGAUAGCAGAUUUGGCGUCUUUGUAUUGUCAGAGAGCAGAUCGAAGAUAACAGGUUUGGUGUCUCUGUAUUGCUAAAGAGUAAAUCGAAGAUAACAGGUUUGGCGUCUCUGUAUUAUCAAGGAGCAGAUCGAAGAUAGUAGAUUUGACAUCUCUGUAUGGUCAGAAAGCAGAUCACCAAUAGCAGAUUUGGCGUCUCUAUAUUGGCAGAGAGCAGAUGAAAGAUAGUAGGUUUGGCGUCUCUGUAUUGUCAGAGAGCAGAUCGAAGAUAGCAGAUUUGGCAUUUCUGUAUUGUCAGAGAGCAGAUCGAAGAUAGUAGAUUUGGCAUCUCUAUAUUGUCAAAGAGCAGAUCGAAGAUAGUAGAUUUGGCGUCUCUGUUUGUCAGAGAGCAGAUCGAAGAUAGCAGAUUUGGCGUCUCUGUAUUGUCAGAGAGCAGAUCGAAGUUAGCAGGUUUGGCGUCUCUGUAUUGUCAGAGAGCAGAUCGAAGAUAGUAGAUUUGGCGUCUCUGUAUUGUCAAAGAGCAGAUCGAAGAAAGCACAUAUAGCAUUUCUGUAUUGACAGAAAGUAGAUCAAAGAAAGCACAUAUAGCAUUUCUGUAUUGACAGAAAGUAGAUCAAAGAUAGCUGAUUUGGUGUCUCUGUAUUAGGCGGGGUGCAAAUCAAAGACAUCAGCAUGGCGUCCCUGAGUUUGUGGAAAACAGAUUGAGGAUCAUGAGGUCAGGAUCCGAUAAGACCAGGGCAAAUUUGGUCCUUUUAUAAUCUUUGCUCUAUUCCUAUUACACAGUAAUAAGCAAAGAGGGGUAGCUGUAAUAGCCCAAAUUUUCCCGGGCCCUUGAAAUAGAAUAAAAUAAUAAAAAAUAAUAAAAUAAAUUUAAUUUUUGUAAUGUCCAGUUUACAGUAAAUGGGCCUAAAGACUUGAUGACCCAAGACCCAAUUAGCCUAAGAAUCCAAGUGCCCAUUACACCCUCAACCCAAAAAAAACAUACGGGGCCCAAGAGGCCCAAACCAUAAACUAAGGACAGAAGACCUAGGGUUUCAAAAACCCUAGGCACCGCAUGCACUCCAACCGUCACCUUCCAUCGACGCCUCCAUCAGUGCCGUGAUUCCAGGCUCCAUAUCACGCCGUGAUCAGCUCGUGAAUCAAUGCCAUUGUGCCAUCAUCAGUGCCCGAUCAUCGCUAGUCUCCUCGUUGUCACCUGCAAAAGGGGAAAGAAGAAAUAGCAGAAGCAAUACAAAAUAUGGCAAGAAAUAAAUAUUGUAAAUAUGGUUUUAUUUUCAGUGGCUAUAAAAGCCGAAUUGAGAACGAUGUAAAACUACGUUUUUUUUUUUUGGAUAUACACGCAUAUACAAUAAAAGACAAAACAGUUGAUUGAACAGAGGUGAUUAUUCUACUCUCUUUUAUUUCUUUUCUAUAAAUAUAUACAAAUAUUGAAAAAUAAAAGAAACAGAACCUACCUUUGUGAAAAACGAAGCUUUCCAGCUUCUGAUCGCCGUAAAGAGCGGUGUUGACGGUGGCGCGUCGGCGCGUGUAAGCCCCUGGACAGAGCCUCGACAAAGCUCCGAGGGUCGAUUCUCAACCCUCUUUCAGAGGAUUUUUUUUGUUUUUUUAGAAUCGGGUUUAAAAUGAAAUUUUAGGUUAAAAUUUGGCCUAUAUAGCCUUAUGAAAAUGGUGUCGUUUUUGCUUAAAACAAUAAGCUCCAAAACGGCGUCGUUUCAAAGCUUAAGAUCUGCGUGUAAUAUCCGCGUGUUUUAAUUUUAAGGGCAAAAUACAAUAUCGAUCCUUCCGCAUUUUUAAAAUUUACAAUUCCAUUUUAUUUUUAUUUUAAAUUAGCCCUAAUCUUUUACGAUUAAUUCAAUUUAGUCCCGAUAGCCCUUAUAAAGUUUACUAUGGAAACGACGUCGUUUUUGGGAUUAAGGCUAAUUGCCUAGUGAGUCCCUUGGUUUUAGCGCGUGUUUCAAUUGGGUUUAAAAUUCUUUUGAAAUUAACCCUAAAAGUUUUAUUCUUAUUUCAUUUUAAUCAUUUUUUAAAUUUUUUUAUAUAAUUUAUCUAUUUUAAAUAUUUUUAUAUUAUUUAUUUUCACUACAAACAUUAUUAUAUAAAAAUUAUUAUAUAUAUUUUUUAAUUAGACAUUUAUUUAUACGCUUUAUCAUAUAUAUAUAUUAUUUUAAUAUAUAUUUUAUUCAUUAUAUCAUUUUCAUUAUAUAUUAUAUUAUUAUUUAUUUAUUACUAUGUACAACUUUUUCUAAAAUUUUAACUAAUAUUAAAUAAUAUAUUUAUCAUUAUUAAAUAUUUAGUAUUUAAUAUUCUAAAACUUAUUAUAAAAUUUUAUUCCUAUUCAACAUAUUAUUAUUUUUAUAAAUAUAUAUUAAACCGCUACAUUAUAUAGUAUAUUUUUUAAAAAAAAUUAUCAUUUAUUAUUUUUAUAUUGUUUUAAAUUUUUAUUUGUAUUUAAUCUUAUCUUUUUCUUUUCUUCUGACUUUUGUUAUAUAUUCCUAACUUAUUUAUUUUUAUACUAUUUUGUGUAUAUUUAGUAUUAUUUUAAUAUGAUAAUUGUAUCUUAUGAAUUACUUGUUAUUCCUAUUUCAUUUAUUAUUUUGUAUAUUUGCAUGGAAGUUUAUGUUGUUAUUUUAAGUUAUAUUUGCAUGAAAUGUUGUUGUAUAUUAUGUAAUUUGUAUUGUUCUAUUCAUUAUUCUUUAUGUUGUAUUUUGCAUGAAAUGAUAAUGUAUGUAUAUUUACGUUAUUUACAGUUAUAUAUGCAUGAAAUGUUAAUGUAUACUAUGUGAUUUACGUCAUUAUUUAUCAUUUUCCACACUAUAUUUACAUGAAAUGUUAAAGUACGAAUCAGGUAACUUAGUUUACUUAAUAUUAAUCCUUUGUAAUACGUUAAAUACAUCAUUACUUUUAAAAAAAUUAUAUCUAAUUUAAUCCAAAAGAAUUUUAAAAAGAUAUGCAAUGUUUUUGCUAUUUAGGAAUUCGGGAAGUAGUGCCCUAACAUGCUGGGUUGCGAUUUCCCGUCUGCCUAAGUGUCUAAAGUAUCCUUCUAAAUAGAUUUUGUAAAUCACGAGAUGAUUUCAAUUUUAAAAGAUUUAGAAUAUCGUGUCCAAUCAUGCUUGAUGUGAUGUUUGUACUCUUUUGGAGCGACAGAACCUCGAUUUUCAGCAAAUUAUUAUAGCUUUAAAAAGGGAUCUUAUUUCUAAAUUCUUUCAAACUUUUGACAUCAAGACAGAAAAAUAAUUUGGUACCAAUUUUGGGCGUUGCAAGGGUGCACGUAAUCGACUCCUGAACCCAUCUUCUCAUGUUUUCGUAGACCAAAAUGUUUUUGUAGCACCCCAAACUCGACCCAAAAGUUAUAGCCGGAUCCGGCAUGCCACAUUAAAAACGUUAAAAAAAAUUUCCAUUCUAAGUCCAGAAAAUCGUACUUGAUGUUCAAAAGAUUAAUUCAUUAAGGGUUAAACUGAAUGGAAGCUGUGCACCAGGUAGGAAACCGGAAAAGAGGUGGUGAGUCCAUCGGACUACUUAAGUACCAAGCUCCCUUCAGAUCCAAUCCUAGACAUGCAUACCACCAUUGCCACACCUUAACGUCAUGGAUAUUUCUAGGAAACCAAUUUGAUUAAGUCAUUUUUAGGAAAAGUGAUUAAUUUUGGAAAAUACUUUCAUUGCGGAAGCUUUGCUUGUUGUCGUGUUAUUUUGAAAUCAACUGUUGUUUUUGAAAACGCGCCCUAAAGCUAUCCAAUUUCAACAGUUAAAAUAAGUAUUACCUAUCUUAGUAAUACAUAUUAAAAACCAUCAAAAAUAAAUAAGCGGCCUUAUUACAUUUAAAAGCCCAAAACCUCAAACGUAAUUAAAAGGAUGUCCAGUUCACCAGAAGAAAAUCAAACUUUCAGAACGGGUGGCCACCUUGAAUUCCCUCACAGCUCCAAGCCCACUAUGGUCGGGGAUUACCUGCGUGGAUGAAAAUAAAAGGGAUGAGUUUGGGGAAACUCAGUGUGUAAAAUAACCCAACCAUAGUCUAAAUCAGCUCAACCCACAGAAAUAGAAUAAGUUGGCCUUAGCCCAGAACAGAAUUCAGAAUAAAGCCCAUAGGCCCAUAACAGAACAUAACAGAUAUUACAUGUUUAUGCAGAAACCCAACCAUAUCCAACCGUAUACACCCCCAUACCAACCUUACACCGUGUGGUGAGACAACUCGACCCACCCAAACCGAUACACACCACAGAAAUUUGCAGCAUGGCUUGCCAGAACAGAUAAUGUGACAGAGUCACCAGAUACAGAUAAUCGUGGCAGAGCCACCAGAACAGAUAUAUGUGGCAGAGCACCAGAUCAGAUAUUUGUUGCAUAGCUACCAGAACAUAUUGUGGCAUAGCUACCAGAACAGAUAUAUGUGGCAGAGCCACCAGAUCAGAUAAUUGUGGCAUAGCCACCAGGACGCUUCCUCCAUAAUAUAACCCAUGUCCCCAUGCAACAGAUAUAUAUAAUCAUGGAAAACAUCAUACGGAAUCAAAUCGCCAUGCUUUUCAGUCAAAAUUAACCCUACGGGUAUAACAGUAAUUUUGCAACUAGGGGUAUAACAGUAAUUUUCCAUACAUAGGGGUAUUAUAGUAAUUUAGCUACUUUUAGGGUUUUCAUGCAUAUCCUAACUAUUUACGUAUUAUCAGAACACUUACUGCGCAUACUUACCGAAUUGGGCCCGUUGGCCCAUGAACCCGAUCUUUGGCCCAUUAAGCCCAAAUUAUCAAAAUGUACGAAAUCGCGCGUACUGCAGUUUAUUACUUUAGAUUAUCAAAUAUACAAACCCAACUAUCUUACGAGCAUUCGCACACUCGCAAAUUCCCAAAAUACCGACUUUUCGGUAUUUCAGCUUUUCGGCUUUUGCCAAUCUAGUCUAUGAGAGGGUGUCAGUUACACACCUGUUUGCGACGAUAUGCUGACGAGAUCCACACACGAACCGCCUACAAUUGGAUUACUAACACGUUAAUCUAACUAUUCAAAUACAAACUACGUAUUAACCCCUUACAAUAUUCGGCCAACCACACCUACAGAUCAUAGUAAGCUUAUAAGAAAUCAAUAAGCAACUCAUUAACAAUUUUUUGUCAAUGUUUACCACAUAAUCAUAAUUUCACUGCAAGUUGUCUUCCUGAGCAAUAGUCACUAAAUUAUUUAUAACUGGAGCUACGAAACUCCAAAUCAAGUUCCGUUAAUUUUCCCUGAAAAUUGACUCAUAUAUAUUUUAUCCAUAAAAUUUUCAGAAUUUUUGGUUUAGCCAAUCAAUACCAGAUUUUCUCAAAGUUUCCCAUGUUUCACUAUUUGACUAAUCUGACCACUCUUCAUUAUGAAUCAAAUUUCUCAUUGUACAGAAUUCAAAAUAUGUUCUUGUUUAUUUCAUUAGAAACUAGACUCAAUAAGCUUUAAUUACAUAAUUUAUUUAGCUUCUAAUUGUUCUCCCACAAUUUAUGGUGAUUUUCCAAAGUCACGUUACUGCUGCUGUCCCAAGCAGAUUUAUUACCAAAUCACUCUUUCACACAUACCUUGCAUGCAUGUUAUUUAAACAUGUAUAUCACCAAUCAAUCAUUACAUAUCUAUGAUUUUACUUAAGUAUAAUCUCCAUUUCAUCAUUUUAAAGCACAACAUGUUAGCUGAUUUUUCCCUUUAACAUCUAAGGCACAUGCAUGCUCAUUUGUUUGGCUCAACUUCACCUAUCUUCCAUUUUUCAUCAAAAGAACAUGAAACAACAACCAUUUCCUUCAUUUUAAUUCAUGACUAAAUGCUCACAACACAACUAAAAAUCAAAAUAUACUUCAAGAGUUAAGGUAGAAUCAAGAAGAACUCAUGAACCUUAAAAUAGAAGCAAGGUACCAAGAACUUACCUUCAAUUUUCCUCCUCCUAAUGACCAAAUACUCAAGAGCUUUCUCCUCUCCUUUCUCUUCUCUAACUUUCAGCUAUGAUGAACAAAGAUGGACAAAACUUUGUUCUUUUCACCCUUUUUUCUUUUAAUAAAACUUCAUAUUUCAUCCAUUUAAUUCUAUAAUAUAAAAGACAUGAAAUUCUUAUCAUGAAACAUUUACCUAACCCAUUAUCAUGAAACAUUUACCUAACCCAUUAUCAUGGAACAUUUACCUAACCUAUUAUCAUUGAACCUUUACCUAACCUAUUAUCAAUUUGUAUCAAUUUGUACCAUAAAUUAUGGAUAUCAAGUGUACAUUUUGUCUACAACAACAUGAUGGCUGGCCACUUCAUGUAAAAUGAGAGGUUUGUCAUGCAAAUCCUCCUAUUUUGCACUCCUAUUUAUUUGGCCACUUCAAUUUAGCCUAUAACAUUUUCAAACAUUUUCACAUAGGUCCUAUUUCAGAAUUUCACCCCCUUUUUCUUAUGGAACAAAAAUUAAGUAAAAUUGUCAGGUUCUAUCUUAAGCUUGGGCUUUCUAGAGGCCCACUAACAUAAUUAAACCUAUGCCAACAUUCACAGGAUUCCCGAAAAUUGGGGCGUUACAACUCUACCCUCCUUAAAGAAAUUUUGUCCUCGAAAUUUACCUAAUCCAAACAGAUGAGGGUAUUGCUGUUGCAUCGUCUCUUCUGGUUCCCAAACUCAGAAGUUUCCCCUUCCUUAACUUGUUGAAAAUGAGCGACCAAAGACUCAUCGUUCAACUUUUUUUCCUUAAUCUGAUCCACCCAGGUUGGCCUCACUUGCAACUCAGCCAACAGACUUCCAUCAUCAUACAGACUCAGACGAGCAAACAUUGCUCUCAGAUCAGAUACAGUUCUACGACUUAGAGCAUCGGCUACCACAUUAGCCUUGCUUGGGUGGUACUCGAUCGAACAGUCAUAAUCCUUAAGCAACUCAAUCCAUCUCCUUUGCCUAAGGUUCAGCUCCUUCUGAGUCAACAAAUACUUAAGUCUCUUAUGGUCAGUGUAUAUAAUACACCUUUCUCCGUACAAGUAAUGUCUCCAAAUCUUAAGUGAAAAUAUCACUGCUGCCAACUCUAAAUCAUGAGUCAAAUAGUUUCCUUCAUGAGGCUUAAGCUGUCGUGAUGCAUAUGCAACCACCUUACCCUCUUGCAUUAACACGCAGCCCAAACCCACGUGUGAUGCGUCACUGUACACAGUAAAAUCAUUCCCAGACUCCGGCUAAAUUAACACAAGUGCUUCAGUCAGAACUUUCUUCAACUUCUCAAAAGCUUCUUGCUGCUUCUUAGUCCAUACAAACGAUACUCCUUUCCUUAUGAGUUUUUCAGAGGUACUGCCAUCACAGAAAAACCUUCUACAAACCUUCUGUAGUAUCCUGCCAGUCCUAGGAAACUCCGUAUUUCUGACACUGACCUAGGCGGCUUCCAUUCCAAAAUCGCUUCAAUUUUUUGAGGGUCCACUUUAAUCCCCUCAGCAGAGACCACAUGUCCUAAGAAAGUUACCUCCCUCAACCAAAAUUUACACUUGCUGAACUUCACAAAGAGUUCUUUCUCUAUUAAUACUUACAGCACUAUACAGAGAUGCUCAUCAUGUUUCGUUUUAGUUUCAGAAUAUACCAGGAUAUCGUCAAUAAAGACAACUACGAAUUGAUCUAAAAAUGGUUGGAACACAUGAUUCAUCAGAUCCAUAAACGCUGCAGGAGCGUUCGUUAGUCCAAAUGGCAUAACCAGAAACUCGUAAUGACCAUACCGAGUCCUGAAUGUCGUCUUUUGGAUAUCUGCCUCCUUGACCCUUAACUGAUGAUAUCUAGAUCGAAGGUUGAUCUUGGAAAAUACAGAAGCUCCUCUAAGCUGGUCGAAUAGAUCGUCAAUCCUUGGCAGUGGAUAUUUAUUCUUAAUCGUCAGUUUGUUCAACUGGCGAUAAUCAAUACACAUCUGCAUCGUACCAUCCUUCUUUUUCACGAAUAGCACCGGUGCUCCCCAUGGAGACACGCUUGGCCUAAUGAAGUCCCUGUCCAACAACUCUUGAAUUUGAGCCUUUAACUCCACUAACUCCUUCGAGGCCAUCCUAUACGGUGCGAUGGACACAGGCGCCGUUUCAGGCAACAAAUCUAUUCCAAACUCAACUUCUCGGUUCAGAGGCAAUCCUGGAAGCUCCUCCGGAAAAACAUCUUGGAACUCCUUUAUAGUCCUAACCUUAUCCACUAUCAGUCCCUCCUCUUCUGACUGACUUACAAAUGCCAAAUAGGCCUCACAACCUUUUCGAAUCCACUUUUCGGCUCUUAAAGCCGACACCACAUUGGACAAAAAUCCCUUCGCUCACCUAUCACCAUAACCUCCUCAUCCUUUGUGGUCCUUAACACCAUUCAUUUAGCAGCACAAUCCAGAGUUGCCUUAUGCUUAACAAGCCAGUCCAUUCCUAAAAUGAGAUCAAACUCUCCGAACGGUAACUCCAUCAGAUCUCCAGGGAAAAUCCUACCUUGAGUUUCUAAGGGUACACCCCUAUACAGUUUGUUUACCCUAACCGAGUGACCCAAAGGACUUACUACAAAUACCCCACUCACAACCUCCUCAGAGCAGUCCAAGUUGUCCAUAAUCCGUUCUGUGGCCUCCAACCAAUAUUCUGCCACAUUCGGGGCUAUACCAGACACGCCCCUAAAGAUCUCCGCUCCGUUAGCCCGAAGUCAUUCAGAAAUCGAUCCUCGAAUUCUGUUGCUCGAACUUGUCCCGGCAACCCUUUCCAGAACACGAAGCAUUACCUGUGAUAGGGCAUCAUCCCCGGUACCACGGUCAUGAGACUCUACCUCUGUUGUUGGUGGUACCGGUGCAUCCACCACCGGUAUAUGUCUCGAAGACGAAAAUCUCGCUCGAGCACUUCCUUGGCUCCGUCCACGGCCUCUUGUACUCAUAUCGUAUUUUCUUGAUUCUGAAUUUUUAUGCAUCAAUUAAUAUUCCAGUGUUUAUUACAGAUGUUUUAUGAAUCAGACAGUAGUUCAGAGUUUGUUUUCGCAGAAUCGAAGUCUAGCUACAAUUUCAGUCUCUUAUCAGAUUUUCCUAUGGUUUCACUAUCAUCCUAUCUAGAGUAUUAUAGCAGGAUUUUAGUACAGACAGAUAAGUCAGAAAAAUAUUCAGAAGAGUUCAGAGUAAUACUUACAGGCUUGGGCCGGAGAUUCGGAAUGCCACCUUCUAAAGAUCAAAAUUUUGAAAAUCGAGUUUUUCGCAUUCUUUAUAAAAUUUUCGCUUUCGAAAAUCUUUGUUUUUGUAAACCCAUUCCACAGCCGAGUUGUUGCAACCUAGGCUCUGAUACCAUUAAAUGUAGCACCCCAAACCCAGCCCAGAAGUUAUAGCCGGAUCCGGCAUGCCACAUCAAAAACGUUAAAAAAAAUUUUCCAUUCUAAGUCCAGAAAAUCGUACUUGAUGUUCAAAAGAUUAAUUCAUUAAGGGUUAAAGUGAAUGGAAGCUGUGCACUAGGUAGGAAACCAGAAAAGAGGUGGUGAGUCCAUCGGACUGCUUAAGUACCAAGCUCCCUUCAGAUCCAAUCCUAGACAUGCAUACCACCAUUGCCACACCUUAACGUCAUGGAUAUUUCUAGGAAACCGAUUUGAUUAAGUCAUUUUUAGGAAAAGUGAUUAAUUUUGGAAACUACUUUCAUUGCGAAAGCUUUGCUUGUUGUCGUGUUAUUUUGAAAUCAACUGUUGUUUUUGAAAACGCGCCCUAAAGCUAUCCAAUUUCAACAGUUAAAAUAAGUAUUACCUAUCUUAGUAAUACAUAUUAAAAACCAUCAAAAAUAAAUAAGCGGCCUUAUUACAUUUAAAAGCCCAAAACCUCAAAAGUAAUUAAAAGGAUGUUUAGUUCACCAGAAGAAAAUCAAACUUUCAGAAAGGGUGGCCACUCCGAAUUCCCUCACAGCUCCAAGCCCACUAUGGUUGGGGAUUACCUGCGUGGAUGAAAAUAAAAGGGAUGAGUUUGGGGAAACUCAGUGUGUAAAAUAACCCAACCAUAGUCUAAAUCAGCUCAACCCACAGAAAUAGAAUAAGUUGGCCUUAGCCCAGAACAGAAUUCAAAAUAAAGCCCAUAGGCCCAUAACAGAACAGAACAGAUAUUACAUGUUUAUGCAGAAACCCAACCAUAUCCAACCGUAUACACCCCCAUACCAACCUUACACCGUGUGAGGAGACAACUUGACCCACCCAACCGCUACACACCACAGAAUUUGCAGCAUGGCUGCCAGAACAGAUAAUGUGACAGAGUCACCAGAUACAGAUAAUCGUGGCAGAGCCACCAGAACAGAUAUAUGUGGCAGAGCCACCAGAUCAGAUAUUUGUGGCAUAGCCACCAGAACAGAUAUAUGUGGUAGAGCCACCAGAUCAGAUAAUUGUGGCAUAGCCACCAGGACGCUUCCUCCAUAAUAUAACCCAUGUCCCCAUGCAACAGAUAUAUAUAAUCAUGGCAUACAUCAUACAGAAUCAAAUCGCCAUGCUUUUCAGUCAAAAUUAACCAUACGGGUAUAACAGUAAUUUUACACCUAGGGGUAUAACAGUAAUUUUCCAUACAUAGGGGUAUUAUAGUAAUUUAGCUACUUUUAGGGUUUUCAUGCAUAUCCUAACUAUUUACGUACUAUCAGAACACUUACCGCGCAUACUUACCGAAUUGGGCCCGUUGGCCCAUGAACCCGAUCUUUGGCCCAUUAAGCCCAAAUUAUCAAAAUUUACGAAAUCGCGUGUACUGCAGUUUAUUACUUUAGAUUACCAAAUAUACAAACCCAACUAUCUUACGAGCAUUCGCACACUCGAAAAUUCCCAAAAUACCGACUUUUCGGUAUUUCGGCUUUUCGGCUUUUGCCAAUCUAGUCUAUGAGAGGGUGUCAGUUACACACCUGUUUGCGACGAUAUGCUGACGAGAUCCACACACGAACCGCCUACAAUUGGAUUACUAACACGCUAAUCUAACUAUUCAAAUACAAACUACGUAUUAACCCCCUACAACAUUCGGCCACCCACACCUACAGAUCAUAGUAAGCUUAUAAGAAAUCAAUAAGCAACUCAUUAACAAUUUUUUGUCAAUGUUUACCACAUAAUCAUAAUUUCACUGCAAGUUGUCUUCCUGAGCAACAGUCACUAAAUUAUUUAUAACUGGAGCUACGAAAGUCCAAAUCAAGUUCCGUUAAUUUUCCCUGAAAAUAGACUCAUAUAUCUUUUAUCCAUAAAAUUUUCAGAAUUUUUGGUUUAGCCAAUCAAUACCAGAUUUUUCUCAAAGUUUCCCAUGUUUCACUAUUUGACUAAUCUGACCACUCUUCAUUACGAAUCAAAUUUCUCAUUGUACAGAAUUCAAAAUAUGUUCUUGUUUAUUUCAUUAGAAACUAGACUCAAUAAGCUUUAAUUACAUAAUUUAUUCAGCUUCUAAUUGUUCUCCCACAAUUUAUGGUGAUUUUCCAAAGUCACGUUACUGCUGCUGUCCCAAGCAGAUUUAUUACCAAAUCACUCUUUCACACAUACCUUGCAUGCAUGUUAUUUAAACAUGUAUAUCACCAAUCAAUCAUCACAUAUCUAUGAUUUUACUUAAGUAUAAUCUCCAUUUCAUCAUUUUAAAGCACAACAUGUUAGCUGAUUUUUCCCUUUAACAUCUAAGGCACAUGCAUGCUCAUUUGUUUGGCUCAACUUCACCUAUCUUCCAUUUUUCAUCAAAAGAACAUGAAACAACAACCAUUUCCUUCAUUUUAAUUCAUGACUAAAUGCUCACAACACAACUAAAAAUCAAAAUAUACUUCAAGAGUUAAGGUAGAAUCAAGAAGAACUCAUGAACCUUAAAAUAGAAGCAAGGUACCAAGAACUUACCUUCAAUUUUCCUCCUCCUAAUGACCAAAUACUCAAGAGCUUUCUCUUCUCCUUUCUCUUCUCUAACUUUCAGCUAUGAUGAACAAAGAUGGACAAAACUUUGUUCUUUUCACCCCUUUUUCUUUUAAUAAAACUUCAUAUUUCAUCCAUUUAAUUCUUUAAUACAAAAGACAUGAAAUUCUUAUCAUGAAACAUUUACCUAACCCAUUAUCAUGAAACAUUUACCUAACCCAUUAUCAUGAAACAUUUACCUAACCUAUUAUCAUUGAACAUUUACCUAACCUAUUAUCAAUUUGUAUCAAUUUGUACCAUAAAUUAUGGAUAUCAAGUGUACAUUUUGUCUACAACAACAUGAUGACUGGUCACUUCAUGUAAAAUGGGAGGUUUGUCAUGCAAAUCCUCCUAUUUUGCACUCCUAUUUAUUUGGCCACUUCAAUUUAGCCUAUAGCAUUUUCAAACAUUUUCACAUAGGUCCUAUUUCAGAAUUUCACCCCCUUUUUCUUAUGGAACAAAAAUUAACUAAAAUUGUCGGGUUCUAUCUUAAGCUUGGGCUUUCUAGAGGCCCACUAACAUAAUUAAAUAUAUGCCAACAUUCACAGGAUUCCCAAAAAUUGGGGCGUUACAGUUUUAUAAGGUGAUCCAAUCACACCUAAAAGGUUGGUGGCGACUCCCAUUUUUCAAAAAUCUUGUUUUUAAAAAGGAGGUUUCGACAAUUGAAAAUAAGAAUCAAGUAUUUAUCAUGUAAUUCAUAAAUCAAAUAAUAAGAUUUGUCAUAGGUUUCAUCUUCCCUAGGUAUCUAGGGAAUUUAGUUCAUGAUCUGGAAUGAAAACAUCUCAAAGUUAAGAUAACAACAAGAUAUAAAGAAGCUCAAUAAAACUUCUAAGGAGAUUGAAUGGAGAUCUUAAAUCUUGAAAGAAAUCCGCUUUCGAGUUGAAUCCAAUGGCAUUAUUCGAGCCUUUUCUUCAUUCUUCUUUACGUGCUCCCUUAAGUCCUCUUCUAAUUGUUAUUGAUAGACUUUAGAAUGCUCAGAAAGCCUAAAAUUUUGGUUUUUCUGUAUGUUUGGAAAACAGGGUGCUAAAUUGACAUGGGCUAGCACAUGGGCGUAUGGCCAGCCCGUGUGGAAAUGUUCAGGCCAUGUGGAUCCUGGAAACAGCUCAUUCGUCUAAUUUUGGCUCAUUUUUUUGCUUUUUUUGCUCCCAAAUGCUCACCUAAGUAUAGAAAUAGGAAUUUAAAGGAUUAGGAGCAUUAAAUUCACUAAUUUACAUAAUAAAUCAUCCAAAAAUGAAUCAAGAAUCGGAUUAAAAACAUGUUACUUUUAUGGUUUAUCAAUGUGGCAUCUCGUAGCUCUGAACCAACAACUGGAUUGGGUAUAGGGUAUUAUAUUUAGUGGUAUCAGAGAUACUUUUGGCAGAUUCUCGGACUAAAUCGAGCUCAAAAAUUGAGUUUAAAGGUACAUGCCAAGAUCAAGUCGAGUUUGAGUCAAAAUUUGAACUUGAUUAUGAAUUCUUCUGUUUUAUAAUUGAAAUGGCUUAAGGAUUAAAGAAAUGUUGUUGAAGAUAAAAUUAAUAGUAAUGAUCACUUUGUUGAGGGUGAGAAUCGAGUUGAGAUUGAGGCACUCAACUUUGAUCAGGCCGAAGCUCAACGAAAUAGACUUGAUAGACCUCAUCGGAAUGGUCAAAGUGACGAGAAUCUACUCUACAGUACAAAGCGAAAGUAAUUUAGAGAGUUGUAGGAGCUGCAUCAAUAGUUGUAGCCCGGAAAACCCCAAUAAAAGAGUUGGAAAAGUAUGAAGUGAGUUUUGGCAAGAGUCAAUUGAGUGAGUUCUACAGCAGUUAGAAUGCUCACCGCUUGAAUGUGUUACAUUUGUUGUAUCUCUUCUAAAAGAAGAAGCUUAUGAAUGGUGUAUUGGCAGAUUGGUAUUUGAAUGUGGUGAUCUGAACAGAGCCUUUACUAUAACAAGGAAUGCGUGUGUGUGAUAGGUUGUUUAAAGCCAUUGACAAGCUAAAUGGGAAGGUUUAUGUCAACAACUGAGGCUCAGUGCCUUCAGAGUUGUUCAAGAAUUUUAUACAAAUUGGGAAUCUGGUAUUCAUAAAAAUUUGGUCCGAAGGGUACUUGUACCUUUCAAUUCAAACAAUUUUAAUCAUAUUUACAUUAUUCCUGAACUCUCUGUUGAUGAAUAUUCAGAUGGGUGAUUAGCUUAGCUUGACUUCAAUGCUAUUAUUGAUUUUCUAAUAUGGGGAUGGGGUAUUUUGAAAAUUAGAAAGAGUGAAUGAUAUCUUUACUUUAAAUCGCUAUUCUUAAUUCUUAAUAAGCUUAAGAGUGUAAAACUUUCUCAAAUUUGUUCAGAAAAAGAAAUUAAGUCUCUGUCUUUUUUUUUAAUUCAACUGGGUACUUGAACUUUCAAAAUGUAUAAAAAUAACCCUCAAAUUUUUUUCAAAAAAAGCUAUAAGGCCUCCACUUUUUUUUGCGCUCAAUUGAGUACUUAAACUUUUAAAAUGUAUCAAAAAGGUCCUCAAUCUUUAAGGAAAAAAAACAAUUAAGCUACUACAGGUUAUUAUUUUUUGGCACACAAUUGGGUACUUGAACUGCCAAAAUGUAUCAAAAAAGCCAUUUGAUCAUUAACUUUAACAAUUAACCAUUAAAGUUAAUCAUCCCUAAUUUUUUCAGUUAAAGCCAUCACGUGUCACAAUCAUGAAGUGAUAUGUGGCAAAAAAAUGAUAACAAAUAAAAAUAAAUAAAGGUUAUAAAAACUAUUAAAUUUUAUUAAAAAUAUAAAAAAUAUUUAAAUUUUAGUAAAAAUUAGAAAAAAAUUAUAAAAAUCGUAAAAAAAUUAUAGAAUAUAUAGAAAUAUAUAUAUAUAAAUUAUAAGAAUUCAAGGCAGUUUGUACAUUGAGGACAAUGUACAUCUUAAGUGUGGGGAGAUUAUUUAUAUAUUUAUACGAUAAAAUCCCUAAUUUGUUUUUUGUACUUAAGUAAUUUUCGUACACCUACCAUUAGAGUUAAUUUUUUUACUUGGAGUUUUUAUUGAUUUUGUUUUGAAAUAAUUUGUGGACUUUUAUGCAUUGUUUUAUUUAUAUUUUAAGUCACGAGAGAGUCAAGGAUAAUAAGUUAUUUUUCAGAAAUUAUUGUUUUAGGUUGUCUCCCUGAACUGAAGCAUUAUAUUGAAAAUUUAAAUUUACAAGUUUAACAUCAAAAUCAUAAUCUUUUGUGAGCUUUUGAGCUUAUAGAGCAUAUAUUUAUUCAUGCUCAUUUUAUUUUUGGUUGAGAGUAUGUCAGCUUGAUUUGUUAUUCUAAAACUUGCUUCGGUUAUACAUGUCGAGACCACAUUAUUGAUUUGAUAUACUGAGAUGAUAAAGGCACUUAGGAUUUAACUCACCUAACAUUUAAUCAACUUACCUGUUGUAUUAAUCCUUAGUGAACCCCGUUGAUCCUAACACAUUUUUUUCUCUCACCCAUUUAUGUUAACCCAUAACCCAUAUCUAUGUUGUAAAAUUAUCCCUUUUGAUUGACUUCCUUUUUGUCAAGAUUUGAUUUGGUUAGUUGCCUAACUAUGUUUCAUCAUUUUUAUUGUUGAAUUUCUUUUGCAAAAAAGAAAUUGUGAUAAAAAAAAUAUUUUUUAAAAAUUGAGAAUUUUUUUUAUAAUUGAGCUUGAAUCGUUAGUUUUAUAUUGUGUUGAAAAGUUCAUUAUUAUUAUUUAUUUCUUGUUUAUGUGAAUUCUUUUAACUCAACAACUGAUUUUUUUCUAAUUUGGUAACUUAUCAACUCGAUUCUCAAUUUUAAUCAAUUUUUCUGGCUUUUUCCAUGCCCUUAACCUAGGCCCCAUUACAACCUUGUAAAUACCUCUAGAUUGGUGUGUCAUUUCAUACUAUAGUGGUGGAGAUUUGAUUUUCAAGCAAGUCUAUGGUAAUAACAUUUCUCGUUUGACUAUUGAGUACAUAUUACUUGAAUCUUAAACACUAUGAGUGAAUCUUUAGUGAGGAUUUUAUUUCUUGCUGAGUUUUAUUUCAAGUAAUUAUUGAGAUAGGAGAGAUGCCUAAUAUUUUUAAAGCUUGAAACUUUCUGCUUGGAUUGCUUUGUUAUGUUUAGUGUCAUUUUAGUGUAAAUUUCCAAUGUAUGAUUAUCUAUAAAUUAUCCUAAGACAUUAUCGGUGGAAAUAAUAAACUGAGAGACAUUAACUUGAAUGUGGGUUGAGAAUUUUGCUUGAUGACAAGUACGCUUAAGUGUGGGGAAUAUUUGAUAUGUGCUAAAUGUAACAUGUUUUAGUCUCAUUCUUAAUGUGUUUUUGGGUGAUUAUUCAAUGUUAAUGGUGAAUUCUAUACUUCUAAUCCUUUAAAUUCAUAUUUUUAUACUUAAAAGAGAAAUAGGGAGCAAAAGGAGAGAAAAUUGAAAAUUUGGAGCAAGGUACAGGGGCACACAGGCUGGACUAUUCCACACAACUUGAACACACGACUGUGUGAGCCACACGGGCUUCAAUACAACCAUGUGACAGGUCAUGUCAAUUUUACGAAUUGCAUUCUAAACAGUGGAAAAACGUAAAUUUUAGGGUUUCGGGCAUUCUGAAACCUAUAUAUGAAAAAAAAAUUAGAAGAUAUGAGUGAGUCGUCAUAGAAUACUCAAGAAAACAACUCGAAAAAUACCAUUGAAGCAGAUCCUAAAGCAGAUUUCCAUCAAGAUUGAAGAUUCCUUUUUUAUUUGUUUAGAGAUUAUUAUGAGCUUCUUUGUUUCUUGUGGUUAUACAGUGUUUUGGAUGUUUUUAUUUGUAAGCAUGAACUAAUUUUCUAAAUACCUAGGGAGAUGAACCCUAUGAUAGAUUAUGUCGUUUGAUUUUUUUUACGUAAUAAAUACUUAGAUUUUGUUCUCAAUUAUGUGUGAUUAAUUAUUGGUUUAAUAUUUCUAGACUAUUAAGCCAUGUUUCCUAUGCUUAAAUUAGAGGAGGAAUAUACCAUGUUUAAGAGUAGAUCUUACGUAAUUGAGUGGAGUUGCAUGCAAUCCUAGAAAAACGACAAAAUGAAUCUACUGAAUUAGAGUCAAAUCUAAUAGGAGAAUCCAUAAAUCAAGUUAAUGUGAUAAUAGAUGUUUUAAUUAGAAAGAAAUUUCAAUUAAUCCAUCUAGAGUCAGUUGCUCUUAUUCUUGAAAAGAGAUAUUACCAUAAUUUAGAGAUUCUACAGAUCAAGGUACUAAGUGAAGAAAUUACGUAAUUUAGAUUGAUAAUUGCAGAUGAAAACUAGGUGAAUUCUUUCACGGGUAAUGUUUCACUUAUUGGUUAUUAUUCGAUUAUUUUUCCUGAUUUAUUUUUUGUCUUAUUCGUAGUUAAUUAAUUUAGUUAGUUUUAGUUUUAGUCAAUCACUCGAAUUUAUCGGUUAAAUAAUAGAAAGACGGUAAUUACUAGUACUUUAAGUCUUCAUGGGAAUGAUAUCUUUGCUCACCGUAACUAUACUAUUAAUUGAUAGGUGCACUUGCCUUAGUCGAAUUUUUAGUUGGUUUUGUAGAUAUCAAUCGUGCUCAACGAAGGGGAGGAAGAAAUAUUAAAUUUUUAUGCAUAAAAACUCGAAGUAGUUUGAUGUAAAAGCAACAUAGAUGACUCCUGAAGCCUAACACAACCAUCCAAUUACACAAUUAAGCCAUUUAAUUGACAACAAUUCUCAAUUACACAAAGAAACUAUGUCGAAAGUUUCAACGCAAAAACCUUCAACAAUUCUAGGCUUACCAACAAAACCAACGAUGAUUUCUCGAAUUAUUGUGUUGAGGAUUGUUGCGUUCAAUAUUGUCGCCUAAAAAGAAACCAAACAAUCGCUUUAAAAAAAAGUUUAAACUAAACAAGUUGGAAACAACUCUGACAGAACUAACGAACUACCGCCUAACGAAAGUUCUACGAUUAACGUGAUUUAUACAAUCUAUACAACUGGCAGUCAGGACAUGCGCACUUACCCGAUGAUGUAGUAGACAACCUGUGACAACCAAGUAAGACUUGGCCUAUAAAGAAGGAAAAGAGUAAAAAAAGAAAGAAGAACAUGAAAAAAUGAAGAAGGAAGGAAGAUGGUACGUUUAAUUAAUUAACCACCAAUCAAAAUUCUGGCAUUAAUCAAAAACAUUACCCUACACAUGCGCCGAGACUCAAACACAGGACUAGAGAAUAGACAGACACUUAACCAAUGAACCAGCAGGCUCAUUCUUGACAUAGAUUUACACAAAAUUAAAUUUAAAUCAACGGCCCAAGAGUAGAGAUUGAUAAGAAUUAACUAGCAAAACUUCUAAAACGCGACUUGAACCCCUGACCUCAAACACAUAAGUAGAGCAUAUAACCACAGAUACAUGAUGUGCAUAAAUUAGAGGAGGAAUGUACCCUGUUUAAGAGUAGAUCUUGCGUAGUUGAGUAGAGUUGCAUGGAAUCCUAGAAAUAGAUGACAUGAAUCUACCAGAUUAGAGUAAAAUCUAAUAGGAAAAUCGAUAAAUCGAGUUAAUGUGAUAAUAGGGUCUUAAUUAGAAAGAAAUUUCAAUUAAUUAACUUAGAGUUAGUUGCUCUUAUUCUUGAAGAGAGAUAUUAGCAUAAUUUAGGGAUUUCUACGAAUCAAAAUACUAAGUGAAGAAAUUGUGUAGUUCAGAUUGAUAAUUGCAGAUGAAAUCUAGGUGAAUUCUUUCUUCAGUAAUGUUUCACUUAUUGGUUAUUAUUCGAUUAUUUUCCUGAGUUGUUAUUUAUUGCAUUCGUAGUUAAUUAAUUUAGUUAAUUUUAGUUUUAAUCAAUCACUCGAAUUUACCGGUUAAAUAAUAGAAAGGCGGUAAUUACUAGUACUUUUAAUCUUUAUAGGAAUGAUAUUUUUACUCACCAUAUCUAUACUAUUAAUUGAUAGGUACACUUGCCUUAAUCAAAUUUUUUGUUGAUUUCGUGAACAUCAUUAUACUCAACGAAGGGGAGGAAGAAAUAUUCAAUUUUUAUGCUCAGUUCAAAUAAGUUAAAUGACUUUAGAAGCAUGCUUGAACUUGGUUAUCUUUUUGAUAUUUUUUAAUAUUAGUAUACUUCACACAUUAUUUGGAGGAAUAGUUGCACAAACGAGCACGAAGGUUUAUUAUUUCUAAUUCUUGCUAAUUUCAUAAACUAUUGUUACCGCUAUGUUUAUGAGAUUUUGACUUUAUUCAUUGUAAUUUGCUUAUAAAAUUUAGUUGUAUAUAAUUAUGUUUCCAAUUGCUUAAGUUAAGUUAAAUAUUUUCUUGGAUGCGUGUUAGUUAGAAUCGUUGUUUUGCAUGAAGACAAAUAAAAGUUUAAGUGUAUUAUAUGAUGUGUACUCAUCAUAUAGAUGUAAUUGUAUUAUUUUCACGUAGAUUUAUGUUAGAUCUUAAGUAAAAUAUUGUAUUUAAUUGCAUAAUUAGAAUAAAUUUUAUCAUAUUUACAUUUUAUGUUACUGUAUUUGAAUUUGAGUUAUUUUAAGUAAUAUAUUAUUUUUAAUGACUGCUUUAACUUGAAUUAGACCUUAUUUGAUAUGAGGAGCGAGUUUGAAUGUGACAGAAAGCAUGAAGGAAAGGUCAAAAAAAAAAAAAAAAAAGGAGAAAAACGUAAAGUUGCCAGAGCAAUGAGUAACCGAAGCUUGAGGCUUGGUGGCAAGCAUUCAAGGAGGAGCUUAAAGGGGAGAUUAGGACCGAUAUUCACAGUUUGUUUGAGCAUGUUGAAGGUUGGUCAGCAUGUAGCACCAGGAGCAGCCAAGAAGCAGGCCAAGAAGGCCGAGCCAUGCAGGAGCUGCUGAAGCUAGUGCAGCUGUUUAUUUUUGUUCAUUUUGUAACCUUAGUUUGAUGUAAUGUAGUUAAGUUCAUUUUUGAACUAUGAUAGUUUGAUGUUUGAUGUAAUUUGAUAGUGAUUGAGCUGUUAACUCAGCUUUGUUCAUGUGUGCAAGCUUGUUUUACCAAGUGUCAAUGUAUUAGUGGUAGUAGGUAUUCUUUAGGUGACCAAAUACUGAUUUUGACAAACUGAAUGCUUGGUUUAUGUAUUGGCAUUAUGCCAUUAUUCAUUCUUAAUGAAAUAUCAGCUUUUCAUUCAAAAUACUCUCUUUUCUGUUCUUAAGCAAAUUCUGUUGUUUGCUCUACAAGCCUCGAGCCUUGUUGCUCAAGCUUCUGUCAAUCUUGCUACUUCAUCCGGAUUAAUUUUUCAUAACACCAACAAAGCAGUACCUUGGUAACCAAACUGCUUCAAGUAAUGUCUCUGCCUAGGUUAAAGGGAAAGAAAUAUUGGGAGGGCCACCUCUUAGGUUUCCUCGCAAGGAGUCUAUCGAUGUUCCUCAGCCUCUUUUGGUGACAAGUCAUACAAGUUCUCCUCGAUCUCACUCUGGGUGGUUCCAGGGUAGGUUUUACAAGCUAGACUGCCCUCGCUUUGAUGGAUCGGACUUCAGGGCUGGUGGUCAAAACUCGAGCAAUGCUUUGCUGCUGAGGGAAUACCUGACAGUGACAAGGUUCAAACGGUGAUGUUACAUUUAGAUGGGCGAGCUUUGGAUUGGCACUAUUUCCUUGCUCAAAAGCAUGGUGGGCUGCAGAUGUUGGUAUGGGCAGGGUACGCUAACAGCAUGAGGGAGAGGUUUGACCCAAGCAUGUUUAAGGACCCUAUGUCUGAAUUGGUCGCCAUGAAGUAGCAAGGGUCAGUCGAGCACUAUCAUGACUAGUUUGUAAGCCUCCUAAACCAAUUACGGUUGCCUGAAUCUUAUGCUCUAAAUGUUUUUAUCUGCAAUUUAAAGCAUGAGACUAGUCAGUACGCACGGUUGUUUAGGCCACAAAUUCUAGUUGAAGGUUUUCAUAAUGCCAAACAAGUGGAGUCCAUCCUAUCUAACUCUCCAAGGAAGGUUUUGUUCAAUGGAUUGAGUCCAUUGGCUCGUUUUCGGUUUGCAGCAACUCCACCUGCAGUUUCAAACAAGUUAGUGGCACCUUCUCAUAAUGGUGCACCUGUUCAACCUGUUACAACCUCCUCCAGUUGCUCUAAUGCUUCCAGGGUUCCUUCCAAGGGGAUAAGUCCAGCCUUGAUAGCUGAAAGGAAACAGAAGGGGCUGUGUUUUUGGUGUGGUGCAAAAUAUCAUAUCGGCCGUAAGUGUGUUAAGGCUCAACUCCACCAAAUGCUCCUUGAAUCUCAUUCUGAUGCUGAGGGUGAUGACUUCCAAGAGUGUUCAGACCAGUUGGAGGAUCCCCUUGUUGAGAGCGAACCUUCCCAGGAACCCAUUCUGUCUUUGCAUGCUAUUAAAGGUUCCUAUUGAAUUUUGGGUUGUCUUCUGGGUUUUUGUCUUGUUCAUAUUGAAUUUUUGUUGAUGAGAAUUUGGGCAAAAUUUGUGAAAUUUUCCAUUUUGAUUUUUAAUCUACAAAUGCAAAACAAGUAGAAAAAGAGGAAUUCUAGAAGAACACUGUGAAGAACAUAAAUUAUUAGUUUUUUAAAAAUUUUAGGUUAAAAGCAUUUAAUUAUUUCAUGAAGUUAAUAAUAUUAAUAUAUUUUUAUUAUAUUUUUUCUAAUUUAUUAUAUAUAUUUAUAAUUUUUUGAAACAUAUUUAAUAAAAUAUAUAUUUUUUAAUUUAAAAAUAUCACAUGGCAUAUUUUUAUUGGGCACUUAUAUUUUGUUUAAUUGCCUUUGAAAAUUGGACCAAAAUCUAGGAAUGAAAAUGAGAAAAUAAAUACACUUUAAGAGUAAUAAUAAUAAUAAUAAUAAUAAUGAAUAAAAUAAUAAUACUUGACAUGUACAUAAAAAAAUGAUAAUAUAUGAAAGAUUAAUUUUAUAAUUAUAAUUCCAAAAAUUAAUCUAAUUUAUUAAUCAAAUAAAAGUUAUAUAUAUAAUCAAUUUUAUAAUAAUUUAUAGAAAAUGAAUAUUUUUAGUAUUUUUUCACAUUUGUUUUAUUGUGUAUGUUUGAAGUAUAUGAUCACCAUUUUUAAUAGUAUAGUCUUUAAGAUUCAAAUAUACGUCCUCCUCUUGAAAUCGUGACUAUCUUAUGAAUAAAAUCGUGACUAUCUUAUGAAUAAUUUCAUCGCAACUGAGCUAAAGUUUUCUCACUCUGAAUCUUUUAUGAAAUUAUUGACACUAUACUAGUAAUGAGUCUUUUAUGUAUAUGGUGUUCCAUCUUACAUAUGAUAUUUGUCAAUGUUUCUCGAUAAGAAUUGAAUUUGUUCUUUCAAUAUAUCUAGAAUUAGUGAUAACCUCUUUCAAAUAUUUAAAUAGGUGGAUAAACAUACUUUUAAUAUUUGAACUUACAUUUUCCUGUACUGACAAUAAUACUAAUACCAAUCAAGCUUUUAAAAAUUUAACUUAAAUGAAAAAAUUGAAGCAAAAGGUAGUAGAUGGAAUACUCUCCCAUUUUUGCAACAUUGAAGAGUGAGAAGGUUUUAUGGCCGCGAAGAAUAAGAAAAAACCAAAUUCGUUCCCACAACAUUUAUGCUGGUGUUUUUUAAUAUAAAAACUUUUAAUGUAUUUUUAAUAUAUUAGAAAAUUUUUAUUUUAGCACUUUUUUAAUGUAUUAAGUGUAUUAUAUUUUUUAAAAUUAUUUUUAAAUAAAAAUUAAUCUAAAAAAAUCAAAUAUGAGUGAGUCGUGUCGAGUUUGAAUUUACCUUUCUUAAUUUAGGUUGGAAUUGGAUAAAAAAAUAAGCGUAUUUUUCGAACAGAACUUAACCCGAAUCUAGAAUUGUGGUUUAAAUUCUUUACAUGGGUCUAACCCGAACCCGACCUAACUCAUGAGCACCUUUACCCACUAUUGUGUUUUCUUUCUAUUAGAAGAACUAUAAUCAAUGCCCCAGAUUGCUUCCAUGAAUUUUCUGCUUCUUUAAAAAGGGUUUAAAUUUUACUAUUAGUCUCUGUACUAUGCAAAAGUUUUAUUUUUAGUCUCUAUAUUUUAAUUUGAUCAAUUUUAGUCUCUGUGCUUUCUAAAUUUUAAAAUUUUAGUCUUGACCCAAAUGGUAACAUUUAAAUCUAUUUGGUUAAAUUCAAUUUUUGGUCUUGGACUAAGCAUACAAUUAUAAAUUUGGUAAAUGAAAUUUUAGACUUGAAGUAAAUGAAUAUCGUUAACCCAUUAAUUUUAUUUUUAUUGAGUAAAAUAUGGACAUAAAAAAUUGACAUAACGUUACAUAUAUCAUAAUAUAUUUGGUGCAUCAAAUUUUAAAAAUAAAAGAACUCAACUUAAUUAAUUUAAUAAUUAUUAUUUGAUAAGGAUUGAAAAUUUAAAAUUUUAAAAAUACAAUAACUAAAAAUAAUCAAAUUAAAUUAGAAAAUUAAUCAUCAAUUUUUUACAAAGUACAGAAGCUACUAGCUGAACUUAAACCUUAAAAAUAUAGAAAGAAAGAAAGACAAAGACUUGACCUUUAAUCCUACAUUAAUGAACUUGUAAAAAAUUAUAACUUGAUACAACUAAACUUUUAGCAGAUAAUUAAGCUUAGCUAAUUAAACAUGUUCUCAUUGUUAACCAUUUAUUUAUAAUUUAUGGGUAAAUUGCAUUAAUAGCCAAUCAAUUAUGUUUGUUUUCGGUCACUUGACUAUAAAAAGAUACAAAAUGUUCACUCAAUUAUUAGUAAAUUUCUCUAUUUGGUCACCCAACUAUUUAAUUUUUUCUUUUUUGGCCACCCAUCUAUCUUGAUUUUUUUGGUAUUUCUAUUUUUACGUUAACCAGUUAGUGACUAAAAAGAUAAAAUUAAAUAAUUGGGUGACCAUUUUGUAACUUUUCAUAGCCGGAUGAUUAAAAAAGAAACUAAUAGUUGGGUGGCUAGCAAUGUAGUUUACCCAUAAUUUAUUUAUAAUUUUGUAUGUCUUUUUAUUGAAAAAAUUACUUUUAAAUAUUUUUUAAAAUUUUAUUUUUGAAUUUUUAAGAAUCAAGACUAAAUUGAUAAAAUUUGUAAAGUUGAGGGCUAAUUUGUUGAAUUGUUUAGGGUUAGGACCAAAUUGACUAAAUCUAUAAAUAUUAAAGGGCUAAAUUUAUUAUUAUAUCAAUAAAAAAUGUCACAUCAAUAUUUCAUUAGUGAUUUAACUGAGAAGUGGCUAAAAUAUUAAAUUUCAAUAGUAGUGGUGACUAAAAUAAAAAAUUUUAAAUAUAGAUGAUCAAAAAAGAAACACACCAAUAGUUGAGUAACUAUUUACCCAUUUUCUUUUAGUAUCUUUUGAACGUAAACAAACUCAUUCUUGAAUAAAAACAAAUUAAAAGAGAAAAAUAGGAGUGAAACACACUAAUAGCAGGGAAAUGGAUGUUUGAAGAGGAGGCGACUUUGAUUAAUGUUUAUGCUCCAAACAGCCUUGCAGAACAAAAAAUGCUGUGGGAAGAAAUAUCUGGAUUGAGAAAUCAAUUUGGUAAAGCAUGGAUUAUUGGGGGCGAUUUUAAUGUGGUGAGAAAUAGGAGUGAACGCAUAAAUUGCUUGAGUACUGAGAAAGGGUCUCAGGAGUUUGGUGAGUUCAUAGAUGUAAAUUGGUCGAUCUACCGUAAAUAGGGAAAAAUUCACUUGGUUUGGUCCGGAUAAUAAACGUAGCAGAUUGGACAGGUUUUUAAUUGAAGAAGAGUGGCUGGUUCAGUUUAAGGACUUACAACAGCAGGGUUUAAUUGAAGAAGAGUGGUUGGUUCAGUUGAAGUUUUCUUAGCUAUGAAGUGGAAGACUAACGAUUCGAUUUUUAUUGAAUUAGGUUCAUUGGUGGUGUUUUCUUGGUGUGUUAAUAAGGUGUUGAGACCUUGGUCACUUCAGGCAAUUUUUUCAGAAAUUGACACUGCUAAGAUUAAGGCUGGUUCUGUUGUCUUCUCUUCGGCGGACAGGUAUGGCAAUGAUAUGGCUCUCUCUUUGGCGAUGGCAUGUGUUUAUCGAUUGCAAGUUUUUAAAGCUUGGUAGUGAUUUACUGUUUUUUGUUUGCUGGUUUAUUGUUUUGUGGACUGUGUUGUCUUAAUUAUCUUGUGGACUGCUGUGUUGUUAAUUUUUGGCUGUUGCUCUGCUUUGUCUUUGACAACAGAGUGGUUCGAAUAAAGCAAAAAAAAGAAGAGAAAAAUAGAUUGAAAGAAAAAAGGUACUGUUUAGUGUUAAAAUGUAAGCUGGAAUGCACUUUAAAGUGUAAUAAGACUUAAAUUUAGGGUGUGUUUAGAUUGACGGUGCGUUUAUUUACGGUUAAUGUAAAAAUAGCGGUGACGAUAAAAUUAGAUACGAUAAUAACACUGUAGUGUGAUAGAAAAUGUAAGUUUUAUUUACAGUUAAUGUAAAAAUAGCGGUGACGAUGAAAUUAGAUACGAUAAUAACACUGUAGUGUGAUAGAAAAAGUAAAUUAAAUAUACCGCAGUGCAGCAACUGUCUAUCCAAAUCCAUCCUCAAUUAAAACCAACCUCAAUAUAACUUAAUUCUUUUUUGAAAAAAAUUUAGAAUUCAACUAAGUCUAGCCUAAUUAAAAAAAUGAAUUGCAAUUUUAAUAGAAAAUUUAAUUAAUUAAAAUUUAUUAAAAUAUUUUUUUUUACAUCAAUUAAAUUAGGGUUCGAAAAUAUGAUUAUGAAUGUAUUAACAUUAUUAUGAAAACGGUACUAAAUAAUUAUAUGUAGUAGGUUUUUGCUCUCCCUAAAAUAAAAUAUUUUUCAUUUAGAUUUUUUUAAAAUUUUAAAAUUUUAAAUUAAUAAAGAUAAAACUGCACUCUAACAUCCUUUAUUUUUAUUUUUUUUAUUUUCCCCCUGAUUGUAUGUUAUCCUAAAUUUUGUUUGAAAGACAUGAAUUAAAAAAAGCUUCAAAAUAUGAUUGAGGAGAUUAGCAUUAAACAAAAGCUACAAUGUCAACUUAAAAAUAGUAAAAUGUUUGGUGCUAAGAGUAACAAACUUGAAUCCAAUGAAAGAUUUUGAUAAAUUAAAGGCUUAGGAAUAAGGUUAUAGUAGGUGGAGUUAGAACAACUCAAAGUAGGAUGAUUUCUAGGUCUUCUUUUUGGGGACUCCCUUUGCUUAGCCACAAUGCUUAUGUUGACUCAUCCAAUCACACCAUUAUUGUGGGCACAUGUGGAUAUUUAGCUCCAGGUGAUUUUCUUUCUUUUAUUUUCUGAUAUUUUCUUCUGAAUUUAUAAAAUUAAUUGAAUAUAUAACUGGUUUUCUUUUUAUCUAGUUUUUCAUAUGAAGAAUUUACCUAUACGAUGGUUGUUACCGAAAAAUGUGGUGUCUCUAGUUUUUAAAUGGUGGCACUAGAAACAUUAAUGGGAAAACAUCCUAAAGAAGUAUUACCAUGGUUGUCAUCACCAAAUUAUUCGGUAAAUAUGAAGUUGAUUGAUGUGUUAGAUAAUCGUUUACCACUUCCGACAAGCUAACUAGUUGCACAAAAUCUUGUUCACAUUGCUAAACUGACAUUCGCUUGCUUAAAAUCCACGACCAAAGUCUUGACCAACAAUGAAAGAAGUAUGUGAAGAGUUUCUUUAUGGCCAAAAAUCCUUGGGAAUUCCCCUUCAGAUGAUCUCUUUGUUACAACUUGUGAACCAUAUGAAAUCCAUAUUGGAGGCGAAACAGAAAUUUGUGAUGUUCAAAGUCCAUACGCUUGUUAGGUAUUGUUUAGCUGGAUUUCAUGAUUUGUUUCUAAACUAGCUCUUGUGUAAUAUAUGAUUUUGCAAAUAGUUUUGUAAAAUUCUUGAAUAAAUUGAUUAUAAUUUUUAAUAUAAAAAUUUUUGAUAAAACCUUUGACUAGAACGAAGAAUUCAACAAUCCAUAUAUAAAGAGAAAAAUAGUAGCAGAAGAAAUUGUGAAAGUCUUCUCCAUUGUUUUUCAUGCCCCAAAGCCUCUUUAAAUACAUUCCAAGAUUUCCUAGAAAAGAGUUUAAAAUAAAGUUUUAAUUUAAAAUAUCCCAUAAAAUCCCAAUCAAUCCCAUAAAAUAAGACUUUGAAAAAUUCUUCCAAAAAGAUAGUGGUUUUUGCUUUUCUUUUUAAAAUCAAUAGUAAAAAAAAAUUUAAAUGAAAUGUUAUUUAAAGCGAACUAUUUGGUUGAAUUAAAAAUCAGUUGAAAUUUCGAUUCAGAGGAAGGUAAAAAAUCAGUUGACUAAUGAACUGAACUAAAAAAAGUUUAAUUGUUUUAAUCGUAUUUUAUAAUUUUUAAUAUUUUUAUUUUUAUUAAUUUAUAUGAUUUGCACUUAACAUACUAAAAAUGGACGAUGUAAUUGAUUCUAUCACUUAUCCAUUCCAAAAACAUUAUAUCAUAUUCAACUUGAAUUGGAAGCUUUUUGAAAUUAUGUAUUAAGAUAUUCAAACUUAAUUUGCAAGAUAAAUCGACAAGCUAAAGGCUAUCAAUCAAGAGAAAUUGUUUUAGGCGUGUUGGAAACUAGAAAGAUAAAUUUUGUAACGCCCCAAAAUUGAUAUUUUUUUGUUUUUGUGAAUUUGUGACACAACUGAGUAUCUGCUUCAAUGGUUAAGUGUUUUGAAUUUGUGUGUGAGGUCUCAAGUUCAAGCCUUUCAUUUGGAAAAUUUUGGUAUUUUUCUGAAUAAAGCCUUAACCUUGUUCGAUAGGCUUAUAUUUAAGUACUUAUAAAACUAUAUCAGAAUGGGCCUGCUGGUUUGGUGAUUAAAAUGCGUGUGGUAUGUUGGAGGUCUAGAGUUCAAAUCCCUGCAUGAGCGUGAGAGUUUAUUUUUGCUUAUUUGACCGAGAGAGUUUCGGUCAAACAGGAAUUCUGAGUAGUUGGUAGUUGCUGGAGAAAAAUAAGGGGAGUUGAGAUAUUGGAAUUUUCGGUUAUACUUUUGUUUUUCAAAAUUUUAUUUCCCUCUCCCAAAAGUUUUCUGACGUCUGUUUUUCCCCUUCCUGCCAAAAUUUUUCUUUUUCCUUCCUCUACUAUUCCGGUUUCUGUUUUGCUACCUUCUUGUUCAAACAUUGGAUUCGCUCGUUCGGUAUGUCCCGUUUUGUUUCUAUUUUAUUGUUCCAUAGAUGGUUUCUGAUAGAGGGCUGCUUUUAGUUCUUUCGAUUUAGGUGAAGAUCAAGGAACGACUAGUGCUUCUGCCGAGUUUUGAACGUUAGAGUGUCAGUUCGUUGUUGGUAAGCGACCGAGUCACUUUUUAACGUUCUAAGGUUUCGUUGGGAGAAAAUAUUCCCGGUUCAAUUUUUGUUGUGUUUCUGAAUUCGAGUUUUGGUAAUGUCGAUUAUAGGUUUUGGGGUGCUCGGAGAUCGUUUAAGCUUCAAUUGGAACCAAGUGUGCACCUGAAAAUGCAAAAAACGAGGUUUUGGUAAAAGCCAAAAACUGUUCUGUCGACACCACACGGCCGUGUGCCCUAACACGGGCGUGUGAUCAACGAGGCCAGGCUGUGUGUACUGGAAAUUACCGUGUGAUGGCCAGACAGGUCGUGUGCGAGACACGAGCUAGACUGUUUUGGGUCGUGUGGGCUACACGGGCGUGUAGGAUUCUUAGCCAGGCCGUGUGAGCCAUACGAACGUGUGGGCCCACACAGGCAGGCCACAUGGGUGUGUGAACCCAUUUUUUUGAAAAGUUCUGUAAGGUUGCACGGGUCGCCCAAGUCGACUGUGGACCUACUGUAAGGUCGGUAAGCCUUAUUUAGACCCCUAUUUAUGUGAUCUAAUUGUAUGAUGUCUAAGUGAAUUUGAAUACUGAACUAAUUGUAUGAUUUGAUAAAAUUGCAUAACCGCAUGACAUUCUAUUAUAUGUUGCAUUGCAUCGGGGCGGGUUGAUGAUUUAUUGGAGAAAGUGUCUGAAAGGCUCUUAAGCUUAUUAUCUGGCAAGUUUGCUAUAAUAUUCUGACUUUGUGCUGCAUUUCGGUGCAAAUAUCUGUUUAUGUGCUGUAUUUCGGUACAGCAUGAUGUGUAGGGAUGGAUGGGUUGAUUUAAUCCCCACAUGGUGUGUAGGGUUGGACGGAGAUGGUGUGUAGAGGUUGGUGGGUAAGAUUCUGAUAUUCUAUGUUGAUCUGCAUAUCAUAUUUGAGAUGGGCUAAGACCCUAAUUUAUAUCUGAUUCUAUAUCUGGGUGGGUUAAGGCCCACACUGAUUCUGUAAUUGGCUCAGGCCCAAACUGUAUAUACAUGAUUGAUUUCUGAUAUUAUGUUAUGUGCAUGUAUUCUGUGGGGAUUACACACUGAGUUUGUGAAAACUCACCCUUUUCUGUUUGAUCUGUUCAGGUAAUCCCCAGCAUUAGACGGAUCAGAGUAGAGGAGGACUCAGCGGUGACCACCACUAUUUCGUAUUGUUUUAAUUCAGUUUUUUAGUUAAUUAAUUUCUCGUUAAUAAUUUGGGUAUUUAUUUUUGUAAUUGGUACUUUUUGGACUGACUGUUGAAAUUUGGGAUUAUGCUUUGCUUUCCAUUUUUAUCACUACAAAAACACGACGUUUUCCUGAAAUUAAAGUUUUCCUAAAAACGAUCGGUUUUCUCAAACAAAAAGUGCACAAGCUUCCACUAAAAAGUCACGUUUUGAAGCAUAACAAUGAACAUGCGUUUUUCUAAAUUAAUUAAAGACUAAUAAACUGGAAGGGUUUUCACUCGAUGAAUUAGACUACAAAUUUCAUUACAUAUGACAUCGCCAGAUUCGACCAUAACGUCAAGGCCGGAUUUGGGGUGUUACAAAUUUCAUGGAAAAGUUGCACUGUUGGUUGUAAUUGUCCUAGACAUUGAACAACUUGGAUUGGCCUCCCAUGAAUGGAUUAUGUCAUCUAUUUCAGAUUCUUCAUCACCAUGGUCUUCAAUAACAUUUCCACCUGAAGCAUUAAUCAACUCUAGCUCCAUUGCUAAUGGUUGAUAUGCAAACUGGGCUAAAAACAGUUGAACUGAUUGAAUCGUAUUUUAUAAUUAUUAAUAGUUUUUAUGAUUUUUAAUAAUUUACUUUAUUUGAACCGAACAUACUGAAAAUCGAUGGCCUGAUUAGUUCAGUCAUUGAUCCGAUAACAAAAACAUUGAUAUAAUAUUCAACUUGAAUUAUAAACCUUUUGAAAUUACGUACUGAGAUGUUCAAAUUUAAUUUGCUCCAAUUUAAUUUGGAUUCUUCAACUUAAAGAUAGCCAACCUUAUUUAAGCUAAACCUGUGUAGUUUACAUCUCUAGUAUUUAAUAUUAUUAACUUCUAAUGUCACAAGUAUUACAUGUAAUUUUGGCAUUUAAUAUUUAAUUAAUUUUUUAAAAUAUUUUAUUUUUAAUUACAUUAUUUAACAUAAAAUAAUAUUUUUAUUUGAAUUAUUGGAUAUAAUUAAAAUAUAAUAACUUAUUAUAAAAAUAUAUAUUUCUUAAAUUAUUUUUUGUUAAUGACUUAAUGUUACAUAAUUCUAUAUAUAUAUAUACAUACAUAUAUGCAGGAAGUAAUAGAUGCUCAAUUAUCUGUCAAUAUGCAACCUUGAUUGGAUUUGUGUUUUUGUAUGUUUCAAAUAGUUUUUGUUGGCUUUGCUCUGUUUGAUGUUAUUUUCUUAUGGAAUUGGAUGUUUAAUGCUAGUUUGUUUACUUUCAGGGGAAACCUAAAGAAGCAUAUGAACAAUCAGAGGGGUUCCGAUAGGAGUUGAAAUUGAAGGUUCAAGAGUUGUUGAUAGAGUAGUAAUGGCGUCGGAGAAAAAUGGCGAUAAGUGUAUAUUGGAUACUGUUAAUAUCCCUUGCUUUAUUUACUUGUUCUCGCUCAAUGAAGGCUUACUAUUACUGUGAUGAGUUAAUCACCUCUUCUUAUUUCAUCUUCAGAUAUCAGAAGAAGAAGAAGAAGGUCAAUGAUGAAGAAGAGAAAAAAGAGAUGUGGAUGAUUAGGAUUACCUUUCUUUUGAUUUAUGGUAUCCUUGGAUUCUGUAUCCCUGUUUGGAGGUCUUUUUUAUUAAUGAAUUCAUCGACUUAGCAAAAGAAAAAGAAAACAUAUCCAGAACUUGCAUAAUAAAUACCUUAAAGAGGUCAAAUAACAUUGAGUGUAACAAGUAUGAAUUCUUGGGCAACCACAAGACUCCACCAAUGUGACAUAUAGAGAAGCUAAAAGCUAUCAAUCAAGAGAAAUUGUUUUAGGAGUAUUGGAAUCUAGAAAGAUGAAUUUAAUGGAAAAGUUACGCUGUUGGUUGUAAUUGUCCUGGACAUUGAACUACUAGGAUUGGUCUCCCAUGAUUGGAUCAUGUCAUCUAUUUCAGAUUCUUCAUCACCACAUUCUCCAAUAACAUUUCCACCAGAAGCUUUAAUAAACUCUAGCUCCAUUGCUACUUGUUUCAUGGUGGGUCUUUUCUUUCCAAUAAGAUUCAAGCAUCUUUUUGCUAGCAGAGCCACAACUAUAAUCUCCUGUUCUGGACCAUCCUUUACUACCACUGGAUCAAGAAUGUUAAACAAGGAAUUCUCCUGCAUUGAAUCCAAAAAAUAAGAUACCAAGCUUCUCACUGGCUCUGAUUGUUCCACGGAGAUAGGUUUUUGUCCUGUUAAAAGCUCAAUAAGAACAACUCCAAAGCUAUAAACAUCACUCUUCUCUGUAAAUUGACUUGAUCGAAAAUAUUCGGGAUCCAUGUAUCCAAAAGUUCCUUGGACCCGAGUGGUUAGAUGUGUUUGUUCAAGUGCAACUGAUCUUGAAGUUCCAAAAUCUGAAACUUUUGCCCUAUAUUUACCAUCCAAAAGUAUGUUACUAGAUUUGAUGUCUCGGUGAUAAAUAGGAGCAGAAGCAGCUGAAUGCAAAUAGAACAAGGCGUUGGCAAUUUCAAUCGCAAUUCGUAAACGCAUUUCCCAUGUCAAUGAUAAUUCUUCAUUUUGGUUAUGAAUGAGAUCGUAUAAUGUACCAUUUGGGAUGAACUCAUACACCAAUAGAGGAACUUCAGCUUCUAAACAACACCCUAAAAGCUUAACCACAUUCCUGUGAUUAAUUUGAGAUAAAAUUAUCACCUCAUUAAUGAACUGUUCAACCUUCUUUUCAUCAAAUUUCUUUCCUUCCACCAUUUUGGAUUUCUUAAUAGCCACAAUGCUUCCAUCUAUUAGCAUUCCUUUAUAAACAGUCCCUUGACCUCCUUGACCAAGAAUUCGGUUCUCAUUAUAAUAAUCCGUUGCCUUUUCCAUCUCUUUUGAGGUAAACAAUUUAAUUUUUUCAACAUUACCUUCAUUGCUAGACAAAUGUUGUUGCAGUAACAAACCUCCAUUCCUUUUGAAGUAUUUCUGCCUCAGCAUGAUUUUUUUGUUUUCUUUUGAGGGCUUUGUACAUACUCCAUGUUGCGAGUAAUAGAAAUAGUGUCCCAACACUAGUGCUGCAACCUAUAUAGAUAUAAGAAAAAUAGUUAAUGGCUAAAAUUGAAAAUUAAAAUACAUUUUAAAUAAAAAAUGAGAAAACCUU
RNAcentral lists this long non-coding RNA (196866 nucleotides) under Gossypium barbadense (sea-island cotton). RNAcentral describes it as "long non-coding RNA (GBAR_LNC007897)". Lineage: Eukaryota; Viridiplantae; Streptophyta; Magnoliopsida; Malvales; Malvaceae. The record is from RNAcentral.